RNAcentral lists this long non-coding RNA (217063 nucleotides) under Zea mays. RNAcentral describes it as "long non-coding RNA (ZMAY_LNC002077)". Lineage: Eukaryota; Viridiplantae; Streptophyta; Magnoliopsida; Poales; Poaceae. The record is from RNAcentral.
CUCGAUGCUCCAGUUUUACACCGAUGAGGCUGCGGGCCGCAAAAUGUCACCAAACACCGUUCUGAUCAUGAGCAUUGGGUUCAUCGCUGUUGUCGCUAUGCUCCAUGUUUUUGGGAAGCUGUACCGCACCUCCAACUAGGUUGGUACUACCAUAACCAAGAAAACAGAGGCCACCAAGAGAGGAGCCUUAUAGAGCCAUUUCAAUGGAUAGCAAGUGACUAUCAGAGAGGAACCUUGUAGAGUGAUUUCAAUGGAUAGCAAGUGACUAUCGGAUUGUGAACUGUUAUAGAAGUUUAUCUACACAACUUGCAAUGCUCAGGGCUAUGAUAAAUCCCUGCGAGUCUUGUUUAUGCUUCAUAUUUUUUUUUUGCAUGUGCUUGCAUAUGCAUCUUUCUAUUUCUGUUGUCCUGAUCUUGCCGUUCAAUCCUUGUUGCUUACCUUUGGCAAUCUGCCUAAUGGGCAAACACUAUUUCUCACUGAUAGCCUUGUGCUUCCUGUUAGCAAAGUCGUUGUCACCUCUAGCAAUCUUGACAACUCAGACUAUUGCUAACUUUGUUCAAUUCCAUCAUUAGAGAUGGUAAAACACUAUCAUCCAACUCCCUCCCAAUCAUCUCUCUUAGGGUUGAUUUGGUGACAAGGGAAUCGCAGGAGGAUUGGAAGGAAUUAAGAGGAAAAUAAACUAAUUUCCUCCUCAAUCCCCUUCCAUCCUCCCUUGAUCCCUAGUCACCAAAUCAGCCCUUAAACCGUCAAAUAGCUCAUGAGGUAAGAGAGCCCUCGGUGCCUUAAUUUGGUUAUUGAAACUCUCAGAUACAUUAUUAGUUAGGUAGUCACAUUUGCUAUGUUCAUAGAAACCACUUCUAUACCAAAUCCUAGAAUGAUCUCUGUCAAGCCAUCUUUUGUAGGCGCCACUUGAAUAUGUCCUUUGUUUAGGACCUUGUAGCUGGGUACAAAACAUUGCUAUAACUCCAAUCAAAAGUUUCUUUUUAUGCGCAGUUUCUUUGUUGGAUUUCCAAGCCCCAGUAAUAUGAUUAAUACUAGAGGGUCUAUCUAUAGACAGAAGAUGGUUCUCCAUAUAUUCCUAGCAGGUAAUCAUCAAAGAAAAGGUGUUAAAUACUUUUAUUUUUACUAUAAAAACUGAACUUAAAAUUUCCCAUCCAUCUUCGUUUUACUACGCAGGGAACUUAUCUUGAGGCUCUAUUUCAGUACGUAGGGAAUUUAUCUUUAUCUUGAGGCUCUAGAACUUAUCUUAAAUUGCUCACUGACCCACUAGAUUUGAAGUGCUCACGUGAGCACAGAAGCUCCAUGAGCACAAGUACAAAUGUUUCGGAAAUGAAUUGCAGCAUCACUUUCGCGUUUGAUCUGAUAGCAAAAUCUCCGUUCAGACAGGAAGAGCAAAUAUUGUAGGAACGCAAGAACUGGUCUGGUGAUAAUGGAUAUAUGCUCAGCCUUCGACGGCGGUCCACAAGCAAAGGCGCAAAGCAAUGUUCAAAAACACAAACAAUCAAAAGAUGGUUCCCAGUACACGAACAUUUGCAACCAAAUUCAUUGCCCACAAUACAAUGCCUUACAGGCUUGACAGCUAAUGUACAAUAUAUAGAUAAUUAAACACUGAAUUAUACAGCAGCAUAUACUACCAGAACCAGAGUACCGGUACACAUCAAUCUAUAGCGACCCCGUAGCAUGGUACCAGCAGUCAUUUUCUGACUGCUGCUUCCUACUGUACCACUCAUAGUCUAUUGUAUUGUAUGUUACAGAAGCGCGGCCGUGUGGUGAGCUCAACACAGUGAAACCGUUCAAGUAACCUAUAUAUAUACCAAUUCCAGUCAUAGCACAAUCAGGAAGGACUCCCAACUUCAGGGCUGUCACUUCAGUCUUCAGGGGCACAACUUUGGCUUACAACUCUGCAUAGAACACAAGAUCAUAUCAUCCAAUAUCUAUGACGAUCGGGUAAAGCGCAAUCAGUGGUCAGAAUACAGGAGCCACCAUAAUCUGCAGCUCGGGUAGCCCUGUAAACUGCAAUGCUGCACUAAGCUGCCAUCGGAUGACACGAAAGUAUAUGGUAACCAGCUACGAAUCAUUUUGGUUCCUCUCCAUUUGUAUUGACCGGAAGAUCCACGCUGCUGACUCCGAAGCAGUCUGCGCGUUAUGCGGAACAACCCUGAUUACAUGGUUCUUUUGGUCCCGGCCUCCGGAUGACGGCUGAGGUUGGGCUUUCGGGACUGAAGCAGUCUGUGCGUUACGCGGAACAACCCUGAUUACAUGGUUCUGCUGGUCCCGGUCCCGGCCUCCAGAUGAGGGCGGAGGCUGGACAUUCGGAGCUGAAGCCGUGGGAAAGAAUGACAACGGAGCACUUCCAUCACCUUGGACUUGGAGCCUGUCGAAAGGGCUGGUGGCGCUGCUGGCCUGUGGCUCGCUGUCCCUUGAUGCAAGAAACCUCCAAACGCCACUCGGGUGUGACAUGUUACAUGAGAUCAGCGACUGCUGGUCCAUGUGCCCAUGAGGCUGUGGCGCAGCAGCAUGGCUCCCUUGCUCCACUGCAGAUGCUGGUGUUCCUGGAUUCAUCACUGGCAUACUGAAAGGCGGGAAGUAGUUCAUAUGCAUGGCAGGGGCACCAGGAGGGACCAUGUGCUGUGGCUGGUGAGGAAUAGGAACGCCAUAUGGUGUAGAAGGCAGCCUUGACGGAGCACAGUUGGCGUAAAAUGGUGUCAGCAGAUUUCCAACUGGGGGACAAGGGCCGGCAAAAGGCUUAUAGACAAGACCUUCAGAAGGCGACAUAACUGGGACAAGCCAUUGAUUCUGCGGUGGAUUCAUGCACCAGUUAUUCUGUUUGUUGUCAGGAGCAACAUGCAUAGCUGGAGGGUUGCUUGUAAAGGUUUCAUUUGUUGCAGCUUGAUUAUGAUGGUUGUCACCAAGUCCAUCAUCAUGAGAAUGGGCCAAUAAGUUUCCUUCUGUGUCUUGUUUUGAUAACUCUGGUUGCUCUAGGGUUGGCUGGAUAUCAUCUUUGUUUGUGAUUGACAGGGUCUGAACUUUCGAAUUUCCUUUAGGAAGUUUGUUCCUUUUUCCUGUUAAUGCAUUGCCAAGGACAGGAUCACCUUCAAUAAGCAGAUGUGGAGAUGCCGCGAUUAAUUUCUGCACCUGUUUGGAAGUCAAUUACAAACGGGGUUAUAAUAGCAUUGUGCACAAAAUUGUAUCACAUAAGAUAACCUACUUAUGAACGGAAAAAGGAAGAAAGAUGUAUCGAUUUCCUGGAGACUUACUUUUAUCAGCUUAUGCAGCUCGAACACUUGGACAGCAAAAACCCUCUGCUGACUGUAGAUUUUAACAGGACAGAGUGUAAAACAUAAAAAAAGGCAUUAUGCAGCAAUCCAGAAAGCAAGAAAGAAAUAUUCACAAUAUCAGUCUUACAAGCAACAUACUAUUCUUUUGGAUGAAACUACCAUGUUUUCUACUUAAAAGAAUCAAAAUUGAAGGCAUUCAUUAUUAUCCACAGUUUAUAUUUAAUAGUACAACAGAAUAGUUAGGUACUGAAAACCAAACAACAGACUUAUCAUCUUCAUACUUUUGUCUUCCAUAUGACAAUUAACUGAAAACUAAAAGAAAAAGGAAAUAAGCAGAGUGAAACAUAUGAAUAGUAUUGUCUAAAGAAUGCUACAAAUACUUGGUACAAAACUACAAAACAGCUACUCAAGCACCAUAUACUUACUUCUGAAUAGCUCUUCUUGCUUUCCAGAAAUGCUUUGGACCAAUAGCAGCAACAAUUUCAUCUGGAGAGAUCUCCCCCCCAGGUAUGCAUUCCACUGAGGAGUCAGAUAAAUCAUCAUUUUGCUCUCCAUUGUGAUGUCCUCUUUUUCUCUUAGCACCAACUUCCCGUGGGCUUCUUUCCAGUAAAUUAGACUUCCUGUUAGAGCUAUCUACAUCAGUACAUGGUUUACAGGAAGAUGUAUUUCUAGCUGCUGUAGGGUUCUUUGCUUCUGUGAAAUUUCCAUUCACGCUUGCAGGUUGGCAACCGUUGUUGUCACAAUGAUUUAUAUUACUUGCCUUAUUCCUCAUUUGACAUAGCUUAGCAUAUUUGUCUUUGAACUUUUCUGAUGCCUGAAAUGAUGAACUCUUUUCUUUAACUUCCACAGCUUUUGAUCCUUGCACUGCUUCUUUCUCCUUAACCUUUGGAGAGUUCAUUAACCUCCUAUCAGCUUCAUUGAUUUUGUCCAAGUGCUUGUUCACAGUACUAUAGCACUCUACAGAUGAUUUGGACAUUGCAGGACUUUUGUGUGGGUUUGUAGUAGAUUGGGGUUUUGAUUUAUCUGCAUGAUCUUGAGUAGACUGUCGAUAAAAUCUAGGAUAACAGAUGGAAGGAACCAUAAAUUCAUCAUCACUGACCACUUUCUUUCCAGAAGACAUGAUGGUGUUGCCCACUCUAUGCUGUGAGGUGCACUUGGCAAUUGAUUUUGAAGCACAGACGUCCUUGUUCUUGGUCUGUGAGGACAUCCUCAAAGGUUCUCUUCUUGUACUAUUAGACUGCCCGUUGAUAGUGUUUCCUUUGAACUUUUCAGAUGAACGAGGAGGCUCAUUUGAAGGCACGUCGAAGGGCUGGAACAGCGUCCUGUCAUAACCAUAAACCUGGAUGAAGAAACUCUGUCAGUACUUUGUAACAUUUAUUGAACAAUUCGUUAAUGGAACACUAAGUUCCUAUCUUCGUUUGCCAAGGCCCAUCCAGUUAGGAUCCCUCCAUGCAAACUGGUAGAUAGUACUUCCAAAGCAUCCAACAACUUUCAUUUAAAACUGGAUUAGAGGUGAGACAUUUGAGUACCUAAGGGUCAAAAUCUCAAUUCUUUCUUUGCUCACUGCUUUACCCCGCAAAAUGGUGAGAGAAUAAGGACAGAGAAUCAUGAGUGCGGGCAGCCCCUGGAUUUCUUCUCAAGUAGCUACCUUUCUAUCACCGUAUUUGCAAAGUAACUGAUUUCUUGCUGGUUAUUGUUACAUGGUUGUCCUCUGGACCUCCCCCCCCCAAGCAUAUCAUUACAGCCAGGAUACAUAUAAAGGUCAUAACAAAUGAACCUGCAAAUAAAUUUUAGCCUUUCCCACUUAUUGUUAAUCAUUUCCUUUUAUUUUUGCUUAUGAACCUUUCCAUAUGUACUACAAAGUAAACUCUCAGCAGGCAACCCCCCCCCCCCCACACACACACACAUUAUGUUUAGUCCCAAACAACAUCACAAAUGGUUAUAAUAGCAAGAUGGUUGAGCCCCACUUUGGAAUGCGGGAUUUUUUCCUGUUUCCUGUGUUUUUUCUGUGAAAAUGAACUGAUUCCUGUGAAAUUCUUGUAUGAUUCCUAUGAAAUUCCUGCAUUCCAAAGGCGGCCUGAAACAGAACCUAAGUGAGGGCCUCAGUCCAAGAGCUUCGCUGCAAAUUCCACUAAUUAAAUUAGGAUAGCCAUAAGAACAUAACUUAAAACAAACCCCUAGGGAGAUGGUAUUCCCUUGUGGACACUGGACACACAGAUCACUGUGGUUUUUAAAAUAGAGCAUGUGUGCUUACAAAAAGGUACUUAAGCUUCAUAUAAGGAGUACUUUCCAAGCAGCAAAAUUUGGAGCCUAAACUGUAACACAACUAUAAGAGGGAGGGUCAACAUUUCAGCCACAGACAGAAGAUCACUGAGGAAGUCGUGCAAAGCAUAUUACAAACUUGGAUACCACCAGCAAAACUAGGAAAUUUCAGUACAGAUACCUGUCAGAUUUGGUUUCUUUCCCUAAACACCCAAUUGAAUCACUUGUUUAUCUGAAGUGGUCUGCGUCACUGUUAUUUUCAUUUGUUAUGUUACCUCUCAUGGUCCCAGUACCAGUAGUCUAACUCCUAAAAUCACACCACCUUAAAGGUAAGCGCAAGUAUGCAGCUACACACAACUUGCCCAAAUUGCAAUGAGGAUUAACAGAGCGGCAAAUAACAUGGUGACAGGGGCGCACAUAUCAAUUCUUAAUUCCUCAAACCAAGAAUUUGAUCCUGGAAUGGGGAACCAAAUAUUAGAGUACCUAAUGAACACAUUGCUCGGUGCUUGGCCCCCAGAAGGGGGAGAGCAGGGAUACUGACAAGUGUUAAGACAUCAAGCAACCACAGUUUCCUUUUGUUUGUGCCCCAGGCCCCGGCCAUUUAUUCUGCUUUUGCAUACGGUAUACCUACCUCCAUUUUGCAGAGUAAUUGAUUUCCUGUGGGUGAUCCUCACACGUUUGUAUUCUAGAAUAGUUUUCCUAUCCUACAAACUCGCAGAGCAUUGGAUAGUUGCUCGUCUUUACAACAUACACGCUGAAGAUCAUAACAAAUGAACCUGCAAAUAAAUGUGUCAAUUGUCAUGCACUGGGCCUCUAGCUUCUUCGAACCGAUUCUUGAUCAUCUCCUCUUAGCUUGUGCUCCUUUCUAGUUUCUACUUAUGUACUAGAAACUUCCUACCAAGUUUUGUCACACGCAACACAAUUAGCAAAAUAGCUAGAACGCUGAGCUGUGGAACCUACGCACGAGUGAGCGCUCUCAAUCCAAAAGCUUGGUCGCAGAUGGCACCCUAAAGGAAUUAAUUGUGGACAUAAAGAUCACAUGCUCCGAUGCUCGUGCGCUAUGACAACAUAUACGUUGUGGGUUUGCAGGCAGGCAAAUGCGCUCACAGAAAGGUUGUUAGGCUGCAUGCCAGGAAUUAAUUUUCAAUUUUUGAGAAAAAAAAUUGCCAUUUUGCCAAGUAGCAACAAAGGCAGGCAAAUGCGCUCACAGAAAGGUUGUUAGGCUGCAUGCCAGGAAUUAAUUUUCAAUUUUUGAGAAAAAAAAGAAUUUGCCAUUUUGCCAAGUAGCAACAAAGGGAAAGCUUAAUAUUAGCAGCUUGGAUAACACCAGGAAAAAAAAAAGCAGAAGCAAACAUCGAGCUGCUCACCUGGGCAGCCGCCGUGGAGGGCACGAGGCUGGCCCCCGCGGCGCGGGCGGAGGCCGCGGGGGAGCUGAAGCGGUUGGACGGCACGGUGAACUGCUCGUAGAGCGCCAUCUUGUUCCUUGGCGGAGCCCGCGGGCCGCCGCCCUUGCCUGCGUCGCUGACGUGGAGCCGCGGGAACAGCGGACCCAUCACCUUCCCCGGCUCCUCCUUGCCUCCUUGUCCACCGCCUCCCCUCGUCAUGCCCAGGAGCCAGGGGAGCGCGCCGUGUCAAUAUCACGCAGGCAGCUCGUGGCGGCAGCAAGAAGAUCCCGAAUCCUCAGCAGCAGCUUCAGCCACCACGUUUACCCAGUGUCAGGGCCGGCGAUGGGGGAGGCCGGGGUGCAGGCGCACAGCUGCUACCGCGGCCAUGGCGGCCCAACUGAAAGGGAAAUCAAACCGUGAGAGCAGAGGGGCGCAUGGGAUUGGGAGCGUCUGCGGGGACACGUUUGAUUCUGAUGCCAGGGAAGGGAAGGGAAAGGAAUGCUCGCUCUGAUCCACAAAGGCGGAGGUGGGCUCCACCAUGAGAGGGAGACCGGAGAGUGGAGACGCUGGCGGUUGAGUAUGUGCAAGCAGGUUUUUUUGGGGUGUGUUAAUUAGGCGGUGAGGUUGCUUCUAAGUUCUAACAACUUACUCUUUUUAAGGUUAUCUUCAAACUCACCAAUAUUUAAACUCUAUUUUACCAAUAGUGAAGUUUAUAGUGAAAAAUAGUAUUUUUAGAUAAAUUUUAGGUAAACUGCUACAGAUGGUAAUGUCAUGUCUAGUGCUGGGAAUAUGGGCCGGACUUUUCGGGCCAGCACGAGCACGGUCCGAAAAUAGGAGCCCAAAGCACGGCACGGCACGAAAUAAUUUGGACCGGACUAGCACGACCCAAAGGCGGGCUUGGGCUGGGCCUCAAUUUCCGGCCCGUCGGGCCCCCGGCAUGGCCCGCAUAGAUGGCCGGGCUUGGGCCGGCACGGCCCAAUUAAGCCCAAUCUGUUUAAUUUCUUUAAUUUAGUAAGAUAUCGACUUUAUAUUGUUGUUAUAUUUGCAGUUUAUGUGGUCAAAUGAUGCUAGAAUUAUUUAAUAUCUUUAAUUAGUAAGCUAUGAACUUUAUAUAGUUGUAAUAUUUUGAUUUUACGUGGUCAAAUAUACGGGUCGGGCUUGGGCCGGCACAGCCCGAAAAAGGCACGACGUGGUUUAGGACCGGGCUGGGCCACUGUUUUUACACUUCGGGCUGGCACGGCACGGCACGACACGGCCCAAAAAUCUUUUGGGCUUUGCUGGCCCGAACCCGUUUGGCACGAAGCACGAUGCCCGACCCGGCCUGGCCCAAUUCCCAGCACUAGUCAUGUCAUUCUAUAUUUUAAACUUAACUAUGCAAACACUAUAAUCUAAUGUAAAAUAGUGUUUUACGCGAUGAUAUAGACGACCUGCUCAAGACAACGUGAGAAUGCACUACACCAUUUGCUUAAUCACUAAAAUUAUGAACAUAUAUAGAGAAGUUUAACACACACAAAAAAAUAGCAAUGGCCUAUAACUUAGAACAUAUAGUUUUUUUAUGCCUAUAAUGGAGUUUGUCCUAUUGCUCUGCGCGCAUAAAUGGAGUUUAUACUGUUGUUUAGCAAAACGAAUGAUAGCCUGUUUGUUUUCACUUCAAUCAUAUCUUGAUGUGCCUUGGUAAACUGCUGAGUGAGUCAAGCCGUGUGAGCUUAGCAUUAUCCUUUAGGAAGAUUCGUGGGGGCCACGGCGCUUGCAAGUGAAGCUAGUUCCACGGCGUACAUGUAUCACUUGGCCUUUGUGAAAAUAUGAAAUUCCUUUGCUUUUGUGGUCUUGUGGAUCGUGGGAUAUCCCGGGACACAUUUAUAGCGUCACUUUGGAUGAGAAAGCAUCUACGUGGGUGGGUCGGUGAUACUCUUGGUGACAUGUGACAGAAACGGUCAAGUUUUUAUAGCGUCACUUUGGGUGAGACAUGAAGCUUGUCUAUACCACGGAUUGUAGAAAUUAAAAUUUCAUGAUUGAUCAACAAGAAAAGUAUUUUUGAAGGAAGGAAGAUGCGGUCGGGGGAGGAUGAAUGAGAGUCAAUCAAAUAUUUUACACUUAAAUAAUCUUAGCUUGAUUUCUAAAAAUUGAGCCGAAACCUCUAUGACAAAAAAAACUCUUUAAAAGGUUCAAAACCAAGAACAACUCAACCAAUUUGUGGUAGGAUGCCUUGAACAAGUGCCUAAGACAUAAACUCAGUUUGGACACUAAAAAGUCCCAGAAAGAGUCAAACUAAAACUUCAUUAUGCAGAGUAGCAGUAUGGCUCCUCUGGUCGGGACAUGGCAAUGUCGCUAACCCUACAUGAUAUUGUCGAUUGAGCAAAAAUGGUCAGAAUAAGGUAAAACUUUACGAGAAGUGAGGUAGAGAAGAAUCAAAAUGGUUCCAGAAGUUUGAUCGUCAAAAGAUCAAACCUGAAGAAUCAGAUUAUAAAACUUGAGACUAAAUUAGGGUUUUCACAAAAAGAACAAUUCAGUUAGAUAAUUGUGCAUAAGAUGGAUCAAUCAGUAGUAGAGCUGACAAUGAUUCUAGAAUUGUUUCUCAAGUUUCUAUUUACCCAAAGUCCCUCAUAAAUUCAAGUGUCAAAAAUUCUUUCAAAACACCAAUCAAAAAAGUUUGGAAAGAAGGAAAUCAAACCAAGAACAAGAACACUUGACUUGAACAAAAGAUGAAAAAUGUAGAGGUCAUGAUGUGGUUAAAGCCACACUUCCCAAAAUCUCAAGUGUAUAGAUGCUACAACUCAAAGCAUCUAAGGAUCUCCUAACAAAUGAAAAUAGAGAAUAAAAACACAAGCUAGAUUGAUGGAUGUUGAUGCAGCUCUUCCUCCUUAUAUUAUAGAUGGGUUUUCACAUUUCUAAACUACCCCUAGAUACAUAAAGGUCAUCUGCUCAGUCAGGGGCAAUGGAACUGCUCUUAAUAUGAUGAUUCGACGACCACUCUUCAUUCGUGAAGUUGCUUCGCCUAGAUCCAUAUGUCGCCUCUGAUUCCCUCUGGAACCAUGUCAAUGGGCUUUGAGGACAAACACACAAAAUCGGCCCUAUGUGGUUUUUGAGGCUCAACCAUCAAAACGCUACAGGUAGCGCACUCUAUAUGUGUUCCUCGUCCUAGAAACAUGUCCUAGCGGCCCACAACCACGUCCUCAUUGCCAUGUUCUCCCCGUAUGCUAAUGUCCUCAGGUGUGAGCCAUCGUAACUGGUCACCCGACUUCUCUAGUCCCUCAGACAAGGCCUAGAGCUCGUCCUUCACCGCUCUUGGUCCAUCAUCAUGAACCUGCAUGACCUUCACCUUCACCAUCUACCACUACCUCUGAACUCCACACUUGCACAUCACAAUGCAAGAGACAUGUUUCCUUAAUAAGCAUAUAAUGUUUACAAGGAAAACCUUCUAAAAUCAGGAAAUUGAGCACUUAACUUUAAUAGAUAUGAAGAGAAUGUUCAAACCAAAAAAAUCUCAACUAACUAGUGAUCGAAUGUUUUGAAAAUGUUCCAUGAUUAUACAUGAGUCCAACGAGACAAAAGGAUCGUAAAAUAGACACCGAAAAGUCCAAAACUUCCCAAAAUAGUGGCACUCACUCAUGUUAUUUUCACUAGCCCAAAUCAAGGUUCCAAAAUACAAAAUCAAUCCAAGUGAACUCUAAUUUAGCUAAAAUUUCGGACACACUUUUACAAGUGAGUUUCAAAAGUGUUCAUAAUCUUUAAGCUCAAAAUUUUUUGAACUUAAAAUUCAAAUAAAAAUACGAAUUUGGAUCUUGGUUUUCUCAAAAUUGUUUAAGUGAUAUGAUAUCCGUGCUUCAGCUUGGAUCAACCCAUACCACUUGGUGGCAACGACCCUAAGAGGUAUUGGCAUGUUUCUAUCAAGCCCAAAUAACCCCAAAAACUUAGAUUCAAAAAAUCCCACAAAAGAUUAAAGCGAAGAACUCAAGAAGAAAACUCAAAGAAAGAACUUUAAGCCAUCAAGACUGUAUAAAGAGAUACUUCAGAGAUAUAACACAGAGGUCCCGACAUGGUUAAAACCACACUUCCUAAUUCUCAAGAACAUGAAGAACAAGAGCACCUAUGGAUCUCAUAACAUAAGGAUAGAGAGCAAAAACCAAAAGCCAGAGAGGUAGUUGGCUAGUGCAUCCCUUCCUUCUUAUUUAUAGAGAGUAUUUUACAUUCCCAACAUACCUUAGAUAUAUAGAAAUUAUCCAAUUUGCGAGGAGUAAAAUGGACCAACUCUCAUCUUGAUGAUCUGAUGGACAUAGUUCCUUCUUGACGAAAUUGUUUCACCUUAACACACCCUCCAUGAUGGCUCCACGUGCCACCUUCGAUUCCCUCCUAAAUUGUGCCACCGACUUUGGAGGCCAAACCCACGAAAUUGUUGCUAUGUGGUUUUGAGCCUCAUUCACAAAAGUUCUACAGGUAGCAUACUCUAUACAUGUGCCCCAUUUUCUAAACAUAUGUCCCGUCGGUCCUCAAACGCGUUGGCAACAUGAACUGCUCUACUAUGUGCUCACACCUCCUCAUGUUCCUAAGUAUUAGCCACCAUAGGUAGUCACCUGACUUCACUUUUAUCGUCGACCGUUGUCUCAAGAGUUCACACCUGCACAUCAUAAAACAAGAGAUAUGUUGCAUACAUACUCACACACUGAUUAGUCCACAUGAUUUAACCCAAGACGUGAUUCUGUCGGUAAUCACUAAUCACAAACCCAAACCACAAAGGCACAUCUCAACAUUGUAUUAAUAUUUAUCACAAAUCCUACAUUUGAAUACGUAACCAAAGCAUUAAACAUUUGGCCAUGCAUGAACACAGAGGGUGUAUUGCUCCAUUUGCAUAGCAACAAAGUAGCCCAAAUUUGAACUAGCGACCUAACGUAUACUACCUCCGUUCACAAAUAUAUGACACUGUUGAUUUUUUUCGAAAACUUUGACCACUCGUCUUAUUCAAAAAAAAUAUUCAAAAAUGUAAAUUUCAAAUCAAGCACAAACUACCUUAAGUGGUAAAACAAAUCACAACAAAAUAAAUGAUAACUCAUAAUUUUUUUGAAUAAGAUGAGUGGUCAAAGUUUUUUAAAAAGUCAACGGUGUCAUAUAUUUAUGAACAGAGAGAGUAGUAUAUAUGGUGGCUAAAGACGUUUAAUUACCUUGUUUAUAUUUGGCAUGUAUUUGCCUCGUGGCAUAGUUAAACAAACAAGUUUUAGGAUACAAGAAGACUUUUGGGGAAUAAACGUUGGAAAGUUUUGAACAACUUUUUUUCGAAAGGAAAGAUGAAAAGGGAAAAUGAUUGAUUUUUGAAAAAAAAAUCAUAAAUAGGUCAUGAAAGAUUUUCUUGAAAUGUUUAGAGAAAAAUAUUACUUCAAUUUUUUUUUAUCAAGAAGGCAAAGAUGUCUGAAUUUCUAUGAAGCGGAUUUACAUAAUUGUUUGAAAAAAGCUAGAGAGAUAGUUAGUUAGUGCAGCCAUUCCUUCUUAUUUAUAGAGUAUUUUACAUUCCCAACAUACCUUAGAUAUAUAGAUCUUAUCCACUCUGCGAGGGGUAAAAUGGACCAACUCUCAUCUUGAUGAUUUGAUGGACACAAUUCCUUCUUGACGAAGUUGUUUCACCUUAACACACCCUCAUGAUGGCUCCACGUGCCACCUUCGAUUCCCUCCUAAACUGUGCCACCGAGUUUGGAGGCCAAACCCACGAAAUUGUUGCCAUGCGGUUUUGAGCCUCAAUCACAAAAACUCUGCAGGUAGCGUACCCUAUACACGUGCCCCAUGUUAUGUACAUAUGUCCUGUCGGCCCUCAACCGCGUUGGCAACAUGAACCGCUCUGCUAUGUGCUCAAACCUCCUGAUGUUCCUAGGUAUUAGCCACCGUAGCUAGUCAUCUAGCUUCUCCAAUCUCUUAGUCAAAAUCCAGCACUCGUCUUUUACCGCUCCUAGUCCAAAUAAACUCACAUGACCUUCACUUUAAUCGUCGACCAUUGUCUCUAGACUUCACACCUGCACAUCAUAAAACAAGAGAUAUAUUUUGGUUAUAUUUUGGCCUGCGUUUGCCUCGUGGCAUAGUUAAACAAACAAGUUUUAGGAUACAAGAAGACUUUUUGGGAAAAAAGUUGAAAAGUUUUGAACAACUUUUUUUCCAAAGGAAAGAUGAAAAGGGGAAAAUGUUUCAUUUCAAAAAAAAAAAAAAUCAUAAAGCGGUCGUGAAAGAUUUUCUUGAAAUGUUUAGAGAAAAAUAUUACUUUGAAAUUUUUUAUCUAGGAGACAAAGAUAUCUUAAUUCCGAUGAAGCAUAUUUACAUAAUUGUUUGGAAAAAAAAGGUUUCAUAAGAAGAGACGUGAAGGAAAAGAUGUCAAGAUCAUGCAGGCCUGACACAGCAGCAUACUCAUUCUAUAUUUCUAUUUCAGAAAGGAGGAUCUUAUAGUAAAAGGCUCCUUGUGGAAUAAAAAAAGAUAUAUUUUUUUAUUCAAUUUAUGAGAUAUUCUAAUUUUUUAGCUUUUUAUUUACUAUGUAUCUAGAUAUAAAUAGAUAUCUUAUCAAAACAUUUAUAUAAACUAAAACAUUAGAAUAAUAUCUUACAAAUUUAAAAGGAGAAAGUACCUAACUAACGUAAAUAUAAUGGAUGUUUUUGUAUGACUUAUUGACAUGUAUAGUAUGUGUUUACAUGCAUGGAUGGUUAUUAGAUUGUGAGCGAGGGAUCGGAUUUGGAUACGAUGUCGGCACCGAUAGUUGAACGGGAGGCUGCCGAGCGGCCAGCAGGGCUCUGAUCCGAUCCACGCCUAAGGCUAACCGCACUCAUACAACUCUAAAUUUUUACUCUAAAAGGAAUAUUCUAUCCUGGUCAGCGAGAUUCUCUACUCUAUCUUACAAUCUUCCGCAGUCAUAUUUACUCUAUAUCUCAACUCUAUACCUACUACCAUAUAUUAUAUUAAUUUUUUACAAUUAUUAUCUAUUCCCACACACAACUACCUCCUCACGUGUGCUGCCGCAUGUGCUGCCGCGUGGACAUAGAGUAAAGAGGUACGCACUCUAUCCUUAGCGUUUUCCUUGGCCGUCCUAUUUUACCGUAGCCUUUAGCGCUUUCCGCUGCACCGCUUUUCCUACUGCAAGCUUGACUCCAACUGUGUAGAGUAUUGCAUAGAGUUUGUGACUGCGGACAGCCUAAGCACCGCUGGUAGCCUAGAGUAGGGACGAUAAUAGGGAAUUUUUUUUAUUGAGGACCUAUUCAGGACCUAUUUAUAUCCGUUUCUGCUAUAAAAAAAUCAUCACGAAGAUCUCCACGAGCAUUUGUGGGAAUAUUUUUCGUAUUCUCGUUUUCCACAUAGAUAAAUUCUGGAUAGAGAUCCCGUAUCCGCUUAAAUUAUAAUUAGGACAUACAUCUUUUGUUAUUAAUAUAAAAUAUUAUCACUUGACGCAGAUUGCAUCCUCAUCGGGGUUCGCGCGAGGGAGAUGAGACGCAAAGGAAAAAAGAAAAAAUGGCGCCCGGUCCCCUGGGCCGCUUCUUCUUCCUCUGGCGUUCUCCUUUCUCCGUCGCACGGCUUGCAGCGGUGCGGGACUCGGUCUCCUGUUGUUGGGCCGUCUUCCUCGUGCCGUUCCCUGGCCCAGGGAUACAGUACCCCGACGCCGUCAGCGGAGCGGCCCCUAAAGGCGCGUUUUCCUUGGAUCGGGUGGAGUCCAGGGGUGUCGCUGGUCUCUUCGCGUCUGCUUCCCCUCUCGGGUGAGUCGCCUCGUCUGUUGUCUUCUCCGCCCGCAAAACCCUCUCCCUCGCUAGGGUUUCCUCUGGAUUUUGUUGGUGCGCAUUCUUUUCCUCACUGUGCCGCCUUCCUCUCGCACCUCUGGUCUCUCCCGUCUUCGGUGAGGUCUAGUUUUGGUGGGGGUUGGUGCGUUUCGUCUUUUCGUCCUCCGGUGGUUGAGGAGGAGUGGCCGCGUCUGGGUUCUGGUGUUCUUCGUUGCCCUGCGAAAAUCGCUGCUAUGGAUCCGAAAGGAGAGAACCCCCAGAACUCCCAAUGGGAUCGUUGGGGUCCGUCGGAGAAGCCGCAAGGUUCUCAUCCUUGGAACAGACCAAGAAACCUUAGCUGGAAGCUUAAGCCUAAUAUCGGCAAAUCUGAGCAGCAGAAAGGUGUCCUGUCUCCUCAUCCUGGUGAGGGAAAUCAAACAGGUAACCCUUCUGUCUCUCCUGUUCCUUUGAAGAAAGAUCUCGAUCUUGUUCGCCCUGCGUUCUGUCAAAAAUGUGGUGUUAAAGGACAUCAUGCCAGAAAUUGUUUUAACGCUUUGUGGUGUGAUAUUUGCCGCAAGGAGACACAUGUCACUUCGCGUUGUGUUCUUCCUAAGCAAAACAAACCCACCAUGCCCAUUGUUGGUUUGGCUGCUGAUGGUUUAGGGUUUUAUCUGUCUCACUUCGCUAAACCUUUGAUCAAAAAGCCAAAAAGGGUUUUCAUCGGUCUGGUUAAAGUGGUUGAGGGACUUGUCUCUGCUGAAGAUCUUGAGAGAUAUUUCGGGUUUCACUUCCCUUGGAACAAAAGGUGGAAAGCUACCAAAUGCCAUUCAGGAUUUCUGAUGCAGUUUCCCUCCCAAGAACGUCUUGAUGAAAUGAUAAGCUUCCCGGAGCUGAAAAUGAAGAUGUCUGGGGCCAAGAUCGCUGUUGUGCCUUGGAGUUCUAGGGCCAAACCUAAAUCUAGACUCCAUACUGUGUGGGUUAUUGCUGAAAAUGUCCCUGAGGAAUUGCAGAAUUACCAAUCUAUCUGUGAAAUUGGUUCAAUGAUAGGCGCUGUGGAGGAGGUUGACCUUAUGUCUCUGGAUUCUGAUGAUAUAGUGAGAUUUAAAAUCCACAUUAAAAGUGUGGCUAUGAUCCCUCCUGUGGUGGAAGUGGCUGUCAAGCCUUUUCUUUAUGAUAUCUUCUUUAGAAUUGAGUCUAUUUGUGAUGAAGGAUGGAAUGAUGAUUCUGUGAAUUUGGGUAAGAGAGCCUCGGUUCAAAUUCAUGGAUCUAAUGAUCCGCUUUUUGAUAAAUCUGGGAAAAAACCCAAGAAUCUGGAUGAUGAUGUCCCUGAAGAGGAGCCUAAUCCUAUUCUCAAAAUUGGGGAGUCUUCUUCUCAAGGCAAAGAGUUUGCCAAACUGUCUGACCCUAAUCUUGUGCCUUCUAAAGAUGUGUCUGAUGAUGAACAGAAACUCGAUAACCUUUCUGAUGAGAAGGUGGAUUUUGAUCCAAAUGAAGAUGAUCUGCUUAGCUCGCAAGAAUUGGAAGAAUUCGCUAAGGAUAUGGAGGAAGAUCCAACUGAUUUUCAGUCAAAAAUUGGUGCUAUGAUCUCGAUUCCCCCCAAUGAUGAGAUGGUUAUUGAAGGGAAGAACAAAAAGCCUCUGGACUUGCCUACCAACACGGCUGAAGGCGUCAGGAAAAGCUCUAGGUUGGAGAAGAAUGAUGAGGUGAAGGUGGUUGAUAAAACGAUAUACAGAGCAGAAGCCAAGGAUGCUUUCCUCAAUAAAGGUAUGAGUUCUAAUUCCUUUUCUUUGCUUGAUUCUAAUUAUGAUGAUUUGAUAGAUUUAGCUUGUAAACUUGGAGUUUCUUUGGGCCCCUCUGACUCCGAUGUGAUUGAUAAUUUGGAGUUGAUCAAAGAUCUGGAACGUUCCAGAAAAAUUUUGGCCUUCCAAGCUUGCAAAAAUAGUAUGACCCCAAAUGUGGAGGUCCCUUCCCUUGUUGAUCACAUAAACAUGGAUAGUAGUGUCCAUGAUGAUUCUGACCUGAAUAUUGAUCAGGACUUACUUGAUGUGAUGGUUUUACGAAAAGGUAGGAAAAUUAAGCAUCGGAAAAAAACGAUUAAAAAAAGGCUUCCCCUAAAAGUAGAGGUCCAUCUACGAAAAAGGGGAGUCUAUCUGUUCUUACCUCCCUCCUGAUCCGUUUUAAAUCAUGAGAGGCCUUAUUUGGAAUUGUCAGGGUUUGGGUCGUGAUUCUAAGUUUGAUUUCCUGAGGGAAAUCAUUAAGGAAGAAAAAAUUGAUUUCAUUGGUUUACAAGAAACUAAAAAAGAUCAUUUUAAUGAUUCUCUUCUGUCCUCGCUUGCGGGUAGCAAGCUUUUUGCCUGGUUCUCCUCUCCUCCCAAUGGGAGAUCGGGAGGUCUUUUAGUGGGUUUUAAUUCUGAGGUGUUUGAUGUUAGAGAAUUUGAUGCGGGUGAAUUCUUAACUCGCUCCCUUGUCCUCCACAGAGAAAAAAAAUUUAUCUGGAAUUUCGUUAACGUUUAUGGGGCUGCCCAAAAUGAGCACAAAUCUCGCUUUCUCAGUGAAUUGUCUGCUGUUUGCUCGAGAAGCCAGGUCCCCAUGCUUAUUGGUGGUGAUUUCAAUAUUCUCAGGAAAGCUGAGGAAAAAAUAAACCUGGUACCCUCAGCAAAUGGAGUUUUCUGUUCAAUAGCAUUAUAGAUCAUCAUGGUCUAGUUGAAUUUGAUCUGAAAAAUAGACUAUACACGUGGUCUAACAAUCGUAAUGAUCCUACUUUUGAAAAACUUGAUAGAUUUUUGGCCAGUCCUGACUGGGAUCUUGCUUAUAAUAAUAUUAGUGUUAUCGGGUUAAAUAGAUCCUUUUCGGAUCAUGUUCCCCUUUGCCUUCACACUGAUUCCCUGCCCAUGGUGCGUAAGGAUUUUCGUUAUGAGCUGUGUUGGAAGAUUAGGCCUGAUUUUCACAAAUUAGUGGAAAAUGUUUGGACUCUUCCGGUUGGUGUGUCCAACAGUCUUGAUGUUUGGAAAAUAAAAUUGAAACGUUUGCGUCAGAAGCUUAAAGGUUGGAACAGUAAUGUGGUAGGUCACUACAAAAAGUUGAAGAAAAACUUGAUUGAAAAAAUUGAUAUUCUGGAUAAGGCCAGUGAGUCGUCUGGCCUUUCGGAGGCUGACAGAUAUAUGAAAUUAGAUUUGGAGUCUAAUCUCAGGAAGAUUGUGGAUGAGGAAAACAUUAGCCUUAGACAAAAAGCUAGGGAUAAAUUCUUAUUAGAGGGUGAUGAGAAUUCCAAGUAUUUUCAUUUGAUGGCUAGACACAAAAAAAGGAAGUUGAAAAUCUUGACUCUUUCUCACGGUGAUAUUGUGGCUCAUGAUGACCAUGGCAUUAAUCAACUGGCGACUUCCUUUUACAAAAAUCUCUUUGGUCCUUCCCGUGAUUCGAAUAUUUCUCUGAAUAACCUGGACAUGAAACAGCUGGGGGAGGGUGAUAGAAUUCUGCUCACCAACCCCUUUUCUUUGGAAGAGAUCAAGGAUGUGGUGUUUGCUUUGAAACACAAUAGUGCUCCGGGCCCCGAUGGCUUCCCUUCUGAAUUUUUUCAGGAAAUUUGGGAUGUGAUCAAAAGUGAUCUGUUCAAUCUCUUUAAAGAUUUUCAUGAUGGCUCUCUCAACAUUGAAAGACUUAAUUUUGGUAUUGUCACUCUUAUUCCUAAGGUCCCUGAUGCGACUGAUAUUAAAGCUUUUCGCCCAAUUUGCUUGCUUAAUGUUUGCUACAAAAUCAUUACCAAAGUUCUUACUAACAGAUUGGCUCGUUGCAUUACUUCUGUGAUUAGUGACCUUCAAUAUGGGUUUAUAAAAGGAAGAUAUAUUAUGGAUGGUGUUCUUUCUUUGCAUGAGAUUAUUCAUGAAGUUAAACGGAAGAAACAGAAUGGGGUUAUUUUCAAAGUCGAUUUUGAAAAAGCCUAUGACAAGGUUAAUUGGAAUUUUCUUCAUAAAAUGAUGAUAAAAAAAGGGUUUGGAGAUUUAUGGAGUGAUUGGGUUUUGAAGACUGUGAAAGGUGGCAAAGUUGCUAUCCGAACUAAUGAUGUGGUUGGGCCCUACUUUAAAACUCAUAAAGGUGUUCGCCAAGGUGAUCCUUUCUCCCCUCUCCUUUUUAAUGUGGCUGCUGAUGGUCUUGCUUGUCUGAUCCAAAAAGCCAAGGAUGAAGGUGUUAUCAAAGGCCUUAUUCCUCAUAUUGUCACUGGUGGCUGCUGUUGUCUUCAAUAUGCAGAUGACACCAUUUUUCUGUUUCAGGAUGAUUUGGAAAAUGCUAGAAAUUUGAAGUUUAUUCUUUGCAUCUUUGAACAGAUUUCUGGCUUAAAAAUUAAUUUUCAUAAAAGUGAAAUUAUUUGCCUGGGAAAUGCCUGCAAUAGAGAACAUCUAUAUGCUGAUAUCUUCACUUGUCCUCCCAGUGGUCUUCCUAUGAAAUACUUAGGGGUUCCUAUUGAUAACAAAAAAUUGUGCAAAUCUUUGUGGGAUCCCAUUGUUGGAAAGGUUGAGAAUAAAUUGGGCUCCUGGCAAGGUCGGUUCCUUAGUUUGGGUGGCCGGUUAGUCUUGCUUAACAGCAGUCUCACCAACGUUCCCUUGUAUAUGCUUUCUCUAUAUAAAUGCCCCAAAGCUGUGUUAAAAAAAAUAGUUAUCUUCAGGAAAAGAUUAUUAUGGCAGGGAGGGCAUGAUCAGAAAAAAUUUCAUUUGGCUGCUUGGAACUUAGUCUGCUCCCCUAAAAAUAUGGGCGGUCUUGGUGUUUUGGAUUUGCAAAAAAUGAAUGAAGCUUUGUUGGCUAAAUGGAUUUGGAGACUAGAAAAUACUAGUGGUUUGUGGCAAUCCAUUAUAAAAAGCAAAUACAUUAUGAAUAAACCUAUUAUUUCGGUGAAGGAUAGACCUUCAGAUUCUCAUUUCUGGAAAGGUAUUCUCUCGGUUCGAGACAAAUAUUAUAAAUACUGUAAAAUAAAGAUUGGUGAUGGUAAGAGUUCCAGUUUUUGGAAAAAUAUUUGGUGUGGCAAUAUGACGCUGGCUGACAAAUACCCUAAUUUGUUUGAGGUGGCUUAUGACAAAGAUAUCACUGUUCAUAAGGUUGUCUCCUCUAAUUUUCAGUUGCUGACUUUCAGAAGAAGACUUAUUGGUACUUUAGGUGAGGCCUAUAGUGACCUUAUGGAUCAGUGUAGCCAGGCCUCGCUUUCUGGAAAUGCUGAUUCUUCAAAUUGGUUGUUGGGUUGCAAAGGUUAUUCGGUAAAAUCUUUUUACAAAAUGUUAAAUAAUUCCAGAAUUGUGGUUCCUGUGAAUUUUAUGUGGAAAACCAGACUUCCGCAAAAAAAUAAAGUGUUCUUAUGGUUGGUCAGAAAUAAUAAGAUUUUGACCAAAGACAAUUUGGUAAAAAGGCACUGGCAUGGGAAUACGGCCUGUAACUUUUGUGGAUUAUUAGAAUCCAUAGAUCACCUAUUUUUUCAUUGUCCUGUGGCCAGAUUCAUUUGGAGAAUCAUCCAAAUUGCUUUCAAAUUGUCUUCUACCCCAAAAAACUCAGCUGACCUCUUUGGUCCCUGGAUUGACAGUUUUCAUAAUCCUGAAAAGAAGCUGAUUCUUUUUGGAUGUGGUGCUGUUAUUUGGGCUAUUUGGCGUACUCGUAAUGAUUGCUGCUUCAAUGCUAGGCUGAUUGAUGAUCCAUCUAAUGUGAUUUUCUCCUGCUGUUAUUGGAUUGAUGCUUGGUCUAUUCGACAGACAAAGAAGGGAAAAAGACUGGUGGAACAAGGAAGCCGCAGAAUUCGAAAGAUAACAAGUGAUAUCUACAGCAAGGCCCAUGGUUGGAAGCCGGUUGACAGGCGUCUCCAGUGACAUUUUGCUGCUGCUCAUGCAUCUUUUGCUUCUGGAUGUAUACAGCGUGUCUGCUUUUGGUAGAUAAAAACUAGCGUUCUUGUCAUUCCUGGUGAUGUGAUGUUCCCGGCUGCUUUUGGGGCAUAUCCUUUGUAGAUAUUCAGUGUUAUCUGUUAGACUGUCGGUCUUUUGUUGGUUGACCGUAUUCCUUCUGCUGGGUUUAAUGCUUUGUGUAGCUGAUAUUGUGGUAGGCUUAUCGGCUUGUGUCUGUUGGUUUGUCGUGAUUCCUGUAAGAACUAUGUUUGGUUUCUAUUUCUUAAUGAAAUAGGGGGUAUCCCAUUGUCAAAAAAAUAAAAUAUUAUCACUUAUACAUAUUGUCAGAUGUAAAAAUUUAUUAUGUACCUUAAAAUGAACACUUUUGUACAAUGAGGGAUCUCUUGACAAAAUAAUUAUUUAUUUUUAUUAUUAACUAUUACAUGAAAAAUCGACACGUGCAAAGUUAACGGGUCUACGCGGGGAAUAGUGAUACAAAAUGCUUUUGCAUCUCUAUCCCCGUGGCCAUUUACCCAUCGGAGAACAAUUUCCCUGUUUACAUCUCUGUGGGGAAGAAAUUUCUCCAUCCUCGUGCUCUAAGGGUUAUUUUAGGAAAUGCAUUUUUCCAAUUAAUUCCUAUUUUUAAGAAAAAAAUAAACUAUUUUUUCUUAGAAAAAUAAAAACACCUAAGGAAAAAUGAGGUUUGCAAUCUAACUCUAACGAAUGAAUUAUUCAUGUGAAAUCGGGGAUCAGAUGCCAUUGUCAUCACUGGGAGGGAGCCAACAGCUGUGAUCCCAACAUUUAUUCAUAUAGUUUUUUUUUGAAGAAUCAACAUUUAUUCAUAUAGUUGAACGGGAGGCUGCCGAGCGGCCAAAAGGGCUCUGAUCCGAUCGACGCCUAAGCACCGCUGGUAGCCUAUAGUAGGGACGAUAAUGAGGAAUUUCCGAUAAAAAAAUUCAUCACGAGAAUCUCCACGAACAUUUGUGGGAACAUUUUUCCUAUUCUCGUUUUCCCACGGAGAUAAAUUCUCAAUAGAGAUCUCAUCUCCACUUAAAUUAUAAUUAGAACGUACAUCCUUUAUUAUUAAUAUAAAAUAUUGUCAUCUAUAUUUAUUGUCAGAUGUAAAAAAUUCUUAUGUGUACAUUAAAAUGAACACAUUUAUACAAUAAAUAAUCUAUUGACAAGGUAAUUAUUUAUUUUUAUCAAUAACUAUUACAUGAAAAAUCGACAUGUGCAAAGUUAAUGGGUCUCCGCGAUGAAUAGGGAUAGGGAAUGCUUCUCUGUCCCUGUCCCCGUCCCCGUUUAACCAUCAAGGAACAAUUUUCCCCGUUUACGUCCCCGUGAGAGAAAACUUCCUCAUCCUCAUGCUCUAAGGGCUAUUUUGGGAAUUCUAUUUUUCUAAUGAAUUUCUAUUUUUCUAAGGGAAAAUGAACUAAUUUCCUUAGUUAAAUAAAAACACCUUAGGAAAAAUGAGGUUCCCAAUCUAACUCUAAGGGCUAGUUUGGCAGCUCCAUUUUCCUAAAGGAUUCCUAUUUUCCCAAAGAAAAAUAAACUAAUUUUCCAAGAAAAAAAAUGAAAAUUCCUUGAAAUAAUGAGGUUCCUAAAUUAGCCCUAACAGAUGAAUUAUUUAUAAGAAAUCAGGGAUCGGAUGCCAUUGUCAUCAUUGGGAGAGAGCCAAGGAGGGCGGUAGUGGGAAGCUAGUAUGCAAAUAAUGGAAAUCGCAGCCACAAGAGCUAUACUGAGGUGUGCUUGCAUUGGCUGGAGCCUGCAUGGCCAAGCAUUAAAGAUAUGAAAGCUCGGAUGAUUGUCACUAGUGUUUGACGCGCGCCCUGCGCGCGCUGUUUUGUUAAUGGUAUCAGAAUGAAUAUAUAAAAACAAGGAUGGUAUAGAUUACACAACGAUGAUAUCUAAGACAAUUAGAAUGAUCAGCAUUUAGCAGUAUACAUUAAAACCAUCAACUCAAAUUUUGCUCGAUGUAUUGUCAUCCAGAAUAUAAUUUUCACUUUUGUCAUGUCUAAGAAGUAAUCUGCUGACGUUCAGGUAAUUUUACAAACCUGUUUCAAUAUAAUUUUGACUCUUUAGGUGCGCAUGUAGUAGAAUUGGUGUCCUCCAUAUUGAAAACUGAACACAUGGAGAAGAGGACAACAUAUCGAUUAAGAUACUUGCAGCUCUCUUUGAAUGAAAACAAUAAGACAUAAUCAAUGGGCAGAAAGGGAUGACAUUUAAGAAUACAAUUAUCAGUUGCAAGUUGCAACAUCUGGUGACCUAGUACCCUAUAACAAAACAUACCCUAGAAAAAAUAAACCAUCAUGGCUACAAAAGAUUAGGAUCUACAAUAAGAGGGAAAAUAAAAGAGGGAAAACUGGACGAACCACCAUUCAAAGUUCACCAGAAAUUAUAAAAAUAAAAGAAACUAUUAUCUAACAUCAUGGCUACAAAAGAUUAGGAUCCGCAAAAAAAUAGGGGAAAAUUUGGAUGGUCUACCAUUCAAAGUCCACCAGAAAUACUUAAAAUAAAAGAAACUAUUACCUACCAGCAUUAUCUUCUUAGCUAUAUCAGCAAAUUUGAGGGAGAUCCUUGUAUCAAAUACUGAAAUUACUGCUGUAAUAUGACGCGCCCGUUUUCCAAUUUGAUGCUUGUUGAACAGAGUGAGUGCUUUCACAAAAUGCUAGAUGGAUAUUUUGAAGCGACAGUUACUUCAAGGUUGGACUCAAAACCACUAAUGACACAUGAAGACAACCAAUUCUUAAAAGCAGAGAAUGGGCUCAGUAUUCCAUAAAAAUAUUGUGGUCAUCUUAAGGUACUUAAAUAGAGCAGCACGUGCAGGAUAUAGUGCUUGAAAGUCCGAGGAGCAAGAUUCGGUUCGCCUGGCGACAAAGGAACCAAAACUAAUCCGUCCAAUCAAAGGCCGACCAGGAAUGACUUACCAAUAGAGGGAGAAACAAAUCCACCGACUCUCGGGUGGAUCUCUUUGCAUUCCACUGGGCGGGCGGAGGAGGAACGCUGCCGAGGGCAGGGUGGUGCAGGAGCAUGGAGAAUCCGGCACUGAGUGUUUGGAGCGAGUGUCAUGAUGAUGAGUGGAGAUCCCCCUCUCGCUCCCGGCUCCUCCCCUAGGAGAGCGAGGUCAGAGAGAGCACAAUCAGCAGUACCGACCAUGGGAGGUAGAGCACGUCGAGGAGGGGAAAGACACCGAGGCAAGGAGCGGGGUGGGGGUGGGACUGCUGCUGGUGGUCGCCAUCGGCGAUUUAGAUGGAUCUAGGAGAGGGGCAUACCAGUUUGAAGUUGCACAUCAUCAAAAAAUGAACCAGGUAGCCCCUGUAUCUGUUACACAUGAAAAUACACCACUGCAUCAAGUGGUACUAAACAUGCAAACAAACAAAUAACUCUUGUAUUGUAUUUCUACUAAACAUGCAUCAUCAAAUGGUACUAAACUGUAUCAAAUGGUAUUAAACAUGCAUCGUCACGACUUGCAGAUGUCGCAGCCGCAAGCAUUAGAAUUGUAGCCUAUGAAUUAUUUACGCCCAAAUUGAGAGAAUAAACAAAUCUAAUAGUUACAACAUCUGUCAUACCUGAGUAUCCAUCAAAUGGAAUCUUAUGAUUCCUGUCAUGCCAAAAUCAUACUGCAUCUUGCUUGUAGCAGUUUCUUUUGCUUUUUCGUCCUGGGAAGAAAUCAGCCUGGCAUUGAUAUAAAAACUUGGAUCAACUGUAAACAAAAACAAAUAUUAGUUCCAGGAGGUGUACUUUCAAUAAUUUGCAGUUUUUUUGUUUUUUUAACUAACUAUUGCUUAUCCUCGGGUCUUGUCUGUUUUUCUUACCACUUCAGGAUUCACACAGCUAACAGCAUGUCCAAAUGAAACCUGAUAAGCAGGCAUCCAAAUUCAGUUGUUGGCAGUACAUUAGCUUUCCUCUUAAAUUCGUUUUUCCUGUUCCAGGGCAAAACCAGCGCGUAACUAUCGUCUAUGAUUGAACUAUAAAUAGAGCGGACAAUAGUCAUAAAUUAACAAAAAACAAAUGCAAAAGGAGAAACGACUAUCUUCUUCUGUAACAAAUGCGACAGUACUUGCCUCUUUUGUAACAAAUGCAAUGAAGAUGGUUGACAUAGUAUAAAUUUGAUUGUAAAUAUUUGGAUAGAGUUAGAGUUGGAAUAUAUUGGAGAGGGUCCUGUUAAAAUGCAAUGUCUAUGGGACAUAAUAAAAUAGAACCUAAAUAUAGUUGAAGGUGCGUGCAACAUGAUCUUUGUGCUUAUUUAAGAAUGUUGGGGCUAUGAGGAAUGCAGGAAAGAAAAAAUGUAUUAACUUGCAAUGAGAUAUUACUGGCAGUUUAGGAGCUGCUUACUGAAGUAUACAGAAAGCAUAACGAUGGUGAAGAUUUUGGAAGUUGUUAAAGCGUGAGCCAUCUUCAUCCCAUAGACGCUUCAUUUUCUAAGCCUCCCCUUUUCCAACUCAUACUGAUCUCUCUCUCUGUCUCUCAUAUAUUGUUCUUCCUUUCUGAAAUACAACCAUAGAAAGCGGAUUACCAUCGUCCAGAACACCACAUUCUGUUGGGGCAUAACAUCGAGCGUCUUUCGCACGUCGGUGAUGCGUUCGAACUGGCGCAGCAUGACCAUGAACUCGAUGUCAUCGUCUUCGUCGGCGAAGAACCUGAGGAGGGGAGACAUCCUAUGGUGGAUGUGGAAGCAGCGGACGAAGGCAACUGGGGUUGGAACUGAGGUGCGCCAGGGCUUGCGGAUGAGGGAGGAGCGGGGCAGCGAUGAGGGGGCGCGGGAGCCACUGCGGUGCAGGGGCGACGGGGAUGGAAAGGAGGCGACAUGGGAGAGCAUGGGGAGAGGCGACGAGGGUGUUCACGCGGGUGUGGUGUCGAGGGAGAGGAACUUCGGGAGGGGGAGGAAGCGUCUGGAAGUCUCCGGCAAUGUGGAGACUGGAGAUGCAGAGAAUGUGUUUAUUUGUGUGGAGGCAAGUGGGAGGAGUAGGACUGAUUGCGUCCACUGGAUCUGAAUCUUACGGUUGAUAUUAAUUUGAUGACGUGGAUAGUGUGAGAAGCGCCGUUUUCGUUCUGCUUUCAUAAUAUAGAAAAGGUGCGCAUGUAGUAGAAUUGGUGUCCUCCAUAUUGAAAACUGAACACAUGGAGAAGAGGACAACAUAUCGAUUAAGAUACUUGCAGCUCUCUUUGAAUGAAAACAAUAAGACAUAAUCAAUGGGCAGAAAGGGAUGACAUUUAAGAAUACAAUUAUCAGUUGCAAGUUGCAACAUCUGGUGACCUAGUACCCUAUAACAAAACAUACCCUAGAAAAAAUAAAUCAUCAUGGCUACAAAAGAUUAGGAUCUACAAUAAGAGGGAAAAUAAAAGAGGGAAAACUGGACGAACCACCAUUCAAAGUUCACCAGAAAUUAUAAAAAUAAAAGAAACUAUUAUCUAACAUCAUGGCUACAAAAGAUUAGGAUCCGCAAAAAAAUAGGGGAAAAUUUGGAUGGUCUACCAUUCAAAGUCCACCAGAAAUACUUAAAAUAAAAGAAACUAUUACCUACCAGCAUUAUCUUCUUAGCUAUAUCAGCAAAUUUGAGGGAGAUCCUUGUAUCAAAUACUGAAAUUACUGCUGUAAUAUGACGCGCCAGUUUUCCAAUUUGAUGCUUGUUGAACAGAGUGAGUGCUUUCACAAAAUGCUAGAUGGAUAUUUUGAAGCGACAAUUACUUCAAGGUUGGACUCAAAACCACUAAUGACACAUGAAGACAACCAAUUCUUAAAAGCAGAGAAUGGGCUCAGUAUUCCAUAAAAAUAUUGUGGUCAUCUUAAGGUACUUAAAUAGAGCAGCACGUGUAGGAUAUAGUGCUUGAAAGUCCGAGGAGCAAGAUUCGGUUCGCCUGGCGACAAAGGAACCAAAACUAAUCCGUCCAAUCAAAGGCCGACCAGGAAUGACUUACCAAUAGAGGGAGAAACAAAUCCACCGACUCUCGGGUGGAUCUCUUUGCAUUCCACUGGGCGGGCGGAGGAGGAACGCUGCCGAGGGCAGGGUGGUGCAGGAGCACGGAGAAUCCGGCACUGAGUGUUUGGAGCGAGUGUCAUGAUGAUGAGUGGAGAUCCCCCUCUCGCUCCCGGCUCCUCCCCUAGGAGAGCGAGGUCAGAGAGAGCACAAUCAGCAGUACCGACCAUGGGAGGUAGAGCACGUCGAGGAGGGGAAAGACAUCGAGGCGAGGAGCGGGGUGGGGGUGGGACUGCUGCUGGUGGUCGCCAUCGGCGAUUUAGAUGGAUCUAGGAGAGGGGCAUACCAGUUUGAAGUUGCACAUCAUCAAAAAAAUGAACCAGGUAGCCCCUGUAUCUGUUACACAUGAAAAUACACCACUUCGUCAAGUGGUACUAAACAUGCAAACAAACAAAUAACUCUUGUAUUGUAUUUCUACUAAACAUGCAUCAUCAAAUGGUACUAAACUGUAUCAAAUGGUAUUAAACAUGCAUCGUCACGACUUGCAGAUGUCGCAGCCGCAGGCAUUAGAAUUGUAGCCUAUGAAUUAUUUACGCCUAAAUUGAGAGAAUAAACAAAUCUAAUAGUUACAACAUCUGUCAUACCUGAGUAUCCAUCAAAUGGAAUCUUAUGAUUCCUGUCAUGCCAAAAUCAUACUGCAUCUUUCUUGUAGCAGUUUCUUUUGCUUUUUCGUCCUGGGAAGAAAUCAGCCUGGCAUUGAUAUAGAAACUUGGAUCAACUGUAAACAAAAACAAAUAUUAGUUCAAGGAGGUGUACUUUCAAUAAUUUGCAGUUUUUUUUGUUUUUUUAACUAACUAUUGCUUAUCCUCGGGUCUUGUCUGUUUUUCUUACCACUUCAGGAUUCACACAGCUAACAGCAUGUCCAAAUGAAACCUGAUAAGCAGGCAUCCAAAUUCAGUUGUUGGCAGUACAUUAGCUUUCCUCUUAAAUUCGUUUUUCCUGUUCCAGGGCAAAACCAGCGCGUAACUAUCGUCUAUGAUUGAACUAUAAAUAGAGCGGACAAUAGUCAUAAAUUAACAAAAAACAAAUGCAAAAGGGGAAACGACUAUCUUCUUCUGUAACAAAUGCGAAAGUACUUGCCUCUUUUGUAACAAAUGCAAUGAAGAUGGUUGACAUAGUAUAAAUUUGAUUGUAAAUAUUUGGAUAGAGUUAGAGUUGGAAUAUAUUGGAGAGGGUCCUGUUAAAAUGCAAUGUCUAUGGGACAUAAUAAAAUAGAACCUAAAUAUAGUUGAAGGUGCAUGCAACAUGAUCUUUGUGCUUAUUUAAGAAUGUUGGGGCUAUGACGAAUGCAGGAAAGAAAAAAUGUAUUAACUUGCAAUGAGAUAUUACUGGCAGUUUAGGAGCUGCUUACUGAAGUAUACAGAAAGCAUAACGAUGGUGAAGAUUUUGGAAGUUGUUAAAGCGUGAGCCAUCUUCAUCCCAUAGACGCUUCAUUUUCUAAGCCUCCCCUUUUCCAACUCAUACUGAUCUCUCUCUCUGUCUCUCAUAUAUUGUUCUUCCUUUCUGAAAUACAACCAUAGAAAGCGGAUUACCAUCGUCCAGAACACCACAUUCUGUUGGGGCAUAACAUCGAGCGUCUUUCGCACGUCGGUGAUGCGUUCGAACUGGCGCAGCAUGACCAUGAACUCGAUGUCGUCGUCUUCGUCGGCGAAGAACCUGAGGAGGGGAGACAUCCUAUGGUGGAUGUGGAAGCAGCGGACGAAGGCAACUGGGGUUGGAACUGAGGUGCGCCAGGGCUUGCGGAUGAGGGAGGAGCGGGGCAGCGAUGAGGGGGGCGCGGGAGCCACUGCGGUGCAGGGGCGACGGGGAUGGAAAGGAGGCGACAUGGGAGAGCAUGGGGAGAGGCGACGAGGGUGUUCACGCGGGUGUGGUGUCGAGGGAGAGGAAUUUCGGGAGGGGGAGGAAGCGUCUGGAAGUCUCCGGCAAUGUGGAGACUGGAGAUGCAGAGAAUGUGUUUAUUUGUGUGGAGGCAAGUGGGAGGAGUAGGACGGAUUGCGUCCACUGGAUCUGAAUCUUACGGUUGAUAUUAAUUUGAUGACGUGGAUAGUGUGAGAAGCGCCGUUUUCGUUCUGCUUUCAUAAUUAGAGUUGGAAUAUAUUGGAGAGGGUCCUGUUAAAAUGCAAUGUCUAUGGGACAUAAUAAAAUAGAACCUAAAUAUAGUUGAAGGUGCGUGCAACAUGAUCUUUGUGCUUAUUUAAGAAUGUUGGGGCUAUGAGGAAUGCAGGAAAGAAAAAUGUAUUAACUUGCAAUGAGAUAUUACUGGCAGUUUAGGAGCUGCUUACUGAAGUAUACAGAAAGCAUAACGAUGGUGAAGAUUUUGGAAGUUGUUAAAGCGUGAGCCAUCUUCAUCCCAUAGACGCUUCAUUUUCUAAGCCUCCCCUUUUCCAACUCAUACUGAUCUCUCUCUCUGUCUCUCAUAUAUUGUUCUUCCUUUCUGAAAUACAACCAUAGAAAGCGGAUUACCAUCGUCCAGAACACCACAUUCUGUUGGGGCAUAACAUCGAGCGUCUUUCGCACGUCGGUGAUGCGUUCGAACUGGCGCAGCAUGACCAUGAACUCGAUGUCGUCGUCUUCGUCGGCGAAGAACCUGAGGAGGGGAGACAUCCUAUGGUGGAUGUGGAAGCAGCGGACGAAGGCAACUGGGGUUGGAACUGAGGUGCGCCAGGGCUUGCGGAUGAGGGAGGAGCGGGGCAGCGAUGAGGGGGGCGCGGGAGCCACUGCGGUGCAGGGGCGAUGGGGAUGGAAAGGAGGCGACAUGGGAGAGCAUGGGGAGAGGCGACGAGGGUGUUCACGCGGGUGUGGUGUCGAGGGAGAGGAAUUUCGGGAGGGGGAGGAAGCGUCUGGAAGUCUCCGGCAAUGUGGAGACUGGAGAUGCAGAGAAUGUGUUUAUUUGUGUGGAGGCAAGUGGGAGGAGUAGGACGGAUUGCGUCCACUGGAUCUGAAUCUUACGGUUGAUAUUAAUUUGAUGACGUGGAUAGUGUGAGAAGCGCCGUUUUCGUUCUGCUUUCAUAAUAUAGAAAAGGUGCGCAUGUAGUAGAAUUGGUGUCCUCCAUAUUGAAAACUGAACACAUGGAGAAGAGGACAACAUAUCGAUUAAGAUACUUGCAGCUCUCUUUGAAUGAAAACAAUAAGACAUAAUCAAUGGGCAGAAAGGGAUGACAUUUAAGAAUACAAUUAUCAGUUGCAAGUUGCAACAUCUGGUGACCUAGUACCCUAUAACAAAACAUACCCUAGAAAAAAUAAACCAUCAUGGCUACAAAAGAUUAGGAUCUACAAUAAGAGGGAAAAUAAAAGAGGGAAAACUGGACGAACCACCAUUCAAAGUUCACCAGAAAUUAUAAAAAUAAAAGAAACUAUUAUCUAACAUCAUGGCUACAAAAGAUUAGGAUCCGCAAAAAAAUAGGGGAAAAUUUGGAUGGUCUACCAUUCAAAGUCCACCAGAAAUACUUAAAAUAAAAGAAACUAUUACCUACCAGCAUUAUCUUCUUAGCUAUAUCAGCAAAUUUGAGGGAGAUCCUUGUAUCAAAUACUGAAAUUACUGCUGUAAUAUGACGCGCCAGUUUUCCAAUUUGAUGCUUGUUGAACAGAGUGAGUGCUUUCACAAAAUGCUAGAUGGAUAUUUUGAAGCGACAGUUACUUCAAGGUUGGACUCAAAACCACUAAUGACACAUGAAGACAACCAAUUCUUAAAAGCAGAGAAUGGGCUCAGUAUUCCAUAAAAAUAUUGUGGUCAUCUUAAGGUACUUAAAUAGAGCAGCACGUGUAGGAUAUAGUGCUUGAAAGUCCGAGGAGCAAGAUUCGGUUCGCCUGGCGACAAAGGAACCAAAACUAAUCCGUCCAAUCAAAGGCCGACCAGGAAUGACUUACCAAUAGAGGGAGAAACAAAUCCACCGACUCUCGGGUGGAUCUCUUUGCAUUCCACUGGGCGGGCGGAGGAGGAACGCUGCCGAGGGCAGGGUGGUGCAGGAGCACGGAGAAUCCGGCACUGAGUGUUUGGAGCGAGUGUCAUGAUGAUGAGUGGAGAUCCCCCUCUCGCUCCCGGCUCCUCCCCUAGGAGAGCGAGGUCAGAGAGAGCACAAUCAGCAGUACCGACCAUGGGAGGUAGAGCACGUCGAGGAGGGGAAAGACAUCGAGGCGAGGAGCGGGGUGGGGGUGGGACUGCUGCUGGUGGUCGCCAUCGGCGAUUUAGAUGGAUCUAGGAGAGGGGCAUACCAGUUUGAAGUUGCACAUCAUCAAAAAAAUGAACCAGGUAGCCCCUGUAUCUGUUACACAUGAAAAUACACCACUGCGUCAAGUGGUACUAAACAUGCAAACAAACAAAUAACUCUUGUAUUGUAUUUCUACUAAACAUGCAUCAUCAAAUGGUACUAAACUGUAUCAAAUGGUAUUAAACAUGCAUCGUCACGACUUGCAGAUGUCGCAGCCGCAGGCAUUAGAAUUGUAGCCUAUGAAUUAUUUACGCCUAAAUUGAGAGAAUAAACAAAUCUAAUAGUUACAACAUCUGUCAUACCUGAGUAUCCAUCAAAUGGAAUCUUAUGAUUCCUGUCAUGCCAAAAUCAUACUGCAUCUUUCUUGUAGCAGUUUCUUUUGCUUUUUCGUCCUGGGAAGAAAUCAGCCUGGCAUUGAUAUAGAAACUUGGAUCAACUGUAAACAAAAACAAAUAUUAGUUCAAGGAGGUGUACUUUCAAUAAUUUGCAGUUUUUUUUGUUUUUUUAACUAACUAUUGCUUAUCCUCGGGUCUUGUCUGUUUUUCUUACCACUUCAGGAUUCACACAGCUAACAGCAUGUCCAAAUGAAACCUGAUAAGCAGGCAUCCAAAUUCAGUUGUUGGCAGUACAUUAGCUUUCCUCUUAAAUUCGUUUUUCCUGUUCCAGGGCAAAACCAGCGCGUAACUAUCGUCUAUGAUUGAACUAUAAAUAGAGCGGACAAUAGUCAUAAAUUAACAAAAAACAAAUGCAAAAGGGGAAACGACUAUCUUCUUCUGUAACAAAUGCGACAGUACUUGCCUCUUUUGUGACAAAUGCAAUGAAGAUGGUUGACAUAGUAUAAAUUUGAUUGUAAAUAUUUGGAUAGAGUUAGAGUUGGAAUAUAUUGGAGAGGGUCCUGUUAAAAUGCAAUGUCUAUGGGACAUAAUAAAAUAGAACCUAAAUAUAGUUGAAGGUGCGUGCAACAUGAUCUUUGUGCUUAUUUAAGAAUGUUGGGGCUAUGAGGAAUGCAGGAAAGAAAAAAUGUAUUAACUUGCAAUGAGAUAUUACUGGCAGUUUAGGAGCUGCUUACUGAAGUAUACAGAAAGCAUAACGAUGGUGAAGAUUUUGGAAGUUGUUAAAGCGUGAGCCAUCUUCAUCCCAUAGACACUUCAUUUUCUAAGCCUCCCCUUUUCCAACUCAUACUGAUCUCUCUCUCUGUCUCUCAUAUAUUGUUCUUCCUUUCUGAAAUACAACCAUAGAAAGCGGAUUACCAUCGUCCAGAACACCACAUUCUGUUGGGGCAUAACAUCGAGCGUCUUUCGCACGUCGGUGAUGCGUUCGAACUGGCGCAUCAUGACCAUGAACUCGAUGUCGUCGUCUUCGUCGGCGAAGAACCUGAGGAGGGGAGACAUCCUAUGGUGGAUGUGGAAGCAGCGGACGAAGGCAACUGGGGUUGGAACUGAGGUGCGCCAGGGCUUGCGGAUGAGGGAGGAGCGGGGCAGCGAUGAGGGGGGCGCGGGAGCCACUGCGGUGCAGGGGCGACGGGGAUGGAAAGGAGGCGACAUGGGAGAGCAUGGGGAGAGGCGACGAGGGUGUUCACGCGGGUGUGGUGUCGAGGGAGAGGAAUUUCGGGAGGGGGAGGAAGCGUCUGGAAGUCUCCGGCAAUGUGGAGACUGGAGAUGCAGAGAAUGUGUUUAUUUGUGUGGAGGCAAGUGGGAGGAGUAGGACGGAUUGCGUCCACUGGAUCUGAAUCUUACGGUUGAUAUUAAUUUGAUGACGUGGAUAGUGUGAGAAGCGCCGUUUUCGUUCUGCUUUCAUAAUAUAGAAAAUAUAUUCCUAGCGGUCUCUAUUGUGCUCGGAUUCAAAAUCACUACAAUCCUGCCAAAUGAUCAAAAUGGCCCUAAACUCUUACCAUUAACACUUCAUUGUAAACCCUUAGACAAUCUCUUGCACUUGUUAGUGAAAUAAAUAACAAGUAGAUAUGUGCUAUCGAUGCAUAUGGAAAAGGAGUUACACACUUCUCUACUCUUAGAAGUCUUUCGCUCCAAAUCUCAGGACGAGAUUCUUUUAAGGGGGAGAGAUGUAACACCCUAGGUGUUUGUCUUAUGUUAAUCAACAAAUAUGGACCUAAUCUAUCGAGAUUAUUAAAAAGAUUCCUCAGACUUAGGAAUUUAAUAAUCUCAUAAGAUGAGAAGUUCUGUGUCGUUCGGAUCGAUCGAGUAAGCGAGUGUGAUUUUGAAAAACCUCUGUUGUUUGUAAUCCAGAUCGCACGCGUUACCGAGAAUUCGUGCACAAGGUUUUGAAUUGAAAUUUGUUUUCCAGCAAAUUAUCAAUGGUAAAGAAAUCGAGUGUUUGAAUAUCAGAUAAAGUUUUUCGGGUUGAAUCGAAUCAAACGUUGAUUAAAAUAUCAUAUUCGAAAUCUUUUUAAUCCAGCGUUUUGCUUCUCACCCAAAUCAUAAUUUGAGAGUGUUCUAGCCGGUCCAUUUCGACCUCUCAAACACUAGUCCCAAACCAAAAUGUGUGAUAAAUGUGUCUUUACUUUAUUUGAAAAUAGUGGGAAAAUCCUCUAUCUUUUUUCUCUCCACCACCUCUGGUGGUUUCCUGAAGCCGCUCAGCAGGUCUCCUGUCCUUAUCCAUACGUUGGACGCCUCUCUUCAUCUUCCUUAUCCCAACAUCCAUCAUUCACUCUCUCUUCCUCAUUUCCUCACCACCGUCUCUCCUCCUCAUAGCGCUUGGCCUCAUCAGCGCCUCUCCCCUCAAGCUCGGCACGGCGACUGCCAGCCACCAUCCCCAGCUCAUUCUUCCCCUCAUCCUUCUCACCCAUCACGCCUAGGUCCGGCGUGUUUCCAUGUGUUACCAACGACGGUUUGUGUGAAGGGGAAGGAAAGGUAGGGAAAGAGAGAAGGAGCAGGUAGGAUGGAGAGACGACGACUUAGGGUUUCUUUUAGGGAAUUCUUGUUCAAAGAUAGUUACACCAUGCCUGCAGCGCUACUUAAGUUCUCAGCUUCACCACACACAUCACACCUUAUAUCCUCCAUUAUGAGCCUGAGACACGGACAUUGGGCUUCCUGACGCGACUUGAGACCCUAGGGUCGUUGCGGCUGCUUGCUAGGCCUGCUAUCUGUCCAUGAACACCACCAACUUCUGAUGUCGCGAUGUCUCCCUCCUCACAUCCCUGGGCAGUGUCUGUAACAAUCCCCCGGCGAUGAGAGCUUGCUUGCCCCCAAGCAGGAGCAAAUGGAAACUUCUGGCGCAGUCUUCCCACGUAGCCAAUGAAGGAGGCAUGCCGGACCACUGGAUGAGCAAUUGAGACAACCCUGCAGAGUUCAGACGACAUUGUAAAAUUUUGUCAGGUACCUGCAACCCUUCCAGGGACUGAGGAAGUUGAGCAACAACAACAGUUGGAGAGAUAGCCUUCUUUAGCUGGGAAACAUGGAAAAUGGGAUGUAUUUUAGAUGAAGCCGGUAAAUCCAAUUUGUAAGCAACCGAUCCCACUCUGUUGAGAACAGUGAAGGGCCCAAAAUACCGGAAAGCAAGUUUUUGGUUCGAUCUGGGAGCAAGGGAAGACUGAAUAUAUGGUUGUAAACGCAGGUAGACUUGAUCCCCACCGCAAACACUCUUUCAAAUCUGCUUUUAUCAGCCUGGGCCUUCAUACGCAAUUGAGCACGGUGCAGGUGUUACUGAACUAAAGUUGUUAUGACAGCCUUGUCUUGAAGCCAUUCAUCCAGAGACUGAUUUUGAGAAUUACCAACAACAUUCAACCCAAAUGGUUUUGGUGAGUAACCAUAUAAUACUUCAAAGGGGGAGAGACCCAGGGCUUCGUGCUUGCUGGAGUUGUAGCAGAACUCGGCUAGGUAAAGCCAAUUGAUCCAUUUGCUAGUGCACACGUUGACAAAGCAACGGAGAAAGGUUUCCAUACACUGGUUAACACGUUCCGUUUGCCCGUCUGUUUGUGGGUGGUAGGAAGAACUCAUGUGAAGCUUAACAUCAGCUAGCUUAAACAAAGCUUGCCACAAUUGGAUGGUGAAUAUGCUGUCACGGUCAGAAACAAUCGCUACUGGCAUGCCAUGGAGCUUGCAUAUAUGCUGCAUAAAGUGUUGGGCCACAACCAGUGCUGAAAAGGGGUGUUUGAGGGCAAUAAAGUGACUGAAUUUUGAGAACUUGUCGACCACUACCAUUACACAGUUCUUGUUGCCAUAAGUUGGGAGACCCUCCACAAAAUCCAUUGUAAUUGUCUGCCAAGCCCCAUUGGGUACAGGUAGAGGCUGCAAGAGUCCAAGAUACUUGAUCCUCCCCGGCUUGGACUGUUGACACACAGAGCACGAAGCCACAAAUUGUUUAGCAAACUUCCUCAUACCGGGCCAUGCAAACAACUGUUUCAGCUUGGGAUACGUGGCAGGGAAACCCGAGUGCCCACCUACAACAGAACUGUGUAUGGCCUCCAAGAUGGCUUGGUGCAUUGACCAGUUGUUACCCACCCAUAUCAUGUUUUUGAAUUUGAUAAUACCAUCCUAAAGAGAAAAAUGAGGAACUGAUGAUCCAUUCACCACCAAUUUGGCUAAAAGUUGUUUAGCUUCUUCAUCCCACAGAUAGCCAUCGAUGAUGUCUUGAGACCAUUGUGGGGAAAAUGCCGAGAUGGCCAGGACAUUAGGUGUAUCAUGCACUCGUCUUGAUAGUGCAUCAACAACCCUAUUGUCUGAGCCUUAUUUGUAAACUAUCUUGUACUGCAUGCCAAGUAACUUUGUAAAGACCUUCUGUUGCCAAGGGGUGUUAAGCCUUUGUUCAUUGAGAGCACCUAGAGGGGGGGUGAAUAGGUGAUCCUGUAAAACUUAAACUUAUAGCCACAAAAACUUGUUAAGUGUUAGCACAAUAAUUGCCAAGUGGCUAGAGAUGAGUCUCAACAAAACACAAUACCACAAGAGAUCAAACACAGAGAUGACACAGUGGUUUAUCCCGUGGUUCGGCCAAGACCAACGCUUGCCUACUCCACGUUGUGGCGUCCCAACGGAUGAGGGUUGCAAUCAACCCCUCUCAAGCGGUCCAAAGACCAACUUGAAUACCACGGUGUUUUGCUUUGCCUUUCAAUAUCCCGUUUGCGAGGAAUCUCCACAACUUGGAGUCUCUCGCCCUUACACUUGAGAUUCACAAAGAAAUACGGAGUAAGGGGGGGAAUGAGCAACGCACACAAGACUUCAAAAGAUCAGAGCAACAACACGCACACAAGUAGCAACAAGAGCUUGCAACACAACUCAAAGAGUUCACAACUCCACAAGAGCUCUAUAUGCUAUCACAAUGAAACGAAUGCGCGAGAUCGAUGUCUUGGUGCUUAGGAAUGUUGUAGGAAUGCUUGGUGUUCUCCUCCAUGCGCCUAGGGGUCCCUUUUAUAGCCCCAAGGAAGCUAGGAGCCGUUGAGAACAAAUCUGGAAGGCCAUCCUUGCCUUCUGUCGUCGGGCGCACCGGACAGUCCGGUGCACACCGGACACUGUCCGGUGCCCGAUUUCCUUCCUUAAACAGCGCAGCCGACCGUUGCAGAUCUGGGAGCCGUUGGCGCACCGGACAUGUCCGGUGCACACCGGACAGUCCGGUGCCCCCUUCCGACCGUUGGCCAGGCCACGUGUCGCGCGCAGAUUCCGCGACCGACCGUUGUCUCGGCCGACCGUUGGCUCACCGGACAGUCCGGUGCACACCGGACAGUCCGGUGAAUUAUAGCCGUACGCCGUCGGCGAAUUCCCGAGAGCGGCCACUUCGCGCCGUGUCAGCCUGGCGCACCGGACACUGUCCGGUGCACCACCGGACAGUCCGGUGUGCCAGACCGAGCUGAGUCUUGGCUGUACACAGCCAAGUCUUUGCACCUUUCUUCUUUUCUUUUUCUUUCUGUUUCUAACACUUAGACAAGUAUAUUAGUACACAAAACCAAUGUACUAGGGCUUAGAAACAUACCUUUACUCAUGAUUUGCACUUUGUUCAUCCAUGGGCAUAAAUUCACAUUUAAGCACUUUGUGUUGGCACUCAAUCACCAAAAUACUUAGAAAUGGCCCAAGGGCACAUUUCCCUUUCAAUCUCCCCCUUUUUGGUGAUUUAUGCCAACACAACAUAAAGCAACUAAAACAAGUGCAAAAUCACUUCAAAUAAAACUCAAAUUUAUUUUGAUUCUAUUUUGGCAUAUAUGGAUCAUCCUUUGCCACCACUUGGUUUGUUUUUGCAAAUCAAACUCAAAUCUCUAUCUCUAAGUCAAACACACAUGUUGAAGCAUAAAGAGAGUCAUUCCAAAAGAGAUUGAUCAAGGAUUUCAAAAACUCCCCCUUUUUCCCAUAAUCACUACUUCUCCCCACAAGAAGCCAACUUUUGACAAGAGUGACAAUAAAAGAGUGUUUUGACAAACUAAAAGCUCUACUCUACUAUUUUCAAAUCUGUAAAAGCUCUACUCUACUAUUUUCAAAUCUCUCAAGUGGUAGCUGAUCCAUUUAUUGCUUUGGCCUUUAUUUUCUCCCCCUUUGGCAUCAAGCACCAAAACGGGAUUAAUCUUGGCCCUUUAACCCCAUUGCCUCACCAAAAUCUUCAAUUAAGAGCAAAUGGCAAUAAGAGUUCAUGAGAUGGACUUGGAAUAAGUUACCCUCUCAUCGGAGUGCAGUGGAAGUCUUUCAUGGUCCAAGUCCACCUUUUCCCUUUUAAUUCUCCUUCGAGACUAAAUCAAGCAAACUCAAGCAUAUGGUUAGUCUCAAAGGGUCAAGUUGUAAUACAUCCCCCCCCCCUAAACAUGUGCAUUACUUUGCAACGGACUUGUGAGGUCCAGGGAGUGUUUGUACAACUUGAGCACCACAAUAAGCAACAAAAAUGCAGAACGAACAUGAUCAAAGGCAUAAACACAUGUAUGCUAUACUUCAAUCCAAGUUCCGUGAAUCUAAGACAUUUAGCUCACUACGCAGCCUGCAAAAGGUCUUCUCAUCUAGAGGCUUGGUAAAGAUAUCGGCUAGCUGGUUCUCGGUGCUAACAUGAAACACUUCGAUAUCUCCCUUUUGCUGGUGGUCUCUCAAAAAGUGAUGCCGGAUGUCUAUGUGCUUUGUGCGGCUGUGCUCAACAGGAUUUUCCGCCAUGCGGAUAGCACUCUCAUUAUCACAUAGGAGUGGGACUUUGCUCAAAUUGUAGCCAAAGUCCCUGAGGGUUUGCCUCAUCCAAAGUAGUUGUGCGCAACACUUUCCUGCGGCAACAUACUCGGCCUCAGCGAUGGAUAGGGCAACGGAGGUUUGUUUCUUAGAAUUCCAUGACACCAGGGACCUUCCUAAGAAUUGGCACGUCCCCGAUGUACUCUUCCUAUCGACCUUACAUCCAGCAUAGUCGGAAUCUGAAUAUCCAAUCAAGUCAAAGGUAGACCCCUUUGGAUACCAGAGCCCGAAGCAAGGCGUAGCAACUAAAUAUCUAAGGAUUCGCUUCACUGCCACUAAGUGACACUCCUUAGGAUCGGAUUGAAAUCUAGCACACAUGCAUACGCUAAGCAUAAUGUCUGGUCUACUAGCACAUAAAUAAAGUAAAGACCCUAUCAUUAACCGGUAUGCUUUUUGAUCAACGGACUUACCUCCUUUGUUGAGGUCGGUGUGUCCGUCGGUUCCCAUCGGAGUCUUUGCGGGCUUGGCGUCCUUCAUCCCAAACCGCUUCAGCAGAUCUUGCGUGUACUUCGUUUGAGAGAUGAAGGUGCCGUCCUUGAGUUGCUUCACUUGGAACCCAAGGAAGUAGUUCAACUCGCCCAUCAUCGACGUCUCGAAUUUCUGCGUCAUCACCCUGCUAAACUCUUCACAAGACUUUUUAUUAGUUGAACCAAAUAUUAUGUCAUCGACAUAAAUUUGGCACACAAAUAAAUCACCAUCACAUGUCUUAGUGAAAAGAGUUGGAUCGGCUUUCCCAACCUUAAAAGCAUUUGCAAUUAAGAAAUCUCUAAGGCAUUCAUUGUUGGAACUUGCUCUCUGCUGCAAGUGGGCCAACGGGGGUGAACAAUGGCGACAACAGGGUUACGUGCACGGGGGCAAUAGCUCUGUUGAUCUCGCCUCUCACGGGCACUGUGCGGGGGUAUUUAUAGGUGUCUGAGUGCCCAGCGUCUUGUCUUAAGGACGCAUGUGCCCUCAGACGCCUAGUUUAUCCCCGGAAUAUUCCCAUAAAGCAGGGUUACAAGCUGUAAUUACAAGUAUGCCUUUACAAGUCAGGCCCGUAAUACAGAGGCGGCCACGCGGGGCCCGUUACAAUGGGCCAGAUCACACGUGGGCCUUGGGGCUGAAUGAGGCCGCGCCGUGUGAGGACGUCGCCGCAGGUCUUCGUCAAAGUGUCGAGUCCUGCGAAGGGUGUCCCUGCCCGCUUUGCCUCCGUCGGACCAGCGGCUGCAGCGAAGGCCUGGAGCGAAGGGUGGCGUCUUUGCCUUCGCCCCAACAUUUGCCCUCCGAGGGACCAGUUCGACAAAGUCACCUGGUGCCGAAGACGUCGCUAGAUGGCGGAGACGCUGCCCUCGCUCGAAGUGGUUCCGCGGGGGUUUUUGAUGUGACCGUUGAUGGACGGCGUACUGUUGGAUUGCGGGUUUCCCGAAGCGUCGCGGCCUGUCGGGUUGUGGGUUUCCCGAGGAGCCGCGCCCUGCCUAUAAAAGGGGGGCGGGGGCGGCGCUGUUUGAAUUCUGCUUUCCGCGCUCCGUAAAACCCUAGCCGCCCGCCGCCUUGCUGCUCCUUUUCCUCCGCUGCUCCCUUUGUUCGCCGUCGUUCUGGCUCGAGUGAAGCAAACCGCCCGCCGCCGCCGACGGUACGUAGCCAUGCCAUCCUCUUCUUCUUCCGCCACCGCCACGCCGCCGGCCGCCGCCUCGUCUGAGGAGACGUUGAGUGACGCGAUGGUGGAAGAGUUGCGCGUCGGCGACUCUGUUGAAUUCGGUGUGUCACGGAUGACGUCAGGCCGUAUUGAAGAUAUGCAGCGGUUGGGCUACUUUGGCGACGGAGUCGCUCGGGCCCCGGGGACGGAGGAAGUCCCCGAGCCGGAGGGCGAGUUGGUUGUUUUCGAGGCGUUCUUCGCCGCCGGACUCCGCCUGCCUGCGCACCGGUUUGUCAGCGAAGUCCUGCGCAGAUUCAGUGUUCAAAUACAUCAGCUUACGCCGAACGCCAUAGUGGCGCUGGCGAAGUAUGUCUGGGCGACGACUUCGUACGGCGGGCAGCCGUCGGUUGAAGUUUUCGCGAAGAAUUAUUGCUUGCAUUGGCAGAAAAGGGUGGUUGAGGGCGGAGUUGCGCAGUUCGGGUCGUGCACUUUCACGCCGAAGACCGGCAAGACCACGAUGCCAGUAGUGGAGUUGGUCCCGUGCGCCCGCAACAAGUGGGGCAGUUGGAAUGAGUUUUGGUUUUAUGUUUCUGAGGCAACUGUCGAAGGCCAUCAAGGGCUCCCCGUGUCCGUAAUGUGCUCUCACUAUUACUCUGCGUAUCCGCCUUUCGAAGUGGCAGAAGAGGAUACAGACGAAGAGGCCCUACGGUACGCCGCCGGUCAGAGCAGCGGGCGUGAUUUGGUUGAAGAGUUUGCGGCGUACGGGGUCUGGCCCUUGGCGCACGGCUGGGCGCUGGGCGAAGUAUGCCCUCGCCAGAUGCCCUUUCACGGAGGAAGGGAGGUGCGAAGUCCUGCCUUCGCACUGAGUUUGCGGAACCGUGACCCGGCCGCCUUCGUGCGUGAUGCAGAAGACUUGGCGGUGCGACUCGUGGGGCGCUACGUGCCGAAGACGGAAGGCCAGCGCAGUUUCGAUAUCCGUGGGUCAAACGAUCGCUUGAACAGGGUCUUUGAAUUAAAUCAACUGCCGUACGACGGCUACCCUGGUCAGGACGAAGCAGACCGCCGCGGGAAGAAACCGGCGGUGGAGGCCGGAGGCGACCCUGCGCUGGCGGCCGCCGCCUCUUCGAAAAAGAGAAAAUUAGGUACUGCGAUGGGAGGGCUUGGGGUGUCUGAUAGUUUCGCUAGAGAGUUAAUGAGGACGUGUGCGGCCCCGGGGGAGAGGAUGUCUUCGCCCGAGCUCCGGGAGUCUUCGGCUCGGAUGCUGAGGGUUACCGGGGGUUGCUGGCCUAAAAACAUUCCUAUCCCCUGGGAUGAAGAGGACUGUUUUACAUCUCGUAUGGCUCGUCGGUGGAAAGUUUUUCCUUAUGGGCGAAAUAUCGGUCAUGUUGUGUGGGCAGUGAUGGACAAGGAUCGCCAAGCGGCGGCGCGGAAACGCCAGGCGACCGUGAGGGUUCAUGAAGCCCGGCCGAAAAGGCAGCGGGGAGCAUCGAAGGCUGAGGCCUCCGGCGGAGGCAAGCCGCCAUUGCCGGCGAAGGCGGGUGCCUCCGCGCCUGGCAAGGCGCCGGAGGCGACGGUGGGCGCCGGAGGCCCCAAGCUGUCGAAGGUGGUGCCGUCCGCCAGCGGAGUGGCGGAGGCUGCGAAGGCGGCCCGAUCGCUACCGCCGCCCGGCAAACGCGUUGCCGACUUCGGCACUGAGAUUGAUGUGGAGGAUUAUCUUGGGGGUGAGUCUAUAUGUAUACACUUUUUUUUUUUUUUAAUCUGUUGAUGCGUUGCAGGGUUGGACGAGGGCCCGCUCGCUCUAGUUGUGCCUGGCGCGGCGGUCGCGACGGCUGCGCCAGCGCCGAAGGCGGGGGUAGAGACCCUUGGCGCUGGAGGCGAGGUGACUGCCCUCGCGUUGGUCAGAGACGAGGCGGACGCGGCGACCCGCCGGCUGAAAGGAGCAAUGGAGGCGCUGAGUCAGGUCUGCCGAGCUUUUUUUUUUUUUUUUUUUUUUUUUUUUUAACACGGGCCUUAUGUGUGUUCUGCAGGUGGCUGACUUCACCAGCCGUACUGCGUCGGGGGCCCUUACGGCGACGUUGUCUGCCGAGGUCGAGAGACUUCGGACGCAACACGCGGACGCUGUCCGUGAGAAGUCGGCCUCCGACAGCAAGUGCCGCAAGCUGGCGGAGAAGGUGGCCGCCCUUGAGAAGGAGAAGGCAGACCUCCGGCGCCAGCUGAUGGAGGAGAGAAGGGAGGCCAACGAAGCCAUCGCCAAGGAGCAGUCUGCGCAGGCGGAGGCCAGGCUGGCGCGGGCGGAGGGCAAUGUCGCCAAGGAGCUCGCCGGGGAGCUGCAGCGGCGGCUUGCUGCCUUCGAGAGCCGCGCGGAGGGGGCCGAGGCCGCGGCGCGAGCGGAGGCCGAACGGACGCGCACGCAGCUCAUGACUUCAUAUCGCGAGCUGGGUGUGCGGACGAGCGACUUCGAGGUGCCGGAGCGAGAGGCCGGACUUCGCUGUCUGGAGUGGGUGCAGGAGGAACUGCAGGAGCUCCCCACUGUCUUGGCGGGGUUGAUGUCGUUCACCUCCCUGGUCACCUGCGAGGCAGCGAUGAACGCGCUCUCUCGCGAAGGCUGCCGGCACUUUGAGGCCCUCGACCAGGUGGAUGAAGAUUUUGGGCGAGAUAUCUUUGAGGUCGAAGACCCCGUGGUGAAGGAGUCCGGCGGGGCCCUCUUUGACCGGAUGUGGGGUUCAUACGGUCGAGAGGUGGUCCGGGCGCGGGCCGAGGCUGCAAGGGCUCAGGUAACGUUGUCGUUUACUCGGUGCUUGCUGGAUGCGGUUUGUGCGUGUGUUUGCUGAAUUUUUUGUACGUUUUGUCUUAGGCGGAGCGCGGCGAGCGGGUGGACGAUUUUGGGGCGCUGAACAGCGCGCCGCCUGAGCCGGAGACCACCCCUGCGGAGGCCGCCACUGGAGUCGCCCCGGUGACCGCGGAAGAUGCACCAGGCGCCCUUGUACCUGCUGCGGCCGGCGAAGGCCUACUCCCAAGGGUGGCCGAAGGCGCGUCUGAUGCCCCCGCAGCUGCUGUGCCGGGCGCUGAAGAUCCGGCGGAGACAACGGCGGAGGCGGCGGCGGAGGCUCCCGCAGCGGCAGGGCCUUCGCAGGUGGCGUAGGUGGUGUUUAGGGUUGAGGGAUUUUUGGAUGAUGUACUGAAUUUUGGUUGCUGCGCAGGUUCAAGAUUUUGGGCCUGCGCACGCAACCGCUACUACUGGUUUUUUGGCGGCUUCGACCGCGGAAGGUGGAAAUGAAUGUGGUGGGUCUGUUUCUGAGUUUUUUGAUUUUACUGACUCUGGGAGCUCGGCUGAAUGGACCGAGGAGUCGUCGGAGGAGGACUUGGACUAUUUUGCGGCCCUGGACGAGGCUGCGGCGGAGGCUGCGCUACAUGCUGCGGACGCGCCAGGCGUGCCCGGUCCUAGCACCGGGCACCGACGACGAAGGGCGGUUGCGAAGCGUAGGAUUAGUGCGGAGGAAGGGGCUCGUCUUCGCGUUAGUAGGGUUGGUCGGCAGGAGCUGCUGUCUUUGCCGGCCGUCUCGGGUGUGGGGGAAGGGGAGCUGCGAAGCCUUUUUGCUGGUGAGGAGCUUAGGAUAAUGUUAUUUAAUUAUAGAGAGAUGGGGAUUAUUCCUAAGGUUGAGCCGAUGUAGGGCGUGGUGCCCUCGCUUGUGUAUGUGCAAGGGUUUGUAAAAUGGAGUGGUGUGCCCUCGCGUGCUUGUGCCUGCGAGGGCGCUGUGUACUUUGACUGGUGUGAUUGAUUGUGCUGUGCCAGUGUGAUUAUAAUUGGUCUUGCUGUCGCUUCUGCUUUUGCCAUACUGGGUCGGCUGCGCCCUUGGGCGGUUUUUGCGGUAGGCUCCGGCUGCGCCUUUUAGGCGACUUCUGCGCGAAAAGCCUUCGCGAUAGACUUUGAUUUUUGCGCACUUGUGGAGCUAAGUCCGGCUGCACCCUUGGGCGACUUCUGCGCGGUUAGUCUUCGCGAUAGACUUCGAUUCUUGCGCACUUGUUGUGCUAAGUCCGGCUGCACCCUUAGGCGACUUCUGCGCGGAUAGUCUUCGCGAUAGACUUUGAUUUUUGCGCACUUGUUGUGCUAAGUCCGGCUGCACCCUUAGGCGACUUCUGCGCGGAUAGUCUUCGCGAUAGACUUUGAUUUUUGCGCACUUGUUGUGCUAAGUCCGGCUGCACCCUUAGGCGACUUCUGCGCGGAUAGUCUUCGCGAUAGACUUUGAUUUUUGCGCACUUGUUGUGCUAAGUCCGGCUGCACCCUUAGGCGACUUCUGCGCGGAUAGUCUUCGCGAUAGACUUUGAUUUUUGCGCACUUGUUGUGCUAAGUCCGGCUGCACCCUUAGGCGACUUCUGCGCGGAUAGUCUUCGCGAUAGACUUUGAUUUUUGCGCACUUGUUGUGCUAAGUCCGGCUGCACCCUUAGGCGACUUCUGCGCGGAUAGUCUUCGCGAUAGACUUUGAUUUUUGCGCACUUGUUGUGCUAAGUCCGGCUGCACCCUUAGGCGACUUCUGCGCGGAUUGGUCGCACGCGAGGGUGGCUAGCGCUUAGCCUCGCGGUGACUUCGAAUUGGUCGAAUGCCGAAGACCGUUGUCGCGGUCUUUUUUCGACACAUGCUUUUGCGGGGGAUUUUUCUCACAUAUAUUACAUGGCUCCGCCUCGUUAAAAACCUCACCCCCCGGGAGGAAAAGAGUGCGGGCCGGUACAAGAUUGUUUGCGGUGAAUUACAAGGGCGAACUCAGCCCUAGGAAUUAAACAAAAAAUUUACGAAGGUUGUCAAUGUUCCAGGAGUGCUCCAGGUCCUCGCCAUCUGGCGUUGCGAGCCUGUAAGCGCUGGGGGAAGCUUUUGUCUUGACUAUGAAGGGGCCCUCCCACUUGGGCUCCAGCUUGCCCUUGGACUCCGUCCGAGCUGUUCGGAUGAGUACGAGGUCCCCCGCGCUGAACUCCUUUGGGAUGACUGCGCGGUCGCGCCAUGCUUUGGUCUGGGCUUGGUAUUUGUUUAAGGCCUGCAGGGCGAAGACCCGGUCUCCGUCAAUGAGAUCUUUGGAGGUUGGCUCAUCCACGUCAGGGGUGGCUGACGGAGCUGUGCGCGGAGACCCGUGUUUUAUUUCUUGCGGUGUCAUUGCCUCUGAUCCGUAUAGAAGGCGGAAAGGAGUGAACCCGGUCGCCCUGCACUCGGUUGUGUUCAGCGCCCAGACUGCCUCCGGUAGCAAGUCGGUCCAUCUGCCCUUUUUCUCGUCGAGGAGCAUCUUCUUGAUGGCUGUGAAGAUUUUCCCAUUGGCACGCUCCACGACUCCGUUGGACUGCGGAUGAUAGACUGAAGCGAAGGCAAGCUUGGUGCCAAUGGAAAAACAGAAAUCCUUGAAAUCUUGAUUGUCAAACUGCUUGCCGUUGUCAACUGUUAGCUCGGACGGUACUCCGAAGCGGCAAACAAUGUUCUGCCAAAAGAAUUUUUGGGCAGUCUUUGAUGUGAUUGUGGACACAGCCCUCGCUUCAAUCCACUUGGUGAAGUAUUCGACGGCUACGAAGGCGAACUUGAGGUUCCCCUGAGCGGUGGGCAAGGGCCCGACGAUGUCCAGGCCCCAGCGCUGAAGAGGCCAUGUAUGGGCGACCAGCUUUGUGUAUUGCGAGGGGUUGCCUGACCGAGGAGAGAACUUCUGGCAGGCUUCGCAGGACCUUGCGACUCGAUUUGCGGCGCAGAUCAUUGCAGGCCAGUAAAACCCUUGUCGGAUCACCUUAGCAGCCAGGGCCCUUGGCCCCGCGUGCGAGCCGCAAGUUCCACUGUGGACCUCGCGCAAGAUUUGGAUGCCUUCGGUUUCGGUGACGCAUUUAAGCAUUGGCUGACUGACCCCCUUCUUGUAUAAUUGGCCCUCGAUUAGCGCGAAGUCCCGGCUCCGAUGCUCGAGGCGCUUCGCCUCACUGACGUCGGUUGGGUGAUAGUAUCCCUGUAGAAACAGGGUUAUUGGGGCCCGCCAGUCCUCGGUCAUGAUUAGGUGGACUAUACGGUGGCCCUCGCUAUCAUUUGUUAUUUGGAGCCCUUCGGGGCUCCGGACGGCUGGCGUGCCGAUGGUGUGAAAGAAUACGUCGGAGGGCAGGGGCUCGCCCCUGGCGGCGGCCUUGGCUAAUGCAUCGGCCUCCUCAUUCUUGGCCCUGUCCACAUGCUGUAGGGUGAAUCCCUUGAACUGCCUCUCGAGACUUCGGAUAGCCGCGAGGUAUUGCAUGAGCGCGGGGUCUUUUGCUGCAUAGUCUUUUUCGACCUGACCGGCGACUAUCUUGGAGUCUGUUUUGAUGAUACAGGUGGUGACUCCGAGGGCCCUUAGCUUGCGGAGGCCGAGGAUGACUGCUUCAUACUCUGCUAUGUUGUUUGUACAUUUGUCGGAUUCCAGAGCGAAGCUGAGGCGUGCUGCAUAUCUGUGUUUGACUCCGGCUGGUGAGGUGAUGACUGCAGCGACGCCUGCCCCCGCAUGACACCAUGCACCGUCGCAAUGGAUAGUCCAGACCUUUUUGUGGAUGGGUCCGGCUGUGUUACUGGCCCAGUCCAGUCGACGACGAAGUCUGCCAGGACUUGCGAUUUGAUGGCUGUCCUGGGCUCGAAGCUGAUAUGGUAGCCGGAGAGCUCGGCUGCCCACUUGGCGAUUCUCACUGAUGCCUCCGGGUUCCUGAAUAGUUCGCCGAGUCCCCUGUCCGAGGUGACUCGGACCUUGAAUGCUUCAAAAUAAUGGCGCAGCUUGCGCGAGGACAUAACAACUGCGUAAGCAAUCUUCUCCAGCUCUGUCAUGUUGCAUUUGGAUGGUGUCAGGACUUCGGAGACAUAAUAAACAGGGCACUGUCUGACUGCGCCUUCGACUGUCUGCUCCUGCACUAGUGCCGCGCUGACCGCGUGCGGCGAAGCCGCGACAUAGAGCAAUAAGGGGAGCGAGGAGUCUGGGCUUGUGAGGAUGGCCAGCUCCGCCAGGUACUGUUUUAAUGAGGCGAAGGCCGCUGCUUGCUCCGGUCCCCAAGCGAAGUCCUUCGCGCCGCGGAGGGUUUUGAGGAAGGGGAGACUUCGCUCGGCGGACCUGGAGAUGAAUCUAUUGAGGGCGGCCAUCCUGCCUGUCAGGCGCUGGACGUCCCUGGCGGACUGCGGAGGCGACAUGUCGACGAUGGCCUGGAUCUUGGUUGGGUUGGCCUCGAUGCCUCGGCGGGACACCAGGUAGCCCAAUAUCUUGCCCUGGCGGACACCGAAAACGCACUUUUCCGGGUUUAGGCGGAGUCGUGCAUCUCGCAUGCUCGCGAAUGUUUCCGCCAGGUCGGCGAGGUGGUCCUCCUUAUUUUUGCUGGCGACGACGAUGUCGUCCACAUAUGUGAAUACGUUUCUGCCGACCUGCCCUUCGAGCACCGUUUUGGUGAGUCUGGAGAAGGUGGACCCGGCAUUCUUGAGACCCUCCGGCAUUCUGACAAAGCAAUAAGUGCCGAAGGGUGUUAUAAAGCUGGUGCUGGCCUUGUCUUCCUCCUUCAUGUAUAUCUGGUGAUAGCCGGAGAAGCAGUCGAGGAGGGACAUGACCUCGCAUCCGGCCGCGCUAUCGACUAUUUUGUCGAUCCGUGGCAACGGGAAAUUGUCCUUUGGGCAGGACUUAUUGAGACUGGUGAAGUCUAUGCACAUGCGCCAUUUUCCGCUUUUCUUCUGCACCAUCACAACAUUGGAGAGCCACGUGGGGUAAGCCACCGGCUCGAUGAAUUUAGCCUCCAGGAGGCGAUGCACCUCCGCCUUGGCGGCUUCUGUCUUUUCAUCUGACAUCUUGCGAAGCUUCUGCUUUUUGGGUCGCACCGAAGGGUCAAUCUCCAGGCUGUGUUCGAUUAUGGCUCGGCUGACUCCGACCAGAUCGAGGGCAGACCAGGCGAAGACAUCUUUAUUCUUGGCCAGGCAGCAGAGAAGUUUCUCUUCUUCAAGUGACGUGAGGUCUUCGCUGAUAGUUACAGUCUGUUUGGGCGUGGCCUGAUCGAGGGGACAGUCUUGGUCCCGUCUUGGCACUGCAACUGUGCCUUGUCGUGCUGCUUGUCGGUUGGGCUAGCCGGCGCAGGGACUUCGCGCUGGGUCGUGAGACAGUGUACAUUUCUCUGACCGGGCACGAAGUCCCGCUCUAUGUUGCGCGCCGUCUGCUGGUUGCCGUAGAUUGUGAUGGCGCCCAGCGGGCCUGGUAUCUUCAUACAUAGGUACAACCGUGGAUGGCGGCUUCGAAUUUGUUGAUGGAGCCUCGGCCCAUGAUGGCGUUGUAUGGAUAUACCAUGUCGACAAUGUCGAAGGUUAUUUGCUCACUUCGGGCAUUGGGUGCUACACCGAAGGAGAGGGGCAACUCUAUCUUGCCAACUGGAAAGGUGCCCUUGCCGCCGAAACCAUACAACGGGUUGUCCGAAGGCUUCAGCAAGCUGUGGCUUAUGCCCAUGCGGUCGAAGGCGUGGAGGAAGAUGAUGUCCGCUGACUGCCGUUGUCGACGAGGACUUUGUGUAAGUCCCAACCUGCCACGCUGCAGUUGAUGACCAUUGCGUCGAUGUGGGGGGGCGCUGCGUAGGUCGACGUCUCGCGCGUCGAAGGUUAGCGGUAUGUGGGACCACUUCGUCUGCACGACUGGGCCAGUGACGGCGACAUGGUUGAUGCUGCGGUAGUGGUCCCGCUUCUGCCGCUUGGUGUCGAAGUCGGUGCUUGACCCCCCUGUUAUCAUGUGAAUGACUCCGCGAUAAGGUUGAUCGGCGAAGUCUUCUUGCUUUGGGGGAUGGGGAAUGUUUGGUGUUGCUGGUGUGGUGGUGGGGGUGGAGGAGGUACGAUUUGUACUUCCUGAUGAUGUGGUAAGCGUGGUGCGGUGGGAUGCGGAGCGGGGGCGUGGACGUAUGGUGGAGGGUGGCUGGUAGUUAUGCGCGACAAUUCUGGGAUUGUCGGCCGGCUGCGCCCUCGCCAUUCUAUCUCUGGUGGCCUUCGUCUCGGGGCAGUCUUUGGUCUGGUGGGCGCAGUCUUCGCCGUGGAAAAGGCAAUAGAACCGGCGCGGCGGCUGCUGCGCCCGCCCUCGACCCCUGCCGCGCGUUCCAUUUCCCGGCCUUGGGGGGGAUAUUCCUGGCGGCAGAGGGGGGUCAGCAGCAGGCUGUUGGGUUGACGAUGUUGUGGACUUGCUGCUGACUGCGGCUGCUCGACUGGAGUCUGGCUGCGAAGUCCUUGUCCACGGUGCGGCUGGACUGCGGAGUCUGACCUGUUGGGUUUCCGUUGCGACUCGACCUUGCGCUGGUGGAGCUCUUCGGAUUUGGCAUAUUUUUCGAAGAGCUGAUAUAGCCCUGCAACUCUUGGGUGGACCCUGAUACAAGGCUGUAGAGGACGCCGGCCCGAAGGCCAUUGAGGCGUAGUGGAUAGCGAUCUGAUCGUCGACAGAGGGCAGCUGUGACUUGAGUGUUAAGAACUUGCGGUAAACUCCCGCAGAGUCUCCUUUUCCAGCUGUUUGCAAAGCGAGAGCUUGGCCAAAGCCGUUCGGUGUCUGGACGGUACCCUUGGAAGUUGAGGAGGAACUUGUCCCUGAGACUUCGCCACGAAUCAAUGGACAGCGGGGGCAAUCUGGUGAACCAGGUGAGUGCUGGGCCCUCUAGGGCGAUGAUGAAAGACUUUGCCAUUGUGGCCUCGUCCCCUCACGGCUGAUGCAACGGCGACUUGGUAACUCAUGAUGUAUUGCGCCGGAUCGGUGCUGCCGUUGUACUUGGGGUAUGCCCCGCUCGAAAGUUGGCUGGCCAAGGCGUCACUUGCAGGUGUGGCGCCAGGGGACUUCGCUCGUCGAGGUAGUUGAUCCCUUGGAAUGGCGCGCCGUGCUGGGGGGCGUAGUCAUGCUGGGGGAAACGCGGGUUCUCCGGCUGCGCCCGGUGCUGCAGGGGUUGGCCGUGCUGUCGGCCGAGGUAGCCUUCCGCGCAUGUCCUCCGGCUGAGCGCGUUGUUGGAGGGUGGUUCUUGCUGCAAACCGAGGUGGCCUUCGCGCUGCAUCAGCGCGAUCUCGCGCUCGAGGUCUUGGGGUUUUCUGCUCCUCGUCGCGUAUCAUUUGCCGGCACUUUGGCUAAUGCGGAAACACGUUGGCGCUUGGCCUCCCAGUAUCUCUUUCUGCCUCUGGAGAUUGCGGUUCCUGAGGCGCAGGGCGCGCAGCUGCAAGCUGUUCUUCUGUUGAGACGCCGAGGGCCUCAACCAUCCUCGGUGAGGGUCGGCGCCUUCCAGUGGGGCGAAGCCUGGGGGCGCUGCGACUGUCCUUCGGGUUCCGCAGGGUGCGGAAAGGUGUCGUCUUCGCCGGUGUGGGGAACAUUGUCCUCAAUGGGCCUCUUGGUGGGUGGAUUGGGUGAGGGGCGAGGGCCUUGCCCUUUCUUGCGGCCAGCAGUGCUGCCUUCGCAGCCUCGUCAGCCUUGGGGUUAGCUCUCUUGGGUGCCAUCGCGGGUGGUUUUGUCGUAGCAACGAACGGUGGGCGCCAAUGUUGGAACUUGCUCUCUGCUGCAAGUGGCCAACGGGGGUGAACAAUGGCGACAACAGGGUUACGUGCACGGGGGCAAUAGCUUGUUGAUUAGCCUCUCACGGGCACUGUGCGUUGUUUUAGGUAGUGUCUGAGUGCCCAGCGUCUUGUCUUAAGGACGCAUGUGCCCUCAGACGCCUAGUUUAUCCCCGGAUAUUCCAUAAAGCAGGGUUACAAGCUGUAAUUACAAGUAUGCCUUUACAAGUCAGGCCCGUAAUACAGAGGCGGCCACGCGGGGCCCGUUACAAUGGGCCAGAUCACACGUGGGCCUUGGGGCUGAAUGAGGCCGCGCCGUGUGAGGAGUCCGCAGGUCUUCGUCAAAGUGCGAGUCCUGCGAAGGGUGUCCCUGCCCGCUUUGCCCUCGUCGGACCAGCGGCUGCAGCGAGGCCUGAGCGAAGGGUGGCNNNNNNNNNNNNNNNNNNNNNNNNNNNNNNNNNNNNNNNNNNNNNNNNNNNNNNNNNNNNNNNNNNNNNNNNNNNNNNNNNNNNNNNNNNNNNNNNNNNNUGGAUCGGCUUUCCCAACCUUAAAAGCAUUUGCAAUUAAGAAAUCUCUAAGGCAUUCAUUGUUGGAACUUGCUCUCUGCUGCAAGUGGGCCAACGGGGGUGAACAAUGGCGACAACAGGGUACGUGCACGGGGCAAUAGUCUGUUGAUCUCGCUCUCACGGGCACUGUGCGGGGUAUUUAUAGGUGUCUGAGUGCCAGCGUCUUGUCUUAAGGACGCAUGUGCCCUCAGACGCCUAGUUUAUCCCCGGAAUAUUCCAUAAGCAGGUUACAAGCUGUAAUUACAGUAUGCCUUUACAAGUCAGGCCCGUAAUACAGAGGCGGCCACGCGGGGCCCGUUACAAUGGGCCAGAUCACACGUGGGCUUGGGGCUGAAUGAGGCCGCGCCGUGUGAGGACGUCGCCGCAGGUCUUCGUCAAAGUGUCGAGUCCUGCGAAGGGUGUCCUGCCGCUUUGCCUCCGUCGGACCAGCGGCUGCAGCGAAGGCCUGGAGCGAGGGUGGCGUCUUUGCCUUCGCCCCAACAUUUGCCCUCCGGGGACCAGUUCGACAAAGUCACCUGGUGCGAAGACGUCGCUAGAUGCGGAGACGCUGCCCUCGCUCGAAUGGUUCCGCGGGGGUUUUUGAUGUGACCGUUGAUGGACGGCGUACUGUUGGAUUGCGGGUUUCCGAAGCGUCGCGGCCUGUCGGGUUGUGGGUUUCCCGAGGAGCCGCGCCCUGCCUAUAAAAGGGGGGCGGGGGCGGCGCUGUUUGAAUUCUGCUUUCCGCGUCCGUAAAACCUAGCCGCCGCCGCCUUGCUGCUCCUUUUCCUCCGCUGCUCCUUUGUUCGCGUCGUUCUGGCUCGAGUGAAGCAAACCGCCCGCCGCCGCCGACGGUACGUAGCCAUGCCAUCCUCUUCUUCUUCCGCCACCGCCACGCCGCCGGCCGCCGCCUCGUCUGAGGAGACGUUGAGUGACGCGAUGGUGGAAGAGUUGCGCGUCGGCGACUCUGUUGAAUUCGGUGUGUCACGGAUGACGUCAGGCCGUAUUGAAGAUAUGCAGCGGUUGGGCUACUUUGGCGACGGAGUCGCUCGGGCCCCGGGACGGAGGAAGUCCCGAGCCGGAGGGCGAGUUGGUUGUUUUCGAGGCGUUCUUCGCCGCCGGACUCCGCCUGCCUGCGCACCGGUUUGUCAGCGAGUCCUGCGCAGAUUCAGUGUUCAAAUACAUCAGCUUACGCCGAACGCCAUAGUGGCGCUGGCGAAGUAUGUCUGGGCGACGACUUCGUACGGCGGGCAGCCGUCGGUUGAAGUUUUCGCGAAGAAUUAUUGCUUGCAUUGGCAGAAAAGGGUGGUUGAGGGCGGAGUUGCGCAGUUCGGGUCGUGCACUUUCACGCGAAGACCGGCAAGACCACGAUGCCAGUAGUGGAGUUGGUCCCGUGCGCCGCAACAAGUGGGCAGUUGGAAUGAGUUUUGGUUUUAUGUUCUGAGGCAACUGUCGAAGGCCAUCAAGGGCUCCCCGUGUCCGUAAUGUGCUCUCACUAUUACUCUGCGUAUCCGCCUUUCGAAGUGGCAGAAGGGAUACAGACGAAGAGGCCCUACGGUACGCCGCCGGUCAGAGCAGCGGGCGUGAUUUGGUUGAAGAGUUUGCGGCGUACGGGGUCUGGCCCUUGGCGCACGGCUGGGCGCUGGGCGAAGUAUGCCCUCGCCAGAUGCCCUUUCACGGAGGAAGGAGGUGCGAAGUCCUGCCUUCGCACUGAGUUUGCGGAACCGUGACCCGGCCGCCUUCGUGCGUGAUGCAGAAGACUUGGCGGUGCGACUCGUGGGGCGCUACGUGCCGAAGACGGAAGGCCAGCGCAGUUUCGAUAUCGUGGGUCAAACGAUCGCUUGAACAGGGUCUUUGAAUUAAAUCAACUGCCGUACGACGGCUACCUGGUCAGGACGAAGCAGACCGCCGCGGGAAGAAACCGGCGGUGGAGGCCGGAGGCGACCCUGCGCUGGCGGCGCGCCUCUUCGAAAAGAGAAAAUUAGGUACUGCGAUGGGAGGGCUUGGGGUGUCUGAUAGUUCGCUAGAGAGUUAAUGAGACGUGUGCGGCCCGGGGGAGAGGAUGUCUUCGCCCGAGCUCGGGAGUCUUCGGCUCGGAUGCUGAGGGUUACCGGGGUUGCUGGCCUAAAACAUUCCUAUCCCUGGGAUGAAGAGGACUGUUUUACAUCUCGUAUGGCUCGUCGGUGGAAAGUUUUUCCUUAUGGGCGAAAUAUCGGUCAUGUUGUGUGGGCAGUGAUGGACAAGGAUCGCCAAGCGGCGGCGCGGAAACGCAGGCGACCGUGAGGGUUCAUGAAGCCCGGCCGAAAAGGCAGCGGGAGCAUCGAAGGCUGAGGCCUCCGGCGGAGGCAAGCGCCAUUGCCGGCGAAGGCGGGUGCCUCCGCGCCUGCAAGGCGCCGGAGGCGACGGUGGGCGCCGGAGGCCCCAAGCUGUCGAAGUGGUGCCGUCCGCCAGCGGAGUGGCGGAGGCUGCGAAGGCGGCCCGAUCGCUACGCCGCCCGGCAAACGCGUUGCGACUUCGGCACUGAGAUUGAUGUGGAGGAUUAUCUUGGGGUGAGUCUAUAUGUAUACACUUUUUUUUUUUUUAAUCUGUUGAUGCGUUGCAGGGUUGGACGAGGGCCCGCUCGCUCUAGUUGUGCCUGGCGCGGCGGUCGCGACGGCUGCGCCAGCGCCGAAGGCGGGGUAGAGACCCUUGGCGCUGGAGGCGAGGUGACUGCCCUCGCGUUGGUCAGAGACGAGGCGGACGCGGCGACCCGCCGGCUGAAAGGAGCAAUGGAGGCGCUGAGUCAGGUCUGCCGAGCUUUUUUUUUUUUUUUUUUUUUUUUUUUAACACGGGCCUUAUGUGUGUUCUGCAGGUGGCUGACUUCACCAGCCGUACUGCGUCGGGGCCUUACGGCGACGUUGUCUGCCGAGGUCGAGAGACUUCGGACGCAACACGCGGACGCUGUCCGUGAGAAGUCGGCCUCCGACAGCAAGUGCCGCAAGCUGGCGGAGAAGGUGGCCGCCUUGAGAAGGAGAAGGCAGACCUCCGGCGCCAGCUGAUGGAGGAGAGAAGGGAGGCCAACGAAGCCAUCGCCAAGGAGCAGUCUGCGCAGGCGGAGGCCAGGCUGGCGCGGGCGGAGGGCAAUGUCGCCAAGGAGCUCGCCGGGGAGCUGCAGCGGCGGCUUGCUGCCUUCGAGAGCCGCGCGGAGGGGCCGAGGCCGCGGCGCGAGCGGAGGCGAACGGACGCGCACGCAGCUCAUGACUUCAUAUCGCGAGCUGGGUGUGCGGACGAGCGACUUCGAGGUGCCGGAGCGAGAGGCCGGACUUCGCUGUCUGGAGUGGGUGCAGGAGGAACUGCAGGAGCUCCCCACUGUCUUGGCGGGGUUGAUGUCGUUCACCUCCCUGGUCACCUGCGAGGCAGCGAUGAACGCGCUCUCUCGCGAAGGCUGCCGGCACUUUGAGGCCCUCGACCAGGUGGAUGAAGAUUUUGGGCGAGAUAUCUUUGAGGUCGAAGACCCCGUGGUGAAGGAGUCCGGCGGGGCCCUCUUUGACCGGAUGUGGGGUUCAUACGGUCGAGAGGUGGUCCGGGCGCGGGCCGAGGCUGCAAGGGCUCAGGUAACGUUGUCGUUUACUCGGUGCUUGCUGGAUGCGGUUUGUGCGUGUGUUUGCUGAAUUUUUUGUACGUUUUGUCUUAGGCGGAGCGCGGCGAGCGGGUGGACGAUUUUGGGGCGCUGAACAGCGCGCCGCCUGAGCCGGAGACCACCCUGCGGAGGCCGCCACUGGAGUCGCCCCGGUGACCGCGGAAGAUGCACCAGGCGCCUUGUACCUGCUGCGGCCGGCGAAGGCCUACUCCCAAGGGUGGCCGAAGGCGCGUCUGAUGCCCCCGCAGCUGCUGUGCCGGGCGCUGAAGAUCCGGCGGAGACAACGGCGGAGGCGGCGGCGGAGGCUCCCGCAGCGGCAGGGCCUUCGCAGGUGGCGUAGGUGGUGUUUAGGGUUGAGGGAUUUUUGGAUGAUGUACUGAAUUUUGGUUGCUGCGCAGGUUCAAGAUUUUGGGCCUGCGCACGCAACCGCUACUACUGGUUUUUUGGCGGCUUCGACCGCGGAAGGUGGAAAUGAAUGUGGUGGGUCUGUUUCUGAGUUUUUUGAUUUUACUGACUCUGGGAGCUCGGCUGAAUGGACCGAGGAGUCGUCGGAGGAGGACUUGGACUAUUUUGCGGCCCUGGACGAGGCUGCGGCGGAGGCUGCGCUACAUGCUGCGGACGCGCCAGGCGUGCCCGGUCCUAGCACCGGGCACCGACGACGAAGGGCGGUUGCGAAGCGUAGGAUUAGUGCGGAGGAAGGGGCUCGUCUUCGCGUUAGUAGGGUUGGUCGGCAGGAGCUGCUGUCUUUGCCGGCCGUCUCGGGUGUGGGGGAAGGGGAGCUGCGAAGCUUUUUGCUGGUGAGGAGCUUAGGAUAAUGUUAUUUAAUUAUAGAGAGAUGGGGAUUAUUCCUAAGGUUGAGCCGAUGUAGGGCGUGGUGCCCUCGCUUGUGUAUGUGCAAGGGUUUGUAAAAUGGAGUGGUGUGCCCUCGCGUGCUUGUGCCUGCGAGGGCGCUGUGUACUUUGACUGGUGUGAUUGAUUGUGCUGUGCCAGUGUGAUUAUAAUUGGUCUUGCUGUCGCUUCUGCUUUUGCCAUACUGGGUCGGCUGCGCCCUUGGGCGGUUUUUGCGGUAGGCUCCGGCUGCGCCUUUUAGGCGACUUCUGCGCGAAAAGCCUUCGCGAUAGACUUUGAUUUUUGCGCACUUGUGGAGCUAAGUCCGGCUGCACCCUUGGGCGACUUCUGCGCGGUUAGUCUUCGCGAUAGACUUCGAUUCUUGCGCACUUGUUGUGCUAAGUCCGGCUGCACCCUUAGGCGACUUCUGCGCGGAUAGUCUUCGCGAUAGACUUUGAUUUUUGCGCACUUGUUGUGCUAAGUCCGGCUGCACCCUUAGGCGACUUCUGCGCGGAUAGUCUUCGCGAUAGACUUUGAUUUUUGCGCACUUGUUGUGCUAAGUCCGGCUGCACCCUUAGGCGACUUCUGCGCGGAUAGUCUUCGCGAUAGACUUUGAUUUUUGCGCACUUGUUGUGCUAAGUCCGGCUGCACCCUUAGGCGACUUCUGCGCGGAUAGUCUUCGCGAUAGACUUUGAUUUUUGCGCACUUGUUGUGCUAAGUCCGGCUGCACCCUUAGGCGACUUCUGCGCGGAUAGUCUUCGCGAUAGACUUUGAUUUUUGCGCACUUGUUGUGCUAAGUCCGGCUGCACCCUUAGGCGACUUCUGCGCGGAUAGUCUUCGCGAUAGACUUUGAUUUUUGCGCACUUGUUGUGCUAAGUCCGGCUGCACCCUUAGGCGACUUCUGCGCGGAUUGGUCGCACGCGAGGGUGGCUAGCGCUUAGCCUCGCGGUGACUUCGAAUUGGUCGAAUGCCGAAGACCGUUGUCGCGGUCUUUUUUCGACACAUGCUUUUGCGGGGGAUUUUUCUCACAUAUAUUACAUGGCUCCGCCUCGUUAAAAACCUCACCCCCCGGGAGGAAAAGAGUGCGGGCCGGUACAAGAUUGUUUGCGGUGAAUUACAAGGGCGAACUCAGCCCUAGGAAUUAAACAAAAAAUUUACGAAGGUUGUCAAUGUUCCAGGAGUGCUCCAGGUCCUCGCCAUCUGGCGUUGCGAGCCUGUAAGCGCUGGGGGAAGCUUUUGUCUUGACUAUGAAGGGGCCCUCCCACUUGGGCUCCAGCUUGCCCUUGGACUCCGUCCGAGCUGUUCGGAUGAGUACGAGGUCCCCGCGCUGAACUCCUUUGGGAUGACUGCGCGGUCGCGCCAUGCUUUGGUCUGGGCUUGGUAUUUGUUUAAGGCCUGCAGGGCGAAGACCCGGUCUCCGUCAAUGAGAUCUUUGGAGGUUGGCUCAUCCACGUCAGGGGUGGCUGACGGAGCUGUGCGCGGAGACCCGUGUUUUAUUUCUUGCGGUGUCAUUGCCUCUGAUCCGUAUAGAAGGCGGAAAGGAGUGAACCCGGUCGCCCUGCACUCGGUUGUGUUCAGCGCCCAGACUGCCUCCGGUAGCAAGUCGGUCCAUCUGCCCUUUUUCUCGUCGAGGAGCAUCUUCUUGAUGGCUGUGAAGAUUUUCCCAUUGGCACGCUCCACGACUCCGUUGGACUGCGGAUGAUAGACUGAAGCGAAGGCAAGCUUGGUGCCAAUGGAAAAACAGAAAUCCUUGAAAUCUUGAUUGUCAAACUGCUUGCCGUUGUCAACUGUUAGCUCGGACGGUACUCCGAAGCGGCAAACAAUGUUCUGCCAAAAGAAUUUUUGGGCAGUCUUUGAUGUGAUUGUGGACACAGCCCUCGCUUCAAUCCACUUGGUGAAGUAUUCGACGGCUACGAAGGCGAACUUGAGGUUCCCCUGAGCGGUGGGCAAGGGCCCGACGAUGUCCAGGCCCCAGCGCUGAAGAGGCCAUGUAUGGGCGACCAGCUUUGUGUAUUGCGAGGGGUUGCCUGACCGAGGAGAGAACUUCUGGCAGGCUUCGCAGGACCUUGCGACUCGAUUUGCGGCGCAGAUCAUUGCAGGCCAGUAAAACCCUUGUCGGAUCACCUUAGCAGCCAGGGCCCUUGGCCCCGCGUGCGAGCCGCAAGUUCCACUGUGGACCUCGCGCAAGAUUUGGAUGCCUUCGGUUUCGGUGACGCAUUUAAGCAUUGGCUGACUGACCCCCUUCUUGUAUAAUUGGCCCUCGAUUAGCGCGAAGUCCCGGCUCCGAUGCUCGAGGCGCUUCGCCUCACUGACGUCGGUUGGGUGAUAGUAUCCCUGUAGAAACAGGGUUAUUGGGGCCCGCCAGUCCUCGGUCAUGAUUAGGUGGACUAUACGGUGGCCCUCGCUAUCAUUUGUUAUUUGGAGCCCUUCGGGGCUCCGGACGGCUGGCGUGCCGAUGGUGUGAAAGAAUACGUCGGAGGGCAGGGGCUCGCCCCUGGCGGCGGCCUUGGCUAAUGCAUCGGCCUCCUCAUUCUUGGCCCUGUCCACAUGCUGUAGGGUGAAUCCCUUGAACUGCCUCUCGAGACUUCGGAUAGCCGCGAGGUAUUGCAUGAGCGCGGGGUCUUUUGCUGCAUAGUCUUUUUCGACCUGACCGGCGACUAUCUUGGAGUCUGUUUUGAUGAUACAGGUGGUGACUCCGAGGGCCCUUAGCUUGCGGAGGCCGAGGAUGACUGCUUCAUACUCUGCUAUGUUGUUUGUACAUUUGUCGGAUUCCAGAGCGAAGCUGAGGCGUGCUGCAUAUCUGUGUUUGACUCCGGCUGGUGAGGUGAUGACUGCAGCGACGCCUGCCCCCGCAUGACACCAUGCACCGUCGCAAUGGAUAGUCCAGACCUUUUUUGUGGAUGGGUCCGGCUGUGUUACUGGCCCAGUCCAGUCGACGACGAAGUCUGCCAGGACUUGCGAUUUGAUGGCUGUCCUGGGCUCGAAGCUGAUAUGGUAGCCGGAGAGCUCGGCUGCCCACUUGGCGAUUCUCACUGAUGCCUCCGGGUUCCUGAAUAGUUCGCCGAGUCCCCUGUCCGAGGUGACUCGGACCUUGAAUGCUUCAAAAUAAUGGCGCAGCUUGCGCGAGGACAUAACAACUGCGUAAGCAAUCUUCUCCAGCUCUGUCAUGUUGCAUUUGGAUGGUGUCAGGACUUCGGAGACAUAAUAAACAGGGCACUGUCUGACUGCGCCUUCGACUGUCUGCUCCUGCACUAGUGCCGCGCUGACCGCGUGCGGCGAAGCCGCGACAUAGAGCAAUAAGGGGAGCGAGGAGUCUGGGCUUGUGAGGAUGGCCAGCUCCGCCAGGUACUGUUUUAAUGAGGCGAAGGCCGCUGCUUGCUCCGGUCCCCAAGCGAAGUCCUUCGCGCCGCGGAGGGUUUUGAGGAAGGGGAGACUUCGCUCGGCGGACCUGGAGAUGAAUCUAUUGAGGGCGGCCAUCCUGCCUGUCAGGCGCUGGACGUCCCUGGCGGACUGCGGAGGCGACAUGUCGACGAUGGCCUGGAUCUUGGUUGGGUUGGCCUCGAUGCCUCGGCGGGACACCAGGUAGCCCAAUAUCUUGCCCUGGCGGACACCGAAAACGCACUUUUCCGGGUUUAGGCGGAGUCGUGCAUCUCGCAUGCUCGCGAAUGUUUCCGCCAGGUCGGCGAGGUGGUCCUCCUUAUUUUUGCUGGCGACGACGAUGUCGUCCACAUAUGUGAAUACGUUUCUGCCGACCUGCCCUUCGAGCACCGUUUUGGUGAGUCUGGAGAAGGUGGACCCGGCAUUCUUGAGACCCUCCGGCAUUCUGACAAAGCAAUAAGUGCCGAAGGGUGUUAUAAAGCUGGUGCUGGCCUUGUCUUCCUCCUUCAUGUAUAUCUGGUGAUAGCCGGAGAAGCAGUCGAGGAGGGACAUGACCUCGCAUCCGGCCGCGCUAUCGACUAUUUUGUCGAUCCGUGGCAACGGGAAAUUGUCCUUUGGGCAGGACUUAUUGAGACUGGUGAAGUCUAUGCACAUGCGCCAUUUUCCGCUUUUCUUCUGCACCAUCACAACAUUGGAGAGCCACGUGGGGUAAGCCACCGGCUCGAUGAAUUUAGCCUCCAGGAGGCGAUGCACCUCCGCCUUGGCGGCUUCUGUCUUUUCAUCUGACAUCUUGCGAAGCUUCUGCUUUUUGGGUCGCACCGAAGGGUCAAUCUCCAGGCUGUGUUCGAUUAUGGCUCGGCUGACUCCGACCAGAUCGAGGGCAGACCAGGCGAAGACAUCUUUAUUCUUGGCCAGGCAGCAGAGAAGUUUCUCUUCUUCAAGUGACGUGAGGUCUUCGCUGAUAGUUACAGUCUGUUUGGGCGUGGCCUGAUCGAGGGGGACAGUCUUGGUCCCGUCUUGGCACUGCAACUGUGCCUUGUCGUGCUGCUUGUCGGUUGGGCUAGCCGGCGCAGGGACUUCGCGCUGGGUCGUGAGACAGUGUACAUUUCUCUGACCGGGCACGAAGUCCCGCUCUAUGUUGCGCGCCGUCUGCUGGUUGCCGUAGAUUGUGAUGGCGCCCAGCGGGCCUGGUAUCUUCAUACAUAGGUACAACCCGUGGAUGGCGGCUUCGAAUUUGUUGAUGGAGCCUCGGCCCAUGAUGGCGUUGUAUGGAUAUACCAUGUCGACAAUGUCGAAGGUUAUUUGCUCACUUCGGGCAUUGGGUGCUACACCGAAGGAGAGGGGCAACUCUAUCUUGCCAACUGGAAAGGUGCCCUUGCCGCCGAAACCAUACAACGGGUUGUCCGAAGGCUUCAGCAAGCUGUGGCUUAUGCCCAUGCGGUCGAAGGCGUGGAGGAAGAUGAUGUCCGCCUGACUGCCGUUGUCGACGAGGACUUUGUGUAAGUCCCAACCUGCCACGCUGCAGUUGAUGACCAUUGCGUCGAUGUGGGGGGGCGCUGCGUAGGUCGACGUCUCGCGCGUCGAAGGUUAGCGGUAUGUGGGACCACUUCGUCUGCACGACUGGGCCAGUGACGGCGACAUGGUUGAUGCUGCGGUAGUGGUCCCGCUUCUGCCGCUUGGUGUCGAAGUCGGUGCUUGACCCCCCUGUUAUCAUGUGAAUGACUCCGCGAUAAGGUUGAUCGGCGAAGUCUUCUUGCUUUGGGGGAUGGGGAAUGUUUUGGUGUUGCUGGUGUGGUGGUGGGGGUGGAGGAGGUACGAUUUGUACUUCCUGAUGAUGUUGGUAAGCGUGGUGCGGUGGAUGCGGAGCGGGGGCGUGGACGUAUGGUGGAGUGGGUGGCUGGUAGUUAUGCGCGACAAUUCUGGGAUUGUCGGCCGGCUGCGCCCUCGCCAUUCUAUCUCUGGUGGCCUUCGUCUCGGGGCAGUCUUUGGUCUGGUGGGCGCAGUCUUCGCCGUGGAAAAGGCAAUAGAACCGGCGCGGCGGCUGCUGCGCCCGCCCUCGACCCCUGCCGCGCGUUCCAUUUCCGCGGCCUUGGGGGGGAUAUUCCUGGCGGCGAGGGGGGUCAGCAGCAGGCUGUUGGUUGACGAUGUUGUGGACUUGCUGCUGACUGCGGCUGUCUCGACUGGAGUCUGGCUGCGAAGUCCUUGUCCACGUGCGGCUGGACUGCGGAGUCUGACUGUUGGGUUUCCGUUGCGACUCGACCUUGCGCUGGUGGAGCUCUUCGGAUUUGGCAUAUUUUUCGAAGAGCUGAUAUAGCUCCUGCAAGCUCUUGGGUGGAUCCCUGAUACAAUGGCUGUAGAGGACGCCGGCCCGAAGGCCAUUGAUGGCGUAGUGGAUAGCGAUCUGAUCGUCGACAGAGGGCAGCUGUGACUUGAGUGUUAAGAACUUGCGGUAAUACUCCCGCAGAGUCUCCUUUUCCAGCUGUUUGCAAAGCGAGAGCUUGGCCAAAGCGUCGGUGUCUGGACGGUACCCUUGGAAGUUGAGGAGGAACUUGUCCCUGAGACUUCGCCACGAAUCAAUGGACAGCGGGGGCAAUCUGGUGAACCAGGUGAGUGCUGGGCCCUCUAGGGCGAUGAUGAAAGACUUUGCCAUUGUGGCCUCGUCCCCUCCGGCUGAUGCAACGGCGACUUGGUAACUCAUGAUGUAUUGCGCCGGAUCGGUGCUGCCGUUGUACUUGGGGUAUGCCCCCGCUCGAAAGUUGGCUGGCCAAGGCGUCACUUGCAGGUGUGGCGCCAGGGGACUUCGCUCGUCGAGGUAGUUGAUCCCUUGGAAUGGCGCGCCGUGCUGGGGGGCGUAGUCAUGCUGGGGGAAACGCGGGUUCUCCGGCUGCGCCCGGUGCUGCAGGGGUUGGCCGUGCUGUCGGCCGAGGUAGCCUUCGCGCAUGUCCUCCGGCUGAGCGCGUUGUUGGAGGGGUGGUUCUUGCUGCAAACCGAGGUGGCCUUCGCGCUGCAUCAGCGCGAUCUCGCGCUCGAGGUCUUGGGCUUUCUGCUCCUCGUCGCGUAUCAUUUGCCGCACUUUGGCUAAUGCGGAAACACGUUGGCGCUUGGCCUCCAGUAUCUCUUUCUGCCUCUGGAGAUUGCGGUUCCUGAGGCGCAGGGCGCGCAGCUGCAGCUGUUCUUCUGUUGAGACGCCGAGGGCCUCACCAUCCUCGGUGAGGUCGGCGCCUUCCAGUGGGGCGAAGCCUGGGGGCGGCUGCGACUGUCCUUCGGUUCCGCAGGUGCGGAAGGUGUCGUCUUCGCCGGUGUGGGGAACAUUGUCCUCAAUGGGCUCUUGGUGGGUGGAUUGGGUGAGGGCGAGGGCCUUGCCCUUUCUUGCGGCCAGCAGUGCUGCCUUCGCAGCCUCGUCAGCCUUGGGGUUAGCUCUCUUGGGUGCCAUCGCGGGUGGUUUUGUCGUAGCACGAACGGUGGGCGCCAAAUGUUGGAACUUGCUCUCUGCUGCAAGUGGGCCAACGGGGGUGAACAAUGGCGACAACAGGGUUACGUGCACGGGGGCAAUAGCUCUGUUGAUCUCGCCUCUCACGGGCACUGUGCGGGGGUAUUUAUAGGUGUCUGAGUGCCCAGCGUCUUGUCUUAAGGACGCAUGUGCCCUCAGACGCCUAGUUUAUCCCCGGAAUAUUCCCAUAAAGCAGGGUUACAAGCUGUAAUUACAAGUAUGCCUUUACAAGUCAGGCCCGUAAUACAGAGGCGGCCACGCGGGGCCCGUUACAAUGGGCCAGAUCACACGUGGGCCUUGGGGCUGAAUGAGGCCGCGCCGUGUGAGGACGUCGCCGCAGGUCUUCGUCAAAGUGUCGAGUCCUGCGAAGGGUGUCCCUGCCCGCUUUGCCUCCGUCGGACCAGCGGCUGCAGCGAAGGCCUGGAGCGAAGGGUGGCGUCUUUGCCUUCGCCCCAACAUUCAUACCAUGCUCUUGGGGCUUGCUUAAGUCCAUAGAGCGCCUUAGAGAGCUUACACACGUGGUCAGGGUACCGUUCAUCCUCGAAGCCAGGGGGUUGCUCCACGUACACCUCCUCCUUGAUUGGCCCGUUGAGGAAGGCACUCUUCACAUCCAUUUGGAAUAACCUGAAAGAAUGGUGAGAGGCAUAUGCUAACAAGAUACGAAUGGACUCUAGCCUAGCCACAGGAGCAAAAGUCUCCUCAAAGUCCAAACCUGCGACUUGGGCAUAACCUUUUGCCACAAGUCGAGCCUUGUUCCUUGUCACCACUCCGUGCUCGUCUUGUUUGUUGCGGAACACCCGCUUGGUUCCCACAACAUUCUGCUUGGGACGAGGCACCAACGUCCAAACUUCAUUCCUCUUGAAGUUGUUGAGCUCCUCUUGCAUGGCCAACACCCAGUCCGGAUCUAGCAAGGCCUCUUCUACCCUGAAAGGCUCAAUAGAAGAGACAAAGGAGUAAUGUUCACAAAAAUUAACUAAUCGAGACCGAGUAGUUACUCCCUUGCUAAUAUCUCCCAGAAUUUGGUCGACGGGAUGAUCCCUUUGAAUCAUCGCUCGAACUUGGGUUGGAGGUGCCGGUUGCGUUUCUUCCCCCAUCACAUGAUCAUCUUGUGCUCCCCCUUGAUCACACAUCUCCUGUUGAUGAACCUGUUCAUCGUCUUGAGUUGGGGUAUGCACCAUAGUUGAGGAAGAAGGUUGAUCUUGUUCAUCUUGUUCCUGUGGCCGAACUUCUCCAAUCGCCAUGGUUCGUAUAGCGGCCGUCGGAACAUCUUCUUCAUCUACAUCAUCAAGAUCAACAACUUGCUCUCUUGGAGAGCCAUUAGUCUCAUCAAAUACAACGUCGCUAGAGACUUCAACCAAACCCGAUGAUUUGUUGAAGACUCUAUACGCCUUUGUAUUUGAGUCAUAACCUAACAAAAACCCUUCUACAGCUUUGGGAGCAAACUUAGAAUUUCUACCCUUCUUCACUAGAAUGUAGCACUUGCUCCCAAAUACACGAAAGUAAGAUACAUUGGGUUUGUUACCGGUUAGUAGCUCAUACGACGUCUUCUUGAGGAGGCGAUGAAGGUAGACCCUGUUGAUGGCGUGGCAAGCCGUGUUCACGGCUUCAGUCCAAAAGCACUCGGGGGUCUUGAACUCUCCUAGCAUCGUCCUCGCCAUAUCGAUGAGCGUCCUGUUCUUCCUCUCUACCACACCGUUUUGCUGUGGUGUGUAGGGAGCGGAGAACUCGUGCUUGAUCCCUUCCUCUUCAAGGAACUCCUCCACUUGAAGGUUCUUGAACUCGGACCCGUUGUCGCUCCUUAUCUUCUUCACUUUGAGCUCAAACUCAUUUUGAGCUCUCCUGAGGAAGCGCUUGAGGGUCCCUUGGGUUUCAGACUUAUCCUGCAAAAAGAACACCCAAGUGAAGCGGGAAAAGUCAUCAACCACUACACCAUGACACAAUUUUAGCGUCAAACAUCUGACGGUAAAAAUAGAUGUUUGGCGACAGCAAGUAUGUCACAAAAUAAUACCAUCACACUAUCUGUCGGUAAUUAUUGCGUUGGCGUCAACAAAUCUGUCGGCAAUAAUUUCGAGUUAUUGUGGCGGUUCAUCUGUCGGUAUAAAUGGUUAUGCGUGGCACACCGACUGUCGGGAAAACAUAGCAUCAGAUCAUCUGUCGGUACAUGAAUGUCUUGAGUAAUUAAUAAAUUAAUUUCAACUAAUAUAUUUAAGUAAUUACUAAAUUUCAACUAAUAUAUUUAUAUACUGUACGACUGUACCAAUUAAGCUCCUGCCCACGCCUGGCCUGUGGGCAGCACGCUACAAGCCUAAAAGGCAACAAAAAAAAAAGACAAAAGCAACCCAGGAUUCGAACCUGGCACCAAUCGCUCCUAAGGAACAACUCAAACCAGCUGAGCUAGAGUUCACUUGUGUUACAUGGUGGAGAAAUAUUCUUAAGAAGUAAGAUCUAUAGGAAUAAAUUAAUGAACCGUUUUCCCUGGCCGAAGCGCUCUCUGUUAUUCUGUACGCAUCUUCUCCUAUCCGUGAGUCCUAAACCACCGCGCCGCUGCCAAAAACCUAAACCACCGCGCCGCUGCCCCCGACGCCGUCUUACUUCGCCCUGUUCUUGCCCCUUGAGACUCGGACCUCCAGCCGCCUGUCCUGUGGUGCGCAGACGUGUUCUUGCUCCUGUAGGAUCUUUGAUCUCUUGUUGCUCGGCUAAUCAAAACGGAAGCGCCACCAUCUCUGGACUUCGACCACAGGCGACGGUGCACGCCCUGCGCCGACGCGUCCUCCUCCGGUCCCUCCCCCAUCGACCACCGCAGCACCGUCCAACGCUGUGCCCUGUGAUCGUGCGGUGGUGUAGUCUGCUGCUGGUGCCCAAGACUGAAGAAAGAUAGUUCAGGUUUCAGAAUAUUUAUUAGUGCCAUUGUAAAUUUGUGAUAAAAAAUUUAUGGUGAAGAACUGAAGAUAUUUAUUUGUGUUUGGCAUAAGUCUACUGCUGCUGCUAGCGAGGACGAGGGCGGGCGCCGGACCACCUGAAGGAGAAGUGCGUGAACAACGCUUGGACGACAUCCAUUGAUCAGUGGUAAUCUUUACUUGUUACUUUUCCAUCUCCUGUUGAUUUGCACCGGAAAAAACUAAUUAAUUCAGCUUUUAUCUUUGAUACUUGUAAUGAUUCGUCCUUUUCCACCCUUUUUGCACUUACAUUAUGAAGCUGUGAAGGGUACAUUUCAUCUUAUUAUUUGUUAAGGUACAACAUGGAUAAAAGGUGGAUGAAUGAACCUAGGUAUAUUUCUAACAAUGUACUAUAAACCAUUAUUUUGUAGUAAUCACCUUUGACCAACAUAUUGUUAUUGUACCUAAUAUUUAUAGGCACACAAAGGUCUACAUAGAUGGGGUAGUUGGAUUUAUUGAGUUUGCGUUUAGCAAUUCUAUAAGUGGAAACAAAAUUCUAUGUCCAUGUAGAAAAUGUGUUAAUUCUCUAUGGAAAGAUGAAAAUGAAGUUCGUGCGCACUUGAUAUGUGAUGGCUUUCAAGAGGGAUACAAAAGGUGGACUUAUCAUGGGGAAAGAGACUCUGUGCCUAUUAAUAGUCAUGACUACACUGAUACAGAGGCUGUAAACAAUUCAGACGAAGAUGACAUAGCCAAUUUGGUUCAUGACUUAGCUGGUGGUCUAGAUGAUAAAGGGGAUUUUGAAGUAUCUGAUGGUUUAGAUGAAACUGAUGUAGAUUUAGAAGCCAUCAAUCAGUUAGCGAUAGAUAAUACCCAAGACCUAUACCCCGGGUGUAAGAAGUUCUCAAAGUUGCAUUUCUUAAUAAGAAUUCUUCACUUGAAAUUGCUUGGAGGGUGGACAGAUAAAAGUUUUGAUAUGCUACUAGAUCUACUAAUGGAGGCUUUCCCUGAUGGCUUGGCAUUACCAAAAAAUUUCAAUGAAGCAAAGAAAGUAAUUAAGUGUCUAGGACUCGGGUAUAUCAAAAUUGAUGCAUGUGAAAAUGAUUGUAUUUUGUUUAGGAAGGAGUAUGCUAAGUAUGAUGCAUGUCCCACAUGUGAAAGGUCACGCUGGAAAUCAAAAAGGAUAAGUUUAAAUGGAAAACGUGUACACAAGGUUCCAUGCAAAGUUCUUCGUUAUUUUCCAAUAAAAAGAAGGCUUCAGAGGUUAUUUCUGUCAUCUAAGAUAGCAAGUGACAUGAGGUGGCAUGAUGAGGAGCGUAUACAAGAUGGAUUACUAAGGCAUCCUGCAGAUUCACCUCUCUGGAAGGAUUUUGACCAAAAGCACCCAGUGUUUGCUUCUGACAGUCGCAACAUUAGACUUGCUUUAGCUACAGAUGGUUUUAAUCCGUUUAGGUCCAUGAAUGUUAGUUAUAGCAUUUGGCCUGUUAUUCUCAUCCCAUAUAACUUUGCACCAUGGUUGUGUAUGAAGCAAACGAAUUUCAUUAUCUCAUUGCUCAUUCCAGGCCGUAGAUCUCCUGGUAGUGAUAUAGAUGUUUAUUUUGAGCCACUAAUUGAUGAUCUGCUAGAUAUGUUUGUUGAAGGGGUGAGAACAUAUGAUUCUGCAAAGCAUGAGUAUUUUCAAUUACGUGCUGCAAUAAUAUGGACCAUAUCUGAUUAUCCAGGCCUAGGGUACAUUGCAGCAUGUACUACAUCAGGUGAAGUAGCAUGUAUUGAAUGCCACUCAUAUACAUGUUCUCUACGAUUGAAACAAGGUACAAAAAAUUGUUAUAUGGGACACCGUAGAUUCCUGGGCCCAAACCAUCCAUAUAGAUUUGAUCUAGAUUCGUUUGAUGGUAAAGUUGAGGACAGGCCAGCGCCUAGACCACUUUCUGGAGAGGAAGUUUUAUUGCAAACAGAGAAUAUGCACACAGUGCAUGGGAAAGGUUGCCAACAUAAAAAGAAAGCAAAAAAGAAGGAAGGGGAGCCUCCUAUCAUAUGGAAAAGGAGGUCUAUUUUUUUUAGGCUUCCAUAUUGGAAGGAUUUAAUGUUACGACAUAAUUUAGAUGUCAUGCAUAUCGAGAAGAAUGUGUGUGAUAACAUUGUCAACACCCUCCUAGGCAUUCAACGGAAGUCCAAGGAUAACUUGAAAUAUCGUUUGGAUCUUCAGUCCCUAGGCAUUCGAACUGAGCUUCAUCCUAUUCCAGUGGGUGACAAGUUAUAUUUACCACCAGCAUCAUAUACAAUGAGUGCAUCUGAGAAGACGUUAUUUUGUGAGGUAUUGAAAGGAGUAAAAUUUCCAGAUGGAUAUGCAUCAGAUAUAAGAAACAAUGUGGAUGUGAAGGAGAAGAAGCUUGUUGGGCUAAAGAGCCAUGAUAACCAUGUUCUGUUACAGUAUUUACUCCCACUUGCUGUGAGAAGGAUUUUACCAGAAAUAGUUAGUGCUGCACUGAUUCGUGUGAGCAAUUUUUUCAAGCAAAUCUAUUCGCCAGUUAUUCGUAUAAGCGAUAUGCAUAAGCUAGAGUCAGAAAUAGCUGAGACUCUAAGCAUUCUUGAGACUAUAUUCUUGCCAUCCUUUUUUGAUAUUAUGGUACACUUAAUGGUUCAUCUCCCUACUCAAGUCAGAAUUGCUGGCCCUGUUCAAUUUCGUAAUAUGUACCCAGUGGAGAGGUAAAUUUUGAUAUAUUUUAGAAAUAAAUUAAACUUAGUUUUACUCAAAGGGAGGUUUAACAUAUAUGCCAUUUCUCCUUUAUAGGUUUUUAAUGAGAUGUAAGGGCCAUGUUCGCACUAGGAGUCACCCAGAAGGGUCAAUUGCAGAAAGUUAUCUAUUUGAUGAGAGUCUCACAUUCUGUUCUCGCUAUUUACAUUGUGAAACUAGAUUUAACCGGAAAAAAAGAAAUGAUGAUGGCUUGGAUGUUGAUUUAAUCAAUACCACCCCUUUCUUCCAUAACAUAGGUCGUGGAUUGGUUGGUAAGCGUAGUGUCACAUUAGACCACAAAACAUGGCUUCAAGCACAUAGAUAUGUCUUGUUCAACUAUGACCAUAUAGAGCCUUACUUGAAGUAAGUUGAACAUUAUAUUUUAUAAUCAAUAUCAUUCAUUUAUUUCAUGAUUACUAAAUUAUAAUGUUUGUUUAGGAAACAUAUAGAAUACCUUUACUCUGCUGGUCAUCAAAAUCAAAGAGCAAUCAGUCGUUUACACUAUGAGACUUUUCACGAGUGGUUUAAGUCACAUGUAAGUAUCUAGGAAAAUGUUUAUAUAGAAUAUAGUUCCACAUUAUUUUUUUAGUACAAUAACAAUCUUCAAAAUCAUCAGGUGGAAACAACGAGUGAGGAAGUACCUGAGGAGAUAACAAUAUUAGCUAAGGAGCCUAACAUGGUUGCACAUUCUUAUGAUAGUUAUUCUAUAAAUGGGAUAAAUUUCCAUACACAUUCUUAUGAUGUGGGUAGGUCAGUGCAGUGUAGUGGUGUAGCCCUAGUUGCACAUGCAACAAGUUUUGAUGGGACAAACAAUAAUAACCCAGUAUCAAUGAGCAAAACUUAUUAUGGUGUUAUAAAAGACAUUCUUGAGCUGAACUACCAUCACCAGGGAAAAAUAGUAUUGUUCAAAUGUGAUUGGAUUGAUAACCGAGUACGAGACAAAUGGGUCAAAAUAGACAAGUUUGGGGUGACAAUGGUCAACUUCAAGCAUUUAUUCAAUACCGGUGACAAGGAAUUAGAUGAGCCAUUUAUUUUUGCAUCUCAGGCAACUCAAGUUUACUAUGUGCAAGAUCCUAUUGAUGCUGAUUGGUUUGCUGUUUUAAAGUCAAAACAACGUGACAUGUAUGAUAUGGAAGAAAGGCUAGACAAUAGUACAGAAAUAGGUUCUUUCUUGCCAGAUUUGGAUGCAAACACACAAGUUAAUGUAUCUUUUGGUGGUAGUUGUGUUAGGACUGAUAUAGAUGGAAUAAUGAUUGCCGAAAACCAACCUAGCAAGUAAGAUAUGUUUAUAUCUGUUUACACAAAAAUGUUUCAUUUUACGUUGUAAUCUCUUUGUCUUGAUUGUAAUCUCUUUAUGUCUUGAUUCAGGAGGAAAGUUUGUAAGAGGAAGAGGAAUGGGUAAAGAAACGGAGGUCAAUGAAUAUGAACUACAAAGGGCUGCCAACAUAAAAGAAAAUAUGAAGAGGAUGAGAUCUCUUAAUCUCCAUGUACCUAGUACUAUGGUUAAUAAAGAAGGAAAUGGAUCACAUCGAGCCAAUAAGAAACAUAAGGUUAAUAUAUUUCCCUAUUUAAUAAGUUCAUGUUUUUUACAUUUAAUUUAAUAGUACAGUUAUAGAGUUUCCAAAACCAAGCAAAUUUCAUGUGUUGAGAUUUUCAAGUUUUGAAGAGAAAUUUGGAGUAAAUUGCAGAUUUCCAACUUGAUACAGUUUUGGUUCAGCUAAAAACAGUUUGCUUUACCUAUUUCUGGACCCCUGUAUGAUUUAAUCUGGGGGAUUUUGGCAAAAGGUUGCUAUAGUAAACUUGUAGAUUAACUAUAGGAGAACAACUUUUAUUAAGUGUUAAAGCUCUAAAUUUAUAUGGAAUUGGUAUAAAAAGGAGUCUAAAGAUGUAGUGUUCAGUUUGGAAAAUCAGACUUAAAUUCAGUCCUGCUGAUUUUUCAGUCUGAAGCAGAUUUGGGAUACUCCUUAAGGGCUGAUCCAUGUAGUUCUGGGCUGUGAGUGCUGUACCAAAGUGGAAGACCAUACUUUGGUGUGCAAGUUGGAUUAAGGGUAAUGCCACUAAAACCAGUUGGAACUGACAGUAACAGUAGUUCAAAGAUUCAAUGUGCUAAAUCUGAAAUUCAGACUUAGUCUUGUUUCAGCACACAGACAUUGUGUGUUUGGCUCAACUUUGGAGCUCUCUAGUGCUUGAUCCUUGGAGUAUUAAGCCAUAUCUUUAUAAGAAGAGUUGAAGAACAUAUAUUAGUGUGCAAGUUUGAUGUAGGGAGGUAGCUCUGUCCCUAUAAAAGAUGAAUUUGGCUCUGCAGUCGAACUGAAGAAGUUCAGUGCAGUUAGUGUAGUCUGAAUUUUCAGACUCGAAAUAGUAUCUGGCAGAGACUGAAUUUCAGUGUUAGUGAUCAGUUUAGAGUCUUGGUGCAGCAAAUUCUUGUGGUUUUGGACUGAGAAUUCUGUAGCAAAAUGGAAAAAUAAAGAAUAAAUCAAAUGACAUGCAUUAGAAACCAAAUAUCCAAAACUAGAUACUUUCAGUUGGGAGUGAGGCUUCUAGACAUCAGGCAUCCAUCCCAUACACAUCUCAGCCUAUAAACACAAACAAGGGCGAGCAGCAGGAGAUGAUCUUGUUCAGUUUCCAAACCAAACUCUGAACGUGACUGAAACAGCCCUGCUGCACCAUCUGCACCUCCCUAUUCAAGCCUUGUUAUUGCACAAAUCACCAUGGCAACAAACCCAUCCCUUUCAACCAAAAGCAUUCUCCAACCAUAGCUCUAUUAGUUUGUUGCAUUAGUCCAAGACCAAAAAUGAAAGGAUCAAAAGUUACAGUGCCCCAAAGUACAGCCAAUGUCACUGAAAAUUCAGUUUCAGAAAUCUGAAACAGCAUCACACUGAGUCUCACAGAGGGUUUUGUCACUCCUUUUUCUCCAAAUUCUACACAAUAACAAGUCAACCCUUUGCAUAAACAUUGUUCCCAUUCAUAUGGACUUUGACUUUACUACAUAACUCUUAACUAAAAUCUCCAUAAAUUAAUUAUCAUAGAGCUCCAAACUGGGCAACUUGCUGCCAUUCAGGUUUCAGAACUGAAUUAAAAUUCAGUUAUUAACCAAUCUGAAACUUCAGAAAUACGUGUCAUUGAAAUAUAACGAAUCUGAAUUUGUGUUAAGUUCAACUACUCUAUGUUUGACCAAUUCUGCAAAGAAAUCAUUAACACUUACAAUCGGCAGAGAAACCAAGUCUGAAUUUGUGCUAAGUUCAACUACUCUAAGUUUGACCAAGUCUGAAUUUGUGCUAUGUUGCUUGUAUCUAGAUGAUCUUUAAUUAGUUUAAACAUGCACAUACAAUUUCGCAUGCUAGAUCUAUUGAUUCUCUCAUUAUUACUCGGGCAUGUACUCCUCAUGUCUUGACGAUUAGUAAUGUUUUCAUUUCUUUGUGUGUAGACGAGGACAUUAGCAGCUUCAACUAAUGGUCCUACUUUGCGAUCAAGGACUGAAAGGGAUAUUGUUGAUGAUAACCACGAGGAUAGUACUUCUGAAAAUAGUUAUGAAGAAUCUGAAAAUCCCAUCAAUGAUGAAGGUAAAAAUCAAACAAACUUUAAAUUUAUUGUAGCAAUUUUGAAAAUAGUUAUCUAGAAAGGUUUUCAUCUGUUUUAUCUUCUGUAAUAAGCAGAGCAACCUAUUGGGCAUCAAAAUAUAAGGAAAGGAAGGGGCCCAACCUUGAAGAAGAACAUAUAUUCAAGUAGUGGUGGGCCUAAAAUCUGCAUUACCCUUAAUGAAUAUGGACAACCAGUUGGUAGGAACAGCAAAGAGUUUGGUAAUUUCAUAGGAACUUUGGUGAGGAAAAAUAUCCCGGUUUCUUGUGAGGAUUGGAGACUAGUUGAUUCUAAAAAGAAGUUUGAGUUAUGGACAAAAGUGAAGGUAAUCUGAUUUAGUGAGAUAAUUUGGCUUAGCCUAUUGUCAGUAGAUUUGGUAAUCAACUACAUUUUUGUUGAAACAGGAAUACUAUGAAGUGGAUGAAUCUGGUAUAGAUUAUGUUAUAACAUCUGCAGCAAAAAAGUGGAGAGAGUUUAAGGCCGACCUAAAGAGCAAAUAUUUUGAUGAAACAUUGAGUUUUGAAGAGCUUAUUGCUAAAAGGGAUGAAAGGGUGAAAGAAUCUGAUUGGGAGUGGUUGAUAACUUAUUGGAUGUCUCCAGAAGCCGAGGUACAUGCUGAUUUGUUUUGAAUUGCUUUUUGAGAUAUAAACCUUCAUUAAACUAUUGUAUGAAUGAAUUUGUAUUAUUGUUUUGAUAGAUUCAUAUUUAUGUUGUAGGUUCGUACAAACAGAGGUAAAGAUAAUCGUUCAAAGCUGACUAUGUCGCAUGCAGCUGGUAGCAAGAGUUAUGCUCGUGUGGGGCAUGAACUGGUAAAAAAAUUAUAAUCACUAGUUUGUAUAAUCAUUAGUUUAAUUUAUGAAAAUUCUAGUCAAUUACUGGACCAAAUCAUGUUUUCUUGUAGGCCGAGCAACAAGGACGCCCUGCGAGAAGAGAUGAAAUAUAUGUUAGAACACACACGCGUAAGAACAAAGAAGGGGAUAUUGUGCCUCUACCUGGAGCAGAAAUAUUCAUUGUGAGUACACACAUAUUUUUGAUUUGUGUAAUAAUUAAAAUAUAAGUGAACAAAAUAUAAUAUAUGUGUGGUCCUCUUAAGAAUAAAUUUGAAGAAGCUGUUGCUGAGAACCCAGAACUGAAGGACAGAAGUAUUGAAGAUGGUGAUUUAUAUGCACAUGUUUUUGGAGAGAAAGAACCAAGAGGUCGUAUUCGUGGUUUAGGCUUAGGACCAACUCCACAAGAUGUAGGCACUCCUGGAACUCAAAUGAAAAUAUCAACAAAGCUUCAAAUGGCAUUGCAAGCUCGCAGUCAGUCUGAGCAAGAGGUUAGAGCCUUAAGACAGGAUAUGAAUCAAAUGAAAGAGAAAAUGGAUCAAAUUUAUCAAAUGAUGGUAGCAGCUCAAGGGGUGCAACAUAUAGAAAGCCCAUCACAACAUGGGUCUAAUUCUCGACAGGUGAUAUAAUAUUGCAUAUGUUUAGCCAGUGUAGCAUAUAUCGAGCAGUUCGCCGUCUAUCUUGUUAAUUAGGCUUGUUUCCUUUAUCUCACUAACACUUUUUCCCUUUUUAUUUUUCUUUAGAACUCAAGGGUGCAUCGGUCAGAUGAGGUGGCACAUGGUUACAAUGGUAAUGACCAUUCACCAAAUAUGGUUGAAGAUGACUUGCACCUUACUAGGCGAGUUGCAAGCACUAUGGGCCGUCCAAGGAAUCGUGAAGAUGUUAAUACUAUUGAAGAGCAAAGUCGCAGGCGAGACAUUGCAACAACGGUACCUCAAAGAAAUCAUGGAUCGCCUCAAAAUGCAGAUGAUAAUCAUGUAAUUUCUCAUCUAUCACUUCAUAUUUAUGUUUCAUUAUUAUUUGAACUUUGUAAUCUUACUUCGCAUAUUUUAUUAGGUUGGUAAAGAAGUCAUAUUAUAUUCUAUGAUGAGAUCAGAAGUUCCUGUUGCAAUAGCAAAUAUUAUCUCAACCGACCCAACCACAAAGGUUGCAGAUGUUCCUCUUGGAAGGGAGUUUACACAGGUUUUUGUGACUCGUGUGCUAAAAAGGGAAAGUACUCUACCACGACCAUACUUAGGUGUAGAGAGUAUGGGGGAUGCUCUUUUUAUGCCCGUUGCAUGGCCAACGAACAAGGUAAUACUACAACCUUGUAUUUUAUUUAUGUAAUUAAUAGAACAAGCUUCUAAUGUUCUAUAUUUUUAGAUGAGUCGUAAUAAAAAAUCAACAUUGACCCAAGGUUCUACAGCAGCAGCAGGUAAAUAUUUUCUUCAUAUAUAUUUGUGUAUAAGUGUAGAGAUGGAUUAAAAACUGAGUGAAUGGUACUAUUGCAUAACUGUGCAUCUGAAUCAUUCUCUGAUUUUGUAGACAAUUCUUGUCUCUAAUAUGUAAUUGUUUGCAAUGGAUCAUAAUUGUUUGCUUGGAUGUUUGGCUCUUCUGCUGGUGCUUUAGGAAACCUCCUAGGUGGCAUUGCUCUCAGCUAUUUUUCUCCCAAAGUCUUGUUUCUGUUUUUCACAAUCCUUCUCCAGCUCUUCAGUACAUCACUUCAGCUCAGUUCUGUUCAUUUCUGUUUUGUUCAGUACAUCAUUUCUGCUCAGUUCUGUUCAUCAGUACAUUAUUUCUGCUCAGUUCUGUUCGAUCAGUUCAGUUCUGUUCAGCCACUCGGUUGAUACAUUUUCUGGUUACAAGCCAUUCACUGAUGCAACACUUUAGCAUAAUCUAAAAUCUGAAAUCUGAAAUCUGUAAUAGCUUCAGGAACUCGGUUUAUACCAAACCUCCUAGGUGGCAUUGCUCUCAGCUAUUUUUUCCCAAAGUCAUGUUUCUGUUUUUUUUGCAAUCCUUCUCUUGCUGCAGUUCUUCAGUACAUCACUUCAGCUCAGUUCAGUUCUGUUUUGUUCAGUACAUCAUUUCUGCUCAGAUCUGUUCAUCAGUACAUCAUUUCUGCUCAGUUCGGUUCGAUCAUUUUAGUUCUGCUCAGUUCUGUUCAGCCACUCGGUUGAUACAUUUUCUGGUUACAAGCCAUUCACUGAUGCAUCUCUUCAACAAUCAGGUAGUAGACAUGAAUCUGAAAUCUGCAAUCUGAAAUCUGUAAUAACUUCAGGAACUCGGUUGAUACUAGGAAUCUGAAAUCUAUACACAUAAAUCAUUCACUCACACAUGUUGAAAUAGCUUCAGGAACUACUCUAUACAAUCUAUACAAUCACUUCCAUGUCGAAAUAGCUUCAGGAACUACUCUAUACAAUCUCUGAAAAAAACACUAUGAAAAGAAUUCUUGAAGGCCACCAGCUUGAAGGCGCCCGGCUUGAACCAUCACAUCUUCUACGACGAUGCAAGCGAGAUCAUUUGUUGGAUCAGAGAUCAAUGACUGAGAUUGUAUAUGUGCACUAUAUAUAUGCACCUCUCCAUCAUUUGCAUUGGAUAUUUUCCCUUCUUUGUAAUCAUGUGCAUUCAUUACAUAAAUAUAUGUAUUAAUAGACCUUUAUUGCACUUUCAGUUUGUAUUUUCUGUUGGGAGUUUAUAGACCUGCUGAUACAAUAAUUGACAUAUUAUCAAAUUAUGUUGUAGGAAGAGGAGCUGGAAGCAAGGAUCAGAUUGCUUGAAGUGUGAAAAAAAUGAUUACUCGCAUGCAUGCUAGCUGUUGGCGUAACACCCAGCCGAUGGAGAGAUUUUAGUUUGCUAGAUGUAUAUUUAUACUUUUGCAUGUAAUAGAACUGAAAGAUCACUUCAAAAAAUUAGGAAAUUCGUGUAUGCUAUUAUUUUUAUAUGUUCAUCACAGGAAUCGUGUUCUAAACAAAUAUAUGUUGGAAUUCAAAGUCAAAGAUUGAUCUCUUUCUUUUACUAAUCAAAUUUCAUAUAUUCUGAGCUAAAUAUUAUUCAAGUUGUCCUGCAAUGUGCAUCAUAAUCGGUUUAUUAUUUGUUUCAUUAGCAUAUAUUUGUAUGCAUGGAUUAUUUUUUUUAAACUGCACAUAGGGAAUAACAUCAGACAAUCUGUCGGCAUAUAGACUUUUAGCGACACACAAGCCGUCGACACAUAUAUGUCUGUCGGCAAAAGUAUGUCUGACGGCAAUGAUAUGUCUGUCGGCAAAAACAUAAACAUUGCCGACAGAUAGUAUGUCGGUACAUAUAUGUCUGCCGGUAAAGCGUAUUGCCGACAGGACUUUCGCCGACACACAUUAUCUGUCGUUAAAACUUUUUACCGACGGACUGUGAGACGUUAUUCAGGUGUUUUACCAUCAGAUAGUUCGUAGGCAAUAAUGUGUCAUGGUGUAGUGAACAAUAACUAGACCAUACUUACUUCCUCCUAUGCUCAGAUAGGCGACGGGUCCGAAGAGGUCCAUAUGCAGCAGCUCCAAUGGUCUUGAGGUGGUCAUCACAUUCUUGCUGUGAUGUGCUCCUCCCACUUGUUUACCUGCUUGACAAGCUGCACAAGGUCUAUCUUUUUCGAAUUGAACGUUAGUCAGACCUAUUACGUGUUCUCCCUUUAGAAGCUUGUGAAGGUUCUUCAUCCCCACAUGUGCUAAGCGGCGAUGCCACAGCCAGCCCAUGCUAGUCUUAGCUAUUAAGCAUGCAUCUAGACCGGCCUCUUCUUUUGCAAAAUCAACUAAAUAAAGUUUGCCGUCUAAUACACCCUUAAAAGCUAGUGAACCAUCACUUCUUCUAAAGACAGACACAUCUACAUUUGUAAAUAGACAGUUAUAUCCCAUAUUGCAUAAUUGACUAACCGAUAGCAAAUUAUAUCCUAGAGACUCUACUAAAAACACAUUAGAGAUAGAGUGCUCAUUAGAAAUUGCAAUUUUACCUAACCCUUUUACCUUGCCUUGAUUCCCAUCACCGAAUAUGAUUGAAUCUUGGGAAUCCUUAUUCUUGACGUAGGAGGUGAACAUCUUCUUCUCCCCCGUCAUAUGGUUUGUGCAUCCGCUGUCAAUAAUCCAGCUUGAACCCCCGGAUGCAUAAACCUGCAAGGCAAAUUUAGGCUUGGGUUUUAGGUACCCAACUCAUGUUGGGUCCUACAAGGUUAGCACAAAUAUUCUUAGGGACCCAAAUGCAAGUUUUGUCUCCCUUGCAUCUUGCCCCUAACUUCCUAGCAAUUACCUUUCUAUCCUUUCGACAAAUUGCAAAGGAAGCAUUCAAAGCAUGAUAUAUUGUAGAAGGCUCAUUAACUUUCCUAGGAAUAUUAACAACAUUUCUCCUAGGCAUAUUAUGAACAACAUCCCUUCUACCAACAUUUUUAUCAUGCACAUAUGAAGAACUAGAAGCAAACAUAGCAUGAGAAAAAUCAUCGUACGUAUUAUAACUCCUAUAAGCAUUUCUAGUUUGUCUCCUAUCAUGAUACAAAAAGGCAUGGUUCUUUUUAGCACUAGUUGCCAUAGGGGCCUUCCCUUUCUCCUUAGCGGGAAUGGGAGCCUUAUGGCUUGUUAAGUUCUUGGCUUCCCUCUUGAAGCCAAGUCCAUCCUUAAUUGAGGGGUGUCUACCGAUCGUGUAGGCAUCCCUUGCAAAUUUUAGUUUAUCAAAUUCAUUCUUGCUAGUCUUAAGUUGGGCAUUAAGACUAGCCAAUUCCUCAGUUAAUUUAGAAAUUGAAACUAAACGAUCACUACAAGCAUCAACAUCGAAUUCUUUACACCUAGUACAGAUCUCAACAUGUUCUACACAAGAAUUAGAUUUACUAGCUACUUCUAGUUUAGCAUUUAAGUUAUCAUUAACACUCUUUAAAGUAGCAAUGGUUUCAUGACAAGAAGAUAGUUCACUAGAAAGCACUUCAUUUCUUUUAACUUCUAAAGCAUAAGACUUUUGUGCCUCUACAAAUUUGUCAUGCUCUUCAUACAAAAGGUCCUCUUGUUUUUCUAAGAGUCUAUCUUUUUCAUUCAAGGCAUCAAUCAAUUCAUUAAUUUUAUCUACUUUAGUUCUAUCCAAUCCCUUGAACAAACUAGAGUAAUCUAUUUCAUCAUCACUAGACUCAUCAUCACUGGAAGAAUCAUAAGUGACAUUGUUUUGAUUACAUACCUUCUUCUCCCUUGCCAUAAGGCAUGUGUGACGCUCGUUGGGGAAAAGGGAUGACUUGUUGAAGGCAGUGGCGGCGAGUCCUUCAUUGUCAGAGUCGGAGGAGGAGCAAUCCGAAUCCCACUCCUUUCCGAUAUGUGCCUCGCCCUUGGCCUUCUUGUAAUGCUUCUUCUUUUCCCUCUUGCUCCCGUGUUCCUGGUCACUAUCAUUGUCGGGACAGUUAGCAAUAAAAUGACCAAGCUUACCGCAUUUGAAGCAUGAUCGCUUUCCCUUGGUCUUAGUCUUGCUUGGCUGUCCCUUGCGACCCUUUAGUGCCGUCUUGAAUCUUUUGAUGAUGAGGGCCAUCUCUUCAUCAUUAAGACCGGCCGCCUCAAAUUGCGCCACCUUGCUGGGUAGCGCCUCCUUGCUCCUUGUUGCCUUGAGAGCAAUGGGUUGAGGCUCAUGGAUUGGGCCAUUCAACGCGUCGUCCACGUACCUCGCCUCCUUGAUCAUCAUUCGCCCGCUUACAAAUUUUCCAAGAAUUUCUUCGGGCGACAUCUUGAUGUACCUAGGAUUUUCACGAAUAUUGUUCACCAAGUGAGGAUCAAGAACGGUAAAUGACCUUAGCAUUAGGCGGACGACGUCGUGAUCCGUCCAUCGCGUGCUUCCGUAGUUCCUUAUUUUGUUGAUAAGGAUCUUGAGCCGGUUGUAUGUUUGUGUCGGCUCCUCGCCCCUUAUCAUCGCGAAUCGUCCGAGCUCGCCCUCCACCAACUCCAUCUUGGUGAGUAAGGUGACAUCAUUCCCCUCAUGAGAGAUCUUGAGGGUGUCCCAAAUCUGCUUGGCAUUGUCCAAGCCGCUCACCUUGUGAUACUCAUCCCUGCACAAAGAGGCUAGCAACACAGUAGUAGCUUGUGCAUUUUUAUGGAUCUGUUCAUUAAUAAACGAAGGGCUAUCCGAGCAAUCAAAUUUCAUUCCACUUUCCACAAUCUCCCAAAUGCUUGGAUGGAGAGAAAAUAGGUGAGUACGCAUUUUGUGACUCCAAAAACCGUAGUCCUCUCCAUCAAAGUGAGGAGGCUUGCCAAGUGGAAUGGGGAGCAAAUGAGCAUUUGAGCUAUGCGGAAUGCGCGAAUAAUCAAAAGAAAAGUUUGAGUUAACCGUCUUUUGUUUGUCAUAGUCGUUGUCGUUGUUAUCCUUUUGGGAAGAGGAAGAUUCGUCGCUGUCGUCGUAGUAGACGAUCUCCUUGAUGCGCCUUGUCUUCUUCUUCUUCCCUUCCUUCCGUCUAUGGCCCGAGCCGGAGUCGGUAGGCUUGUCAUCUUUGGGCUCGUUGACGAAGGACUCCUUCUCUUUAUCGUUGAUCACGAUUCCCUUCCCCUUAGGAUCCAUCUCUUUGGGCGGUUAGUCCCUUUCUUGAAGAGAACGACUCUGAUACCAAUUGAGAGCACCUAGAGGGGGGGGGUGAAUAGGUGAUCCUGUAAAACUUAAACUUAUAGCCACAAAAACUUGUUAAGUGUUAGCACAAUAAUUGCCAAGUGGCUAGAGAUGAGUCUCAACAAAACACAAUACCACAAGAGAUCAAACACAGAGAUGACACAGUGGUUUAUCCCGUGGUUCGGCCAAGACCAACGCUUGCCUACUCCACGUUGUGGCGUCCCAACGGACGAGGGUUGCAAUCAACCCCUCUCAAGCGGUCCAAAGACCAACUUGAAUACCACGGUGUUUUGCUUUGCCUUUCAAUAUCCCGUUUGCGAGGAAUCUCCACAACUUGGAGUCUCUCGCCCUUACACUUGAGAUUCACAAAGAAAUACGGAGUAAGGGGGGGGGGAAUGAGCAACGCACACAAGACUUCAAAAGAUCAGAGCAACAACACGCACACAAGUAGCAACAAGAGCUUGCAACACAACUCAAAGAGUUCACAACUCCACAAGAGCUCUAUAUGCUAUCACAAUGAAACGAAUGCGCGAGAUUGAUGUCUUGGUGCUUAGGAAUGUUGUAGGAAUGCUUGGUGUUCUCCUCCAUGCGCCUAGGGGUCUCUUUUAUAGCCCCAAGGAAGCUAGGAGCCGUUGAGAACAAAUCUGGAAGGCCAUCCUUGCCUUCUGUCGUCGGGCGCACCGGACAGUCCGGUGCACACCGGACACUGUCCGGUGCCCGAUUUCCUUCCUUAAACAGCGCAGCCGACCGUUGCAGAUCUGGGAGCCGUUGGCGCACCGGACAUGUCCGGUGCACACCGGACAGUCCGGUGCCCCCUUCCGACCGUUGGCCAGGCCACGUGUCACGCGCAGAUUCCGCGACCGACCGUUGGCUCACCGGACAGUCCGGUGCACACCGGACAGUCCGGUGAAUUAUAGCCGUACGCCGUCGGCGAAUUCCCGAGAGCGGCCACUUCGCGCCGUGUCAGCCUGGCGCACCGGACACUGUCCGGUGCACCACCGGACAGUCCGGUGUGCCAGACCGAGCUGAGUCUUGGCUGUACACAGCCAAGUCUUUGCACCUUUCUUCUUUUCUUUUUCUUUCUGUUUCUAACACUUAGACAAGUAUAUUAGUACACAAAACCAAUGUACUAGGGCUUAGAAACAUACCAUUACUCAUGAUUUGCACUUUGUUCAUCCAUGGGCAUAAAUUCACAUUUAAGCACUUUGUGUUGGCACUCAAUCACCAAAAUACUUAGAAAUGGCCCAAGGGCACAUUUCCCUUUCAAUUCAUUUAAUUGGAUCAAGCUUUUUUGAUCUGUGAAUAUGAUGAACUCGACGUGUAACAUAUAGUGGCGCCACUGGUCAACAACAAUAAGAAUGGCUAGAUAUUCUUUCUCAUAUGUGGAUAGACCCUGUGUUUUGGUGCCCAAAGGUUUACUGAGAAACGCUAAUGAAUGACCUUCUUGCAAUAAAACAACCCCCACUCCAUUUUUACAAGCGUCUGUUUCCAAGCAAAAUGGUUUGGCAAAGUUUGGUAAUGCCAAGACAGGAGCUGAGAUGAGAGCUUGUUUCAAGGUAGAGAAUGUCAGCAGGUGGUCUUGAGUCCACACAAAGAGAGCUCCCUUUUUCAACAGAUUGUGUAGGGGUUUUGCAAUAAUGGCAAAAUGUUUCACAAACUUGCGGUAAUAUCCUGCAAGACCGAGGAAGCUUCUCAAGCCUUUGGCAUUGUUUGGUAUGGGCUAGGACAACACUGCCUCAACCUUGACUUCAUUGGUGGCUACCCCUUCCUCACUGAUAACAUGCCCGAGGUAAGAAAUUUUUCAUUGGGCAAAUUUACACUUAGACAGUUUGACAAACCAAGUGUCUUGUUGGAGGAGGGAUAACAGCUGUUGCAAGUGGACUAAGUGGUCCUCCAGAGUGGUACUAUAAAUCAAAAUGUCAUUAAAGAACACUAUAACACAUUUUCUGAGUAAUGGUGCUAAUGUAGUGUUCAUAGCAUCCUGGAAGGUGCUCGGAGCUUCGCAUAAACCGAAAGCCAUGACCAGGAAUUUGUACUGCCCUUGAUGAGUUUGGAAAGCUGUUUUGAAUUCUUCUCCAGGUUUCAACCUUACUUGGUGGUAUCCCGACAAAAGAUCCAAUGUGGAGAACCAUGAUGCACCAGCGAGUUCAUCCAUUAUCUGGUCAAAAACAGGGAUGGGAAACUUCCAUUUGAUAGUCAAGGCAUUGAGAUAACGAUAGUCCACACUAAACCUGAAACUGCCAUCCUUCGUCCUUACUAUCAACACCGGGGAAGAAAACUAAGAGGAGCUAGGUCUUAUAAUACCCUUUUGAAGCAUCUCUGCAAUAUGUUUGUCAAUCUCAUCCUUCAUCGAUGGUGGGUAUCGAUAGGGCCUGAUAUUAACUGGAGUAGCACCGGGUACCAAGGGAAUUGCAUGGUCACAUGCCCUGACAGGGGGAAGAGAAUUUGGAGGUGCAAAAACCCGGUGGAACUGAGCUAAAAUAGUAAAUACUGUUGGGUGCAUCACAUCAAGUGGGGUAUCCAGAGCAGCUGCCUAAACAGGUGUAAUGUGCAAAAGAGUUUCAGUAGCAUGUGCUGCACAACCGUAAAGCACCACUUGUCUGUCCUGGUAGGGUAUACACAACCAUCUGUGUUGCCAGUGUACCUUCAUGGGGCUAUAAAAUUCUAACCAAUCCAUUCCCAGAAUGAGAUCAAACGUUGGCAGAGGCAACACCCUCAAGUCUUGAGAGAAUUCACACCCUUGGAUGCUCCAAACUGCAUGAUGUACCACCUUGUCACAGGAUAGCAGCCCACCAUUUGCCACUUGAACUCUGAAAGGAGUUGCAGCCACUGAAACAAUUGCAUGAUGUAGAACAGUCGACUAGUUAAUGAAGGAAUGUGUACUACCAGAAUCCACCAAAAUCAGGACAUCCUCCCCCAGCAUGCUCCCAGAAAUCUCAUGGACCUUUUUGCAGAAGACCCUGUCACAAAUUCAGCCGAAAUAGCCAUUAUAACGGGUUCUUCGAGUACUGUUCAUGAACUGAUGAGUCCUCCACUGAGUUUUCUGACAAUAAUUCCGUCACCUCCUACAAUGCAUGCAGCUGCUCAGUUGCGUUACAUGUGUAUCCAUGAUGCCACUUCUCAGCACACCUAUCACACAACCCACGAGCACGUCGGUAAGCCUUGAGUGCAGCAAGUUUACCAUCCACAGAUGACGGAACACCAUCUAUUUUCUUCUUAUAAGAAUCUGGCUUAUGAACUGAAGAUGUGGGUGGAGGUGGUAGUGGCAUGGGUCGGGCACUCAAUGUAGCAGAUUUCAGCCAUGGCUGAUAAGCUUCCUUGCGAUGCUCCUGUCGUCCCGACGGCAAUGCCACCUCUUCCUGCAACAAAGCCAAGGAACAUGCGGAGUCCAAGUCUAGAGGACGUUGAAGCAUAACCACUGCUCUAAUGUCGGUAUGAAGACCAUCUACAAAGCGAGUAGCAAAGAAUAAUGGAUCUGGCACUGACUCAUAAAUGGCCAGCUGAUCAACUAAUGUAACGAAACGAUCCUGGUAUUCAGUUACACUAUUCUACUGAUGAAUACGAAACAAUUGUCGCAAUAGAGACUGGUACUGAUCCCGACCAAACAUCUCGUGCAACAAUCUACAGAGUAAUGACCAAGACAAACUGGGUUGUUUGCGCUCAACAGAUUGGAAUUGUAACAUCCCAAAAUUUAAUCCCAAGGUUAGAAACUCUAAUCUUCUAACCCCCCCUUGAUUAUCCCCUAGACCUUACCUCAUGAGACAUUUCAUCAUAUGCAUACACCAUGAUUGUUAGUAGCACCUCACAUAGAAUAUUUUUGACACCUAAGAAUAUAUAGCUAAAUAUUUGUUCAAAAGAAAAAGGAGAUAAAAGGAAUAGAAAUAGAAAAAGGAAAAUCUUCUCCCCCUCGGCUGGGCCGAAUCCGGCCCAACCCCCUCUCUCCCACGUGCCCGUCUCCCCCCCCGCUCGGCCCACUCGGCCCAUCUCCGCUCGCGCGCCCGCGCUUCCCCCUCCGCCGCUGUCAGCCCGGCCCCACCCGUCAGCCACGCUCGCCCUCGGCCCCUCGCAACUGCCCUCUCUCUGGCAAGCGGGCCCCGCUUGUCAGCCCCUUCCUCGCGCCCGUGACCAAGCUAUCGGCGCGAUCGCCGCCGGUCGCCACCCACCCCGUCGCCUCGCCAUUAACACGCUCGCCAGCAAGGUUGGCGCCUUGCGGCCCUGUCUCCUUGCGCCAGCCCGAGCCAUCCCGUCACCCGCCUGCCCGAGCCAUCCCGUCGCCACCACUGUGCGCCAUCAUCGCCGCCGCGACAAGCUUGCCGGUGCUCGCCACCUCUCCUCCCUUCCCCGCCCCGAGCGCCUAUAAAAAGGACCGCCCGAGCUCCAUCCUUCUUCACACCGGCCUCGGCCACUCCCACACCCCUUCCCCGAGAUAAAUCGAGCCGCGCCGCCUCGCCUUUCCUCCGCUCCGGUGAGCUCCCCUUCCUUCCUCUGUUAGCCUAGCAUUCAAUUGGUUGGGCUCGCAAGGUUCACCACUCCCUCACAAACACGACACACCCCUCCCCUCCACCUAUUGCGUCCGGCAGCCUCACCGGCGAUCUCACCGCCAUGGACGCCCGCCACCUCGCUGUGGACCGGCCGUCCCGGGCACCCUUCGGCCAAAUUAACCCCUCCACCAUGAUCCCCUACCCCCACCCGUGCUUAGCCACCUCCCCAACCACCCGAAACCAGAACCACGGCGGAGAACCACCGUGGAACCUCGUUGGCGGUCGGUUUUUCCGACCUCGGCCGGUUCGCCCCCUCCCCCGUCUGACCACCCGACGUCGUCAGCCUCCCCCUCCCUCUAGCACGUGGGCCCACGCCCACGGCGCCAUCCCUGCGUCGUUCCCUGCUGGUGGGCCGGCUGGGCCGCCUGCCUGCGCGCGCACGUCCGCGCUUGGCUGUGCCGAAAAUCCCCCCUGGCCCAGCUAGCAGGAAAUCCCUUUUCUUUUUCCUUUUUCCAUUUCUUUUUCCUAUUUUCAUAUAUUUAUGCAUAUAUUGAUAUUUUAUGCACCAAAAAUAGUCUAAAUAAAUUAUAGGGCACAAAAUAAUAACAUCUAAAAGUGGCACACUCCACCAAGUCACCAUGGUUGAUGUAUUGUUCAUUACCUAUUUUUGCUAGGAGAAGAGGGAUCCGAUCCUCCGGAAUUUGUAGCUCCGUUAGAAGGGCGGGAACCUGACCUCUCCGAAAUAGAUCUUUUGUGCCAGGAGAACUUCGACGAAGGCAAGUCCAUUCUUCCCUUGAUGCAUAAAUUACCUACUCUUUCUACCACUACCUAAGCCGGGAAUAAGGGAUGGGUCUUUUGCAUUGUGAGAAGAGAGAUAGCCCGCAUUAAAGAAUAUCUUUUGAAUACAAAAUGUGGGAUGAGAAAAGGGCGGUGUUUUUACCAAACGAUGUUUUCAAAAAAGUGUAUGAUGAAGGGUAUUCACCCUUAUCACCUUUUGAGUGGGAUAAUCAGGGACUCCCUAGUUUAGGGGAGGGCCUCAAGUGUUGGCUCAGCCGGGUUAGGUGUGAGCAGAAGGAUUGUCCCCUCACAUAAGGACCAAUUUGUCAUCCUUCACUACCUGUACUCAUGACAAAUACAACCACUCGAGACUGUAUGGGCAGUCACUCAAUCUGAACUCGUAUGGUCCAAACCCCAGGGUUAUGAUGGAUGGGGAGCACCGGGAGGAUAAGGAGGGGGAAUGUUUUGUCUGGUUUGGACAUGGCGGUGGCCUGACUCCUUCCGGUAUAACCGUUAAGGUAAGGACAUGCGAGGAAAGAAAGAGAUUCGGAUUCGGAUCUCAUUGGCCAUGAGAUCACAGAGCCGGACUAGUGGGUAAAGUGUACCCCUCUGCGCAGAGUUAAAACCUAUUCGAAUAGUCCGUGUCCACUGUUAUGGACGAGUCUGGUGUGGUAUGACAAUUAGUGUUUAUAACCUCCGCGAACAGCGAAAUGUGUGAGUGGGUGUGUUUUUGGAAAUAAAAACAAUGCCAUGGGAGCAGGAAGCUCAGUGGUGGUUGAGUGUGAAAAUGUGCUACUUCUUUCUUUGGGGGAAAACCAUCAAAGUAUUGCCUUUCUUUGGAAAAGAAGAGUGACUUGAACUCCACCAUAUGAAGCAUGUAUUAUAUAGGUCCCUCUCUCUUUACGGGCGGGAUGGGCUUGCGAAAUACCUAGUGUAUUCACCCAGAUUUAUUUAUGUUUUUCAGCAGCUGAAGACUUCUUUUCUGCAUUGCUCGACUAGAAGGGGGUUGUGUCUGCACCCAGUUCUGCCUAUGGCUUGGGCUAGUUUAUUUUCCACUGCGCUUUGUAUUUCAGGCUCCUUAGAGCUUGUACCCUGGUAUUGUAAUAACUUUUAUUCGAACUCUGUACUAUUUGAAGUAAGGAAUGUGAUUACUAGCCUCUUAGGACUAGUAUUUGUAUCACAUUUGAGUCCCAGAGGAUUGGGGCGCUUCAGGUGGUAUCAGAGCCAUAGGACUGGCCGUAGAUCGCAGCCCCAACCUUAAAAGUUUGCCUUAAAAAGAAAAGACCUCUUACCUCUAAGAAGAAUCCUCUCUCCUUUCCCCGAUAUUAACAGACCCUUCUUUUCUUCUACCAGAUGGAAGGCUCUUUUGUCAUUAGAACAUCCUACUGCUCAGAGGUGGAAGGAUUCCCUCACCUUCUGCAGAGUUGCGCGCUUCGCAUGGGGAUUCGCAAGAAGCUGGAGUACAUCUGGAAAGAAUACCACGAGAAUGGAACAGAGAAAUGCUCUAUGGCAGUCUACCUGGGAGAAAGCCGAAACUACCCAAAUCACCCUCCUUUCCAGGUCACCUUCACCGGACACCGCUUCCCAGACACUUGCCAAAAUGUUGCCCGAAAAGCCCUCCGCCAGCUAUGCCAAAACUACAAUAGGGAAGUCUUUGAGACCCCCCUUCGUUACUUCCCACCUAGCAACAAAAAUACCCCUACCUGGAGGAAAAGACUUCAGGCCCUAUCAGGAAGAGAUCCUACUAAAGAUGACCCCACCAUAGUCUACAUGGCCGGAUAUCUCCACACACUUGAUAACCACUAUGACAACCUUUUCUCCCACUACACCCACCUAAACUUCCGGGUGGAAAGCUUAGAGCAACAGAUCAAGGAACUUAAAAAGGAGAAGGCGUCCCUCCAAGAAAGUCUCGAAAUAGAAGAAGGUGAAGAGGCCAACACUCGUGAAGCCUACCGAACCCUGAAGAUGGAUUACGAUAAGAAGUUAAAAAAGCUCGCCCCCACUAAGAAGAUCCGGAAGCGGACCAAGAGCCAAGGAUGCCAGACUGAAUGGAAAAAGGAAGCCCCACUAGCACUGCCUCCCUCCAGGAUAGAAAGCUUGUCAGACGUUGAGGAUAUGUCCCUAGCUAGCCUUGACGACCUUCUCAAGGAAUUUGGGGACACCUUAGAAAAGGAGUUCGGAAGCACCUUAGAAAGCACUCGUAUGUAGUAUGACUUGUGGUAACUAUAUGCUUGUAAUGAACUUGUGUGAUGAAUAAAAUAACAUGUUUGAAGAAAAAAAAUUGACAUGUGCAUAGUAGUAAUUCUCUCCCCCUGGCAGAUGGCUUCGGAUAAAACCACGCCUACCACCUCCGGGAUUGGAGCAAGGUUUCCCCUAGGAGCUGAAGGAGAAGCCGGUGGAGAAGGGAGUGAGACCCACCUCCUCGCACCUCCGGAUCUGCCAUUAGAUUUAGCCCAAGUUCUGGCCAACCAAACCCGACUCAUUGAAGUCCUCACCAGAAGCCUUGAGAACCAGCGCCCGAAUGGUGGAAGGCCUCAGGACAUGAUGAGAGAUUUUCUAAGACUCAAGCCUCCCACAUUCGCUGGAUCCAGCAAUCCGCCCGACGCUGAUGACUGGCUGCGCACAAUAAAAAGGAAGUUAGAAGCCAUCGGAUGCCCCGAGAACCAGCGUGUUCAUCUGGCUGCUCAUCAACUUUCUAGGAUGGCCCUAUCCUGGUGGGAUACCUUCAGUACUGCCGUCAGAGAUGCUACCUGGGCAGAAUUUGAAGCCGCUUUUCGAGAGCAUCAUGUGCCCCAAGGGAUCGUCCAGCUCAAGGAAGAUGAAUUUCGGGAACUAACUCAAGGUGGAAGAUCUGCCAGUGAGUAUGUGCACAAAUUCACAGAAUUGGCUCGCUAUGCGCCUGACGAUGUCAGCACAGAAGCCAAGAAGAUGGCCCGUUUCUUGAAAGGGCUAAGACCAGAACUCAAGACUAUCCUUGCCAGCCAAGAUUUCCUCAGCUUCUCACACCUCUCAAACAAGGCCAUACAAGUGGAAAGAGCUAGAGAAGAAGAAAAGGGUCACCUCAAGAGAAAGUUCCAGGUCCUCCGAGCUUAGCAGCAGGACAGGCACCAGAGAAUUCGACCCUUUGGGUUUCCACCCAAGGGACCAAGCUUCAACAAGCCAGCUUGACCCACUCCAUCACGUUUCAGUCAGCAGGGUCAAAGCUCCUUUCAGCCCCCCUCCGUUGCAAGCAACCAACCUCCAGCUAAUGCAUGUUGGCACUGCGGAGACCCCAGUCACUACAAGAAUAAUUGCCCCCAGUUGAAGACAUCUGGGCCUACUUCAACUCGGUGAAUGGCCCCAAGAAUGCCCCAGCACCUGCCUCCAAGGCACCCUCCUCCAACAGCCAGCAAAGCAAGAGCCAGUAUCAUGGCAGGGCACGAGUGAACCACGUCGACGCUCAAGAGGCUUAGCAAGCCCCGGGAGUAGUGCUCGGUGAGUUCCUAGUUGAAUUUACUCCCGCCACUGUACUUUUUGAUUCAGGAGCAUCUCAUUCUUUCAUAGCCACUAGUUUUGUGCAAAAGCAUGGGAUUCCCACUACACACCUAGAAAUUCCCUUGGUCACCCGAACCCUAGGGUCAGACCUUCUAUGCCAGCUCAAAUGCUCCCAAGUCAGGAUUCUUUUAAGUGGGGUAGUGUUCUUGGCAGACUUAGCAGUCUUGCCAUCCCAAGGAAUUGAUGUGAUCUUAGGAAUGGAUUGGUUAACCAAGAAUAGGGGCAUCAUAAGUUGCGCAAAUAAGACAGUUCUUCUCACUGACCACCAAGGAAGGUCAGUUUCAUGUCAGGCGCCGCCACCCGCCCAAGAUCCAAUGGUGUUUAAUCUAGCAGCAGAAAGCAUAUAUGUACUAGAAUUCAUGGAUGUAUUCCCAGAAGAAUUGCUAGGAAUGCCGCCAGAAAGAGAAGUAGAGUUCUACAUUGAUCUAAUUCCCGGCACAGCACCCAUCGCAAAGAGACCAUACCGCAUGGCUCCCACCAAAUUAGCAGAACUAAAACUCUAGAUUGCAGAACUCCAACAGAAAGGGUACAUUCGUCCUAGCUCAUCUCCUUGGGGAGCACCAGUCCUUUUCGUCACCAAAAAGGAUGGAAGUAUGAGGAUGUGUAUUGAUUACCGAUCCUUGAAUGAGGUUACAAUAAAAAACAAGUACCCACUACCUCGGAUCGAUGACCUCUUUGACCAGCUUCAAGGGGCCAAGUAUUUCUCCAAGAUAGACCUGAGGUCAGGAUAUCACCAGCUGAGAAUCAAGGAAGCAGACAUUCAGAAGACUGCAUUUGUCACCUAGUACAGACAGUAUGAGUUCACAGUAAUGCCCUUCAGACUAACCAACACACCCGCCUUUUUCAUGAAUCUCAUGAAUAAGGUAUUUAUGGAAGAGCCAGAUAAGUUUGUCGUAGUCUUCAUUAACGACAUCCUUAUCUACUCCAAGAGUCGCGAAGAUCAUGAGCAUCACCUCCGGAUUGUCCUCGGAAGACUCAUGGCACAUCAACUCUAUGCUAAGCUCAGCAAAUGUGAAAUUUGGUUAGAAAAGAUAGCCUUCCUCGGGCAUAUCUUAACUACAGAAGGAAUAGAAGUGGACCCGUCCAAAGUUGAAGCAGUAUCCAAAUGGAAGCAGCCAUCCAACGUUAGUGAAGUUCGAAGCUUCUUGGGAAUGGCAGGAUAUUAUCGCCGUUUUAUCAAAGGGUUCUCCAGCAUAGCAAGACCUAUGACCGAGAUCCUCAAGAAAGACAAUAAGUUUGUGUGGACCCCGAAGUGUGAGGAAAGCUUCCAAAUCAUAAAGAAGAAGCUCACAACCGCACCCGUUUUGACACUGCCAGACAUCCACCAGGAUUUCGUCAUCUUCUGUGAUUCUUCAAGGCAAGGUUUAGGAUGUGUACUUAUGCAAAAUGAGAAAGUCAUUGCCUAUGCAUCACGCCUACUCAAGCCGCAUGAGCAAAAUUAUCCAACACAUGAUUUGGAAUUGGCAGCCAUAGUGUAUGCCCUAAAAAUAUGGAGGCACUACCUGAUUGGGAACAAAUGUCACAUCUUCACAGAUCACAAAAGCCUGAAGUACAUUUUCACUCAGCCAGACCUCAAUCUCCGUCAACGAAGAUGGUUGGGACUGAUCAAAGAUUAUGACAUAGAGAUCCACUACCACCCCGGAAAGGCCAACGUGGUAGCAGACGCCCUCAGUCGAAAACCUUUCAGGAAGAAAGAAACCAACUUCUUGGAAGACUGGAAGAAAGAAUCAGCUCAACUGAAUACUUGUCUGGGAAACAAUGGCAGCCUAGAAGUCAAGCCAAUGCUAGAAGACCUCAUACGCAAGGCUCAGCGCCUGGACACUAAGACGACAAGUCUUAUGGAGAGAAUUCGCAAAGAACAAAUCCCGGACCACAGGACAGAUGAAGGAGUCCUUUGGUUCAGAAACCGUCUAUGUGUACCAAAAGGAGAGGCACGAGAAAUUCUGCUUGACGAAGCUCACAACUCAACCUACUCUAUCCACGCAGGGACCACCAAGAUGUACCUCGACCUCAAGACCAGAUACUGGUGGAGAGGAAUGAAGAAGGAGAUAGCACAGUAUGUGGCCCGGUGCGACACUUGCCAGCGAACUAAGGCAGAGCAUCAAAAGCCUGCAGGUCUACUGCAACCCCUCCCAGUACCCAAAUGGAAGUGGGAAGAAAUAGGCAUGGAUUUCGUAACCGGACUGCCUCGGACCCAAAAAGGGAACGAUUCUAUCUGGGUUAUAAUUGACCAUCUUACCAAGGUAGCUCAUUUCAUCCUAGUAAAAACUACCUUCGGAGGAGCCACCCUUGCCCGGAUAUACCUUAAGGAAAUAGUCAGACUUCAUGGUAUUCCACGGAAGAUAGUGUCAGACAGAGGAACACAGUUCACCUCAAAAUUCUGGAUAAGCCUUCAGUAAGCUAUGGGCACCAAGCUAGACUUCAGCACCGCCUAUCACCCCCAGUCAGAUGGUCAGACAGAAAGGGUCAACAAGGUUCUCGAGGAUUUGUUAAGAGCCUAUGUGUUGACGUUUGACAGAAAUUGGGAGUCCAGUUUGCCAUAUGCAGAGUUCUCGUAUAACAUCAGCUACCAGGCCAGUAUCAAGAUGUCACCGUUUGAAGCCUCGUAUGGGCGAAAAUGUCAGACCCCUCUGAUGUGGUCUAAUGUAGAGGAAAAGACACUAGAAGGGCCUGCCUUCGUUAAAGAGGCAGAAGAGAAAGUUGCCCUGAUCCGCAAAAGAUUACUUGAAGCUCAGAGUCGGCAGAAGAGUUAUGCAGACAACAGGCGGAGAGAACUCCGGUUUGAGGAAGGAGACUUCGUCUACCUCAAGGUCUCCCCAAUGCGUGGAGUCAAAAGGUUUCAAGUGAAAGGAAAGCUAGCUCCGCGGUUCAUCGACCCCUAUCCUAUCAUUGGCAGAGUAGGACCCGCAGCCUACCACCUUGAAUUGCCAGAAUCCAUGUUAGAUAUCCACAAUGUGUUUCAUGUAUCCCAGAUCCGCAAAUGCCUGCAAGUGCCAGAAAGUCACAUCGAAGAAGAGUCAAUUCAGAUUCAGAAGGAUCUGCAGUACCGAGAAAAGCUAGUGAAGAUUUUUGACUCAACCAUCCGAAAGACCCGAAACUCAGAAGUGAGGCUCUGUAAAGUUCAAUGGAGCAGAGAAGGAGAAGAAGAAGCUACCUGGGAGAGUGAGGACUCUUUGAGGAGGGAAUACCCUUACUGAAAGGGAAAUGUGCCCUUUGGCAAUUUCUAUAAGUAUUUUGGUGAUUAGAUGCCCAACACAUUAUUUGAGUACUUAUGUGCUAAAUGUGUGAAAGGUGCAAAACAAAGUAAAAGGUAUGUUUCAAGACUUUGUACAUUGUUUUUGUGAACUAACAUUGAUCGUCUAAGUGCUAGAAACAGUGCCGAAAAGAGAGGAAUCAGAUUGCAAAAGACUUGGUUGUGAGCAGCCAAACUUCAGCUCGGACUGGCACACCGGACUGUGUCCGGUGCGCCAGGCUGGUCCGCGUGAACUCGCCGCUCUCGGGAUUCGACGGCGGCAUACGGCUAAAAAUCACCGGACCGUCCGGUGGUGCACCAGACUGUCCGGUGAGUCAUCCGCGGCGAACUCGUCGCUCUCGGGAAACGGAAAAGGUGACAUGGCUAUAAUUCACCGGACUGUCCGACGGUGCACCGGACUGUCCGGUGAGCUAACGGUCGCCAGCGCCAACGAUCGACCGCGCAAUCUUUGUGCGACACGUGGUCGCGCCAACGGUCGGCAGGGGGCACCGGACAGUGUCCGGUGUGCACCGGACAGUGUCCGAUGCGCCAACGGGCUCGAAGCUGCAACAGUCGACUGUGCCCGAAUUGGAAGGAAAUCACGCACCGGACAGGCUACAGUAGUUGUCUGGUGGCGCACCGGACUGUCCGGUGCGCCACUUGACAAAAGGCAAGGAUGGCCUUCCAAGUUUUCUCCAACGGCUCCUAGCUGCCUUGGGGCUAUAAAAGGGACCCCUAUGCGCAUGGAGGAGUAACCUAAGCAUUCUAAGACUCCCACACUGCGCCUCCGCACAUUUGAUCGAUUGUGUUAGUGAUUUGAGCUCCGUUCGAGUUGUUAACUCUCUGUGCUACGUUUUGAGCUCAAGUCUUGGCUUGUGUGCGUGUGUGUGCUGAGGAUUUGUGUGUUGUGUGUGUUGCUCUCCUAGCCUUACUGUUGUGCCUUCUUUGUGAUCUUUAUUGUAAGGGCGAGAGGCUCCAACUUGUGGAGAUUCCUCGCAAAUGGGAGAAAGACUAUAAGGAAGAAAGCCGUGGUAUUCAAGUUGAUCAUUGGAUCACUUGAAAGGGGUUGAGUGCAACCCUCGUCCAUUAGGACGCCACAACAUGGAAGUAUACAAGUGUCACUUGGCCGAACCACGGGAUAAAAAUCGCGUGUCUCUUGUGUUGCUUUCUCUGUGAUUGUUUUGUCCACAAGAACUCGCCUCAACAUUACUUAGUCACACUAACACGUCUAUAACUAAGUUUUGUGGUUAUUUAGUGUUUGAUUUUACAGGAUCACAUAUUCACCCCCUCUAGGUGCUCUCAAGUGGUAUCAGAACCGUACUCUUCAUCUAAGGGACUAACCGCCCAAAGAGAUGGAUCCUAAGGGAAAGGGGAUGGUGGUCAACGACAAGGAAAAGGAGUUCGUCUUCAACGAGCCAAGAGACGACUAGCCUACUGACUCAGGCUCGAGUCAAAAGAAGAGAGAAGGGAAGAAGAAGAGGCGCAUCAAGAAGAUCAUCUACUACGACAGCGAUGCCUCGUCUUCUUCACCACACGACGAUGACUCUUCAAAGAAGAAAACGGUUAAUCAAAACUAUUCAUUUGAUUACUCCCGUAUUCCAUUUAAUUCAAAUGCUCAUUUGCUAUCAAUUCCACUUAGGAAACCUCCACACUUUGAUGGAGAAGGCUACUCUUUCUGGAGUCAUAAAAUGCGUAGUCAUUUAUUUUCUCUCCAUCUUAGUAUCUGGGAGAUUGUUGAAAACGGAAUGCAUUUUGAUAGUACUGACAAUCCCAUUUUCAUAAAUGAGCAAAUUCAUAAAAAUGCACAAGCUACUACUGUCUUGCUAGCUUCACUUUGUAGGGAUGAAUAUAAUAAGGUGAGCGGCUUGGACAACGCCAAACAAAUCUGGGACACCCUCAAGAUAUCUCAUGAGGGAAACGAUGCCACCAUGAUCACCAAAAUGGAGCUGGUGGAAGGCGAGCUGGGGAGGUUCGCGAUGAUUAGGAGAGAGGAGCCAACUCAGACUUACAACAGGCUCAAGACCCUUGUCGGGGACCAUAAUUAGGGGUACCCUCAAGGCUCCUAAUUCUCAGCUGGUAACCCCCAUCAGCAUAAAGCUGCAAAGGCCUGAUGGGUGCGAUUAAGUCAGGGAUCGGUCCAUUCGAGGGACACGAUUGCGCCUCGCCCGAGCCUAGCCUCGGACAAGGGCAGCCGACCCCGGAGGAUCUCCGCCUCGCCCGAGGCCCCCCUCCAGCAGCUAACGUAUUUCCGGCUCGCCCGGGGCCCUGUCUUCGCCAAGAAGCAACCCUGACCAAAUCGCCGCGCCGACCGACCAAAUCGCAGGAGCAUUUAAUGCAAAGGCGGCCUGACGCCUUUAUCCUGACGCGCGCCCUUCAGCCGACAGAGCCAAAGUGACCACCGUCACUUUGCCGCUCCACUGACCGGCCUGACAGAAAGACAGCGCCGCCUGCGUCGCUCUGACUGCGGUGCCACUUGACAGAGUGAGGCUGACAGGCAGUCAGGCCCAGCCGCAGGCGCCAUAGGAAGCUCCGCUUCGCCCGACCCAGGGCUCAGACUCGGGCUAAGUCCCGGAAGACGGCGAACUCCGCUCCGCCCGACCCAGGGCUCGGACUCGGGCUAAGUCCCAGAAGACGGCGAACUCCGCUCCGCCCGACCCAGGGCUCGGACUCGGACUCGGGCUAAGUCCCGGAAGACGGCGAACUCCGCUCCGCCCGACCCAGGGCUCGGACUCGGGCUAAGCCCCAGAAGACGACGAACUCCACUUCGCCCGACCUAGGGCUCGGACUUGGGCUCGGCCCCAGAAGACGACGAACUCCGCUUCGCCCGACCCAGGGCUCGGACUCCGCCCUGGCCUCAGCCGACGGUCUCCGCCUCGCCUGACCCAGGGGCUCGGACUCGACCUCGGCCACGGAAGACAAACUCGACCUCGGCUUCGGAGGAGCUUCCACAUCGCCCAACCUAGGGCGCAGACCAGCCACGUCAACAGGAGGCGCCAUCAUCACCCUACCCCAAGCUGACUCGGGCCACGGGGAACAAGACCGGUGUCCCAUCUGGCUCGCUCCGCCAGAUAGGCAAUGAUGGCGCCCCGCAUACUCUGUGACGACAGCGGCUCUCAGCCCCCUUACGGAAGCAAGAGGACGUCAGCAAGGACUCAACAGCUCCGACAGCUGUCCUUCCGCUAGGCUCCAGCGCUCCUCCGACGGCCACGACAUCACACCAGAUGGGUGCCAAAAUCUCUCCGGCUGCCACAACGGCAUGUACUUAGGGCGCUAGCUCUCCUCCGCUAGACACGUAGCACUCUGCUACACCCCCCAUUGUACACCUGGAUCCUCUCCUUACGCCUAUAAAAGGAAGGAUCAGGGCCCUCUUAGAGAGGGUUGGCCGCGCGGGGACGAGGACGAGACAGGCGCUCGCUCCCUCUCCCGCAUGGACGCUUGUAACCCCCUACUGCAAGCGCACCCGACCUGGGCGCGAGAUGAACACGAAGGCCGCGGGAUUUCCACCUCUCUCACGCCUGUCUCCGGCCACCUCACUUCCCCCCUUCGCGCUCGGUCUCGCGUCGACCCAUCUGGGCUGGGGCACGCGGCGACAUUCACUCGUCGGCUUAGGGACCCCCCAGUCUCGAAACGCCGACAGUUGGCGCGCCAGGUAGGGGCCUGCUGCGUGUUGACGAACAACUUCCCGUCAAGCUCCAGAUGGGCAGUCUCUAGCAACCUCUCCAACCCGGGACGGUGCUCCGUUUCGGGAGUCUUGAGUUCAUGUCCCUCGACGGCAGCUACGACAUGAUACUCAUUCCACCGCCGGGCGACAACGACAAUGGCGGCCGACAGCCCGCCCGCCGGCGGCGGAAUCGACGACGUCUUCCCCGCGUGGUGGAAGAACAACCUUCGAGCUCACCCCGCCCUCUUCCCCGCCGACGGAGGGGGAGGCGGGGCAACCAAGGCCAAGCAGGAGGCAGCGCCUCAUCGGCUGUCGAGCGAGUCGAUAGCACCAGCACCCCAACGGGGGGCGCACCGGGCAUCGACCUCGCGCUUGAGACGAAGACGAGCGCCGUCUCCCCGCAACGCGCCGAUUCCGGGCAAACGGACGAUGCCAGCACGCUCGCGAAAGGCUUGCUGGACGUCACCCUCGUACCUGAGACGACGGUGCAGUCAGUCCCCGACGUGACUUCAUCACCGCCCGUCGACCAAGAGGUACCGACCGAUUCCCAACCCACGCCUUUCGGAUUCAGCCUCGACCCGCCUAGCGGCUUCGCUUUGGCGGGCGUGCUCGUAGAAGCGAGUCCAAACCCUCUGGGGUUUCGUAUGCGGUCACCUUGGGACCGGCUGACGGACGUCUCGACCUACGGGCCCUCUGGGUCCGAGGAAGACGACGAGCCCAGCUUCUGUUGGGAUUUCUCUGGACUUGGCAACCCCAGUGCCAUGCGGGACUUCAUGACCGCAUGCGACUACUGCCUUUCUGACUGUUCCGGCGGUAGCCGUAGCCUCGGCGACGAGGACUGCGGCCCAAGCCGCGAAUGUUUCCACGUCGAUCUAGGGGGUCCCUCCGAAGGCAACCAUCUCGGCAUGCCAGAGGACGGUGAUCUCCCUAGGCCGGUGCCUCGCGUUGACAUCCCACGGGAGCUAGCUGUGGUCCCCGUUCAGGCGAGGGGCCAUGACCCACAGCUCGAGCAAAUCCGCGGGGUGCAGGCCAGGCUCGACGAGGGAGCAGGAGCGCUUGAGCCGAUCCGCCGGAACGUCGGGCAGGCAUGGGUGGGCCAACCCCCGGCCGGAGAAAUGCGUCAUCUACCCCAGGGCUUCCAGCACCGCAUCGCCGAUGAUGUCAGGGUCAGGCCGCCACCCGCAUCCAGUGGGGUUGGCCAGAACCUGGCUGCAGCAGCAAUGCUCCUCCGCACGAUGCCGGAGCCAUCAACCACCGAGGGGCGGCGAAUCCAGGGAGAGCUCAAGAAUCUCCUGGAAGGCGCCGCAGUCCGACGGGCCGAGAGCUCCGCCUCCCGAAGGCAGGGGUACCCCUCGGAACCUCAUGCCGCGACUUCCCGAUUCAUGCGGGAAGCCUCGGUCUACACCGGGCGCACGCGCAACACAGCGCCAGCGGCCCCGGGUCGCCUCGACAACGAGCACCAUCACCGCGACCGUCGGGCCCACCUCGACGAGAGGGUGCGCCGAGGCUACCACCCCAGGCGUGGGGGACGCUACGACAGCGGGGAGGAUCGGAGUCCCUCGCCCAAACCACCCGGUCCGAAGGCCUUCAGCCGGGCCAUACGACGGGCGCCGUUCCCGACCCGGUUCCGACCCCCGACUACUAUCACGAAGUACUCGGGGGAGACGAGACCGGAACUGUGGCUCGCGGACUACCGUCUGGCCUGCCAACUGGGUGGAACGGACGAUGACAACCUCAUCAUCCGCAACCUCCCCAUGUUCCUCUCCGACACCGCUCGCACCUGGUUGGAGCACCUGCCUUCGGGGCAGAUCUCCAACUGGGACGACUUGGUCCAAGCUUUCGCCGGAAAUUUCCAGGGCACGUACGUGCGCCUCGGGAAUUCCUGGGACCUUCGAAGCUGCCGACAGCAGCCGGGAGAGUCUCUCCGAGACUACAUCCGGCGAUUCUCGAAGCAGCGCACCGAGCUGCCCAACAUCACCGACUCGGAUGUCAUCGGCGCGUUCCUCGCUGGCACCACCUGUCGCGACCUGGUGAGCAAGCUGGGUCGCAAGACCCCCACCAGGGCGAGCGAGCUGAUGGACAUCGCCACCAAGUUCGCCUCCGGCCAGGAGGCGGUCGAGGCUAUCUUCCGAAAGGACAAGCAGCCCCAGGGCCGCCCAUCGGAAGACGCCCCCGAGGCGUCAGCUCAGCGCGGCGCCAAGAAGAAGGGCAAGAAGAAGUCGCAAACGAAACGCGACGCCGCCGACGCGGACCUUGUCGCCGCCGCCGAGUAUAAGAACCCUCGGAAACCCCCCGGAGGUGCCAACCUCUUUGACAAGAUGCUCAAGGAGCCGUGCCCCUAUCACCAGGGGCCCGUCAAGCACACCCUUGAGGAGUGCGUCAUGCUUCGGCGCCACUUCCACAGGGCGGGCCACCCGCGGAGGGUGGCAGGGCCCAUGACGAUGACAAGAAGGAAGAUCACCAGGCAGGAGAGUUCCCCGAGGUCCGCGACUGCUUCAUGAUCUACGGUGGGCAAGCGGCGAAUGCCUCGGCUCGGCACCACAAGCGAGAGCGCCGGGAGGUCUGUUCGGUGAAGGUGGCGGCGCUAGUCUACCUAGACUGAUCCGACAAGCCCAUCACCUUUGACCAAGCCGACCACCCCGACCAUGUGCCGAGCCCGGGGAAAUACCCGCUCGUAGUCGACCCCGUCAUCGGCGACGUCAGGCUCAACAAGGUCCUCAUGGAUGGAGGCAGCAGCCUCAACAUCAUCUACGCCGAGACCCUCGGGCUCCUGCGUGUCGAUCUGUCCUCGGUCCGGGCAGGCGCUGCGCCUUUCCAUGGAAUCAUCCCCGGGAAGCGCGUCCAGCCCCUCGGACAACUCGACCUUCCCGUCUGUUCGGAACACCCUCCAACUUCCGAAGGGAGACCAUGACGUUCGAGGUGGUCGGGUUCCGAGGAACCUACCACGCGGUACUGGGGAGGCCAUGCUACGCGAAGUUCAUGGCCGUCCCCAACUACACCUACCUGAAGCUCAAGAUGCCGGGCCCCAACGGGGUCAUCACCGUCGGCCCCACGUACAAACACGCGUUCGAAUGUGACAUGGAGUGCGUGGAGUACGCCGAGGCCCUCGUCGAGUCCGAGGCCCUCAUUGUCGACCUAGAGAGCCUCUCUAAGGAGGUGCCAGACGUGAAGCGUCAUGCCGGCAACUUUGAGCCAGCGGAGACGGUUAAGUCCGUCCCCCUCGACCUCAGCGGCGACGCCUCCAAGCAGAUCCGGAUUGGCUCCGAGCUCGGUCCCAAAUUGGAAGCAGUGCUCGUCGACUUUCUCCGUGCGAACGCCGACGUCUUCGCGUGGAGUCCCUCGGACAUGCCCAGCAUACCGAGGGAUGUCGCCGAGCACUCGCUGGACAUCCGAGCUGGAGCCCGACCCGUCAAGCAGCCUCUGCGCCGAUUCGACGAGGAGAAGCGCAGAGCCAUAGGCGAGGAGAUCCACAAGCUAAUGGCGGCAGGGUUCAUCAAAGAGGUAUUCCAUCUCGAAUGGCUUGCCAACCCUGUGCUUGUGAGAAAGAAAGGGGGGAAAUGGCGGAUGUGUGUAGACUACACUAGUCUGAACAAAGCAUGUCCGAAGGUUCCCUACCCUCUGCCUCGCAUCGAUCAAAUCGUGGAUUCCACUGCUGGGUGCGAAACCCUGUCUUUCCUCGAUGCCUACUCAGGGUAUCACCAAAUCAGGAUAAAAGAGUCUGACCAGCUCGCGACUUCUUUCAUCACACCCUUCGGCAUGUACUGCUAUGUCACCAUGCCGUUCGGCUUGAGGAAUGCGGGCGCGGCGUACCAGCGGUGCAUGAACCAUGUGUUCGACGAACACAUUGGCUGGACGGUCGAGGCCUACGUCGAUGACAUCGUAGUCAAGACGAGGAAAGCCUCCGACCUCCUUUCCGACCUUGAAGUGACAUUCCGAUGUCUCAAGGCGAAAGGCGUCAAGCUCAAUCCCGAAAAGUGUGUCUUCGGGGUGCCCCGAGGCAUGCUCUUAGGGUUCAUCGUCUCCGAGCGGGGCAUCGAAGCCAACCCGGAGAAGAUCGUAGCCAUCACCAGCAUGGGGCCCAUCAAGGACUUGAAAGGCGUACAGAGGGUCAUGGGAUGUCUCGCGGCUCUGAGCCGCUUCAUCUCACGCCUCGGCGAAAGAGGUCUACCUCUGUACCGCCUCUUAAGGAAGGCCGAGUGCUUCACUUGGACCCCUGAGGCCGAGGAGGCCCUCGGGAACCUGAAGGCACUCCUCACGAAGGCGCCUAUCUUGGUGUCCCCGGCUGCCGGAGAAGCCCUCUUGAUCUACGUCAUCGCGACUACUCAGGUGGUUAGCGCCGCGAUUGUGGUCGAGAGGCAAGAAGAGGGGCAUGCAUUGCCCGUUCAGAGGCCAGUCUACUUCGUCAGCGAGGUACUGUCCGAAACCAAGAUCCGCUACCCACAAGUUCAGAAGCUGCUGUAUGCGGUGAUCCUGACGCGGCGGAAGCUGCGACACUACUUCGAGUCUCAUCCGGUAACUGUGGUGUUGUCCUUCCCCCUGGGGGAGAUCAUCCAGUACCGAGAGGCCUCGGGUAGGAUUGCAAAGUGGGCGGUGGAAAUCAUGGGUGAAACAAUCUCGUUCGCCCCUCGGAAGGCCAUCAAGUCCCAGGUCCUGGCGGACUUCGUGGCCGAAUGGGUCGACACCCAGCUCCCAACAGCACCGAUCCAACCGGAGCUUUGGACCAUGUUCUUCGACGUGUCGCUGAUGAAGACAGGAGCCAGCGUAGGCCUACUCUUCAUCUCGCCCCUCGGGAAGCACCUACGCUACGUGCUACGCCUCCAUUUCCCGGCAUCCAACAAUGUGGCUGAGUACGAGGCUCUGGUCAACGGAUUGCGGAUCGCCAUCGAGCUAGGGGUCCGAUGCCUCGACGCUCGCGGUGACUCGCAGCUCGUCAUCGACCGAGUCAUGAAGAACUCCAACUGCCGCGACCCGAAGAUGGAGGCCUACUGCGAUGAGGUUCGGCGCCUGGAAGACAAGUUCUACGGGCUCGAGCUCAACCACAUCGCUCGGCGCUACAACGAGACUGCGGACGAGCUGGCUAAAAUAGCCUCGGGGCGAACAACGGUUCCCCCAGACGUCUUCUCCCAAGAUCUGCAUCAGCCCUCCGUCAAGAUCGACGGCACGCCUGAGCCUGAGGCACCCUCGGCCCAGCCCGAGGUACCCUCGGCACAGUCCGAGGCGCCCUCGGCUCGGCCCGAGGCACCCUCGGUCCAGCCCAAGGUACCCUCGGCACAGUCCGAGGCACCCUCGGCUCAGCCCGAGGCACCCUCGGUUUGGCCCGAGGUACCCUCGGCCCCCGAGGGCGAGACGCUGCACGUCGGGGGGAGCGAAGCGGGGUCACACCUGAUCAAAACUGGCAGACCCCGUACCUGCAAUAUCUCCACCGAGGAGAGCUACCCUCCGACCGAGCCGAAGCUCGGCGGGUGGCGCGGCGUGCCAAGUCGUUCGUCUUGCUGGGAGAUGAGAAGGAGCUCUACCACCGCAGCCCCUCUGGCAUCCUCCAGCGAUGCAUCUCCAUCGCCGAAGGUCAGGAACUCCUGCGAGAGAUACACUCGGGGGCUUGCGGCCAUCACGCAGCGCCUCGAGCCCUUGUCGGGAAUGCUUUCCGACAAGGCUUCUACUGGCCCACGGCGGUGGCCGACGCUACUAGAAUUGCCCACACCUACGAAGGGUGUCAGUUCUACGCAAGGCAGACCCACCUGCCUGCUCAGGCUCUGCAGACGAUACCCAUCACCUGGCCUUUUGCUGUGUGGGGUCUGGACCUCGUCGGCCCCUUGCAGAAGGCACCCGGGGGCUACACGCACCUGUUGGUCGCCAUCGACAAAUUCUCCAAGUGGAUCGAGGUCCGACCCCUAAACAGCAUCAGGUCCGAGCAGGCGGUAGCGUUCUUCACUAACAUCAUCCAUCGCUUUGGGGUCCCGAACUCCAUCAUCACCGACAACGGCACCCAUUUCACCGGCAGGAAGUUCCUGGACUUCUGCGAGGAUCACCACAUCCGGGUGGACUGGGCCGCCGUGGCUCACCCCAUGUCAAAUGGGCAAGUAGAGCGUGUCAACGGCAUGAUUCUGCAAGGACUCAAGCCUCAGAUCUACAACGACCUCAACAAGUUCGACAAGCGAUGGAUGAAGGAACUCCCCUCGGUGGUCUGGAGCCUGAGGACAACGCCGAGCCGAGCCACGGGCUUCACGCCGUUCUUUCUGGUCUAUGGGGCCGAGGCCAUCUUGCCCACAGACUUAGAAUACGGUCCCCCGAGGACGAGGGCCUACACCGACCAAAGCAACCAAGCUAAUCGAGAGGACUCGUUGGACCAGCUGGAGGAGGCUCGGGACAAGGCCUUGCUACACUCAGCGCGGUACCAGCAGUCCCUGCGACGCUACCACGCCCGAGGGGUCCGGUCCCGAGACCUCCAGGUGGGCGAUCUAGUGCUUCGGCUGCGACAAGACGCCCGAGGGCGGCACAAGCUCACGCCCCCCUGGGAGGGGCCGUUCGUCAUCGCCAAAGUUCUGAAGCCCGGAACGUACAAGCUGGCCAACAGUCAAGCCGAGGUCUACGGCAACGCUUGGAACAUCCAACAACUACGUCGCUUCUACCCUUAAGAUGUUUUCAAGUUGUUCAUAUACCUCGCUCCCACGCAAAGUUUAGUCAUCAAGGAAGGGUCGGCCUUGCCUCGGCAAAGCCCGACCCUCCCUCGGGGGCUAAAAGGGGGGAACCCCCUCUGCGUCGAAUUUUUUCCUCGAAAAAAGAUCCUUUCUGCCAGAAUGUCUUUCGUGCUUUUUGACUACUUCGAAAGUGGAUCCUGAAAACGACGGAGUACACGUAAGCAGCCAAGGCUAACCGAGCCGAGGGACUCCUACGCCUCCGGGAUAUGGAUACCUCACUCAUCACCUUCUGCGAUAAGUAACUCACGUUCGGAUAAGUGAUUCCGCAGACCGAACAAGUCUUCACGUUCGGAAGCUCUUCUGCCAAAGCGAUUCUUCGAGCCUUCUCGACUGCGUCGGUGACAGAACCCCAUGGACGGGUAAGAGUGCGCGUAAGCGGCAAGGCCGACCGAGCCGAGGGACUCCUACGCCUCCGGGAUACGGAUACCUCACUCAUCACCUUCCGUGAGAAGUGACUCUCGCUCGCACAAGCAAUUCCGUUACCGACAAAAAAGUCUAGAUACUCGAAACAAGAGGAAAAGGGAUGCAGCUUUACAACACGGCGAGGGUGUGUGUUGGCCUCGGCGGCCGCAGAAAACACACGCUACAAGAUAAUCCGAUCCUGCAGGCUCGGAUCUUGACGGCUAAAGGGAGCAGCAGCACCCUCGGCGUCGACAACACCUUCGGCGAGGCCCGACCUAGCCUCGGACGGCGACGCGGUCCAAGGGUCUCUGCUCUGAAGGACAACGUCAUCACCAAGCCCGGGCCAUCGCCGCCAGGGUCUUCUCCGAGAAUCCGGCCCGAGCAGGAGGCUCGGCCGAUCACCCCAGGGCCUCGGCCAGCUGGCCUCCGAGGACAUCAGCCCGGCCCGAGGCCUCGGCAGUUUAAUUCCGGCGUCGAUCCCGCUAACGGAUGACCCGGCCAGGCUCCGGCCGACCAGGUCUCCUUUUUGAGCCAACUCUGCCUCUGUUCACGCUGACACCGGUACCCCUGGCCUCGGCUCAUCGAAGAGCGGCCGAGGGGUUUCCUCUAACUAAGCAAGGGAAGCCUCGGACAACAAGGCUGACCGAGCCGAGGGACUCCUACGCCUCCGGGAUACAUAUACCUCACUCGUCACCUUUACACGGGGCGGCUCACGCUUGGUGAAGCGGUUCAGACAACCAACAGGCGAGUCUUAGUGCUCGAAAAUGAGGAAAAAACACGGCUCCGUGCCGUAAUUACAUACAUGUUCAGGCCUCGACAGCCACAAUGAACAAAAACACUGGCAUUCAAAGUGCCAUUACAAAAUGGAACUCCGGUUCCACCUCCGCAGGUACGAACAACCCCACUCGACGGGGGGGGGGGCUGCGGAGCAACAGAAGACCAACGGGCGGCUCGUCGUCGCCCGCUCCGGCAUCAACGACUACGACCCCCGCUCCGGGUGGCCGAACUGCAGCAGCGGGGGCGUCAGGGCGGACGCUGCUGCAAUCUUGCCCUCGCCCACGCCGACGCUCGAGGGGCGAGGACAAGUACAAAGAGCCGGAGGCCCGAAGCGCGGAUGGUGACGGUGAUCCCGUCGGCAACGGGGACUUCUCGAGCCGCCUCCACCUCGGCACCGACGACAGGGGCCGUCAGCCCUCCGGCAGAUCCCCACUCAGAUCCUCCCGGACGAGUGGGGCACCGACCUCCGCGCGGGGGCGCCGUACCGGUGCAAAGGCAGGACCACCCCAGAACACGAACGCCGCCCUGGCAGCGCACAAUAUCUUGGGCGGUCCUCCCGCGCACACGGCGCGGCAGCCGCCUUCUUGCAGGAGGAGGCACCGGGAGCCAAGCCGACGAGCCCGACGCGCUGAGGCUGACGACGCCCGCCGUCGACCAGCCCCACGUUGUCGAAGUCCGGCCCGCCCGUAGGGCCAGUGAGCGCCCUCUCCCUCGAACGCCGAAGGAGAGGCCGACCCACGAACCCGCGCGGGAGGUAGAGCUCCGGCUCAGCCCGGCCCCCACCCCAGCGAGGAUGAUGAACAUCCUUGAAGCUGAGGGUGGGACCAAGAUCGCAGCCCGGCUUGCUUCUCCCCACCCAGGGGCUGUGGUCACCGUCUCGGGUGACCGCCGGCGGAGGGGUGCAGCCGGGCUGGCUGAUGAAAAUCCUUGAAGCCGAACGAUGGCUGAAAGGUACCAACUCCCACGGAGUUGCGUUCCCCCAACGACAAGGCGGAAAGACGGCGAGUAUCCCCCAUCCGGGGGCUUGGAAGGUGGAAAGACACUAUGCAUAAGGAAGCGCGAAGACAUGGUCGCCUUCUAAGGGGGUCACCCUCCUUUUAAAGGCGACUCUCCUUACUUGCGUCCCCAGCCGUCGCGGGCUGAGUCUUCUCCAACACGCUCCAAGGCCCUCCUCCUACGGCGCGGGGGCUGGGUCCCACACGUCAUGCAAGCCGACUCAAAGGAGAAGAAGACAAACCGCCGUGCAAGAUGCGUACAACCGCCCAGUGGUUACAAGUGGCUCUCCACUUUUGCCCAGACCAGCGGGCGAAAGGGCGGGCAGCCAUGCAGGCGGCAUGCAACCGCGCCAAGUGGGCGCACUUCUCCGACUCCCAACACGCCCAGCAUGGAGGCCCAGGCCCACGCGUCAUGCAACCGGCGCGCCGAAUGCUUCGUGCAUGCAACUGCACCGCCACUUGCGCCACCACCGCGCCUCCUCGACUGCGGAACCAGUACCGCGACUCGAGGCGACCCAGAACACGACCCAACAGCGCCAGCCUGGCGCGACGGUCAAUGCGACCAAAAAUGGGCCGGCAGUAAUGGCGGUGGCAGGCGGGCAGGAGCAGCGGUCACGUCGUCAGCCAAGCCUACGUCCCAUCCAGGAGCGACGAGAGAACCCUCUCUCACGGCGUGAAGACAACGCGCCCGUGUUCCGUUCCUCGAACGGCUCGCGCACGCGCAACGGCCACCCCGCGAACCGCUCGCCCCGUCGCAUUAACUCGCGGCGGGACAGGCGGCGCCUCUGGCAGGAGAAGCGGGCGACGCUUCGCCUUCGCCAUAAUGACCGCGUCAGAAAAGGUACGCCGCGCCGUUCGAUUUCGUAUCCUUUUCCUUUUUUCCUCUUGCUCUCUCUUGCAACAGGGACCGGGAAAGGGGGAUACCCCGAAAAGGAUCCUUCCCCGUGAAGGAACAGGCUCCGAGCCUCCCUACUGAUCAGAGGAUCGAAGGCUGGCCCCUCGGAAGGGUUCAACAGUCGCCUCAUAUCGCGUGGGCUCCACACCCACUACUGGUCAGAGGUUCGAAGGCCGGCCCCUCGGAAGGGUUCAAUGGCCGCCUCAGGCUACUCGGGCUCCGCGCCCACUACUGAUCAGGGGUUCGAAGGCUGGCCCCCGAAGGGUUCAUAGCCGCCUCAGACACAGAGCGAGGGAUGACCAUGGGUACGUUCGAUACAUAACCAAGGCUCGGGCUGUGCUCCCGAGGUACCCUAGGACAUUUCCGAGACCGGCGGGAACGAUCUUGUAAUGGAAUCCCAUCGGAGGGAGGCAUCGAGCCCUCGGACCUCGUCGCCAGGGGACCGGGUCCGGCAGAUCACCCGCAGGUACUUUUGGGCGUGCCUCUGGGCCCCUAGCCGACCCCUAACGAAUGGGGCACGGACAUCCACUCGAAUUACCCGCCUGCAGCUCACCGGAGACACCAUGUUCGGCGCCCACCGAGGGCAACAUGGCGCUCUCCCCCCCUCCUCUUUGCGGAAAGGCGACGCAGGGGCGUAUGUAAAAAGUCGAGUCUGUCCCUGAUCGCCCUCUCGCCCUGUGCAGAGGCUCGGGGGCUGCUCUCGCAAAACCGGCUCCGGCCGAACCGUUGACAGCGUCAACAUACCAGCCCAAGAACUUGGGACCCGACCGUACACCCGGGCUACGGCCAGCUCGCAUGAGGGAACGACCAGACCAGCCGAAGCAUUACGCGAGGCAUUAAGACCUCGGAGGAGUCAAACCACUCCCCCGAGGCCUCGGGGGCUAAACCCGGCGGGUGCGCUCGUGCGCACCCACCGGAACAAAACGCAACCGAGAAAGGUUGGUCCCCUUGCAAAAAAGUGCGACGAAAGCCUCCAAGCGAGUGCUAACACUCCCUUCGAGGCUCGGGGGCUACUGUCGGGGACCAUAAUUAGGGGUACCCUCAAGGCUCCUAAUUCUCAGCUGGUAACCCCCAUCAGCAUAAAGCUGCAAAGGCCUGAUGGGUGCGAUUAAGUCAGGGAUCGGUCCAUUCGAGGGACACGAUCGCGCCUCGCCCGAGCCUAGCCUCGGACAAGGGCAGCCGACCCUAGAGGAUCUCCGCCUCGCCCGAGGCCCCCCUCCAGCAGCUAACGUAUUUCCGGCUCGCUCGGGGCCCUGUCUUCGCCAAGAAGCAACCCUGACCAAAUCGCCGCGCCGACCGACCAAAUCGCAGGAGCAUUUAAUGCAAAGGCGGCCUGACGCCUUUAUCCUGACGCGCGCCCUUCAACCGACAGAGCCGAAGUGACCGCCGUCACAUCGCCGCUCCACUGACCGGCCUGACAGAAAGACAGCGCCGCCUGCGCCGCUCCGACUGCGGUGCCACUUGACAGAGUGAGGCUGACAGGCAGUCAGGCCCGGCCGCAGGCGCCAUAGGAAGCUCCGCUUCGCCCGACCCAGGGCUCGGACUCGGGCUAAGUCCCGGAAGACGGCGAACUCCGCUCCGCCCGACCCAGGGCUCGGACUCGGGCUAAGUCCCGGAAGAUGGCGAACUCCGCUCCGCCCGACCCAGGGCUCGGACUCGGGCUAAGUCCCGGAAGACGGCGAACUCCGCUCCGCCCGACCCAGGGCUCGGACUCGGGCUAAGCCCCAGAAGACGACGAACUCCGCUUCGCCCGACCUAGGGCUCGGACUUGGGCUCGGCCCCAGAAGACGACGAACUCCGCUUCGCCCGACCCAGGGCUCGGACUUGGGCUCAGCCCCAGAAGACGACGAACUCUGCUUCGCCCGACCCAGGGCUCGGACUCCGCCCUGGCCUCAACCGACGGUCUCCGCCUCGCCCGACCCAGGGGCUCGGACUCGACCUCAGCCAUGGAAGACAGACUCGACCUCGGCUUCGGAGGAGCUUCCACAUCGCCCAACCUAGGGCGCAGACCAGCCACGUCAACAGGAGGCGCCAUCAUCACCCUACCCCAAGCUGACUCGGGCCAUGGGGAACAAGACCGGCGUCCCAUCUGGCUCGCUCCGCCAGAUAGGCAAUGAUGGCGCCCCACAUACUCUGUGACGACGGCGGCUCUCAGCCCCCUUACGGAAGCAAGAGGACGUCAGCAAGGACUCAACAGCUCCGACAGCUGUCCUUCCGCCAGGCUCCAGCGCUCCUCCGACGGCCACGACAUCACACCAGAUGGGUGCCAAAAUCUCUCCGGCUGCCACAACGACAUGUACUUAGGGCGCUAGCUCUCCUCCGCUAGACACGCAGCACUCUGCUACACCCCCCAUUGUACACCUGGAUCCUCUCCUUACGCCUAUAAAAGGAAGGAUCAGGGCCCUCUUAGAGAGGGUUGGCCGCGCGGGGACGAGGACGAGACAGGCGCUCGCUCCCUCUCCCGCGUGGACGCUUGUAACCCCCUACUGCAAGCGCACCCGACCUGGGCGCGGGACGAACACGAAGGCCGCGGGAUUUCCACCUCUCUCACGCCUGUCUCCGGCCACCUCACUUCCCCCCUUCGCGCUCGGCCUCGCGUCGACCCAUCUGGGCUGGGGCACGCGACGACAUUCACUCGUCGGCUUAGGGACCCCCCGGUCUCGAAACGCCGACAACCCUGGUCAACAAGAUCCGAAGCUAUGAAAGCACAAGAUGGACGGAUCAUGAUGUCGUCCGACUCAUGCUAAGGUCAUUUACUGUAAUUGACCCCCAUCUUGUCAAUCUUAUUCGUGAGAAUCCCUGGUACACCAAGAUGACGCCCGAGGAGAUUCUUGGAAAAUUUGUGAGUGGGCGCAUGAUGGUGAAGGAAGCUCGAUACGUGGAUGAUGCUCUAAACGGUCCACUACCCGUCUACGAGCCUCAACCUGUUGCUCUUAAGGCAACCAGUAGCAGGGAGACGCUCCCAAGCAAAGUGGCACAAGUGGAGGCUGCUGGCCUCAACGAGGAUGAGAUGGCGCUUAUCAUCAAGCGCUUCAAGACCGCACUUAAAGGACGCAAGGAGUACCCCAACAAGAACAAAACAAGGGGAAAGCGCUCCUGCUUUAAAUGCGGUAAGACUGGUCACUUUAUUGCAAAUUGUCUCGAUAAUGAUAGUGACCAGGGACAAGAAAAGAACGAGAAGAAGGAGAAAAAGAAGAACUACAGGAAGGCAAAGGGCGAGGCGCACCUUGAAAAGGAAUGGGACUCGGAUUGCUCCUCUUCCGACUCUGACGACGAAGGACUUGCUGCCUCAGCCUUCAACAAAUCGUCAUUCUUCCCCAACGAACGCCAUACAUGUCUUAUGGCCAAGGAGAAAAAGGUACGUGUUCGGGACACACCCAAGUACACUUCAUCUAGUGAUGAAGAAUCCUCCGAUGAUGAAGUAGAUUACUCUAGUUUAUUUAAAGGUUUAGAUAGAGCCAAAGUAGAGAAAAUUAAUGAAUUAAUUGAUACUCUAAAUGAAAAAGAUAGGUUGCUAGAGAAGCAAGAAGAUAUUUUGUAUGAAGAGCAUGACAAAUUUAUUAGUGUUCAAAAAUCUCUUGCUCUAGAAAUUAAAAGAAAUGAAAUGCUAUCCUCUGAGUUGUCUACUUGCCAUGAAUCUGUUUCUAGUUUAAGGAGUUUAAAUGAUGAUUUAAAUGCUAAGCUAGAGGAAGUUAAUAAAUCUAGUUCAUGUGUAGAGCAUGUUGUUAUUUGUAAUAGAUGUAAGGAUAUUGAUGUUGAUGCCUGUAAUGAACAUAUUGUUUCUAUUACAAAAUUAAGUAAUGAGGUGGCAAGUCUUAAUGCUCAACUUAAGACUUGCAAGGAUGAUUUUAAUAAAUUGAAAUUUGCUAGGGAUGCCUACACUAUUGGUAGACACCCUUCAAUUAAGGAUGGACUUGGUUUUCGAAAGGAAACCAAGAACUUAACAAGCCAAAAGGCUCUCGUUCUCAACAAGGAGAAAGGGAAGGCCCCCAUGGCUAGUAGUUCUCAAAAGUGUCAUGCCUACAUUUAUGAUAGAAAAUUUUCUAGGAACGCUUAUAAUAAUAGAGACUAUGAUCAUGCUAUGAUUGCUUCCAACUCUACUUAUGAUUGUAGUAGAAAUAGGCCUAGGCGCAAUCAUGUUGUGUCUCAUGCGCGUAGAAGGAAUAAUGUUGUGUCUCAUGUGCCUAGGAAAAUGUGCAAUGAACCCACUAUUGUUUUUCAUGCUUGCAACACUUCUUUUAUUCUUUCAUGUAAGAAUGCAAAAGUAGUGGCUAGGAAGUUGGGAUCCAAAUGCAAGGGAGACAAAACUUGCAUAUGGGUUCCAAAAACUAUUUUGACUAACCUUGUAGGACCCAACAAGAGUUGGGUACCUAAAACCCAAGCUUAGAUUCCUUGUAGGUUUAUGCAUCCGGGGGCUCAAGCUGGAUUAUCGACAGCGGAUGCACAAACCACAUGACGGGGGAGAAGAAGAUGUUCACCUCCUACGUCAAAAACAAGGAUUCCCAGGAUACGAUCAUCUUUGGAGAUGGGAACCAAGACAAGGUCAAAGGCUUGGGCAAGAUAGCCAACACCAACGAGCACUCCAUAUCGAAUGUAUUUCUAGUAGAGUCGCUUGGUUACAACCUUUUGUCUAUAAGUCAAUUGUGUCACAUGGGUUACAAUUGUCUUUUUACAAACGUUGAUGUAUCUGUCUUUAGAAGGAGUGAUGGUUCAUUAGCUUUUAAGGGUGUAUUAGAUGACAAACUCUACUUAGUUGAUUUUUCGAAAGAGGAGGCCGAUCUAGAUGCAUGCUUAAUAGCUAAGACUAGUAUGGGCUGGCUGUGGCAUCGCCGUCUAGCACAUGUUGGGAUGAAGAACCUUCAUAAACUUCUAAAGGGAGAACAUGUGUUAGGACUAACCAAUGUUUGUUUCGAGAAAUAUAGGCCUUGUGCAGCAUGUCAGGCAGGGAAACAGGUGGGAAGCACUCAUCAUAGCAAGAAUGUGAUGACAACAUCAAGACCACUGGAGCUUCUUCACAUGGACCUCUUUGGACCCGUUGCCUACCUUAGCAUCGGGGGAAGUAAGUAUGGUCUUGUAAUUGUUGAUGAUUUUUUCCGCUUCACUUGGGUGUUCUUUUUACAGGAUAAAUCAGAAACCCAAGGGACCCUAAAGCGCUUUCUAAGGAGGGCUCAAAACGAAUUUGAGUUAAAGGUGAAAAAGAUAUGGAGCGACAACGGGUCCGAGUUCAAGAAUCUGCAAGUUGAUGAGUAUCUUGAGGAGGAAGGCGUCAAGCACGAGUUCUCCGCUCCCUACACACCACAACAAAACGGUGUGGUAGAGAGGAAGAACAUGACUCUUAUCGACAUGGUGCGAACGAUGCUUGGAGAGUUCAAGACGCCCGAGCAGUUUUGGUCAGAAGCUGUGAACACAGCUUGCCACGCCAUAAACCGGCUCUAUCUGCAUCGCCUUCUCAAGAAGACCUCCUACGAACUCCUUACCGGUAACAAACCCAACAUCUCCUACUUUCGUAUAUUUGGGAGCAAAUGUUACAUUCUGGUGAAGAAAGGUAGACAUUCUAAAUUUGCUCCCAAGGCAGUAGAAGGGUUUUUACUAGGGUAUGACUCAAAUACAAAGGCAUAUAGAGUCUUCAACAAAUCAUCGGGUUAGGUUGAAGUCUCUAGCAACGUUGUAUUUGAUGAGACUAAUGGCUCUCCAAGAGAGCAAGUUGAUCUUGAUGACAUAGAUGAAUAUGAUGUUCCAACGGUCGCAAUGCGCACGAUGGCGAUUGGUGAUGUGCGACCACAGGAACAACAGGAGCAAGAUCAGCCAUCUUCCUCCACAAUGGUGCAUCCUCCAACUCAAGACGGUGAACAGGUACCUCAAGAAGAGGGACAGGAUCAAGGGGGAGCACAAGAAGAACAAGUGAUGGAGGAAGAAGCACCACGUGCCCCUCCAACUCAAGUCUGAGCAAUGAUCCAACGACAUCACCCCGUUGACCAGAUUCUGGGUGACAUAAGCAAGGGAGUAACUACUCGCUCAAGAUUAGCUAACUUUUAUGAGCAUUACUCGUUUGUCUCUUCUAUUGAGCCUUUCAGGGUAGAAGAAGCCUUGCAGGAUCCAGAUUGGGUGUUGGCCAUGCAGAUAGAGCUCAACAACUUCAAGAGAAAUGAAGUUUGGAGUUUGGUGCCACGUCUAAAGCAAAAUGUUGUGGGAACCAAGUGGGUGUUCCGCAACAAGCAAGACGAGCAUGGGGUGGUGACAAGAAACAAGGCUCGACUUGUGGCAAAAGGUUAUGCCCAAGUCGCAGGUUUGGAUUUCGAGGAGACUUUUGCUCCUGUGGCUAGGCUAGAGUCUAUUCGAAUUCUAUUAGCCUAUGCCGCUCACCACUCUUUCAUGCUAUUUCAAAUGGAUGUGAAGAGCGCUUUCCUCAAUGGGCCAAUAAAGAAGGAGGUAUACGUGGAACAACCCCCUAGCUUUGAGGAUGACAGGUACCCCGACCAUGUGUUCAAGCUCUCUAAGGCGCUCUAUGGAUUAUGCAAGCCCCAAGAGCAUGGUAUGAUUGCCUUAGAGAUUUCUUAAUUGCUGAUGCCUUCAAGGUUGGGAAAGCUGAUCCCACUCUUUUUACAAAGACUUAUGAUGGUGAUCUUUUUGUGUGCCAAAUUUAUGUCGAUGACAUAAUAUUUGGUUCUACUAAUCAAAAGUCUUGUGAGGAGUUUAGCAGGGUGAUGACACAAAAGUUCGAGAUGUCGAUGAUGGGCGAGUUGACCUACUUCCUUGGGUUCCAAGUGAAGCAACUCAAGGAUGGCACCUUCAUCUCCCAAACAAAGUACACACAAGAUCUUCUCAAGCGGUUUGGGAUGAAGGACACCAAGCUUGCGAAGACAGCGAUGGGAACCGUCGGGCAUGUUGACCUCAACAAAGGAGGUAAGUCCGCUGAUCAAAAGGCAUACCGGUCCAUGAUAGGUUCAUUGCUUUAUUUAUGUGCUAGUAGACCGGACAUUAUGCUAAGUGUAUGCAUGUGUGCUAGAUAUCAAUCCGACCCCAAGGAAUGUCACCUCGUGGCCGUUAAGCGAAUUCUUAGAUAUUUAGUUUCUACACCUUGCUUCGGGAUCUGGUAUCCAAAGGGGUCUACCUUUGACUUGAUUGGAUACUCAGACUCCGAUUAUGUUGGGUGCAAAGUUGAUAGGAAGAGCACAUCAGGGACGUGCCAAUUUCUAGGAAGGUCCCUGGUGUCCUGGAGUUCAAAGAAACAGACAUCCGUUGCCCUAUCCACCGCUGAGGCCGAGUAUGUUGCCGCAGGACAGUGUUGCGCGCAACUACUUUGGAUGAGGCAAACCCUCUGGGACUUUGGCUACAAUCUGAGCAAAGUCCCACUCCUAUGUGACAAUGAGAGUGCUAUCCGCAUGGCAGAUAAUCCUAUUGAACACAACCGCACUAAGCACAUAGACAUCCGACAUCACUUCCUAAGAGACCACCAGCAAAAGGGAGAUAUCGAGGUGUACCAUAUUAGCACCGAGAACCAGCUAGCCAAUAUCUUUACCAAGCCAUUGGAUGAGAAAACUUUUUGCAGGUUGCGUAGUGAGCUAAAUGUCUUAGAUUCACAUAACUUGGAUUGAUCUAUAGCAUACAUGUGUUCUAUGCCUUUGAUCAUGUUACUUUGAAGAAUUUACAUUCCUCGUUGUAUAUUUGUGGUGCUCAAGUUGUACAAGACCUCCCCGGACCUCACAAGUCCAUAUGCAAAUGGUGCACAUAUUUAGGGGGAGAUUUGCUACAACUUGACCCUUUGAGACUAACCUUUGUGCUUGAGUAUACUUGAUGUAGUCUCAAAAGUGCAUUGAAAGGGAAAGGUGAACUUGGACGAUGCAAAGACUUCCACUGCACUCCGGUAUUAGUGUACUCACUUCCAAGUUCAUACUUAUGCUCUCAUUGCCUUUUUGCUCUUAAUUGACAUUUUUGGUGAGGCAAUGGGGUUAAAGGGCCGACAAUGAUCCCGUUUUGGUGCUUAAUGCUAAAGGGGGAGAAAUUAAGGCCAAAGCAAAUGGAUCAGCUACCACUUAUGAAUUUCGAAAACAAUAGAGUUAGAACUUUUGAUUUGUCCAAAAUACUCUUAGUGCAAAAUUUGGUCUCUUAUGGGGGCGAAUUUUGAUUAUGGGAAAAAUGGGGAGUUUUUGGCACUUGCUCAAUUGUACUCUUGGAAUAACUCUAUAUGUGCCCAAACAAGUGUGUUUGACUUAGAGAUAGUAAAAAGAAUUUGAUUUGUAAAAACAAACCAAGUGGUGGCAAAGAGUGAUCCAAAUAUGCCAAACAAUAAGCAAAAACAAUUUGGUCUUCAAUUUGAUUUGAUAUUGCACUUCUUUUUGAAAGUCGACUAGAGGGGGGGGGGUGAAUAGGGCGAAUCUGAAAUUUAUAAACUUAAGCACAACUACAAGCCGAGUUAGCGUUAGAAAUAUAAACGAGUCCGAGAGAGAGGGCGCAAAACAAAUCGUGAGCAAAUAAAGAGCGAGACACGAUGAUUUAUUUUACCGAGGUUCGGUUCUUGCAAACCUACUCCCCGUUGAGGUGGUCACAAAGACCGGGUCUAUUUCAACCCUUUCCCUCUCUCAAACGGUCACUUAGACCGAGUGAGCUUCUCUUCUCAAUCAAACAGAACACAAAGUUCCCGCAAGGACCACCACACUAUUGGUGUCUCUUGCCUCGGUUACAAUUGAGUUGAUCACAAGAAGAAUGAGAAAGAAAAGAAGCAAUCCAAGCGCAAGAGCUCAAAUGAACACAAAUAUCACUCUCUCACUAGUCACUAUUGAUUGGAGUUGUCUUUGGACUUGGGAGAGGAUUUGAUCUCUUUGGAGUGUCUAGAAUUGAAUGCUAUAGCUCUUGUAAUGUGUUGAAGGUGGAAAACUUGGAUGCCAUUGAAUGUGGGGUGGGUGGGGUAUUUAUAGCCCCAACCACCAAAAAUGGUCGUUGGAAGACUGCUGUCGCAUGGCGCACCGGACAGUCCGGUGCGCCACCGGACACUGUCCGGUGCGCCAGCCACGUCAGCCAGCCGUUGGGGUUCGAUCGUUGGAGCUCUGACAGGUGGGGCCUCUGGGCUGUCCGGUGGUGCACCGAACAGGUCCUGUAGACUGUCCGGUGCGCCAACUGCGCGUCCUCUGUCCUCUGCGCGCGCAGGCGCGCAUUUAAUGCGUUGCAGUCGACCGUUGCGUGCGAAGUAGCCGUUGCUCCGCUGGCACACCGGACAGUCCGGUGUUGCACCGGACACUGUCCGGUGCUUCACCGGACAGUCCGGUGAAUUAUAGCGGAGCGCCCUCUGAAUUUCCCGAAGGUAGCGAGUUCAGCGAUGAGUGCCCUGGUGCACCGGACACUGUCCGGUGGCACACCGGACAGUCCGGUGCGCCAGACCAGGGUGCCAUUUGGGAUGUCUUUUGCUCUCUUUGUUUGAACCCUUUCUUGGUCUUUUUAUUGGCUUAUUGUGAACCUUUGGCACCUGUAAGACUUAUAGACUAGAGCAAACUAGUUAGUCCAAUUAUUUGUGUUGGGCAAUUCAACCACCAAAAUCAAUUAGGAAAAAGGUGUAAGCCUAAUUCCCUUUCAAUCUCCCCCUUUUUGGUGAUUGAUGCCAACACAAACCAAAGCAAAUAUAGAAGUGCAUAAUUGAACUAGUUUGCAUAAUUGUAAGUGCAAAGGUUGCUUGGAAUGAAACCAAUAUGUUCUUAUAAGAUACACAUGGAUUGUUUCUUUAUAUUCUUAAUAUUUUGGACCACGCUUGCACCACAUGUUUUGUUUUUGCAAAUCCUUUUGUAAAUUCUUUUCAAAGUCCUUUUGCAAAUAGUCAAAGGUAAAUGAAUGAGAUUUAGAGAAGCAUUUUCAAGAUUUGAAAUUUUCUCCCCCUGUUUCAAAUGCUUUUCCUUUGACUAAACAAAACUCCCCCUCAAUAAAAUCCUCCUCUUAGUGUUCAAGAGGGUUUUAGACAUUAGUUUUUGAAGAGGGUGUACCAAUUUUAAAUUCUAUCAAAAAUAAUAUACUAGUUGAAAAAUUCAUCAUUUCACAAUCUUUUCUUAACUCAAAUUUUGAAAAUUGGUGGUGGUGCGGUCCUUUUGCUUUGGGCUAAUACUUUCUCCCCCUUUGGCAUGAAUCGCCAAAAACGGAUACUUGAGUGAAAUAUAAGCCCUUUUAAACUACUUUCUCCCCCUUUGGUAAAUAACAUAUGAGUGAAGAUUAUACCAAAGACGAAGAGUUGCUCGGAGCGACGAUGAAGGAUGAGCAAUUUCGAUGGAGUGGAGUGGAAGCCUUUGUCUUCGCCGAAGACUCCAAAUCCCUUUCAAUCUAUGACUUGGUUUGAAAUUCACUUGAAUACACAUUAGUCAUAGCAUAUAAAAGAGACAUGAUCAAAGGUAUAUUAAUGUGCUAUGUAUGCAAGACAUCAAAAGAAAUUCCUAGAAUCAAGAACAUUUAGCUCAUGCCUAAGUUUGUUAAAAGUUUGUUCAUCUAGCGACUUGGUAAAGAUAUCGGCUAAUUGUUCCUUGGUGUUAAUAUAUGCAAUCUCGAUAUCCCCCUUUUGUUGGUGAUCCCUUAGAAAAUGAUACCGAAUGGCUAUGUGUUUAGUGCGGCUGUGCUCAACGGGAUUAUCUGCCAUGCGGAUUGCACUCUCAUUAUCACAUAGAAGAGGAACUUUGGUUAAUUUGUAACCAUAGUCCCUAAGGGUUUGCCUCAUCCAAAGCAAUUGCGCGCAAUAAUGGCCUGCGGCAAUAUACUCGGCUUCGGCGGUAGAAAGAGCUACGAAAUUUUGUUUCUUUGAAGCCCAAGACACCAGAGACCUUCCCAAGAACUGGCAACUCCCCGAUGUGCUCUUUCUAUUAAUUUUACACCCCGCCCAAUCGGCAUCCGAAUAACCAAUUAAAUCAAAUGUGGAUCCCCGAGGGUACCAAAGCCCAAACUUAUGAGUAUAAACAAAAUAUCUCAAGAUUCGUUUUACGGCCGUAAGGUGAGCUUCCUUAGGGUCGGCUUGGAAUCUUGCACACAUGCAUACGGAAAGCAUAAUGUCCGGUCGAGAUGCACAUAAAUAAAGCAAAGAGCCUAUCAUCGACCGGUAUACCUUUUGAUCGACGGAUUUACCUCCCAUGUCGAGGUCGAGAUGCCCAUUGGUUCCCAUGGGUGUCUUGAUGGGUUUGGCAUCCUUCAUCCCAAACUUGGUUAGAAUGUCCUGAGUAUACUUGGUUUGGCUAAUGAAGGUGCCCUCUUGGAGUUGCUUCACUUGAAAUCCCAAAAAGUACUUCAACUCCCCCAUCAUCGACAUCUCGAAUUUAUGUGUCAUGAUCCUACUAAAUUCCUCACAUGUAGAUUCGUUAGUAGACCCAAAUAUAAUAUCAUCAACAUAAAUUUGGCAUACAAACAAAUCAUUGUCAAGAGUUUUAGUAAAUAAAGUAGAAUCCGCCUUUCCCACUUUGAAGCCAUUAGUGAUAAGAAAAUCUCUUAGGCAUUCAUACCAUGCUCUUGGGGCUUGCUUGAGCCCAUAAAGCGCCUUAGAGAGUUUGUAAACAUGGUUAGGAUACUCACUAUCUUCAAAGCCAGGAGGUUGCUCAACAUAGACCUCCUCCUUGAUUGGUCCAUUGAGGAAGGCACUUUUCACGUCCAUUUGGUAAAGCUUAAAGCCAUGGUAAGUAGCAUAGGCAAGUAAAAUGCGAAUUGACUCUAGCCUAGCUAUGGGUGCAUAGGUUUCACCGAUAUCCAAACCUUCGACUUGUGAAUACCCCUUGGCCACAAGUCGGGCUUUGUUCCUUGUCACCACACCAUGCUCAUCUUGCUUGUUGCGGAACACCCACUUGGUUCCUACAACAUUUUGAUUAGGACGUGGAACUAAAUGCCAUACCUCGUUCCUAGUGAAAUUAUUGAGCUCCUCUUGCAUCGCCACCACCCAAUCCGAAUCUUGUAGUGCUUCCUCUACCCUGUGUGGCUCAAUAGAGGAAAAAAAGAGUAGUGUUCACAAAAAUGAGCAACCCGAGAUCGAGUAGUUACCCCUUUUGAAUAUCGCCGAGAAUGGUGUUCACGGGGUGAUCUCGUUGAAUUGCUUGGUGGACUCUUGGGUGUGGUGGUCUUGGAACGUGUUCAUCUUCCUCAUCCCGAUCAUGGGCAUCUCCCCCUUGAUCAUUGCUCUCCUCUUGAGGUGGCUCAACUUCUUGAUCUUCUCCUUCAUCAUUUUGAGCCUUAUCCUCAUCUUGAGUUGGUGGAGAUGCUUGUGUGGAGGAAGACGGUUGAUCUUGUGCAUGAGGUGGCUCUUCGGAUUCCUUAGGACACACAUCCCCAAUGGACGUGUUCCUUAGUGCGAUGCACGGAGCCUCUUCAUCACCUAUCUCAUCAAGAUCAACUUGCUCUACUUGAGAGCCGUUAGUAUCAUCAAACACAAUGUCACAAGGAACUUCAACUAGUCCGGAGGACUUGUUAAAGACUCUAUAUGCCCUUGUGUUUGAGUCAUAUCCUAGUAAAAAGCCUUCUACAGCCUUAGGAGCAAAUUUAGAUUUUCUACCUCUUUUAACAAGAAUAAAGCAUUUGCUACCAAAGACUCUAAAAUAUGAAACAUUUGGCUUUUUACCGGUUAGGAGUUCGUAUGAUGUCUUCUUGAGGAUUCGGUGUAGAUAUAACCGGUUGAUGGCGUAGCAGGCGGUGUUGACCGCCUCGGCCCAAAACCGAUCCGAAGUCUUGUACUCAUCAAGCAUGGUUCUUGCCAUGUCCAAUAGAGUUCGAUUCUUCCUCUCCACUACACCAUUUUGUUGUGGGGUGUAGGGAGAAGAGAACUCAUGCUUGAUGCCCUCCUCCUCAAGGAAACCUUCAAUCUGAGAGUUCUUGAACUCCGUCCCGUUGUCGCUUCUUAUUUUCUUGAUCCUUAAGCCGAACUCGUUUUGAGCCCGUCUCAAGAAUCCCUUUAGGGUCUCUUGGGUAUGAGAUUUUUCCUGCAAAAAGAACACCCAAGUGAAGCGAGAAUAAUCAUCCACAAUAACUAGACAGUACUUACUCCCGUCGAUGCUUAUGUAAGUUAUCGGGCCGAAUAGAUCCAUUUGUAGGAGCUCAAGUGGUCUAUCAGUCAUCAUGAUGUUCUUGUGUGGAUGAUGAACACCAACUUGCUUCCCUGCCUGACAUGCGCUACAAAUCCUGUCUUUCUCAAAAUGAACAUUUGUUAGUCCCAAAAUGUGUUCUCCCUUUAGAAGCUUGUGAAGAUUCUUCAUUCCAACAUGUGCUAGUCGGCGAUGCCAGAGCCAGCCCAUGUUAGUCUUAGCAAUUAAGCAAGUGUCGAGUUCAGCUCUAUCAAAAUCUACUAAGUAUAGCUGACCCUCUAACACUCCCUUAAAUGCUAUUGAAUCAUCACUUCUUCUAAAGACAGUAACACCUAUAUCUAUGAAAAGACAGUUGUAACCCAUUUUGCAUAAUUGAGAAACUGAAAGCAAGUUAUAAUCUAAGGAAUCUACAAGAAAAACAUUGGAAAUGGAAUGGUUAGGUGAUAUAGCUAUUUUACCCAAUCCUUUGACCAAACCUUGAUUUCCAUCCCCAAAUGUGAUUGCUCGUUGGGGAUCUUGGUUUUUCUCGUAGGACGAGAACAUCUUCUUCUCCCUUGUCAUGUGGUUUGUGCACCCGCUGUCGAUGAUCCAACUUGAGCCCCCGGAUGCAUAAACCUACAAAACAAGUUUAGUUCUUGAUUUUAGGUACCCAAACGGUUUUGGGUCCUUUGACAUUAGAUACAAGAACUUUGGGUACCCAAACACAAGUCUUUGACCCCUUGUGCUUGCCCCCAACAUACUUGGCAACUACCUUGCCGGAUUUGUUAGUUAAAACAUAGGAUGCAUCAAAAGUCUUAAAUGCAAUGUUGGAAUCAUUUGAUGCAAUAGGAGUUUUCUUCUUAGGCAAUUUAGCACGGGUUGAUUGCCUAGAGCUAGAUGUCUCACCCUUAUACAUAAAAGCAUGAUUAGGGCCAGAGUGAGACUUCCUAGAAUGAAUUCUCCUAAUUUUGCUCUCGGGAUAACCGGUAGGGUAUAAAAUGUAACCCUCGUUAUCCUGAGGCAUGGGAGCAUUGCCCUUUACAAAGUUAGUCAAUCUUUUAGGAGGGGCAUUAAGUUUGACAUUGUCCCCCUUUUGGAAGCCAAUGCCAUCCUUGAUGCCAGGGCGUCUCCCACUAUAGAGCAUGCUUCUAGCAGAUUUAAAUUUUUCAUUUUUCUAAGUCAUGCUCGGCAAUUUUUGCAUCUAAUUUUGCUAUAUGAUCAUUUUGUUGUUUAAUUAAAGCCAUAUGAUCAUGAAUAGCAUCAAUGUUAACAUCUCUACAUCUAGUGCAAAUAGUGACAUGCUCAAUGGUAGAUGUAGAGGGUUUGCAAGCAUUAAGUUUAACAAUCUUAGCACGUAAAAUAUCAUUGUUAUCUCUAAGAUCGGAAAUUGUAACAUUGCAAACAUCUAAUUCUUUAGCCUUAGCAAUUAAUUUUUUAUUAUCAUUUCUAAGGCUAGCAAGAGAGACAUUUAAAUCUUCAAUCUUAGCAAGUAAGUUAACAUUAUCAACUCUAAGAUUGGGAUUUGGAACAUCACAAAUAUUAGAAUCAACCUUAGCAAUUAGUUUAGCAAUUUCAUUUCUAAGGUUGGCAAUAGUAUCAUGGCAAGUGCUUAGCUCACUAGAUAGUUUUUCACAUUUUUCUACUUCUAGAGCGUAAGCAUUUUUAACCUUAACAUGCUUCUUAUUUUCCUUAAUUAGGAAGUCCUCUUGAGAGUCCAAGAGAUCAUCCUUCUCAUGACUAGCACUAAUUAAUUCAUUUAGUUUUUCUUUUUGUUGCAUGUUUAGGUUGGCAAAAAGGGUACGUAAAUUAUCCUCCUCAUCACUAGCAUUAUCUUCAUCACUAGAGGAUGCAUAUUUAGUGGAGGAUUUUGAUUUCACCUUCUUCUUUUUGCCGUCCUUUGCCAUGAGGCACUUGUGGCCGACGUUGGGGAAGAGGAGUCCCUUGGUGACGGCGAUGUUGGCGGCGUCCUCGUCGGAGGAGGAGUCGGAGGAGCUCUCGUCGGAGUCCCACUCGCGACACACAUGGGCAUCGCCGCCCUUCUUCAUGUAGUAUCUCUUCUUUUCUCUCCUCUUUCCGUUCUUGUCAUUGCCCCUGUCACUAUCACUAGAUAAUGGACAUUUAGCAAUGAAAUGACCGGGCUUACCACAUUUGUAGCACACCUUCUUGGAACGGGGCUUGUAAUCUUUCCCCUUCCUUUGUUUGAGGAUUUGGCGAAAGCUCUUGAUGAUGAGCGCCAUUUCCUCAUUGUCGAGCUUAGAGGCGUCGAUGGGUUGUCUACUUGAUGUAGACUCCUCCUUCUUCUCCUCCGUCGCCUUGAAUGCAACCGGUUGUGCUUCGGGCGUGGAGGGGCCAUCUAGCUCGAUGAUUUUCUUUGAGCCUUUGAUCAUCAACUCAAAGCUCACAAAAUUACCUAUCACUUCCUCGGGAGACAUUAGUGUGUAUCUAGGAUUACCACGAAUUAAUUGAACUUGCGUGGGAUUAAGAAAAAGGAGGGAUCUUAGAAUAACCUUGACCAUUUCAUGGUCAUCCCAUUUUGUGCUCCCGAGGUUGCGCACUUGGUUCACCAAGGUCUUCAAGCGGUUGUACAUGGCUUGAGGAUCCUCGCCUUGGUAGAGUCGGAACCGACCGAGCUCCCCCUCGAUCGUCUCCCGCUUGGUGAUUUUGGUCACCUCAUCUCCUUCGUGCGCGGUCUUGAGUACGUCCCAAAUCUCCUUAGCGCUCUUUAGUCCUUGCACUUUGUUAUACUCCUCUCGACUUAGAGAGGCGAGGAGUAUAGUGGUGGCUUGAGAGUUGAAGUGCCGGAUUUGGGCGACCUCGUCCGAAUCAUAGUCUUCAUCCCCCGGUGAUGGUACUUGUACUCCAAUCUCAACAACAUCCCAAAUGCUAGUGUGGAGUGAGGUUAGAUGAUGCCUCAUUUUAUCACUCCACAUAUUAUAAUCUUCACCAUCAAACAUAGGUGGUUUGCCUAAUGGGACAGAAAGUAAAGGAGUACGUUUGGAAAUGCGAGGGUAGCGUAGGGGAAUCUUACUAAACUUCUUGCGCUCAUGGCGCUUAGAAGUUACGGACGGCGUGUCGGAGCCGGAGGUGGAUGGCGACGAAGAGUCGGUCUCGUAGUAGACCACCUUCCUCAUCUUCUUCUUCUUGUCACCGCUCUGACCCGACUUGUUGUGUGAAGGGGAUCCCUUCAUCUUGUUGGCGGACUCCCCGGAUGGAGCCUUCCCAUGGCUUGUGGCGGGCUUCUCGCUAGUCCCGAUCUCCCUCUUGGCGGAUGCUCCCGACAUCACUUCGAGCGGUUAGGCUCUAAUGAAGCACCGGGAUUUGAUACCAAUUGAAAGUCGCCUAGAGGGGGGGGGGGGUGAAUAGGGCGAAUCUGAAAUUUAUAAACUUAAGCACAACUACAAGCCGAGUUAGCGUUAGAAAUAUAAAUGAGUCCGAGAGAGAGGGCGCAAAACAAAUCGUGAGCAAAUAAAGAGCGAGACACGAUGAUUUGUUUUACCGAGGUUCGGUUCUUGCAAACCUACUCCCCAUUAAGGUGGUCACAAAGACCGGGUCUCUUUCAACCCUUUCCCUCUCUCAAACGGUCACUUAGACCGAGUGAGCUUCUCUUCUCAAUCAAACGAAACACAAAGUUCCCGCAAGGACCAUCACACUAUUGGUGUCUCUUGCCUCGGUUACAAUUGAGUUGAUCACAAGAAGAAUGAAAAAGAAAAGAAGCAAUCCAAGCGCAAGAGCUCAAAUGAACACAAAUAUCACUCUCUCACUAGUCACUAUUGAUUGGAGUUGUCUUUGGACUUGAGAGAGGAUUUGAUCUCUUUGGAGUGUCUAGAAUUGAAUGCUAUAGCUCUUGUAAUGUGUUGAAGGUGGAAAACUUGGAUGCCAUUGAAUGUGGGGUGGGUGGGGUAUUUAUAGCCCCAACCACCAAAAAUGGCCGUUGGAAGACUGCUGUCACAUGGCGCACCGGACAGUCCGGUGCGCCAGCCACGUCAGCCAGCCGUUGGGGUUCGACCGUUGGAGCUCUGACAGGUGGGGCCUCUGGGCUGUCCGGUGGUGCACCGGACAGGUCCUGUAGACUGUCCGGUGCGCCAACUGCGUGUCCUCUGUCCUCUGCACGCGCAGACGCGCAUUUAAUGCGUUGCAGUCAACCGUUGCGCGCGAAGUAGCCGUUGCUCCGCUGGCACACCGGACAGUCCGGUGAAUUAUAGCGGAGCGCCCUCUGAAUUUCCCGAAGGUAGCGAGUUCAGCGACGAGUGCCCUGGUGCACCGGACAGUCCGGUGGCAAACCAGACAGUCCGGUGCGCCAGACCAGGGUGCCAUUUGGGAUGUCUUUUGCUCUCUUUGUUUGAACCCUUUCUUGGUCUUUUUAUUGGCUUAUUGUGAACCUUUGGCACCUGUAAGACUUAUAGACUAGAGCAAACUAGUUAGUCCAAUUAUUUGUGUUGGGCAAUUCAACCACCAAAAUUAAUUAGGAAAAAGGUGUAAGCCUAAUUCCCUUUCACUUUUGUUUUUUUUGAUGUGUUGGCAUAAAUCACCAAAAAGGGGGAGAUUGAAAGGGAAAUGUGCCCUUUGGCAAUUUCUAUAAGUAUUUUGGUGAUUAGAUGCCCAACACAUUAUUUGAGUACUUAUGUGCUAAAUGUGUGAAAAGUGCAAAUCAAAGUAAAAGGUACGUUUCAAGACUUAGUACAUUGUUUUUGUGAACUAACAUUGAUCGUCUAAGUGCUAGAAACAGUGCCGAAAAGAGAGGAAUCAGAUUGCAAAAGACUUGGCUGUGAGCAGCCAAACUUCAGCUCGGACUGGCACACCGGACAGUGUCCGGUGGUGCACCGGAUAGUGUCCGGUGUGCCAGGCUGGUCCGCGUGAACUCGCCGCUCUCGGGAUUCGACGACGGCAUACGGCUAAAAAUCACUGGACCGUCCGGUGGUGCACCGGACUGUCCGGUGAGUCAUCCACGACGAACUCGUCGCUCUCGGGAAACGAAAAAGGUGACGUGGCUACAAUUCACUGGACUGUUCGGUGGUGCACCGGACUGUCCGGUGAGCUAACGGUCGCCAGCGCCAACGGUCGGUCGCGCAAUCUUCGCGCUACACGUGGUCGCGCCAACGGUCGGCAGGGGCACCAGACUGUCCGGUGUGCAUCGGACAGUGUCCGGUGCGCCAACGGGCCCGAAGCUGCAACGGUCGACUGUGCCCGAUUUGGAAUGAAAUCAUGCACCGGACAUGCUACAGUGGUUGUCCGGUGGCGCACCGGACUGUCCGGUGCGCCACUCGACAGAAGGCUAGGAUGGCCUUCCAUGUUUGCCUCCAACGACUCCUAGCUGCCUUGGGGCUAUAAAAGGGACCCCUAGGCACAUGGAGGAGUAACCUAAGCAUUCACUAAGCAUUCUAAGACUCCCACACUCUGCCUCCGCGCAUUUGAUCGAUUGUGUUAGUGAUUUGAGCUCCGUUCGAGUUGUGAACUCUCUGUGCUACGUUUCGAGCUCAAGUCUUGGCUUGUGUGCGUGUGUGUUGAGGAUUUGUGUGUUGCUCUCCUAGCCUUACUCUUGUGCCUUCUUUGUGAUCUUUAUUGUAAGGGCGAGAGGCUCCAACUUGUGGAGAUUCCUCACAAACGGGAGAAAGACUAUAAGGAAGAAAGUCGUGGUAUUCAAGUUGAUCAUUGGAUCACUUGAAAGGGGUUGAGUGCAACCCUCGUCCAUUUGGACGCCACAACGUGGAAGUAGGCAAGUGUCACUUGGCCGAAUCACGGGAUAAAAAUCGCGUGUCUCUUGUGUUGCUUUCUCUGUGAUUGUUUUGUCCACAAGAACUCGCCUCAAAACUACUUAGUCACACUAACACGUCUAUAACUAAGUUUUGUGGCUAUUUAGUGUUUGAUUUUACAGGAUCACCUAUUCACCCCCCUCUAGGUGCUCUCACUUACCUUUUCUCAAACCCAGUCUAAAUCUCGAGGGCGAAAUUCCUUUAAGUGGGGUAGGUUUGUAACAUCCCAAAAUUUAAUCUCAAGGUUAGAAACCCUAAUCUCCUAACCCCCUUGAUUAUCCCCUAGACCCACCUCAUGAGACAUUUCAUCAUAUGCAUACACCAUGAAUGUUAGUAGCACCUCACAUAGAAUAUUUUUGACACCUUAGAAUAUAUAGCUAAAUAUUUGUUCAAAAGAAAAAGGAGAUAAAAGGAAUAGAAAUAGAAAUAGAAAAAGAAAAAGGAAAAUCUUCUCCCCCUCGGCUAGGCCGAAUCCGGCCCAACCCCCUCUCUCCCGCGCGCCCGUCUCCCCCCUCGCUCGGCCCACUCGGCCCAUCUCCGCUCGCGCGCUCGCGCUUCCCCUUCUGCCGCUGUCAGCCCGGCCCCACCCGUCAGCCACGCUCGCCCUCACUCCCUCGCAACCGCCCUCUCUCUAGCAAGCGGGCCUCGCUUGUCAUCCCCUUCCUCGCGCCCGUGACCAAGCUAUCGGCGCGAUCGCCGCCGGUCACCACCCGCCCCGUCGCCUCGCCAUUAACACGCUCGCCAGCAAGGUUGGCGCCUUGCGUCCCUGUCUCCUUGCGCCAGCCUGAGCCAUCCCGUCACCCGCCUGCCCGAGCCAUCCCGUCGCCACCACUGUGCGCCAUCAUCACCACCGCGGCAAGCUCGCCGGUGCUUGCCACCUCUCCUCCCUUCCCUGUCCCGGGCGCCUAUAAAAAGGACCGCCCGAGCUCCAUCCUUCUUCACACCGGCCUCGGCCACUCCCACACCCCUUCCCUGUUGAGCCGCACCGCCGUGCCUUUCCUCCGCUCCGGUGAGCUCCCCUUCCUUCCUCUGGUAGCCUAGCGUUCAAUUGGUUGGGCUCGCAACGUUCACCACUCCCUCACGAACAUGACACACCCCUCCCCUCCACCUAUUGCGCCCAGCAGCCUCACCGGCGAUCUCACUGCCGCGGACGCCCGCCACCUCGCUGUGGACCGGCCGUCCCGGGCACCCUUCGGCCAAAUUAACCCCUCCACCAUGAUCCCCUACCCCCACCCGUGCUUAGCCACCUCCCCAACCACCCAAAACCUGAACCACGGCGGAGAACCGCCGCGGAACCUCGUCGGCGGUCGUUUUUUCCGACCUCGGCCGGUUCGGCCCCUCCCCCGUCCGACCACCCAACGCCAUCAGCCUCCCCCUCCCUCUGGCACGUGGGCCCACGCCCACAGCACCGUCCCCGCGUCAUUCCCCGCUGGUGGGCUGGCUGGGCCGCCUGCCUGCGCGCACGCGUGUUCGCGCUUGGCUGGGUCGAAAAUCCCCCCGGCCCAUCUAGCAGGAAAUCCCUUUUCUUUUUCCUUUUUCCAUUGCUUUUUCCUAUUUUCAUAUAUUUAUGCAUAUAUUGAUAUUUUAUGCACCAAAAAUCGUCUAAAUAAAUUAUAGGGCACAAAAUAAUAAUAUCUAAAAGUGGCAUUGCUAGGAGAAGAGGGAUCCGAUCAUCCGGAAUUUGUAGUUCCGAAAGAAGGGCAGGAACCCGACCUCUCCGAAAUAGAUCUUUCGUGUUAGGAGAACUUCGACGAAGGUAAGUCCAUUCUUCCCUUGAUGCAUAAAUUACCUACUCUUUCUACCACUACCUAAGCCGGGAAUAAGGGAUGGGUCUUUUGCAUUGUGAGAAGAGAGAUAGCCCGCAUUAAAGAAUAUCUUUUGAAUACAAAAUGUGGGAUGAGAAAAGGGCGGUGUUUUUACCAAACGAUGUUUUCAAAAAAGUGUAUGAUGAAGGGUAUUCACCCUUAUCACCUUUUGAGUGGGAUAAUCAGGGACUCCCUAGUUUAGGGGAGGGCCUCAGGUGUUGGCUCAGCCGGGUUAGGUGUGAGCAGAAGGAUUGUCCCCUCACAUAAGGACCAAUUUGUCAUCCUUCACUACCUGUACUCAUGACAAGUACAACCACUCGAGACUGUAUGGGCAGUCACUCAAUCUGAACUCGUAUGGUCCAAACCCCAGGGUUAUGAUGGAUGGGGAGCACCGGGAGGAUAAGGAGGGGGAAUGUUUUGUCCGGUUUGGACAUGGCGGUGGCCUGACUCCUUACGGUAUAACCGUUAAGGUAAGGACAUGCGAGGAAAGAAAGAGAUUCGGUUUCGGAUCUCAUUGGCCAUGAGAUCGCAGAGCCGGACUAGUGGGUAAAGUGUACCUCUCUGCGCAGAGUUAAAACCUAUUCGAAUAGUCCGUGUCCACUAGUAUGGACGAGUCUGGUGUGGUAUGACAAUUAGUGUUUAUAACCUCCGCAAACAGGGAAAUGUGUGAGUGGGUGUGUUUUGGAAAUAAAAACAAUGCCACGGGAGCAGGAAGCUCAGUGGUGGUUGAGUGUGAAAAUGUGCUACUUCUUUAUUUGGGGAAAACCAUCAAAGUAUUUCCUUUCUUUGGAAAAGAAGAGUGACUUCAACUCCACCAUAUGAAGCAUGUAUUAUAUAGGUCCCUCUCUCUUUACGGGCGGGAUGGGCUUGCAGAAUACCUAGUGUAUUCACCCAGAUUUAUUUAUGUUUUUUAGCAGCUGAAGACUUCUUUUCUGCAUUGGUCGACUAGAAGGGGGUUGUGUCUGCACCCAGUUCUGCCUGUGGCUUGGGCUAGUUUAUUUUCCACUGCGCUUUGUAUUUUAGGCUCCUUAGAGCUUGUACCCUGGUAUUGUAAUAACUUUUAUUCGAACUCUGUACUAUUCGAAGUAAGGAAUGUGAUUACUAGCCUCCUGGGACUAGUAUUUGUAUCACAUUUGAGUCCUAGAGGAUUGGGGCGCUUCAGGAACCAACAUGCUACAUGCGGCGCGAGGUACAUGGAAGCCACCUUUACCCAAGCUUCGAGUUUGACUUCGUACAUGUCGAAAUAACUCUCACAACAAUAGAUCCAUAAUCGUGGAUUAUCCCUGUCGAACACAAGAAAUGGCAAUUUCGGUAACGUGCCCAGAGAGCUCAUCGGCAUGUCAGAAUUACAUGUGUGACUACCCACAUGAUCAAAAACAGGACCAUGGUAACGAGGAGAGGGCGGUAGAAGGGGCACAUGAUGCAUACCCUUGACCGGGCCAGGGGUGAAGGUCACCAACCCAUACCCCUGCUCCUGGUGGCGUGAUUCUUCGUGGUGCCCAGUGGGGCCGUCAUGAGUCGGAGCCUGUUGACGAGGAUCGAGCAACGGGUCCGUCUUGCCGAGGAUGCUAGAGUCUGCACCCGCCAUGUAACGCGCUGCGUGUUCCCACUUCUUGUUCAUCUUGUGGAGCUCCAACUUGACAUCUGCCAUGGCAGCGUCGGCCCUGGGACGCCAGCUGUCGAACUCGGCGCACGAGUUCUCUAGGGUUGUCAGGCGACUUCCUUGGCGCAGUUGAAGUCUCCAAACCGCUACUCCCACUUGAGGUCCAUUGCCACCAGCUUCUUCUUGAUCUCCUCGAGGAGAAGCUUGGACGAAGGAUCCAUGGAACCCUUGCAUCGUUGGAGCCUCGUGAAGUGGUCGUGGUUGGCGGCGGGUUCCAGAUCGGCGAUCGCGGAGGAUCGAUCCUCUGAUACCAAAUGUUACCAACGGCGGCUUGCGUGAAGGGGAAGGAAAGGUAGGGAAAUAGAGAAGGAGUAGGUAGGAUGGAGAGCCGAUGGCUCAUGGUUUCUUUCAGGGAAUGCUUGUUCAAAGAUAGUUACACCAUACCUGCAGCGCUACUUAAGUUCUCAGCUUCACCACACACAUCACACCUUACAUCCUCCAUUCUGGGCCUGAGACACGGACAUUGGGCUUCCUGAUGCGACUUGACACCCUAGGGUCUUUGUGGCUGCUUGCUAGGCCUGCUGUCGGUCCAUGAACACCACCAACUUCUGAUGUCGCGAUGUCUCCCUCCUCACAUCCCUAGGCAGUGUCUAUAACCCCAUAGUCAUGCUCUGCUCUUGUCCAUGGCGAUGCCAGUCUUCAUCUACCUUGUUGGGUGCUGCUCAUCCUUGCGCACGCGCCCACGUUGUCAGUUUUCCCUCAAGCCCGCGUCUCUAGCCCCUACUCGUCGUGUAGGCCGGUUGCGUCAUUGCCAGACUCGCCUCCCUCGCCAUGGCCUCGAUCCGGCCUCUCUUGUGGCUACUCCACCAUGUCUAGGCUACACCCCUCUUUGUGGUGCCACGCUGCCGGGGGGUACGCCCUCCUCGGUCACCGUUGAGUGAUCAUUGUCCUUGGCGCCCCUCAUCCCCCAUGGCCGCCAUGAUGUGAGCCCCUUUUGCCACGCCCUAUGCCCAUGGUCGCAACCUCUCAUUGGUGUCCUCCCCUACGUGCUCAAACCUCACCAUCGUCUUGGACUUUGCCAUUGACCCCCCAUCGAUCUGGGCCUUCACGCCCAUCGGUUAUGCUACUGCUGGGCGUCACUACAAGUUGUGCCCGCAAUCCCGUCAGCCCUUGCUCGCUGUCCGCGCCUUGUGUUCAUGUCGGUGAGGUUCCGUUCUCACUCUGUCGUUUCAUCAUCCGACGUGUUUUCCCUUGUGGUUAAUUAUGUGUAUGUGUGUGAAAUUAUGGAGGAGAAAUACCAGGAUGCUUGGAUGGAGAAGAAAAUGAAGCUCCGAUGUGUCGCCCACCAGGUGCUCGGCGUAUUGAUUAAAUCGGAAAUCGUUGUUGUGCUCGCAGUCUUGGUAAGCCAAGCCGCUUCUACUACCGUCUAGUUGAUAAACAGAUUGGACAAAUAUUAAUUACGAUGAUUUUCUUAUUUUUCGCGCAGAGCGUUGCGAUGGUGACCUCCAGAUUCUGGUUGUUGCCUGUGUUUGGUUCCACAAUGUUUAUGGAAUUUCCUCUUUUCUUUUUCAUGAUAUUGUGGUUGUGCGUAAAGUGUUUAUAACGGCGCCUUAUCUCGUGUAGUGUUAUGUUGUGCGCAUAAACGGAAAUUAGUCGUAUUUAUGUGGUGAAGUUUGGUUUUGAGCUUGCGGAUAUUCUGAGAGGUGUUUUGAUGACUAUAUCGAUAAUGGGUGGUGUGUAACAUAGUUAGUAUUGUGUUGGGUGCUUGUUGAAAUGCCUCGUUUCAUGCGGUAAACAUGUAUUGUUGAAAAAUUAAUAGGACCUAAGAUUAAUUUGAUAAUGCAGCAGAAAUCGAAAAACCCAGAUCUAUUGGCAGAUAAUAUUCACGACAUUAGAACAGAACAGAUCUGAACUAACUCAACAAGAUUAACGCAUAAAAGAAGAAUUGACAACAGAUCUAACCAUAAGACCGUCAUCGCAAUAAACUAAAACCGCAGAUUUACUCACAGUUAUUUCCACGAGUGUUGAAGAAGAACCCGAGCGGACGUGCGUGAAGCACUUCCUAGAAAUCAGAUUCGUCGGCACCCGUGCAGGUCGUCAAAACACCAGCGGUGGUUCGGAGACACCGCUCUCCCUUGAUUUGCUGCAUGGUAGACGAAGGGACGACAUGGCAGAGAAGCGACGACACAGAGAAUUGAGAAGAAGAGGACGAGUCGGUUGCUAUUCGUCUGUCCUCCGACUAAAGGACGACUGCCCUUUAUAGAUGGGUUGUCGCAACCCCUUUAUUCGAUCUGCUAAAUUCUAGGAACCACCCCUAUCUCUAUGUGCAACCGCCCGGAGAUCUCGCACAUAACGUGUGUGUCCAUUAUUCCUGGUUGACGUGGUAGUCUAGGUGUGAUAUUUGAUAACCAAAUAAACAAAAGGCAAAAAUUAAACUAUUGUUUAGAACAUGACGCGAUCGCGCAUCGUCGCAAGUCACAAGUGACGCGUUGAAUAACACAGAAAAACUCGAAAUGCGAGCGAGCGCGCGUAUGUGGCAGUCUCCAUAGCCCUUUAUUUGUCUCUUGUGAAGAGUAGGGAACACUCCCACAUAUAAGGUGGUUCUGUCCUAUCUAGAUGGGCGAUGUGGGACUAAAGUCCCAUGCCAUCCCUACACACCACCUUGGCUUCCUUAUUGAAUUGGGCCACACACAAAUGAGCCUAAUUCCAACAAUCCCCACCAAAGCCAAGGUCUCCAAUUGACUCAAUCUCUACGCUUUCAUAUACCAGCUUUACAGUGCAGACCCGAUACGGGUUGAGCUACACCUUACAGUAUAGGAUUCGCCUCCUCACGACUUUGCAAUGGACAAAGCCUUGGGCAUCAUUGAUACUAGGCCACCUAAAGCCAUGCCUCUGAUUGGAGCAUAACGUUCAUGCUCCCAUGUCUUUUAGUGAAAUUAUUUGAGAUUACUCACAUCUUAUAGACUGCGACCUCACAGUCAAACUCACAUAGGUGUAUUCUUAAAAGUGUACCCUACAGGACAGUACCUUGCCUGUUACAGGCCUCAGAAUACAUUAAGACAAAAGUCAACCUCCCUUGUAGUACUUAGAGUACGCAUCUUCUAGCGGGAAACAAGUAAAAUAAUCUACUAUCUUGUUAUACAAAACAAUUUGUUUUUCCCAAUUACUAAUUCACAGGAUCUCCAAUCACAUAGAUUGGGUUACCACUGUAUGAUAACAUCACGUGGGCUUCAAUCCCAUCUCCCUUGAUGCUACAUCAAUCAUAGCACGUGCUAAUCCCUUUGUAAAAGGGUCCGCCAAGUUUCAAGCAAUAUUAAUAUACUCUACGACGAUCUCUCCAGUAUUUCCCAAAUGUCUUACUGAUUUGAUACGCCGUUUCACAUGUCUUGAGAACUUUGCAUUUUCCUUUGUAUUGCAUACAAUUGUGAUCACACUUUGAUUAUCACAAUGCAACAGAAUGGUUGGUACCGGUUUAUCAACCAUUGGCAAGUCCAUCAAGAGCUCUUUCAACCACUCUACCUCAGUAGUGGCUGACUCAAGUGCUACAAGUUCUGCCUCCAUAGUAGACUUCGUUAAGAUAGUCUGCUUACGAGACCUCCAAGAAACUGUAGCCCCACCAAUUGUGAAUAUAUAUCCAGUUGUGGCCUUGAUCUCAGCGGCAUCUGAGAUCUAGUUGGAAUCACUAUACCGUUCAAGUACAACAGGAUACCCAGUAUAGUGAAGUCCAUACGCAGAAGUACCUCUCAAGUAUCUCAUUACACGUUCUAGUGCACACCAGUGAUCGCUUCCUGUAUUAGAAGUGAAUCUGCUCAAUUUGCUCACAGCAAACGAGAUAUCAGGCCUGGUUGCACCAACAAGGUACAUGAGGGAACCAAUAAUUUGGGAGUAUUUCAACUGAUUAAUUCCUUAUCCUCUAUUCUUGCGAAGUGUUAGACUAGGAUCAAAAGGUGUUGGAGAAUCUUUGGAGUCAGAAUACCCAAAGCGGUUUAGAAUGUUCUCCACAUAAUGAGAUUGUUUCAGAAUAAUCCCAUUCUCACCCUUCAUUAGUUUUAUGUUUAAUAUAACAUCUUCCUCUCCCCAAUCCUUCAUAUCAAAAUUUUGAGAUAAAAAUGAUUUCACGUCAUUUAUCACAUCAAUACUAGUCCCGAAGAUUAGUAUGUCAUCCACAUACAAGCACAAUAUUACUCCCUUACCACCAACAAACUGAUAGUACACACAAGUGUCAGCUUCGUUUACCACAAAGCCCGCUGACGUCAGAGUUCUAUCGAACUUCUCAUGCCAUUGCUUUGGCGCCUGCUUGAGGCUAUAUAAGGAUUUCCUUAGUCUACACACCAUGUUCUCCUGUCCAUGCAUCACAAAUCCCUCUGGCUGCUUCAUAUAGAUCUCCUCGUCAAGCUCACUAAUAAGGAAAGCUGUCUUCACAUCCAUUUCAUGGAUGAGUAGAUCAUGAUUCGCAGCAAGUGCUAUUAGCAUGUUCUAGAUGCAAACAUCCCAUGUUGGUUGGAGGUGAUUUUAAUAUCCUAAGGAAAGAUGAGGACAAGAAUAAACCUAGGGGGACGAAUAAAUGGAGCACCCUGUUCAAUUCUAUCAUUGACUUACAUAGAAUGAUAGAGUUAGACUUGAUGAAUAGAUUAUAUACUUGGUCCAAUAACAGACAUCCCCCACCUAUGAAAAGUUGGAUAGAUUCCUUACUAGCCCAGAAUGGGAUUUACAGUACAAAAAUGUUACUUGAAAGGGAAAUAGGGUCAAACCUUUUUCCUAAAUGAUUUUGGUGGUUGAAUUGCCCAACACAAAUAAUUGGACUAACUAGUUUGCUCUAGAUUAUAUGUUCUACAGGUGCCAAAGGUUCAUCUACAACUAUUCUAAAUCGGUUGUCCGGAAUACCGUAGAUUAUUCCGGAAAGGAGAAGCUUUUUGGAAAAACAGACUAAGCGCGGACCGUCUGGGCCCUUGCGGCGGACUGUCCACGACACCAGGAUGACCCUCGGACAGAACCAAUGCAAAAACCCAUGUCUACACUACGAACCGUCCGGAGGGAAAGCAAGGAUCGUCCGAGACCACGCGCGGACCGUCUGGCCUCAGGCGCGGACCGUCCGGUAGGUGAGGAACCGAAAACCCCGAAGGUGAUGGGUUCGGUAAAAUGAAUUAUAGCGUCCUCGUGGACCGUUCGGGGUGCACGACCGGACCGUCUGCAACUGCCUUUAUCUGACAUCUGACGACGCAUUAAAUGCAAUAUAGCCGUUGAUAUAGCCGUUACUGCUGACCGUUGCGUUUUCAGUCGUUGAUGUGCAGGGCCGGACCGUCCGGACCAGGGGCGCAGACCGUCUGUGGUUGGCAGAAUUGGAGCAACGGCUAGGAAGUGGUUGGUGGCUAUAAAUACAACCCCAACCACCUCCAUUCAAUUGAUCCAAGCAUUCCAAACCUCUACAUUCAAUACAAGAGCUUGCACUCCAUUCAAAGACACAAUCAAAGCCUCCAAUCUCUCCAAGUUCCACAAUUGAGACAAGUGAUCAUUAGUGAUUAGCGACUUGAGAGAGAGAGUGAUCCGUGUGAUAUUGGUCGCUCUUGUUGCUUGGCUUUUGCAGUCGUGCUUUCUUCCUUCCCAUUCUUAUUCUCAAGUGACUUGUAAUCAAAGCAAGAGACACCAAGUUGUGGUGGUCCUUGUGGGGUCUAAGUGACCCAUUUGAUUGAGGAGAAAAGCUCACUGGUCUUUGUGAUCGGUGGAGAGAGGGAAAUGGUUGAAAGAGACCCGGUCUUUGUGACCACCUCAACGGGGAGUAGGUUUGCAAGAACCGAACCUCGGUAAAACAAAUCACUGUGUCAUCCGUUCUAUUUCUUUGGUUGAUUUGUUUUCACCCUCUCUUUUGGACUCGACUUUAUUUCUAACGCUAACCCCGGCUUGUAGUUGUGCUUAAAGUUUAUAAAUUUCAGAUUUGCCUAUUCACCCCCCUCUAGGCGACUUUCAAUUGGUAUCAAAGCCUGGUACUUCAUUAGAACCUAACCGUUCGAAGUGAUGUUGGGAGAUCACGCCAAGAAGAAGAUGGUGACCGGCGAGAAGCCCGCCACAAGCCACGGGAAGGCUCCAUCAAAGGAGUCCGGCAACAAGAAAAGGGAGGAAUCACCUCCCCGCGUCAAGUCACACUGGAGUUGCGACAAGAAGAAGAAAAUGAAAAAAGUGGUCUACUACGAGACCGAUUCUUCAUCACCUUCUACCUCCGGUUCCGACACGCCGUCCGUCACUUCUAAGCGCCAUGAGCGCAAGAAGUUUAGUAAGAUCCCCCUAUGCUAUCCUCGCAUUUCUAAACAUACUCCUUUACUUUCCGUCCCAUUAGGAAAACCACCGGCUUUUAAUGGUGAAGAUUAUUCUAGGUGGAGUGAAAUGAUGAAAUAUCACCUAACCUCACUCCACACAAGCAUAUGGGACAUUGUUGAAUUUGGAGCAAGGUACCAUCCGUGGGGGAUGAAGAUUAUGAUGCGGACGAAGUCGCCCAAAUCCAACACUUCAAUUCCCAAGCAACUACUAUACUCCUCACCUCUCUAACUCGAGAGGAGUAUAAUAAGGUGCAAGGGUUGAAAAGUGCCAAAGAGAUUUGGGACGUACUAAAGACCGCGCAUGAAGGAGACGAGGUGACCAAGAUCACCAAGAUAGAAACAAUCGAGGGGGAGCUCGGUCGGUUCAUGCUCAACCAAGGAGAGGAGCCACAAGCCAUGUACAACCGGCUCAAGACCUUGGUGAAUCAAGUGCACAACCUCGGGAGCACAAAAUGGGAUGACCAUGAAAUGGUCAAGGUUAUUCUUAGAUCACUCGUUUUUCUUAAUCCUACUCAAGUACAAUUAAUUCAUGGUGAUCCUAGAUAUAAACUAAUGUCUCCCAAGGAAGUUAUAGGAAAGUUUGUGAGCUUUGAGUUGAUGAUCAAAGGCUCCAAAUAAAUCAUCGAGCAAGGCGCCACCUCCACACCCGAGGUACAACCCGUUGCCUUCAAAGCAACGGAGGAUAAGAAAGAAGAGUCUAUGUCAAGUAGGCUCCCCAUUGACGCCUCCAAGCUCGACAAUGAGGAGAUGGCGCUCAUCAUCAAAAGUUUCCGCCAAAUCCUCAAGCAAAGGAGGGGGAAGGACUACAAGCCCCGCUCCAAGAAAGUUUGCUAUAAGUGUGGUAAGCUCGAUUAUUUCAUUGCUAAAUGUCCAUUAUCAAGUGAUAGUGACAGGGGCGACGACAAGAAGGGAAGAAGGAAGGAGAAGAAGAGGUACUACAAGAAGAAGGGCGGCGAUGCCUACGUUUGUCGAGAGUGGGACACCGAUGAGAGCUCCACCGACUCCUCCUUCGACGAGGACGCUGCAAACAUCACCGUCAACAAAGGUCUCCUCUUCCCAAACGUCGGCCACAAGUGCCUCAUGGAAAAGGAUGGGAAAAAGAAGGUAAAAUCUAGAGCCUCCACUAAAUAUGCAACAUCUAGUGAUGAGGAGAACUCUAGUGAUGAUGAGGAUAAUUUACUUACUCUUUUUGCCAACCUAAACAUGCAACAAAAGGAAAAAUUAAAUGAAUUAAUAGGUGCUAUUCAUGAGAAGGAUGAACUCUUGGAUAUCCAAGAGGACUUCCUUAUUAAGGAAAAUAAGAAGCAUGUUAAGGUUAAAAAUGCUUAUGCUCAGGAAGUAGAAAAGUGUGAAAAAUUGACUAGUGAGCUAAGCACUUGCCAUGACACUAUUUCCAACCUUAGAAAUGAGAAUGCUAAAUUAAUUGCUAAGGUUGAGAAGCUAAAUGUUUGUCGUGAUUCUCUUGUCAAACUUAAAAAUGAUAAUGCUAGUUUGAUUGCCAAAAUUGACAAGUUGAAUGAAUCACUCUCUAGCCUUAAAAUUGAGAAUGAAAAGUUAAUUGCUAAGGCUAAAGACUUAAAUGUUUGCAAUAUUUCUAUUUCCAAUCUUAGAGAUGAGAAUGCUAUUUUACAUGCUAAGAUUGAUGAAUUAAAUGCUUGCAAACCCUCUACAUCUACUGUUAGUCAUGUCUCUAUUUGUACUCGAUGUAGAGAUGUUAGUGUUGAUGCUAUCCAUGAUCACAUUGCUAUGAUUAAACAACAAAAUGAUCAUAUAGAAAAAUUAGAUGCUAAAAUUGCCGAGCAUGAAUUAGAGAAUGAAAAUUUUAAAUUUGCUCGUAGUAUGCUUUAUAGUGGGAGACGUCCUGGCAUUAAGGAUGGCAUUGGCUUCCAAUAGGGAUGCAAUGUCAAGCUCAAUGCCCCUAAAAGAUUGUCUAAUUUUGUUAAGGGCGAGGCUCCCAUGCCUCAGGAUAACGAGGAUUACAUUUUAUAUCCUGCUGGUUAUCCCGAGCACAAAAUUAGGAGAAUUCAUUCUAGGAAGUCUCACUCUGGCUCUCAUCAUGCUUUUAUGUAUAAGAGUGAGGCAUCUAGUUCUAGGCAAUCCACUCAUGUUAAAUUGCCUAAAAAGAAAUAUCCUAUUGCAUCAAAUGAGCCUAUUGUUUCAUUUAAGACUUUUGAUGCUUCAUAUGUUUUAACUAACAAAUCAGGCAAAGUAGUUGCCAAAUAUGUUGGGGCCAAACACAAGGGCUCAAAGACUUGUGUUUAGGUACCCAAGGUGCUUGUUUCUAAUGUGAAAGGACCCAAGACCGUUUGGGUACCUAAGAAAAAAGGCCUAAAUUUGUUUUGUAGGUUUAUGCAUCCGGGGGCUCAAGUUGGAUAAUUGAUAGCGGGUGCACAAACCACAUGACUGGGGAGAAAAGAAUGUUCUCCUCCUAUGAGAAAAACCAUGAUCCCCAAAGAGCUAUCACAUUCGGGGAUGGAAAUCAAGGUUUGGUCAAAAGACUUGGUAAAAUUGCUAUAUCACCUGACCAUUCCAUUUUCAAUAUUUUUCUUGUAGAUUCUUUAGACUAUAACUUGCUUUCAGUUUCUCAAUUAUGCAAAAUGGGCUACAACUGUCUUUUUACAGAUUUAGGUGUUACUGUCUUUAGAAGAAGUGAUGAUUCAGUAGCAUUUAAGGGAGUAUUAGAGGGUCAGCUAUACUUAGUUCAUUUUAAUAGAGCUGAACUCGAUACUUGCUUAAUUGCUAAGACUAAUAUGGGUUGGCUUUGGCAUCGCCGACUAGCCCAUGUUGGAAUGAAGAAUCUUCACAAGCUUCUAAAGGGAGAGCACAUUUUGGAACUAACAAAUGUUCAUUUUGAGAAAGAUAGGAUUUGCAGUGCAUGUCAAGCUGGGAAGCAAGUUGGUGCCCACCAUCCACACAAGAACAUCAUGACGACUGACAGUCCGCUUGAGCUACUCCACAUGGAUUUAUUCGGUCCGAUAGCUUACAUAAGCAUCGGUGGGAGUAAGUACUGUCUAGUUAUUGUGGAUGAUUAUUUUUGCUUCACUUGGGUGUUCUUUUUGCAGGAAAAAUCACAAGCCCAAGAGACCUUAAAAGGAUUCUUGAGAUGGGCUCAAAAUGAGUUCGGCUUAAGGAUCAAAAAGAUUAGAAGCGACAAUGGAACGGAGUUCAAGAACUCAAAAAUUGAAGGCUUUCUUGAGGAUGAGGGCAUCAAGCAUGAGUUCUCUUCUCCCUACACGCCACAACAAAAUGGUGUAGUGGAGAGGAAGAAUAGAACUCUACUUGACAUGGCGAGGACCAUGCUUGAUGAGUACAAAACUUCGAACCGGUUUUGGGCGGAAGCAAUCAACACCGCUUGCUACGCCAUCAACCGUCUCUACCUUCACUGAAUCCUCAAGAACACAUCCUAUGAACUCCUCACCGGUAAAAAGCCCAAUGUUUCAUAUUUUAGAGUUUUUGGUAGCAAAUGUUUUAUUCUUGUUAAAAGAGGUAGAAAAUCAAAAUUUGCUCCUAAGGUUGUAGAAGGCUUUUUACUUGGUUAUGACUCAAACACAAGGGCAUAUAGAGUCUUUAACAAGUCCACUGGACUAGUUGAAGUUUCUUGUGACAUUGUGUUUGAUGAGACUAACGGCUCUCAAGUAGAGCAAGUUGAUCUUGAUGAGCUAGAUGAUGAAGAGGCUCCAUGCGUCGCGCUAAGGAACAUGUCCAUUAGGGAUGUGUGCCCUAAGGAAUCCGAAGAGCCCCACAAGCACAAGAUCAACCGUCAUCUUCCGUUCAAGCAUCUCCACCAACUCAAGAUGAGGAUCAAGCUCAAGAUGAUGAAAAUGAAGAUCAAGAAGAGCCACCUCAUGAGGAGGACAAUGAUCAAGGGGGAGAUGCCAACGAUCAAGACAAGGAAGAUGAUGAGGGUCCAAGACCGCCUCACCCAAGAGUCCACCAGGCGAUACAAAGAGAUCACCCCGUGAACUCCAUCAUCGGCGAUAUUCAUAAGGGGGUAACCACUCAAUCUCGUGUCGCUCAUUUUUGUGAACAUUACUCCUUUGUGUCUUCUAUUGAGCCAUACAAGGUGGAAGACGCAUUAAGGGAUUCAGAUUGGGAGUUGGCAAUGUAAGAAGAACUCUACAACUUCACGAGGAAUGAGGUAUGGCAUCUUGUUACAUGUCCUAAUCAAAAUGUUGUAGGAACCAAGUGGGUCUUCCACAACAAGCAAGAUGAGCAUGGUGUGGUGACAAGGAACAAAGCCCGACUUGUAGCCAAAGGAUAUUCACAAGUCGAAGGUUUGGAUUUCGGUGAAACCUAUGCACCCGUAGCUAGGCUCGAGUCAAUUCGUAUAUUACUUGCCUAUGCUACUUACCAUGGCUUUAAGCUCUAUCAAAUGAACGUGAAAAGUGCCUUCCUCAAUGGACCAAUCAAGGAAGAGGUCUAUGUUGAGCAACCUCCCAGCUUUGAAGAUAGUGAGUACUCUAACCAUGUGUAUAAACUCUCUAAGGCGCUUUGUGGGCUCAAGCAAGCCCCAAGAGCAUGGUAUGAAUGCCUAAGAGAUUUCCUUAUCGCUAACGGCUUCAAAGUCGGCAAAGUCGAUCCUACUCUCUUUACUAAAACCAUUGCAAAUGAUUUAUUUGUAUGCCAAAUUUAUGUUGAUGAUAUCAUAUUUGGGUCUACUAACAAAUCUACUUGUGAGGAGUUUAGUAGGAUCAUGAUUCAAAAAUUCGAGAUGUCUAUGAUGGGGGAGUUGAAGUAUUUUCUAGGAUUUCAAGUCAAGCAACUCCAAGAGGGCACCUUCAUCAGCCAAACGAAGUACACUCAAGACAUACUCACCAAGUUUGGAAUGAAGGAUGCCAAGCCCAUCAAGACACCCAUGGGAACCAAUGGGCAUCUCGACCUCGAUACGGGAGGUAAAUCCGUAGAUCAAAAGGUAUACCGGUCGAUGAUAGGAUCUUUACUCUAUUUAUGUGCAUCUCGACUGGAUAUUAUGCUUUCCGUAUGCAUGUGCGCAAGAUUCCAAGUCGAUCCUAAGGAAGUUCACCUUAGGGCCGUGAAACGAAUCUUGAGAUAUUUAGUUCAUACACCUAAGUUUGGUCUUUGGAACCCCAAGGGAUCCACUUUUGAUUUAAUAGGUUAUUCAGAUGCUGAUUGGGCAAGGUGUAAAAUUGAUAGAAAGAGCACAUAGGGGACUUGUCAGUUCUUGGGAAGAUCCCUGGUGUCUUGGGCUUCAAAGAAACAUAAUUCAGUAGCUCUUUCAACCGCCGAAGCCGAGUACAUUGCCGCAGGCCAUUGUUGCGCGCAAUUACUUUGGAUGAGGCAAACCCUUAGGGACUGUGGUUACAAAUUAACCAAAGUCCCUCUCCUAUGUGAUAAUGAGAGUGCAAUCCGCAUGGCGGAUAAUCCCGUUGAGCACAACCGUACUAAACACAUAGCCAUUCGGUAUCACUUUUUGAGGGAUCACCAACAAAUGGGGGAUAUCGAGAUAGCCUAUGUGAGCACCAAAGAACAAUUAGUCGAUAUCUUUAUCAAGCCAUUAGAUGAGAAAACUUUUACCAAACUUAGGCAUGAGCUAAACAUUCUUGAUUCUAGGAAUUUUGAUUGAUAUUUUGCACACAUAGCUCACUUAUGUACCUUUGAUCAUCUCUCUUUCAUUUGCUAUGACUAAUGUGGUUUUCAAGUGUAUUUCAUGCUAAGUCAUAGAUUGAAAGGGAAAUGGAGUCUUCGGCGAAGGCAAGGCUUCCACUCCACUCCAUCGUAUUUUUCUCCUUCGCUGUCACUCCGCAUCGCUCUUCAACUUUGGUAUAAUCCUUCAUUCAUAUAUUAUUUGCCAAAGGAGGAGAGAGGUUGAAAAGGGCUCUAAAGACUCCGUUUUUGGCGAUUAAUGCCAAAGGGGGAGAGAGUAUUAGCCCAAAGCAAAAGGACCGCACCACCACGCCAAUUUCAAAAAAAAACUCGAAACAAGUCUAAAUUUUAAAUAUUGUUUUCAAUUGGUAUCUAAAACCCUCUUGAACACUAAGAGGAGAAUUUCAUUGAGGGGGGAUUUGUUUAGUCAAAGGAAAAGCAUUUGAAAUAGGGGAGAAAAUGUCAAAUCUUUAAAAAUACUUCUCGAAAUCUUAUUCAUAUACCUUUGACUAUUUUCAAAAAGACUUUGAAAAGAAUUUCCAAAAGUUUUUGCAAAAACAAAACAAGUGGUGCAAGUAUGGUCCAAAAUGUUAAAAUGAAGAAAGCAAUCCAUGCAUAUCUUAUGAAAAUGUAAAUUGGUUUAAUUCCAAGCAACCUUUGCACUUACCUUAUGCAAACUAGUUCAAUUCUGCACUUAUAUAUUUGCUUUGAUUUGUGUUGACAUCAAUCACCAAAAAGGAGGAGAUUGAAAGGGAAAUAGGGUCAAACCUUUUUCCUAAAUGAUUUUGGUGGUUGAAUUGUCCAACACAAAUAAUUGGACUAACUAGUUUGCUCUAGAUUAUAUGUUCUACAGGUGCCAAAGGUUCAUCUACAACUAUUCUAAAUCGACUGUCUGGAAUACCGUAGAUUAUUCUAGACAGGAGAAGCUUUUUGGAAAAACAGACUAAGCGUGGACCAUCUGGGCCCUUGCGGCGGACCGUCCGUGACACCAGGAUGACCCUCGGACAGAACCAAUGCAAAAACCCAUGUCUACACUACGAACCGUCCGGAGGGAAAGCAAGGACCGUCCGAGACCACGCGCGGACCGUCCGGCCUCAGGCGCGGACCGUCCGGUAGGUGAGGAACCGAAAAACCUAAAGGUGUCGAUUUCGGUAAAAUGAAUUAUAGCGUCCUCGCGGACCGUCCGGGGUGCACGACCGGACCGUCCGUGACUGCCUUUAUCUGACAUCUAACGACGCAUUAAAUGCAAUAUAACCAUUGAUGUAGCCGUUACUGCUGACCGUUGCGUUUUCAGCCGUUGAUGUGAAGGGGUGGGCCGUCCGGACCAAGGGCGCGGACCGUCCGCGGUUGGCAGAAUUGGAGCAACGGCUAGGAAGUGGUUGGUGGCUAUAAAUACAACCCCAACCACCUCCAUUCAAUUGAUCCAAGCAUUCCAAACCUCUACAUUCAAUACAAGAGCUUGCACUCCAUUCAAAGACACAAUCAAAGCCUCCAAUCUCUCCAAGUUCCACAAUUGAGACAAGUGAUCAUUAGUGAUUAGCGACUUGAGAGAGAGAGAGAGAGUGAUCCGUGUGAUAUUUGUCACUCUUGUUGCUUGGCUUUUGCAAUCGUGCUUUCUUCCUUCCCAUUAUUAUUCUCAAGUGACUUGUAAUCAAAUCAAGAGACACCAAGUUGUGGUGGUCCUUGUGGGGUCUAAGUGACCCAUUUGAUUGAGGAGAAAAGCUCGCCGGUCUUUGUGAUCGGUGGAGAGAGGGAAAGGGUUGAAAGAGACCCGGUCUUUGUGACCACCUCAAUGGGGAGUAGGUUUGUAAGAACCGAACCUCGGCAAAAUGAAUCACCGUGUCAUCCGCUCUAUUUCUUUGGUUGAUUUGUUUUCACCCUCUCUUUUGGACUCGACUUUAUUUCUAACGCUAACCCUGACUUGUAGUUGUGCUUAAAGUUUAUAAAUUUCAGAUUUACCUAUUCACCCCCCCUCUAGGCGACUUUCAUUACUGUCUCUGGGCAAAAUAGGACUUUUUCUGAUCAUGUUUCCCUGUGUCUUAGAACUGAUUCUGUUACCUCUAUGAGGAGAGACUUUAGGCAUGAACUAUGUUGAAAGCUCAGACCUGAUUUUAAACAGAAAGUCUGGGAAAGCUGGUCUCUUCAAGUGAGAAGCAGAAAGAGCAUCGAUACAUAGAAAAAAAAACAAAAAGAUUGAAGAAAAUGUUGAAAGGUUGGAAUAUUAAUGUUGAAGGGAAGUAUAAGAAGCUAAAGAAAGACCUUAUGGAUAAGAUUGCGAUUCUUGAAAAGAGAAAUGAAUAUGCAGGCAUCUCAGAUUCUGAGAGGCUAGAAAAACUUGAUAUGUAGUGAAAUUUGAAAAAUAUGGUGGCUGGAGAAGGGAUUAAGAGAAAACAAAUUGCUAGAGAAAGAUUCAUUAAUGAGGGUGCUGAAAAUACCAGAUAUUUUUAGCUCAUUGCAAAAGGGAGGAAAAGAAGUGUCAAAAUUCUUUCUCUUCUGCAUGAGAGAUUGACUGUUGAUGAUGAGGGUGGUAUUAAUCAGUUUGCCACUGCUUUCUAUAAAGAUCUUUUUGGUCCCUCUUCUUCUUCUAAUAUUAAUAUGAAGAACCUGUCAAUGAAAAUGUUGGAUGAGGAGGAUAGGAUCCUUCUCACUGCCCCUUUUUUCUUUAGAUGAGAUAAAAAUGUGGUGUUCUCUUUAAAGCAUAACAGUGCCCCUGGCCCUGAUGGCCUCCCUACCGUUUUUUCAAGAUUUUUGGAAGGUCAUUAAGCUUGAUCUCUAGAAUCUGUUCAAAGAUUUUUUUUAAUGGGACUCUGGAUAUUGCUAGGCUCAACUUUGGGGUUGUGAAAGGGAAAUAGGGUCAAACCUUUUCCUAAAUGAUUUUGGUGGUUGAAUUGCCCAACACAAAUAAUUGGACUAACUAGUUUGCUCUAGAUUAUAAGUUCUACAGGUGCCAAAGGUUCAACACAAACCAAUAAAAAGUCCAAGAAAGGAUUCAAAUAAAAACAGCAAAAGACAACCGAAGGCUGCCCUGGUCUGGCGCACCGGAUUGUUCGGUGUGCCACCGGACAGUGUCCGGUGCACCAGGGAGAUCAACUCCGAACUUGCCACCUUCAGGUUUCUGGGAUUGCCUCUCCGCUAUAAUUCACUGGACUGUCCGGUGUGCCAAGUGGAGUAACGGCUACAGCGCCAACGGUCGUCUGCAAAAGGUGAACAGUGAGCUACAGUGCGUGGACAGCGCGCAGAAGUCAGAGCAGGCGCAGAUAGCGCACCGGACAUUGAACAGGACCUGUCCGGUGCACCACUGGACUGUCCGGUGGCCCCACUUGUCAGAGCUCCAACGGUCGAACCCUAACGGUUUGGUGACGUGGCUGGUGCACCGGACAGUGUCCGGUGGCGCACCGGACUGUCCGGUGCGCCCGUCGACAGCAGCCUUCCCCAACUGCCACAUUGGUGGUUGGGGCUAUAAAUACCCCCAACCACCACACUUCAAGGCAUCCAAGUUUUCAGCCAACACAUUCAAUACAAGAGCUAGUGCAUUCAAUACAAGACACAGUUAGAGUGAAUCAAAAUCUCUCCAAGUCCCAAUUCCACUCAAAGCAAUAGUGACUAGAAGAGAGAGUUUUGUCGUGUUCCUUUGAGCUCUUGCGCUUGGAUCGCUUUUCUUCUUCCCCAUUUCUUGUUCCCAAGUUCUUUGUAAUCAAAGCAAGAGACACCAAUUGUGUGGUGGUCCUUGUGGGGACUAAGUGUCCCAAUUGAUUGAGAAGAGAAGCUCACUCGGUCUAAGUGACCGUUUGAGAGAGGGAAAGGGUUGAAAGAGACCCGGUCUUUGUGACCACCUCAACGGGGAGUAGGUUUGCAAGAACCGAACCUCGGUAAUACAAAUCAUCGUCUCACUCUCGCUAUUUGCUUGUGAUUUGUUUUUCGCCCUCUCUUUCGGACUCGAUUAUAUUUCUAACACUAACCCCGACUUGUAGUUGUGCUUAAACUUUAUAAAUUUCAGAUUUGCCUAUUCACCCCCCUCUAGGCGACUUUCAAUGGGUAUCGGAGCCCGGUACUUCAUUAGAGCCUAACUACUCGAAGUGAUGUCGGGAGCUCACGCCAAGAAGGAGAUGGUGACCGGCGAGAAGCUCGCCACAAGCCAUGGGAAAGCUCCAUCGGGAGAGUCCGACAACAAAAGGGAGGAAUCACCUCCCCGCGUCAAGUCACACCGGAGUGGCGACAAGAAGAAGAAAAUGAAGAAAGUGGUCUACUACGAGACCGACUCUUCGUCGCCUUCCACCUCUGGCUCCGACACGCCGUCCGUCACUUCUAAGCGCCAUGAGCGCAAGAAGUUUAGUAAGAUCCCCUUACGCUAUCCUCGCAUUUCCAAACACACUCCUUUACUUUUCGUCCCACUAGGCAAACCACCGGUUUUUAAUGGUGAAGAUUAUUGUAUGUGGAGUGAUAAAAUGAGGAACCAUCUAACCUCACUCCACGCUAGCAUUUGGGAUAUUGUUGAGUUUGGUGCGCAGGAACCAUCCGUGGGGGAUGAAGGCUAUGACUCGGACGAGGUAGCCCAAAUCCGGCACUUCAACUCCCAAGCCACUACUAUACUCCUCGACUCUCUAAGUCGAGAGGAGUAUAAUAAGGUGCAAGGGUUGAAGAGUGCCAAAGAAAUUUGGGAUGUACUCAAGACCGCGCACGAAGGAGAUGAGGUGACCAAGAUCACCAAGCGGGAUACGAUCGACGGGGAGCUCGGUCGAUUUAUGCUCAACCAAGGAGAGGAGCCACAAGCCAUGUGCGCAAACUCGGGAGCACAAAAUGGGAUGACCUUGGUGAACCAAGUGCGCAACCUCGGGAGCACUAAAUGGGAUGACCAUGAAAUGGUCAAGGUUAUUCUUAGAUCACUCAUUUUUAUUAACCCUACACAAGUUCAAUUAAUUUGUGGCGAUCCUAGAUAUAAACUAAUGUCUCCCGAGGAAGUGAUAGGAAAGUUUGUGAGCUUUGAGUUAAUGAUCAAAGGCUCCAAACAAAUCAUCGAGCGAGGCGCCACCUCCACACCGAGGUACAACUCGUCGCCUUCAAAGCGACGGAGGAGAAGAAGGAAGAGUCUACAUCGAGUAGGCUUCCCAUCGACGCCUCCAAGCUCGACAAUGAGAAGAUGGCUUUAAUCAUCAAAAGCUUUGGCCAAAUCCUCAAGCAAAGGAAGGGGGGAGAUUACAAGCCCUGUUCCAAGAAAGUUUGCUACAAGUGUGGUAAGCCCGGUCAUUUCAUUGCUAAAUGUCCAUUAUCAAGUGAUAGUGACAGGGGCAACGACAAGAAGGGAAGAAGGAAGGAAAAGAAGAAGUAUUACAAGAAGAAGGGCGGCGAUGCCCAUGUUUGUCGGGAGUGGGACUCCGAUGAGAGCUCCACCGACUCCUCCUCCGACGAGGAUGCCGCAAAUAUCAUCGUCAACAAGGGUCUUCCCCAACGUCGGCCACAAGUGCCUCAUGGCAAAGGACGGCAAAAAGAAGGUAAAAUCUAGAGCCUCCACUAAAUAUGCAACAUCUAGUGAUGAGGAUAACUCAAGUGAUGAUGAGGAUAACUUACUUGCUCUUUUUGCCAACCUAAACAUGCAACAAAAGGAAAAAUUAAAUGAAUUGAUAGGAGCUAUUCAUGAGAAGGAUGAACUCUUGGAUAGCCAAGAGGACUUCCUAAUUAAAGAAAUAAGAAGCAUGUUAAGGUUAAAAAUGCUUAUGCUCAAGAAGUAGAGAAAUGUGAAAAACUAACUAGUGAGCUAAGCACUUGCCCUGAUAUUAUCUCAAACCUUAGAAAUGAAAAUACAAAAUUAAUUGCUAAGGUUGAGAAGUUAGAUGUUUGUGAUGAUUCAAUUAUUAUUCUUAGAAAUGAUAAUACUAGUUUGAUUGCUAAGAUUGACAAGUUGAAUGCAUCACUCUCUAGCCUUAAAAUUGAGAAUGAAAAAUUAAUUGCUAAGGCUCAAGAUUUAAAUGUUUACAAUAUUUCUAUUUCCAAUCUUAGAGAUGAGAAUACUAUUUUACAUGCUAAGAUUGAUGAAUUAAAUGCUUGCAAACCCUCUACAUCUACUAUUAGUCAUGUCUCUAUUUGCACUAGAUGUAGAGAUGUUAAUGUUGAUGCUAUCCAUGAUCACAUUGCUAUGAUUAAACAACAAAAUGAUCAUAUAGCAAAAUUAGAUGCUAAAAUUGUCGAGCAUGAAUUAGAGAAUGAAAAAUGUAAAUUUGCUCGUAGUAUGCUUUAUAGUGGGAAACGCCCUGGCAUUAAGGAUGACAUUGGCUUCCUGGGAGGCAAUGUCAAACUCAAUGCCCCUAAAAGAUUGUCUAAUUUUUUUAAGGGCAAGGCUCCCAUGCCUCAGGAUAACGAGGGCUAUAUCUUACAUCCUGCUGGUUAUCCUGAGGAUAAGAUUAGGAGAAUUCAUGCUAAGAAGACUCAUUAUGUUUCUCACCAUGCUUUUAUUUAUAAGAAUGAGGCUUCUAGCUCUAGGCGUUCUACCCAUGUUAAAAUGCCUAAAAAGAAAUCUCCUAUUGCAUCAAAUGAUCAUAACAUUUCAUUUAAGACUUUUGAUGCAUCAUAUGUUUUAACUAACAAAUCAGGCAAAGUAGUUGCCAAAUAUGUUGGGGGCAAACAUAAGGGGUCAAAAACUUGUGUUUGGGUACCCAAGGUGCUUUUUUUCUAAUGUCAAAGGACCCAAAACCGUUUGGGUACCUAAGAACAAGGCCUAAAUUUGUUUUGUAGGUUUAUGCAUCCGGGGGCUCAAGUUGGAUAAUUGAUAGCGGGUGCACAAACCACAUGACUGGGGAGAAAAGGAUGUUCUCCUCCUAUGAGAAAAACCAUGAGCCCCAAAGAGCUAUCACAUUCGGGGAUGGAAAUCAAGGUUUGGUCAAAGGACUUGAUAAAUUUGCUAUAUUUCCUGACCAUUCUAUUUUCAAUGUUUUUCUUGUAGAUUCUUUAGACUAUAACUUGCUUUCAGUUUCUCAAUUAUGUAAAAUGGGCUACAAUUGUCUUUUUACGGAUAUAGGUGUUACUGUCUUUCAAAGAAGUGAUGAUUCAGUAGCAUUUAAGGGAGUGUUAGAGGGUCAGCUAUACUUAGUUGAUUUUAAUAGAGCUGAACUCGACACUUGCUUAAUUGCUAAGGCUAACAUGGGUUGGCUCUGGCAUCGCCGACUAGCCCAUAUUGGGAUGAAGAAUCUUCAUAAGCUUCUAAAGGGAGAGCAUAUUUUGGGACUAAGAGCAUCUCCAAAAGCUCCCCAGAAGUCUCCCCUAAAUCUAUUUUUUUGGGAAAAACAUAAAAACAUGUCUCCAACAGUUCCCCUAAAGCGCUCCCAACUUUUUCAUAGCCCUUAAAACUCCCUCAUUUGUAGCUAUAAAUGAGGGGUUUUUUGGGCUCCCCAGAAACAAACUGCUGCUUUAAGGAAUCUGUUGGAGAAAGGAUUAAAAUCUAACCCCACUUAUUAUUUAGAUGUCCCUUAAAACUGAUUUUGAGGAGUCGUUUUAUGGAGAGCUCUUGGAGAUGCUCUAACAAAUGUUCAUUUUGAGAAAGACAGGGUUUGUAGCUGUUGGGGGCCUUCGGCUUCCGAAGGUCCUCAAAAACAUGAUUUGACAAUGUUUCUGGAGUAUAAUACAUGAGCAGGUACCUUCGGACACGAACCCUUCGGACAAGUCAAAAUUGCUGGAUGAAGAAACACAAAGAGAACGAAGGAUGGAACAGAGACGAAGUUGUGUGCAAGGAAGCUUCGGUAGGAUGGCAGAAAGGAGGAAAUCGACUUGAAGAGGAAAAGACUAUUUAGACCCUGAUAGAUUACUAUAGAGUUAUUAUCAAAAGCAAAGGGUCUGAAUGUAAUUUUACAUGGGCUGCGACCUGUGCCUAUAAAUAGGUGAACAGUACUCCCGUACUGUUCACGCUGACUUGGCAUUUACUCUUGCAUCACGCUUGUACUUUUACCUUCUUUCAAGUCAAAGGUAUAUUUGUAACUCAACAUCAUUUCUAUUCUUUUAUAGCAAUAAAAUAAAAAUGAGUUGAUAAUGAUACAUAACUAUUCAUGUUAUAUUUUAUAUUCCAUGUAAUUCCCUUUUCAUUAUGAUAUGUAAUGUUUAUGAAGGUAUGUCCUUCAUAACCUUCGUCCGAAGAUCAUUAUAUCUCAAGGGAAAUAAUGCUUCGAAGGACGAAGGACUUUAACGUUUAAACGUUUUCUGUGUUGCCUUGUUCUUAAUUCUUAGCAUUUGAGAACAAGUCCCCAACAUUGGCGCCCACCACCGGUGAACUCACUUCCACUUUUUGAGUUUCGAACACCUUCGGCAAGCAUCGACCUUCGUCAUGCCGCCAAAGAAAGCUUCAGCGACAGGGGCUACAGCUCUGCAGCCGCUGGACCCGAACCAGGAGACCCUUUCUCUCCGAGAGGCCCGAAGCUAGAAGAGGAAGGCCACCAGUCCAACGCCUCAGGAGGACGACUUGGACCAAGAGAUCAGGAACAUGGAGAUGCUCCAUCAGCAAGUACAAAGGAAGAAGGAAAAGAUGGCUCGGCUAGCUGAUCUGCAAAGGCAGAUAGAUGAAGCUUCUGAAGAAGUUCGUCAUCUAGCUCAAGAUGAGCAGAACCGAAGGCCUCAGCACAGAGAGCUUCAUCAAGAGGGCUUCUUCAACGAGGAUGACUGGUAUGAGGAUUUCCAUCAUGGAAAUUUUGCUUUUGAUGAUGCUUCUCCUCUGUCAGCAGAACUGCAGGCUACACCUUGGCCCCCGUCUUAAAGCCACCUCAGCUUCCCAUGUACGACGGACACUCAGACCCGAAGCAGUUUUUGAUGAGCUACGAAGCAACCAUAUCUUCGUACAGUGGCAAUACUGCAGUCAUGGCGAAGUCUUUCGUCAUGACUGUCAAGAAUGUUGCACAAACAUGGUACUCCUCUCUUCGGCUAGGAACAAUCACGUCAUGGAAGAAGCUGAAGGACAUGCUGAUUACCAGUUUCCAAGGGUUUCAAACGAAGCCGGUCACCGCUCAAGCUUUAUUCCAGUGCACCCAGGAUCACGAAGAAUACCUUCAGGCGUAUGUCCGAAGGUUCUUGCGUCUAAGGGCACAGGCACCAACGGUGCCCAAUGAAAUUGUAAUUGAGGCCAUGAUCAAGGGGCUUCGGCCAGGACCUACGGCCCAAUACUUCGCCAGGAAACCCCCUCAGACCCUGGAAAAGCUGCUCCAAAAGAUGGAUGAAUACAUCCACGCUGAUAAUGAUUUUCGUCAAAGAAGAGAGGAAGCUUAUAGGUUCUCCGAAAUGACCAGGGGCUUCGGAGGGAGAAUCCACCCAAGACAUGUAAGAUCAAUCCAUUCCACUCAAAAUGAUGACAGAGGAAGUCAGCAACAGCGGCCACAAUACUCCUCUCAGGCUUCGGGGCAACAAUAGAGCUAUCUUCGGCCGCCAGCUCCAAGGGGUAGAGGCGCCAGGGGCUUCAGAGGAAGAUUUGGGGACCAGCCCAGGAAAAUUUAUUGCUUAUUCUGCGGUGAGAACAAGGGCCAUACUACCAGGAUGUGCCAUGUCACCAUCCAGAAACAGAAAGAGAUAGCAGAAGCUGCAGCCCAACAGAGCCAGCCGAAGCAAGUUAUGCAUACUGCUUCAUAUCACUCACCAUACAUUCCAGAAUAUGUGGGUAACCAUCCUGCAGCUUCUGUUGCUUCGACAAGCCAACCUCAAGCGUCUUGGCAAUAGCCCCCACCUCCACCACCAAUGCAACGAGGCCAGCAGCCAGAAGGGAACCAGCACUCUCAUCAGCAACGAGACUUCAGAGAGUAGUCCGAAGCUCGCACAGUCAACAGUACUGUGCCAGAGUCGAAGCACAUCCACUAGAGGAUAUCCUACCUCGGCUUUUUGCAUUCGUUUUCAUUUUUCGUUUAAAUAAGGGACAAUCAUUAAAGCUUAAGUUUUUCUUCUCAUUCUCAAUUUCUUGUAAUAGCUUCGUUUUUACCAUAAUGAAAAUAUAUCUUCUCCAUAGAUUUAUGGCGUCAGAAAAAUUGCCGAAGCACGAAAGCUCGGUCUUAAGAGCUCGUGAUUACAGAAAAAAGUCAUUCUACGGAACACAGUGUAAGUUACCGAAGUUACAAAAAGUCGUUCCUAAGGGGGCGCAACGUAAGUUUUCUGCUCAAAAGUCGUUCCAAAGGAAAUGCAGAGCUUACAGCGAAAAAUAAACGCUGAUUCUGCAGAAAUAGAAGGCGAAGAAGCUCCUAAGGGAGGCUUACAGCGAAAAAUAAACGCUGAUUCCGCCAAAAUAGAAGGCGAAGAAGCUCCUAAGGGAGGCUUACAGCGAAAAAUAAACGCUGAUUCCGCCGAAAUAGAAGGCGAAGAAGCUCCUAAGGGAGGCUUGCAGCGAAAAUUCAGUACUGAUCUUCGGCACAAAUAUCAUUUUGCAUAACAUUACAUCAUCACAUCAUUUGUAUAGCAUAACAUCAUACAUCAUAUUGCAUCAAUGGCGCAAGAAGGGGGUUCAAUGUUGAUCUUCGGAGAUUGUUUCGAAGAAGCAGUGCCAAGGCACAAAAUAAUUAUUGAAGAAGCAUACCUUCGUCAAACUCUAAAAUGAAAAGACCUAUUGCUUACGAGGCACAAUAUUUUUUACGAGGAUUGGAUGUUUUUAUAAAAUAUGGAUAUUCUUCACGAAGCAUGAAAAGAAGGGAAGGUGUUUUUUCGCCGAAGGCUCAAAAACGGUAUGUACGUAAAGUUUCAUGCAUCGUAAAGAAUUGAGUUACAAGCAGCUUAUAUAUUACAUUCAAGGUUAUAAAAAUAUUACACACUCUGUCCAACAAAUAUUACAUUCUCAAUGUCUUUACAAUAGCAGCUAAUCUUCUCUUAAGACUACUCCCGUAGCUUCAUUUAGUAGUUGAUCAACAACCUUAUCCAUAAUAGCUUCGGCCAUUUUUCUAAUUUCGUCAUCCCCCUUUGCGUUGGGGUCCGCCAAUGGCCCGGCGGGCUCUGGGGGAGAAGAUAGUGCGGCUGUGUUACAAAGUGUAAAUAAGUCCGAAAUCAUAUAAUUACAACAUAAAGUCAAAACUUAGUAGUCAAUACCUAUUCGCCUUUCGAGAUCCGCACUUUUCUCAGCGGCCUCUGCUACAUUUUUAGCAUCGUGAAUACCUUUUUCACUUCUCCUUAUAAUUUCUUGAGCCAUCUCCCGGCCACCACUUUCCCAGAUGUCGGUGAAAAAUUUACCACCAACCAAGCUUGCUUCGGCCGAGGGGUCUUUUAUAUCUUCUGAAGAUAAGGCAGCCUCGGUUUGUGCCAAGGAUUUCACAUGAUCGCAGCCUCUGCUCUCCAAAAUAGUAGCAACCCCCCUAGCACCCGAAAAGGCGCAUAUGCCUCCGCGGCCAUUCAAAACUUCCUCAAAAGCUUCAGCUUCGUGGCUGGUCCAUUCAAUUGGGCCCUCGGGGUCGCCCUUUACGAAAUUUUCCUCGCUUGAAUACGCGCCAACGUUGGUGAAGCUAGUUUUUAUUUUCUUAACACACUCUAUAGACUUUUCAUAACACCUUUCCUUGGAUGCACGAAGCUCUUCAACGUUUUUCUCUAAAUGAUUUGCCCAUUGUUCACUGAUUUCUCGUUUAGCUUCUGCAACUGCGCAUUUUUCUUUAGCUUCGGCUAGCUAUUUCCGAAGAUCCUCAAUUUCGCGCUUCUGGGCCUCAGCUUGAGCUUUGGAAGCAGCUUCGUCUUCUUUUAUUUUAUUUACCAAUGAAUGUAAUAUUUUAUCUUUCUCAAGACCUUCGUUCCUUAGCUCAAUUAGUUCGGAACGAAGGUUGUUUAAAGCCAUGGCGCACCCUUCAUCUUCGGCACUUUUUUGCGCUCUGAGGGCAUUGCUGAGAAUGAGGCCCUGCAAAAGGAAUGUGAUAUUAAGAAAUAAACACACGAAUUUUUAACCACACAAAAAGUGUAUUUUCUCACCUUUAAGCUGUUAUAUGCUAAGUUGUUGGCCGGUUCAUCUUUUGACAAAAAUGAAAGCCCAUCUUCUAGAGUUGGGAAUCCGAAGUUUCUUGCCAUCUCCCGGCAGACAGAGAUCUCCUUGCUGUCUGGGAGGCAGUACAAGAAGUCUUCUUCUCCGCUGCCAUUGAAUAUCAACGCCCCUUUCGGAUAUUUCAAUUUUUGCGCAUAGAAUUGAGCUUCUCGCUUUUCUUUUUCAGUCAGAUUUUUACCCGAAGCAUGGCGUAAGACAUAGUUGGGAGCUUCGGAAGAUGCUUCGGAAAUAGGGAUGAUAGUUUUCUCAGAUAAAAUUUCUUCUACAGAUUCUUUUUCUAUUUCUUUUCCAGUUUCCAAGAAUUCCCUCUUGGCAGGCUCUGAAAGCCCAGUCUCGGUUUCCACUUGGCUUUUGGCAGCUUCGGCCUCAAUUUGUAUCUUUGGAUCUUCGACAUCUAUCAUCGAAGUAGAGCUUGAAGAUUUUAUUGUUUCUAGCACAUCUAGCAUGUUAACCAUUCUCUUUCUCUUGGGAGUUGUUGUAAGGUCCUUUUGUGCCUUCGGCGUUGGCAUUGGCACCUCAACUCUUGCUGAAGGACUUAAAACUUCUGAUGUCUUCGGCGCUGGCUCUUCAGCCCUCGGUUCUUCCAUUUUUUCUGUCUUCGGCAUUGCAGCCGACUCUUCAAUAAUCUGUAGAUGAGUAGGCUUUUUGGCUUCGGUGGCCGAAGUGGUUUCACCAACAAACUCAGGCAUUGUGGCUGGCUCAAUAUAGUGUGGCCGGUGCGUAAGAACUUUUAUCUUUUUUCUCUUCGGCGCUGGCUCACUAGGAGCGGCCAAAGCAACUUCCUUCACAGAAGUCGUACCUUUUCUUUUCUGACCCCGUAUUGGGUAACGGUAGUCAGGAUAGACGAACCCGAUAGCAUCAAAAACUCGAUUGAGUCUUUUCUUCUUCCGGCCUCCGAAGGCCGCAGAUAGUGUAGUAUCUUCUGCCUUCGAGUAUGGCCCAAGCAGUUCAUCGCUUGUAGCUUCAACGCAUUUCAACCAAUCGUCGUCUGGCUCGAUGAAUUGGUCUACGAACCUGAAGGUAUAUUUUAGUCGAACCAUACCACCUUCGUGUGGGUUGCUGAUAGUUUCCUUCGGCAUUUCCCAGUUAGCUACCAAUGGCCAUAUCCUGUAGGCCACGUGCUCUUGAACUAAGUCUCUCGUCCCGAUGAAAGAGCAGACUAUGCCGAAGGCCCUCUGGCACUCUUCGGCUGCUUCAUCCAUUUCCACCUUCGGUUUCCGGAGUCCGAAACGUUGCCAGAUAGGGCACAUGAUGAUAUCUUUAAUAUCUGCUCGUGUCUUCAAAUCGUUUUUCACAUAGAACCAUUCCUUCAUCCAGUCUCCGGGCCAUCUCUUUCGAAAGGUUGGCACGAGACAGCUUGACCCAGAUCGAGCACCGAAGCUAUAACAACCAAAAUUGUUAUGAUAUUGUUCUUUACCCCAGGGUUUCGUCUCAUAUAAUAGCUCAUGCAUAUUGCAGAAACUUUUUGCAUUUGGCUCCAAACCUUGACUCUUCACGGCCCAUACAAAGAUUCCCAUCCUUAUGAUUGCUUCGGGAGUAAUUUGAUGAAGGCAGAUUUCAAAUAUUUUCAAGACUUCAACCACGAAACUACUUAGAGGAAACCGAAGCCCAGCCUUGAAGAAGCUUCGAAAGAUCACGACUUCAUUUUCCUCGGGAGUAGGACAAGUUUUCUCUCCUUCGUUAGCCCUCACAAUAGACAAAUCCCAAAAAUAUCUACCUCUCAUAUUGGCAAGAUGGCUUUGUUUAAUGGUAGAUUUUCCAAAAACUGCAUGGCUUGGCCGCCAGGGUCGAUCUUCCGAGUCUUCCUCUCCACUUUCGGCAUCAUAACUGUCACUAUCUGAAAGGGAAAUGUGCCCUUGGGCCAUUUCUAAGUAUUUUGGUGAUUAAGUGCAAACACAGGUGCCAAAAUGUGAAAAUAUGCCCAUGGAUGGACAAGUUGCAAAUCACAAGUAAAGGUAUGUUUCUAAGCCUUAGUACAUUGGUUUUGUGUACUAAUAUUCUUGUCUAAGUGUUAGAAACAGAAAGAAGAAGAGAAGAGAAGACUUGGCUGUGUACAGCCAAGAGGCUGUUUCGGUCUGGGGCACCGGACUGUCCGGUGGUGCACCGGACAGUGUCCGGUGCGCCAGGCUGCCCCAGCUGAAGAGGCCGCUCUCGGGUUUUUCUCCGGCGACUUCAGCUAAAAUUCACCGGACUGUCCGGUGUGCACCGGACUGUCCGGUGAGCCAACGGUCGGCCGGGCCAACGGUCGGCCGCGCGAUCGGCGUGCGACACGUGGCCGAGCCAACGGUCGGAAGGAAGCACCGGACUGUCCGGUGUGCACCGGACUGUCCGGUGCGCCAGAUCUGCAACGGUCGGCAACGGUCGGCUUCGCUGUUUAUGGAAACAAAUCGGGCACCGGACAGUGUCCGGUGUGCACCGGACUGUCCGGUGCGCCCGACGACAGAAGGCAAGGAUAGCCUUCCAGAUGUGCUCUCAACGGCUCCUAGCCGCCUUGGGGCUAUAAAAGGGACCCCUAGGCGCAUGGAGGAGUACACCAAGCAUUCCUACAACUCUUCUAAGCACCAAGACAUCAAUCUCACGCAUUCGUUUCAUUGUGAUAGCAUAUAGAGCUCUUGUGGAGUUGUGAACUCUUUGUGUUGCGUUGCGAGCUCUUGUUGCGACUUGUGUGCGUGUUGUUGCUCUGAUUUUCGAGUCUUGUGUGCGUUGCUCAUUCCCACCUUACUUCGUAUUUCUUUGUGAACUCAAUUGUAAGGGCGAGAGACUCCAAGUUGUGGAGAUUCCUCGCAAACGGGAAAAGAUCAAAGGAAAGAAAAACACCGUGGUAUUCAAGUUGAUCAUUGGAUCACUUGAGAGGAGUUGAGUGCAACUCUCGUCCGUUGGGACGCCACAACGUGGAGUAGGCAAGUUUUGUACUUGGCCGAACCACGGGAUAACCACCGUGUCAACUCUGUGAUUGCUUUCUUGUGGUUAUUGUGUUUUGACUCCUCUCUAGCCACUUGGCCAUACUUGUGCUAACUCUUAACAAGUUUUUGUGGCUUAAGUUUUUGAAGUUUUACAGGAUCACCUAUUCACCCCCCCUCUAGGUGCUCUCAAUUGGUAUCGGAGCCGUUCUCUUCAAGAAAGGGACUAACCGCCCGAAGAGAUGGAUCCUAAGGGGAAGGGAAUCGUGAUCAACGAUAAGGAGAAGGAGUCCUUCGUCAAUGAGCCCAAAGAAGACGAGGCGCAUCAAGGAGAUCGUCUACUACGACGACAGUGAUGAGUCUACAUCUUCCCAAAAGGACAACGACCACAUCGACUACGAGCAAAGGAAACCGGUUAAUUCUAACUUUUCUUUUGACUACUCUCGUAUUCCGCAAAGUUCAAAUUCACAUUUGCUUUCCAUUCCACUCGGCAAGCCCCCACACUUUGAUGGGGAGGACUACGGAUUUUGGAGCCACAAAAUGCGUAGUCACCUAUUCUCUCUCCAUCCUAGCAUAUGGGAGAUUGUAGAUAGUGGAAUGCACUUUAAUAGUUCGGAUAGUCCUAUAUUCAUUAAUGAGCAAAUCCAUAAGAAUGCACAAGCUACUACUGUUCUUCUAGCCUCAUUGUGCAGGGAUGAAUAUAAUAAAGUGAGUGGCUUGGAUAACGCCAAGCAAAUCUGGGAUACCCUCAAGAUCUCUCAUGAGGGAAAUGACGCUACCUUGCUCACCAAAAUGGAGUUGGUGGAGGGCGAGCUUGGACGGUUCGCGAUGAUAAGGGGCGAGGAGCCAACUCAAACAUACAACCGGCUCAAGACCCUUGUCAACAAGAUAAGGAGCUAUGGAAGCACGCGAUGGACGGACCACGACGUCGUCCGCCUAAUGCUAAGGUCCUUUACUGUUCUUGAUCCUCAUUUGGUGAAUAAUAUUCGUGAGAAUCCCAGGUACACCAAAAUGUCGCCCGAAGAAAUUCUUGGAAAAUUUGUAAGCGGGCGGAUGAUGAUCAAGGAGGCAAGAUACGUCGAUGACGCGUUGAACGGUCCAAUCCACGAGCCUCAACCCAUUGCUCUCAAGGCAUCAAGGAGCAAGGAGACACUACCAAGCAAGGUGGCGCAAAUUGAGGCGGCCGGGCUUAAUGAUGAAGAAAUGGCUCUCAUCAUUAAGCGCUUCAAGACGGUGCUAAAGGGUCGCAAUGGACAGCCAAGCAAGACUAAGACCAAGGGGAAGCGAUCAUGCUUCAAAUGCGGUAAGCUUGGUCAUUUUAUUGCUAACUGUCCUGAUAAUGAAAGUGACCAGGAAAAGGGGAACAAAAGGGAGAAGAAGAAGCACUACAAGAAGGCAAAGGGCGAGGCGCAUCUAGGCAAGGAGUGGGACUCGGAUUGCUCCUCUUCCGACUCCGACAAUGAAGGACUCGCCGCCACCGCCUUCAACAAAUCAACCCUCUUCCCCAACGAGCGCCACACAUGCCUUAUGGCAAGGGAGAAGAAGGUAUGUACUCGCAACUCUACCUAUGCUUCUUCAAGUGAGGACGAAUCUAGUGAUGAGGAUGAAGUAGAUUAUUCAUGUUUGUUCAAGGGCUUAGAUAGAUCUAAGAUAGACAAAAUUAAUGAAUUAAUUGAUGCCUUGAAUGAAAAGAAUAUACUUUUAGAAAAGCAAGAGGAUUUGUUGUAUGAAGAGCAUGAUAAAUUUGUUGAGGCACAAAAAUCCUAUGCUUUAGAAGUUAAAAGAAAUGAAAUGCUUUCUUUUGAACUAUCUACUUGUCAUGAAACCAUUUCUACUUUGAAAGGUGUAGACAAUGAUUUAAAUGCUAAAUUAGAAGUAGCAAAUAAAUCCAAUUCUUGUGUAGAACAUGUUGAAAUUUGUACUAGGUGUAAAGAUUUUGACGUUGAUGCUUGUAGUGAACACCUAGUUUCUAUUGCAAAGCUAAAUAAUGAAGUGGCUAGUCUUAAUGUCCAACUUAAGACUAGCAAAAGUGAAUUUGAUAAGUUAAAAUUUGCAAGGGAUGCCUACACAAUAGGAAGACAUCCCUCAAUUAAGGAUGGACUUGGCUUCAAGAGGGAAGCCAAGAACUUAACAAGCCAUAAGGCUCCCAUUCCCGCCAAGGAGAAAGGGAAGGCCCCUGUGGCUACUAGUGCUAAAAGGAACCAUGCCUUUUUGUAUCAUGAUAAAAGACAAACUAGAAAUAGAAGUUAUGAUGCUUUUGAUUCAUAUGUUUAUGAUUCUCAUGCCAUGUUUGCUCCUAGUUCUUCUUAUGUGUAUGAUAGAAAUGUUACUAGGAGAAAUGUUGUUCCUAAAAGAAAUGUUGCAAAUGUUCAUAGGAAAGUAGUAAAUGAACCCUCUACAAUUUAUUGUGCUUUGAAUGCUUCCUUUGCAAUUUGUAGAAAGGAUAAGAAAAUUGUUGCUAGGAAGCUAGGGGCAAAAUGCAAGGGAGACAAAACUUGCAUUUGGGUCCCUAAGGAUAUUUGCACUAACCUUGUAGGACCCAACAUGAGUUGGGUACCUAAGACCCAAGCCUAAAUUUGCCUUGCAGGUUUAUGCAUCCGGGGGUUCAAGCUGGAUUAUCGACAGCGGAUGCACAAACCAUAUGACGGGGAAGAAGAAGAUGUUCACCUCCUACGUCAAGAAUAAAGAUUCCCAAGAUUCAAUUGUAUUCGGUGAUGGGAAUCAAGGCAAGGUAAAAGGUUUAGGUAAAAUUGCAAUUUCUAAUGAGCACUCCAUAUCUAAUGUGUUUUUAGUAGAGUCUCUUGGAUAUAAUCUGCUAUCUGUUAGUCAAUUAUGCAAUAUGGGGUAUAACUGUCUAUUUACAAAUGUAGAUGUGUCUGUCUUUAGAAGAAGUGAUGGUUCACUAGCUUUUAAGGGUGUAUUAGACGGCAAACUUUAUUUAGUAGAUUUUGCAAAAGAAGAGGCCGGUCUAGAUGCAUGCUUAAUAGCUAAGACUAGCAUGGGCUGGCUGUGGCAUCGCCGCUUAGCACAUGUGGGGAUGAAGAACCUUCACAAGCUUCUAAAGGGAGAACAUGUGAUAGGUCUAACCAAUGUUCAUUUCGAAAAAGAUAGACCUUGUGCAGCUUGUCAAGCAGGGAAACAGGUGGGAGGAGCGCAUCACAGCAAGAAUGUGAUGACCACUUCAAGACCCCUGGAGCUGCUGCAUAUGGACCUCUUCGGACCCGUCGCCUAUCUAAGCAUAGGGGGAAGUAAGUAUGGUCUAGUUAUUGUUGAUGACUUUUCCCGCUUCACUUGGGUGUUCUUUUUGCAGGAUAAGUCUGAAACCCAAGGGACCCUCAAGCGCUUCCUCAGGAGGGCUCAAAAUGAGUUUGAGCUCAAAGUGAAAAAGAUAAGGAGCGACAACGGGUCCGAGUUCAAGAACCUUCAAGUGGAGGAGUUCCUUGAAGAAGAGGGGAUCAAGCACGAGUUCUCCGCUCCCUACACACCACAGCAAAAUGGUGUGGUAGAGAGGAAGAACAGGACGCUCAUCGAUAUGGCGAGGACGAUGCUAGGAGAGUUCAAGACCCCCGAGUGCUUUUGGACGGAAGCCGUGAACAUGGCUUGCCACGCCAUCAACAGGGUCUACCUUCAUCGACUCCUCAAGAAGACUUCGUAUGAGCUUCUAACCGGUAACAAACCCAAUGUAUCUUACUUUCGUGUAUUUGGGAGCAAGUGCUACAUUCUAGUGAAGAAAGGUAGAAAUUCUAAGUUUGCUCCCAAAGCUGUAGAAGGGUUUUUGUUAGGUUAUGACUCAAAUACAAAGGCGUAUAGAGUCUUCAACAAAUCAUCGGGUUUGGUUGAAGUCUCUAGCGACGUUGUAUUUGAUGAGACUAAUGGCUCUCCAAGAGAGCAAGUUGUUGAUUGUGAUGAUGUAGAUGAAGAAGAUGUUCCGACGGCCGCUAUACGGACCAUGGCGAUUGGAGAAGUACGGCCACAGGAACAAGAUGAACGAGAUCAACCUUCUUCCUCAACUAUGGUGCAUCCCCCAACCAAAGAUGACGAACAGGUACCUCAAGUGGAGGCGCUUGAUCAAGGGGGAGCACAAGAUGAUCAAGUGAUGGAGGAAGAAGUGCAACCGGCACCUCCAACCCAAGUUCGAGCGAUGAUUCAAAGGGAUCAUCCCGUCGACCAAAUUCUGGGUGACAUUAGCAAGGGAGUAACUACUCGAUCUCGAUUAGUUAAUUUUUGUGAGCAUUACUCCUUUGUCUCUUCUAUUGAGCCUUUCAGGGUAGAAGAGGCCUUGCUAGAUCCGGACUGGGUGUUGGCCAUGCAAGAGGAGUUAAACAACUUCAAGCGCAAUGAAGUUUGGACACUGGUGCCUCGUCCGAAGCAAAAUGUUGUGGGAACCAAGUGGGUGUUCCGCAACAAACAGGACGAGCACGGGGUGGUGACGAGGAACAAGGCUCGACUUGUGGCAAAAGGUUAUGCCCAAGUCGCAGGUUUGGAUUUUGAGGAGACUUUUGCUCCUGUGGCUAGGCUAGAGUCAAUUCGAAUCUUGCUAGCAUAUGCCGCUCACCAUUCUUUCAGGUUGUAUCAAAUGGAUGUGAAGAGCGCUUUCCUCAAUGGGCCAAUCAAGGAGGAGGUGUACGUAGAGCAACCCCCUGGCUUUGAGGAUGAACGGUACCCCGACCAUGUGUGUAAGCUCUCUAAGGCGCUCUAUGGACUUAAGCAAGCCCCGAGAGCAUGGUAUGAAUGCCUUAGAGACUUUUUACUUGCUAAUGCUUUCAAGGUUGGGAAGGCCGAUCCAACUCUUUUUACUAAGACAUGUGAUGGUGAUUUGUUUGUGUGCCAAAUUUAUGUCGAUGACAUAAUAUUUGGUUCUACUAACCAAAAGUCUUGUGAAGAGUUUAGCAGGGUGAUGACGCAAAAAUUCGAGAUGUCGAUGAUGGGCGAGUUGAACUACUUCCUUGGGUUCCAAGUGAAGCAACUCAAGGAUGGCACCUUCAUCUCCCAAACGAAGUACACGCAAGAUCUGCUGAAGCGGUUUGGGAUGAAGGACGCCAAGCCCGCAAAGACUCCGAUGGGGACCGACGGACACACCGACCUCAACAAAGGAGGUAAGUCCGUUGAUCAAAAAGCAUACCGGUCAAUGAUAGGUUCUUUGCUUUACUUAUGUGCUAGUAGACCGGAUAUUAUGCUUAGCGUAUGCAUGUGUGCUAGAUUUCAAUCCGAUCCUAAGGAGUGUCACUUAGUGGCGGUGAAGCGAAUUCUUAGAUAUUUGGUUGCUACGCCUUGCUUCGGGCUCUGGUAUCCAAAGGGGUCUACCUUUGACUUAGUUGGAUACUCAGACUCCGACUAUGCUGGAUGUAAGGUCGAUAGGAAGAGUACAUCGGGGACGUGCCAAUUCUUAGGAAGGUCCCUGGUGUCAUGGAACUCUAAGAAACAAACAUCCGUUGCCCUAUCCACCGCUGAGGCCGAGUACGUUGCCGCAGGACAGUGUUGCGCGCAACUACUUUGGAUGAGGCAAACCCUCCGGGACUUUGGCUACAAUCUGAGCAAAGUCCCACUCCUAUGUGACAAUGAGAGUGCUAUCCGCAUGGCGGAGAAUCCUGUUGAGCACAGCCGCACAAAGCACAUAGACAUCCGGCAUCACUUUUUGAGAGACCACCAACAAAAGGGAGAUAUCGAAGUGUUUCAUGUUAGCACCGAGAACCAGCUAGCCGAUAUCUUUACCAAGCCUCUAGAUGAGAAGACCUUUUGCAGGCUGCGUAGUGAGCUAAAUGUCAUAGAUUCGCGGAACCUGGAUUGAAUUGUAGCAUACAUGUACUUAUGCUUUUGAUCAUGUUCCUUUUUGCAUUUUGUUGCUUAUUAUGGUGCUCAAGUUGUACAAACACUCCCUGGACCUCACAAGUCCGUUGCAAAGUGAUGCACAUGUUUAGGGGGAGAUGUGUUACAACUUGACCCUAUGAGACUAACCUUGUGCUUGAGUUUGAUAAUUUAGUCUCGAAGGAGGAUUGAAAGGGAAAAGGUGGACUUGGAUCAUGAAAGACUUCCACUGCACUCCGAUGAGAGGGUAACUAAUUCCAAGUUCAUCUCAUGAAAUCUUAUUGCCAUUUGCUCUUAAUUGAAGACUUUGGUGAGGCAAUGGGGUUAAGAGGCCAAGAUUAAUUCCGUUUUGGUGCUUGAUGCCAAAGGGGGAGAAAAUAAAGGCCAAAGUGAUAAAUGGAUCAGCUACCACUUGAGAUUUUGAAAAUAGUAGAAUAGAGUUUUUGUUUUGUCAAAAGCUUUUAUUGUCUCUUAUUGUCUCUAUUGUCAAAAGUUGGCUUCUUGUGGGGAGAAGUGUUGAUUAUGGGAAAUAAGGGGAGUUUUUGAAAUCUUUGAUCAAUCUCCUUUGGAAUGACUCUCUUUAUGCCUCAACAUGUGUGUUUGACUUAGAGAUAGAGAUUUGAAUUUGAUUUGCAAAAACAAACCAAGUGGUGGCAAAGGAUGAUCCAUAUAUGCCAAAAUUGAAUCAAAACCAAUUUGAGUUUUUAUUUGAAGUGAUUUUGCACUUGUUCUAGUUGCUUUAUGUUGUGUUGGCAUAAAUCACCAAAAAGGGGGAGAUUGAAAGGGAAAUGUGCCCUUGGGCCAUUUCUAAGUAUUUUGGUGAUUAAGUGCAAACACAGGUGCCAAAAUGUGAAAAUAUGCCCAUGGAUGGACAAGUUGCAAAUCACAAGUAAAGGUAUGUUUCUAAGCCUUAGUACAUUGGUUUUGUGUACUAAUAUUCUUGUCUAAGUGUUAGAAACAGAAAGAAGAAGAGAAGAGAAGACUUGGCUGUGUACAGCCAAGAGGCUGUUUUGGUCUGGGGCACCGGACUGUCCGGUGGUGCACCGGACAGUGUCCGGUGCGCCAGGCUGCCCCAGCUGAAGAGGCCGCUCUCGGGUUUUUCUCCGGCGACUUCGGCUAAAAUUCACCGGACUGUCCGGUGUGCACCGGACUGUCUGGUGAGCCAACGGUCGGCCGAGCCAACGGUCGGCCGCGCGAUCGGCGCGCGACACGUGGCCGAGCCAACGGUCGGAAGGAAGCACCGGACUGUCCGGUGUGCACCGGACUGUCCGGUGCGCCAGAUCUGCAACGGUCGGCAACGGUCGGCUUCGCUGUUUAUGGAAACAAAUCGGGCACCGGACAGUGUCCGGUGUGCACCGGACUGUCUGGUGCGCCCGACGACAGAAGGCAAGGAUAGCCUUCCAGAUGUGCUCUCAACGGCUCCUAGCUGCCUUGGGGCUAUAAAAGGGACCCCUAGGCGCAUGGAGGAGUACACCAAGCAUUCCUACAACUCUUCUAAGCACCAAGACAUCAAUCUCACGCAUUCGUUUCAUUGUGAUAGCAUAUAGAGCUCUUGUGGAGUUGUGAACUCUUUGUGUUGCGUUGCGAGCUCUUGUUGCGACUUGUGUGCGUGUUGUUGCUCUGAUUUUCGAGUCUUGUGUGCGUUGCUCAUUCCCACCUUACUUCGUAUUUCUUUGUGAACUCAAUUGUAAGGGCGAGAGACUCCAAGUUGUGGAGAUUCCUCGCAAACAGGAAAAGAUCAAAGGAAAGAAAAACACCGUGGUAUUCAAGUUGAUCAUUGGAUCACUUGAGAGGAGUUGAGUGCAACUCUCGUCCGUUGGGACGCCACAACGUGGAGUAGGCAAGUUUUGUACUUGGCCGAACCACGGGAUAACCACCGUGUCAACUCUGUGAUUGCUUUCUUGUGGUUAUUGUGUUUUGACUCCUCUCUAGCCACUUGGCCAUACUUGUGCUAACUCUUAACAAGUUUUUGUGGCUUAAGUUUUUGAAGUUUUACAGGAUCACCUAUUCACCCCCCCCUCUAGGUGCUCUCACUAUCACCAGUAUCUUCAGAUAAACCUUCCAAAAUUUCCCUUGUAAUCUUUUCUGUAUUCGUCUUUGAUAUUGAUUCAAGAAAGCCAAGAUUCUUCUCCUCAAGAAGGCUUAGCUUUGCUUCAGCAACAACUUUCUUAUCUUUAGACAUCUUCGGAAUCGCUAAAAACCGCUUUAAAAGCCGAAGCUUAAAAAACUUACAAGUUAAGCAAAUCUUGUUGCGCAGGAGCUAAAAACUGAGUAAGCAAGAGCAGAUGGCAAAGAAAGCGUACCAAAUGACAUUGCGGUGUGUUGUUAUUUAUACAUCUGGCGCAUUGAGAACAGGAGGGCCCCGUUUGACAUUGACUGUUGCUAUUCUAGCAAGAGGAAGGUGUUUUUUCGGACCUUCGGCUUAGGGCCUUUGUCCAUAUCGCAAUCUGAAUUUAUUAUCCUAACAAAUUAAUAUCACAAGGGGCUACUGUUGGGGGCCUCCGGCUUCCGAAGGUCCUCAAAAACAUGAUUUGACAAUGUUUCUGGAGUAUAAUACAUGAGCAGGUACCUUUGGACACGAACCCUUCGGACAAGUCAAAAUUGCUGGAUGAAGAAACACAAAGAGAACGAAGGAUGGAACAGAGUCGAAGCUGUGCGCAAGGAAGCUUCAGUAGGAUGUCAGAAAGGAGGAAACCGACUUGAAGAGGAAAAGACUAUUUAGACCCCGAUAGAUUACUAUAGAGUUAUUAUCAAAAGCAAAGGGCCUGAAUGUAAUUUUACAUGGGCUGCGACCUGUGCCUAUAAAUAGGUGAAUAGUACUCCCGUACUGUUCACGCUGACUUGGCAUUUGCUCUUGCAUCACGCUUGUACUUUUACCUUCUUUCAAGACAAAUGUAUAUUUGUAACUCAACAUCAUUUCUAUUCUUCUAUAGCAAUAAAAUAAAAAUGAGUUGAUAAUGAUACAUAACUAUUCAUGUUAUCUUUUAUAUUCCAUGUAAUUCCCUUUUCAUUAUGAUAUGUAAUGUUUAUGAAGGUAUGUCCUUCAUAACCUUCGUCCGAAGAUCAUUAUAUCUCAAGGGAAAUAAUGCUUCGAAGGACGAAGGACUUUAACGUUUAAACGUUUUCUGUGUUGCCUUGUUCUUAAUUCUUAGCAUUUGAGAACAAGUCCCCAACAGUAGCCCAUGUCAAGCAGGGAAGCAAGUUGGUGUUCAUCAUCCACAUAAGAACAUCAUGACGACCGACAGGCCGCUUGAGCUACUCCAUAUGGAUCUAUUCGGCCCGAUCGCUUACAUAAGCAUCGGCGGGAGUAAGUAUUGUCUUGUUAUUGUGGAUGAUUAUUCUUGCUUCACUUGGGUGUUCUUUUUGUAGGAAAAAUCACAAACCCAAGAGACCUUAAAGGGAUUCUUGAGAUGGGCUCAAAAUGAGUUUGGAUUGAGGAUCAAAAAGAUUAGAAGCGACAACAGGACGGAGUUCAAGAACUCUCAAAUUGAAGGCUUUCUUGAGGAUGAGGGCAUCAAGCAUGAGUUCUCUUCUCCCUACACACCACAACAAAAUGGUGUAGUGGAGAGGAAGAAUAGAACUCUACUUGACAUGGCGAGGACCAUGCUUGAUGAGUAUAAGACUUCGGAUCGGUUUUGGGCGGAAGCAAUCAACACCGCUUGCUACGCCAUCAACUGUCUCUACCUUCACCGAAUCCUCAAGAAGACAUCAUAUGAACUCCUAACCUGUAAAAAUCCCAAUGUUUCAUAUUUUAGAGUCUUUGGUAGCAAAUGCUUUAUUCUUAUUAAAAGAGGUAGAAAAUCUAAAUUUGCUCCUAAGGCUGUAGAAGGCUUUUUACUUGGUUAUGACUCAAACACAAGGGCAUAUAGAGUCUUUAACAAGUCCACUGGACUGGUUGAAGUUUCUUGUGACAUUGUGUUUGAUGAGACUAAUGGCUCUCAAGAAGAGCAAGUUGAUCUUGAUGAGCUAGAUGAUGAAGAGGCUCCGUGCGUCGCGCUAAGGAACAUGUCCAUUGGGGAUGUGUGUCCUAAGAAAUUUGAAGAGCCUCCACAAGAUCAACCAUCUUCUUCCAUACAAGCAUCUCCACCAACUCAAGAUGAGGAUCAAGCUCAAGAUGAUGAAAAUGAAGAUCAAGAAGAGCCACCUCAAGAGGAGGACAAUGAUCAAGGGGGAGAUGCCAAUGAUCAAGACAAGGAAGAUGAUGAGGGUCAAAGACCACCACACCCAAGAGUCCACCAAGCGAUACAACGAGAUCACCUCGUGAACUCCAUCCUCGGCGAUAUACAAAAGGGGGUAACCACUCGAUCUAGUGUCGCUCAUUUUUGUGAACAUUACUCCUUUGUGUCUUCUAUUGAGCCAUACAGGGUGGAAGACGCAUUAAGAGAUUCGGAUUGGGUGUUGGCAAUGCAAGAGGAACUCAACAACUUCACGAGGAGUGAGGUAUGACAUUUAGUUCCACGUCCUAACCAAAAUGUUGUAGGAACUAAGUGGGUCUUCCGCAACAAGCAAGAUGAGCAUGGUGUGGUGAAAAGGAAUAAAGCCUGACUUGUGGCCAAGGGAUAUUCACAAGUCGAAGGUUUGGAUUUCGGUGAAACCUAUGCACCCAUAGCUACGUUUGAGUCAAUUCGUAUAUUACUUGCCUAUGCUACUUACCAUGGCUUUAAGCUUUACCAAAUGGACUUGAAAAGUGCCUUCCUCAAUGGACCAAUCAAGGAGGAGGUCUAUGUUGAGCAACCUCCCGGCUUUGAAGAUAGUGAGUACCCUAACCAUGUGUAUAAACUCUCUAAGGCGCUUUAUGGGCUCAAGCAAGCCCCAAGAGCAUGGUAUGAAUGCCUAAGAGAUUUUCUUAUCGCUAAUGGCUUCAAAGUCGGAAAAGCCGAUCCUACUCUCUUUACUAAAACAAUUGCUAAUGAUUUGUUUGUAUACCAAAUUUAUGUUGAUGAUAUUAUAUUUGGGUCUACUAACAAAUCUACUUGUGAAGAGUUUAGUAGUAUCAUGAUUCAAAAAUUCGAGAUGUCUAUGAUGGGGGAGUUGAAGUAUUUCUUAGGAUUUCAAGUCAAGCAACUCCAGGAGGGCACCUUCAUUAGCCAAACCAAUUACAUUCAAGACAUACUCACCAAGUUUGGGAUGAAGGAUGCCAAGCCCAUCAAGACACCCAUGGGAACCAAUGGGCAUCUCGACCUCGACACGGGAGAUAAAUCCAUAGAUCAAAAGGUAUACCGGUCGAUGAUAGGAUCUUUACUUUAUUUAUGUGCAUCUCGACCGGAUAUUAUGCUUUCCGUAUGCAUGUGUGCAAGAUUCCAAGCCGAUCCUAAGGAAGUUCACCUUAGGGCCGUGAAACGAAUCUUGAGAUAUUUAGUUCAUACUCCUAAGUUUGGUCUUUGGUACCCCAAGGGAUCCACUUUUGAUUUAAUAGGAUAUUCAGAUGCUGAUUGGGUAGGGUGUAAAAUUGAUAGAAGGAGCAGAUCAGGGACUUGUCAGUUCUUAGGAAGAUCCCUGGUGUCUUGGGCUUCAAAGAAACAAAAUUCCGUAGCUCUUUCAACCGCCGAAGCCGAGUACAUUGCCGCAGGCCAUUGUUGCCCGCAAUUGCUUUCGAUGAGGCAAACCCUUAGAGACUAUGGUUACAAAUUAACCAAAGUUCCUCUCCUAUGUGAUAAUGAGAGUGCAAUUCACAUGGCGGAUAAUCCCGUUGAGCACAGCCGCACUAAGCACAUAGCCAUUCGGUAUCACUUUUUGAGGGAUCAUCAACAAAGGGGGGAUAUCGAGAUUGCUUAUGUUAGCACCAAAGAACAACUAGCCGAUAUCUUUACCAAGCCAUUAGAUGUGAAAACAUUUACCAAACUUAGGAAUGAGCUAAACAUUCUUGAUUCUAGGAAUGUUGAUUGAUACUUUGCACACAUAGCUCAUUUAUAUACCUUUGAUCAUCUCUUUCAUUUGCUAUGACAAAUGUAUUGUCAAGUGUAUUUUAUACCAAGUCAUAGAUUGAAAGGGAAAUGGAGUCUUCGGUAAAGACAAGGCUUCCACUCCACUCCAUCGUAUUAUUUAUCCUUCGUCGACACUCCGCAUCGCUCUCCAAUUUGGUAUCAUCUUCACUCAUAUAUUAUUUGCCAAAGGGGGAGAGAGUUUGAAAAGGGCUUAUAUUUCACUCACAAGUAUCCGUUUUUGGCGAUUCAUGCCAAAGGGGGAGAAAGUAUUAGGCCCAAAGCAAAAGGACCGCACCACCACCAAUUUCAAAAAUGUAGUCUUUCAUUUUGUAUUAAAGAAGUUUUUCAAUUGGUAUCUUAAUUUUGAUAUAAUUUCAAAUUGGUAUAACCUCCUUCAAAAUUAAUAUCUAAAACCCUCUUGAACACUAAGAGGAAAAUUUCAUUAAGGGGGAGUUUUGUUUAGUCAAAGGAAAAGCAUUUGAAACAGGGGGAGAAAAUUUCAAAUCUUGAAAAUGCUUCUUUCAAUCUUAUUCAUAUACCUUUGACUAUUUGCAAAAAGACUUUGAAAAGAAUUUCCAAAAGAUUUUGCAAAAACAAAACAAGUGGUGCAAGCGUGGUCCAAAAUGUUAAAAUGAAGAAAGCAAUCCAUGCAUAUCUUAUGAAAAUGAAAAUUGGUUUAACUCCAAGCAACCUUUGUACUUACCUUAUGCAAACUAGUUCAAUUCUGCACUUAUAUAUUUGCUUUGGUUUGUGCUGGCAUAAAUCAUCAAAAAGGGGGAGAUUGAAAGGGAAAUAGGGUCAAACCUUUUACUAAAUGAUUUUGGUAGUUGAAUUGCCCAAUACAAAUAAUUGGACUAACUAGUUUGCUCUAGAUUAUAAAUUCUACAGGUGCCAAAGGUUCAACACAAACCAAUAAAAAGUCCAAGAAAGGGUUCAAAUAAAAAGAGCAAAAGACAACCGAAGGCUGCCCUGGUCUGGCGCACCAGACUGUCCGGUGUGCCACCGGACAGUGUCCGGUGCACCAGGGAGAUCAACUUCGAACUUGCCACCUUCGGGUUUCUGGGAUUGCUCUCCGCUACAAUUCACCGGACUGUCCGGUGUAGCACCGGACUGUCCGGUGUGCCAAAAGGAUUAACGGCUACAGCGCCAACGGUCGUCUACAAAAGGUGAACAGUGAGCUACAGUGCGCGGACAGCGAGCGCAUAAGUCAGAGCAGGCGCAGAUGGCGCACCGGACAUUGAACAGGACCUAUCCGGUGCACCAUCGGACUGUCCAGUGGCCCCACUUGCCAGAGCUCCAACGGUCGAACCCUAACGGUUGGGUGACGUGGCUGGUGCACUAGACAGUGUCCGAUGGCGCACCGGACAGUCCGGUGCGCCCGUCGACAGCAGCCUUCCCCAACGGCCACUUUGGUGGUUGGGGCUAUAAAUACCCCCCAACCACCACACUUCAAGGCAUCCAAGUUUUCAGCCAACACAUUCAAUACAAGAGCUAGUGCAUUCAAUACAAGACACAAUUAGAGUGAAUCAAAAUCUCUCCAAGUCCUAAUUCCACUCAAAGCAAUAGUGACUAGAAGAGAGUUUUGCCGUGUUCGUUUGAGCUCUUGCGCUUGGAUCGCUUUUCUUCUUCUCCAUUUCUUGUUCCCAAGUUCUUUGUAAUCAAAGCAAGAGACACCAAUUGUGUGGUGGUCCUUGUGGGGACUAAGUGUCCCAAUUGAUUGAGAACAGAAGCUCACUCAGUCUAAGUGACCGUUUGAGAGAGGGAAAGGGUUGAAAGAGACCCGAUCUUUGUGACCACCUCGACGGGGAGUAGGUUUGCAAGAACCGAACCUCGGUAAAACAAAUCAUCGUGUCACUUUUAUAUUUCUAACACUAACCCCGGCUUGUAGUUGUGCUUAAACUUUAUAAAUUUCAGAUUUGCCUAUUCACCCCCCUCUAGGCGACUUUCAGGUUGUGACUCUUUUGCCUAAGGGUUACACUGCUCUUGAAAUGAAAAAUUUUAGACCUAUUUGCCUCCUGAAUGUUUGUUAUAAAAUCAUUACCAAGGUUCCUAACAACAUGUUAGCUCAUUGUAUUACUAAAGUGAUUAAUGAAUUUCAAUAUGGGUUUAUUCAGGGAAGAUACAUAAUGGAUGGUGUUGUUUCCCUGAAUGAGAUCCUUCAUGAGGUAAAAAAAGAAGCAAAGUGGUGUGGUUUUCAAAGUUGAUUUUGAAAAGGCUUAUGAUAAAGUUAACUGACAUUUUCUUUUCUGCAUGCUAGAGAAAAAAGGUUUUGGGAGCACUUUGAGUGAUUGGGUGAUGAGAACUGUUAGAGGGGGCAAAGUUGCCAUCAAAACCAAUGAUAUUGUUGGCCCUUAUUUCACGACUCACAAAGGGGUGAGGCAGGGGGCCCUUCUCUCUCUUCCUCUUUAAUCUUGUUGCAGAUGGUUUAGCUUGUUUGAUUCAUAAAGCUCAAGAUGAAGGUCUUAUUAAAGGCCUCAUUCCUCAUAUCAUAAGGAAUGGUUGUUGUUGCCUUUAAUAUGCUGAUGACACUAUUUUCUUCAUUCAAGUUGUUUGGAGGGGGCAAGGAAUCUCAAGUUUAUUCUUUGCCUUUUUGAACAAAUGGCUGGGCUUAUGAUUAACUUUCAUAAAGGUGAAGUUUAUUGUUUUGGUGAGGCUAAUGAUGUCAGAGAUUUGCAUGCUAAUAUCUUCACUUGUCCUAUCAGUAAUCUUCCCAUGAAGUAUCUUGGGGUUCCAAUUGAUAACAAAAAAACUCAGCAAAAAUCUUUGGAGUUCUAUUGAAGAGAAAGUGGGGAAAAAACUUGUAGGUUGGCAAGAAAAGUUUUUGAGUUUGGGUGGUUGUCGGGGACCAUAAUUAGGGGUACCCCCAAGACUCCUAAACUCGGCUGGUAAUCACCAUCAGCACAAGCUGCAAAGGCCUGAUGGGCGCGAUUCAGGUCAAGGCUCCGUCCACUCAAGGGACACGAUCUCGCUUCGUCCGAGCCCAGCCUCGGGCAGGAACAGUAGACCCAGACGGAUUCACGCCUCGCCCGAGGGCCUCCUCAAGCAACGGGCGCACCUCCGACUCGUCCGAGGCCCAGCUCGGGCAGGCUUCGCAGUGAAGCAACCUUGGCCGGAUUGCCACGCCAACCGACCAUAUCGCAGGAGCAUUCAAUGCAAGGAUCACCUGACACCUUAUCCUGACGCGCGUUCCUCAGUCGACAGGGCCGAAGUGACCGCAGUCAUUUCGCCCCUCCACUGACUGAAUUGACAGGAAAACAGCGCCGCCUGCCCUGCUCCAAUUGCUGUGCCACCCGCCAGGGUGAGGCUGACAGCAGCCAAGUCCAGCCUCAGGCGCCAUAGGAAGCUCUGCCUCGCCCGACCCCAGGGCUCGGCCCCCGCCUCGGCCUCGGAAGGCGGUAUCCGCCUCGCCUGACCCCAGGGCUCAGACUCAACCUCGACCCCGGAAGACGGUCUCCGCCUCGCCCGACCCCAGGGCUCGGACUCAACCUCGACCCCAGAAGACGGUCUCCGCCUCGCCCGACCCCAGGGCUCGGACUUAGCCUCGACCUCGGAGGAGUCACCGCCUCGCCCGACCUUGGGCUCGGACCGACCACGCUACAAGGGGAUACAUCAUUACCCUACCCCUAGCUAGCUCAGGCUACGGGGAAUAAGACCGGCGUCCCAUCUGGCUCGCCCCGGUAAACAAGUAAUGAUGGUACCCCGCGUGCUCCCAUGACGACGGCGGUUCUCAGCCCCAUACGGAAGCAAGGAGACGUCAGCAAGGAUCCGACAGCCCCGACAGCUGUGCUUCUACAGGGCUCAAGCGCUCCUCCGACGGCCACGACAUCACAUGAACAGGGCACUAACACCUCUCCGACAGCCACGUCGGCAUGUACAUAGGGCUCUGGCUCCUCUCUGCUAGACACGUUAGCACAUUGCUACACUCCCCAUUGUACACCUGGACCCUCUCCUUACAUCUAUAAAAGGAAGGUCCAGGGCCCUCGUACGAGAAGGUGGCUGCGCGGGAGGACGGGCUGACGGACAGUCUCUCUCUCUCCCUCGCGAACGCUUGUAACCCCCUACUGUAAGCGCAUCCGCCCUGGGCGCAGGAUAACACGAGCCGCGGUUUUCCCCCUUGUGUUCCAUCUCACGCCGACCCAUCUGGGCUGGGACACGUAGCGACAAUUUACUCAUCGGUCCAGGGACCCCCGGGGUUGAAACGCCGACAGUUGGCGUGCCAGGUAGGGGCCUGCUACGUGUUGACGAACAGCUUCCCGUCAAGCUCCAGAUGGGUAGUCCCCAGCAACCUCUCCAGCCCGGGGCGCUGCUCCAUUUCGGGAGUCUCGAGUUCAUGUCCCUCGACGGCAGCUACGACAUGGUACUCCUUCCUCUGCCGCGCGACAACGACGGCCGUCAGCCCGUCUGACGGCGGCGGAAUCGACGACGUCUUCCCCGCGUGGCGGAAGAGCAGCAUCCGGGUCUGUCCCGUCACCUUCCCCGCCGAUGGAGGAGGAGGUGGGGCAACCAUGGCCAAGCAGGAGGUGGCGCCUCGUCGGCUGUCGAACGAGUCGAUGACGCCGGCGCCCCAACGGGGGACACGUCGGGCGUUGACCUCGCGUCUGAGACGAAGACGAGCAUCGUUUCCCCGCAACACGCCAACCCCAAGCGGACGGAUGACGCCAGCACGCUCGCGAAGGACUUGCUGGGCGUUAGCCUCGUACCUGAGAUAACGGUGCAGUCCGUCCCCGACGCGACUUCGUCACCAUCCGUCGAUCAAGAGGUACCGUCCGUUUUCCACCCUGUGCCUUUUAGAUUCCGCUUCGACCCACCAAGCGACCCUGCUUCGGUGGACGCUUUCAUAAAGGCAUAUCCUAACCUUCCGGGGUACCAUAUGUGGUCAACCUAGGACCGACUGACGGCCGUCUCGACCUACGGGCCCCCGGGUUCCAAGGAAGAUGACGAGCCCGACUCUGGUUGGGAUCUCUCCGGGCUCGGUAACCCUAGUGCCAUGCGAGACUUCAUGGCCGCAUGUGACUACUGCCUCUCCGAUUACUCCGAUGAUGGCCACAGCCUUGACGACGAGGACUGUGGCCCAAGUCGCGAAUGUUUCCACGUCGAUCUAGGGGGUCUCGACGAAGGCAACCAUCUUGGUAUGCCGGAGGACGGCGAUCCCCCUAGGCCUGCGCCUCGCGUUGACAUCCUUCAGGAGCUAGCUGUGGUCCCAGUCCCUACGGGGGGUCAGGACGCACAGCUCGAGCAAAUCCGCGAGAUGCAGGCCAGGCUCGACGAGGAAGCAGGACAACUUGUGCAGCUCCGGCAGAACAUCGGGCAGGAGUGGGCAGGCCAAGCACCAGCCGGAGAAGCGCGUCAUCUGGCCCAGGACGUCUAGCACCGCAUCGCCGACGAUGCCAGGGCAAGGCUGCCCCCAGCUUCCAGUGGGGUCGGCCAGAACCUCGCUGCAGCAGCAGUACUACUUCGAGCAAUGCCGGAGCCAUCCACCACCGAGGGCGGCGUAUCCAGGGAGAGCUCAAGAAUCUCCUGAAGGAUGCCGCGGUCCGACGGGCCGAAAGCUCUGCCUCCCAAAGGCAGGGGUACCCCCCGGAGCAUCGCGCCGCGACUUCCCGAUUCAUGAGGGAAGCCUCGGUCCACACCGGGCGCACGCGGGACGCAACGCCUGUAGCCCCAGGUCGCCUCGGCAACGAGCACCACCGCCGCGACCGUCGAGCCCACCUCGACAAGAAGGUGCGCCGAGGCUACCACCCCAGGCAUGGGGGACGCUACGACAGCGGGGAGGAUCGGAGCCCCUCGCCCGAACCACCCGGUCCGCAAGCUUUCAGCCGGGCCAUACGACAGGCGCCGUUCCCGACCCGGUUCCGAACCCCGACUACCAUCACCAAGUACUCGGGGGAAACAAGGCUGGAACUGUGGCUUGCGGACUACCGGCUGGCCUGCCAGCUGGGUGGAACGGACAAUGACAACCUCAUCAUCCGCAACCUCCCCCUGUUCCUCUCCGACGCUGCCCGAGCCUGGCUGGAGCAUCUGCCUCCUGCACAGAUCUCCAACUGGGACGACCUGGUCAAAGCCUUCGCCGGCAACUUCCAGGGCACAUACGUGCGCCCUGGGAACUCCUGGGAUCUCCGAAGCUGCCGCCAGCAGCCGGGAGAAUCCCUGCGGGACUACAUCCGACGAUUUUCGAAACAGCGCACCGAGCUGCCCAACAUCACCGACUCAGAUGUCAUCGGCGCGUUCCUCGCCGGCACCACUUGCCGCAACCUGGUGAGCAAGCUGGGUCGCAAGACUCUCACCAGGGCGAGCGAGCUGAUGGACAUCGCCACCAAGUUCGCCUCUGGUCAGGAGCCGGUCGAGGUCAUCUUCCGGAAGGACAAGCAGCCUCAGGGGUGCCAGCAGGAAGACGUCCCCGAGGCGUCCGCUCAGCGCGGCACCAAGAAGAAGAGCAUGUAUUGCCCGUCCAGAGACCGGUCUACUUCAUCAGUGAGUGCCAAAAGGCCUCGGGUAGGAUUGCAAAGUGGGCGGUGGAGAUCAUGGGCGAGACAAUCUCGUUCGCUCCUUGGAAGGCCAUCAAGUCCCAAGUCUUGGCGGACUUUGUGGCUGAAUGGGUCGACACCCAGCUUCCAGCAGCUCCGAUCCAACCGGAACUCUGAACCAUGUUUUUCGACGGGUCGCUGAUGAAAACAGAAGCAGGCGCGGGCCUGCUCUUCAUCUCACCCCUCGGGAAACACCUCCGCUACAUGAUGCGCCUCCAUUUCCCGGCGUCAAACAACAUGGCCGAGUACGAGGCUCUCGUUAUCGGGUUGCGCAUCGCCAUCGAGCUAGGGGUUCGGCGCCUCGAUGCUCGUGGCGACUCGUAGCUUGUCAUCGACCAAGUCAUGAAGAACUCCCAUUGCCGCGACCCGAAGAUGGAAGUCUACUGCGAUGAGGUUCAGCGCCUGGAAGACAAGUUCUACGGGCUUGAGCUCAACCACGUCGCUUGACGAUACAACGAGACUGCGGACGAGCUGGCUAAAAUAGCCUCGGGGCGGACAACGGUUCCCCCGGACGUCUUCUCCCGAGACCUACAUCAACCCUCCGUCAAGACCGACGACACGCCCGAGCCCGAGGAGGCCUCGGCCCAGCCCGAGGCACCCUCGGCCGCCGAGGGUGAGGCACUACGCGUCGAGGAAGAGCGGAAUGGGGUCACGCCUAAUCGAAACUGGCAGACCCCGUACCUGCAAUAUCUCCACCGAGGAGAGCUACCCCUCUACAGAGCCGAAGCUCGGCGACUGGCGCGGCGCGCCAGGUCGUUCGUCUUGUUGGGUGAAGAAAAGGAGCUCUACCACCGCAGCCCCUCAAGCAUCCUCCAGCGAUGCAUAUCCAUCGCCGAAGGUCAGGAGCUAUUGCAAGAAAUACACUCGGGGGCUUGCGGUCAUCACGCAGCACCUCGAGCCCUCGUUGGAAACGCCUUCCGACAGGGUUUCUACUGGCCAACCGCGGUGGCUGACGCCACUAGGAUUGUACGUACCUGCCGAGGGUGCCAAUUCUACGCAAGGCAGACACACCUGCCCGCUCAGGCCCUGCAAACAAUACCCAUCACCUGGCCGUUUGCUGUGUGGGGUCUGGACCUCGUCGGUCCCUUGCAGAAGGCACCCGGGGGCUUCACGCACCUGCUGGUCGCUAUCAACAAAUUCUCCAAGUGGAUUGAGGUCCGACCCCUAAACAGCAUCAGGUCCGAACAGGCGGUGGCGUUCUUCACCAACAUCAUCCAUCGCUUUGGGGUCCCGAACUCCAUCAUCACCGACAACGGCACCCAGUUCACUGGCAGAAAGUUCCUGGACUUCUGCGAGGACCGACACAUCCGGGUGGACUGGGCCACCGUAGCUCACCCCAUGACGAAUGUGCAGGUAGAGCGUGCCAACGACAUGAUUCUGUAGGGACUCAAGCCAAGGAUCUACAACGACCUCAACAAGUUCGGCAGGCGAUGGAUGAAGGAACUCCCCUCGAUGGUCUGGAGUCUGAGGACGACGACAAGCCGAGCCACGGGCUUCACGCCAUUCUUUCUAGUCUAUGGGGCCGAGGCUAUAUUGCCCACAGACUUAGAAUACGGCUCCCCGAGGACAAGGGCGUACGACGACCGAAGCAACCAGGCCAGCCGAGAAGACUCUCUGGACCAGCUGGAAGAGGCUCGGGACAUGGCCUUACUACACUCGGCAAGGUAUCAGCAGUCUUUGCGACGCUACCACGCCCGAGGGGUUCGGUCCCGAGACCUCCAGGUGGGGGACUUGGUGCUUCGGCUAUGACAAGACGCCCAAGGGCGUCAUAAGCUCACACCUCCCUGGGAAGGGUCGUUCAUCAUCGCCAAGAUUUUGAAGCCCGGAACAUACAAGCUGGCCAACAGUCAAGGCGAGGUCUACAGCAACGCUUGGAACAUCCGACAGCUACGUCGCUUUUAUCCUUAAGAUGUUUUCAAGUCGUUCACAUACCUCGUUCUCUUUACAUAUGCAAAAAGAGUCUAACCGUCAAGGAAGGGUCAGCCUUGCCUCGGCAAAGCCUGACCCUCCCUCGGGGGCUAGAAGGGGGGAACCCCCUCUGCGUCAAAAUUUUCCUCAGAAAAAGUCUUUCUGUCAGAACGUCUUUCGCGCUUUUCGACUACUUCGAUAGUGGAAUCCUGAAAACGCGGAGUACACGUAAGCGGCAAGGCCGACCGAGCCGAGGGACUCCUAUGCCUCCGGGAUACGGAUACCUCACUCAUCACCUUCUGCGAUAAGUAACUCUCGCUAGGAUAAGCGAUUCUGCUGCCGAACAAGUCUUAACGCUCAAAAACCUUCCUGGCAGAACGAUUUUUCGUGCCUUCUCGACUAUAUCGAUAACAGAAUCCUACGGAUGAGUAAGAGUACACGUAAGCGGCAAGGCCGACCGAGCCGAGGAACUCCUACGCCUCCGGGAUACGGAUACCUCACUCAUCACCUUCCGUGAAAAGUAACUCUCGCUCGGAUAAACGAUUCUGCUACCGACGAACAAGUCCUGAUACUCGAAACAAGGGGAAAAGAAACGCAGCUCUAUAACACGACGAUGAUAUGUUUGGUCCUCGGUGGCCGCAAAAAACAUACGCACACUACAGAUAAACUGUUCCUGCAGGUUCAGACAUUAGUAGGGGGAGCAGCAGCACCCUCGGCAUCGACUCCACCUUCGGCGGAAUCCGACCUGGCCUCGGACAGCAACACGGUCAGAGGAUCUCCACCUCGAAGGAAGAUGUCAGCACCGCGCCUGGGCCAUCGCCGCCAGGGUCUCCUCCAGGAACCCGACCCGAGCAGAUGGCUCGACCGGCCGCUCCAUAGCCUCAGCCAGCUGACCCCCGAGGACAUCAGCCCGACUCAUGGCCUCGGCAGCCCGACUCCAGGGUUGGUCCCGCCAGUGGACGACCUGGCCAGGUUCCAGUCGCCGCUGCUAGCCUCCUCGGCCUAGGAAGUCCCCUGCUCCUGGGCCGACGAAGUUUCUUCUCCAGCCGACUCCGCCUCUGUCCACGCUCACACCGCUGCCUCCGGCUCCGGCUCAUCGCAGAGCGGCUGAGGGUUUUCUUUAACUGAGCAAGAGAAUCCUUGGGCGGCAAGGCCGAUCGAGCCAAGGGACUCCUACGCCUCCGAGAUACGGAUAUCUCACUCAUCACCUUCUGCACGGGGCAACUCACACUUGGUUAAGCGGUCCAGCUAGCCGACAUGCGAGUCCUGGUGCCCAAAAUGAGGAAGAAACACGGUAUUGCACUCAAAUACCUAGAUGUUCAGGCCUCGACAGCCACAAUGAACAGACACCAGCACUCAAGGUGCCAUUACAAACGGAACUCCGGUUCCACUCCCGCGGGUAUGAACAACCUCCACAUCGGAGAGCCUGCGGGACGACAAACUCUGGGUGACUCGCCGGCGACCUCUGCAGCAGCAGUGAUGGUCCCAGGGCGGACGCUACUGCUGGAAGGCUCUCGUUCGCGUCCCCACUCGAGGGACGAAAACCAGACAUUAAAGCCAAAGCGCACCGGCAGGUCCUCACUCCCGUCCUCGCCACGAGAACGAGAAUGGGACCGUCCCAGAACACGAGUACCGCCCUCGCGGCGUACAACGUGUUGUGAGACCCCCCGGUGCGGCUGGCCACCGUCGCCCGAACAGAGGACGGAAUGCUGCACCCUGGCUGGGCAGCAGCAGUUCGCCUUCCCCGGCAUGGCUGGAGGACGCCUCCUCCGCAGAGCUGGAGGAUGGUUUCCACCCCCAGAAGCCGGAGGAAGAAGCGGGACGCUAGCCCACGCGAAGGCAGGCCCAUACGGGAGGUAGAGCUCCGGCUCAGCUCGCCCCCGCCCCAGCAAGGAUGAUGAAGAUCCUUGAAGCUGAGGGCGGGGCAGAGGCCGCAACCCGGCUUGCUUCUCCCCACCGUCGAACUGGUGGUCACCGUCUUGGGUGACCAUUGGUGAGGGGAUGUAGCCGGGCUGCCUGAUGAAAAUCCUUGAAGCCGAGCGAUGGCUGAAAGGUGUCAACCUCCGCAAAGUUGCGCUCCUCCAACAGCAGCAAGAUGAAAGCAACGCGGGCGCUCCCCAUCCGGGGGCUCGGAAGGCGGAAGGGCACGGUGCAUGAGGAGAGUGCGAAGGUGUGGCUACCACCCGGGGGUCGAUCCCUUUUUAAAGGCGACUCUCCUCACUCGCGUCCUCAGGCGUCGCGGACUAAGUCUUCACCAACGCGCUCCAAGGUCCUUCCCCUACGACACGGGGGCUGGGUCCCACACGCCAUGCAAGUUGGCCGGGACAAAAGAAGCCAAACUGCCACGCGUGGAGCGUGUAACCGCCCAGCGGUUACAAGAACUCCUCCAUCUUCGCCUAAACCAGUGGGUGAAAGGGCGGACCGCCAUGCAGGCGGCAUGCAACUGCACCACAUAGAUGCACCCUUUCGACUUCGACGCAUCCAGCGUGGAGGCCCAGGCCCACACGUCAUGUAACUGGCGCGCCGGUUACUACGUGCGAAAAACUGCACCGCCACUUACGCCAAUGUCGCGCCUCCUCGACUACAGAACCGGUGCCGCGACUCGAGGCAACCCUGCGCAUGGCCCAACAGUGCCAACCAAGCACAUCGGUCACAGGUCAGUCAGCCGCGGGAAAAGGCGCGACGGUCGAUAUGGCCAAAAGUGGGCCGACAGUAAUGGCGGCGGCAGGCGGGCAGAAGCAGCAGUCAAAUCAUCUGCAGGCUCACGUCCCCUCCUGGGGCAGCAGGGGAGCCCUCUCCCACAGCAUGAAGACGACGCGCCCGUGUUCCGUCCCUCGAACGGCUCACACAACGGCUGCCCCGCGAACCACUCGUCCCGUCGCAUUGACUCCGCGGCAGGGCAAGCGACACCUUUGGCAGUCGAAGCGGGCGACGCUUCACCUCCACCAUAAUGUCCGCGUCAAAAAAGGUGCGCCACAUCGUUCAAUUUUGUAUCCUUUUCCUCUUCCCCUUUCUCUCUCUUGCUACAGGGACCGGGAAAGGGGAUACUCCGAAAGGGAUCCUUCCCCGCGAAGGAAGCGGGCCCCGAGCCAUCCUACUGAUCAGAGGUUCGAAGGCUGGCCCCUCGGAAGGGUUCGACAGCCGCCUCAGAGCACUCGGGCUCCGCUCCCACUACUGAUCAGGGGUUCGAAGGCUGGCCCCCCGAAGGGUUCGACAGCCGCCUCAGAACACGUAGAGCGAGGGAUAACUCUGGGUACGUCCGAUACAUGGCCGAGGCUCGGGCUACGCUCCCAAGGUACCCUAGGACAUUUCCGAGACCAGCAGGAGCGAUUCUGUAACGGAAUCCCAUCAGAGGGAGGCAUCAAGCCCUCGGACCCUAUCAAACGGGACCGGGUCCGGCAAAUCACCCGCAGGUACUUUUGGAGCGCGCCUCUGGGCCACUAGCCGACCCUUAUCGAACGGGGCACGGGCGUCCACUCGGAUCACCCGUUAGCAACUCACUGGAGACACCAUGUUCGGCGCCCUCCGAGGGCAAUAUGGCGCUUUCCCCCUCCUCCUUGUGGAAAGGCGACGAAGGGGCGUAUGAUAAAAGCCGAGUCAGUCCUUGACCAUCCUCUCGCUCUGUGUAGAGGCUCGGGGGCUGCUCUCGCAAACCCGGCUCCAGCCAAACCGUUGAUGGCGUCAACAUACCAGCCCGAGAACUCGGAACCUGACCAUGCACCUGGGCUAUGAUCAGAUUGCAUGAGGGGACAACCAGACCGGCCGAGGUGUCACGAAAGGCGCUAAGACCUCGGAGGAGUCAGACCACUCCUCCGAGGCCUCGGGGGCUACACUCGGCGGAUGCGCUCGCGCGCACCCACCGGAACAGAAUGUAACCGAGAAAGGUCGGUCCCCUUGCAAAAAAGUGCGAUAAAGCCUCCAAGCGAGUACCAACACUCCCUUUGAGGCUCGGGGGCUACUAUCGGGGACCAUAAUUAGGGGUACCCCCAAGACUCCUAAACUCGGCUGGUAAUCACCAUCAGCACAAGCUGCAAAGGCCUGAUGGACGCGAUUCAGGUAAGGCUCCGUCCACGCAAGGGACACGAUCUCGCUUCGUCCGAGCCCAGCCUCGGGUAGGAACAGUAGACCCAGGCGGAUUCACGCCUCGCCCGAGGGCCUCCUCAAGCAAUGGGCGCACCUCCGACUCGUCCGAGGCCCAGCUCGGGCAGGCUUCGCAGUGAAGCAACCUUGGCCGGAUCGCCACGCCAACCGACCAUAUCGCAGGAGCAUUCAAUGCAAGGAUCACCUGACACCUUAUCCUGACGCGCGUUCCUCAGUCGACAGGGCCAAAGUGAUCGCAGUCAUUUCGUCCCUCCACUGACUGACCUGACAGAAAAACAGCACCGCCUGCCCUGCUCCGACUGCUGUGCCACCCGCCAGGGUGAGGCUGACAGCAGCCAAGUCCAGCCUCAGGCGCCAUAGGAAGCUCUGCCUCGCCCGACCCCAGGGCUCGGCCCCCGCCUCGGCCUCGGAAGACGGUAUCCGCCUCGCCCGACCCCAGGGCUCGGACUCAACCUCGACCCCGGAAGACGGUCUCCGCCUCGCCCGACCCCAGGGCUCGGACUCAGCCUCGACCUCAGAGGAGUCACCGCCUCGCCCGACCUUAGGCUCGGACCGACCACGCUACAAGGGGAUACAUCAUUACCCUACCCCUAGCUAGCUCAGGCUACGGGGAACAAGACCGGCGUCCCAUCUGGCUCGCCCCGGUAAACAAGUAAUGCUGGUACCCCGCGUGCUCCCAUGACGACGGCGGUUCUCAGCCCCCUACAGAAGCAAGGAGACGUCAGCAAGGAUCCGACAGCCCCGACAGCUGUGCUUCUAUAGGGCUCAAGCGCUCCUCCGACGGCCACGACAUCACAUGAACAGGGCACUAACACCUCUCCGAUAGCCACGUCGGCAUGUACAUAGGGCUCUGGCUCCUCUCUGCUAGACACGUUAGCACAUUGCUACACUCCCCAUUGUACACCUGGACCCUCUCCUUACAUCUAUAAAAGGAAGGUCCAGGGCCCUCGUAUGAGAAGGUGGCCGCGCGGGAGGACGGGCUGACGGACAGUCUCUCUCUCUCCCUCGCGAACGCUUGUAACCCCCUACUGCAAGCGCAUCUGCCCUGGGCGCAGGAUAACACGAGCUGCGGUUUUCCCCCUUGUGUUCCAUCUCGCGCCGACCCAUCUGGGCUGGGACACGCAGCGAUAAUUUACUCGUCGGUCCAGGGACCCCCCGGGGUCGAAACGCCGACAGUGGUAGAUUGACUUUAAUGAAUAGCUGUUUGAAAAAUGUCCCUCUUUACAUGUUAUCCAUUUAUCCUGCUCCUAAGUUUGUGGUUAGGAAAAUGGACAUUUAUAGGAAAAGGCUUCUGUGGCAAGGAGGACAUAAUUCAAGGAAAAUACACUUAGCUAAUUGGGCCACAUUUUGCUCUCCAAAAAAUUAGGUGGGUCUGGGUGCUCUAAACCUUGAAAAUAUGAAUGAUGCUUUGAUGACCAAAUGGUUGUGGAAUAUAGAAAACUUAAAUGGCUUGUGGCAAAAAUUUAUUAAUGAAAAUACAUUAAGGGAAAACCCUUUAUUUCUGUUAAAAAAGACAUAGUAAUUCUCAUUUUUGGAAAAAAGUGUUGGACGAGAGAUGUGUUUUAUAAGCACUGUAGGAUGAUUGUUGGCAAUGGUAGGAAAAUCAGUUUCAGUUUCUGGAAAAACACUUGGACUGGUGAUUCUCCUUUGGCUGCCAGGUUCCCUUGUUUAUUUGAUCUGACGCAUGAUAAAUAUAUUUCAGUCAAUAAAGUCUUGUCUUCAAAUUUUUUGGCCCUCUCCUUUAGGAGAAGGAUCAUGGACAGUUUAAACUUGAUGUAUGAUGAACUGAUUGACUGUUGCAGCAGUCAACAAGUGACUGGCCAGGAAGACAAGAUAGUUUGGACCCUUGGUAAAAAUGGUUUUUCUGUAAACUCCCUUUAUAAAAGAAAAAUAUGCCAUCUGGCAUAUGUGCCUUAUCAGUUUUUGUGGAAAACCAAAUUACCUUAUAAAAUUAAGGUAUUUCUUUGGUUGGUUGUGAGAAACAAAAUUCUCACAAAAGAUAAUCUGAAAAAAAGAAACUGGCAUGGAUUAAGUGAUUGCUGCUUCUGUGGUCACAAUGAAUCGAUUGAGCACUUAUUUUUUUUGACUGUCUUGUUGCUAGAUAUGUGUGGAGGGUAAUUUAGGUUGCUUUAUGUUUGGACUUCAUUCCAAAAAAUAUUAAGGAACUUUCCGGCAUUUGGAUGAAAGGUCCUAAGAAUAAGAUCACUAAUAUGUUCUUGUUUGGGUGCGGUGAUGUUUUAUGGGCUAUUUGGAGAACCAGAAAUGAUUGGUGCUUUGGUGAUAAAUCUUUGUUUGAUCACUCUAACGUCAUAUUUUUUGCUGCUUCUAGCUAGAUUCCUAGGCUAUUCGACAGAAAGAGAAGGAAAAAAUGGUGGUACAAGGAAGCAAGCUCAUCAGAAGGACGACAAGUGAAGUUUUGUGACGUGCCUAUGGUUGAAGACCUAGAAAUCGUCUUAUUACUGGGUAGUGGGUUCCAAAGCUUUUGGCUAUAUUUGCUUGUCUUGCAUCUACCUGUAGGUUGUUAAUGUUGAACUUCUGUGUGUUUGCGUUGCCUAUUGCAUUUGAUGUAAUAAGCAAAGCUUAUGGAUGUUAUCAGGGCUUGUGUCUCGCUACGGUAGAUCUCUUUUCUAUCAAUUUAGCUAGGUAUUAUAGAGGUUUUUUAGUGUUGUGCUUGUGCUAGUCAAAGUAGGCCUGGCUGCUUUUAGUAGCGUUCCUUGUAAUGUACUUGUUUCUAUUUCUUAAUGAAAUAGGGAGCUCUGCUCCGUGGAAAAUAAAAACUAAUUAUCAUGUAAAUUUGUGGACCUUACGCGCCCAGUAAAUUUGUGGACCUUACGCGCCCAGGGAAACUUGCACGAAAUUGUACAUUCAUGAAACUAACCUGUCAAGCCUUGACUCCUGUGCAUGGCACACUGAGGUCUCCUUUUGUAUAUAAGGUACCCAAGUCCGGACUCCGGAGGACACUGCACUGCUCACCGGUCACCACAAGCAGCGAAGAAUCGCCCGACCCAAAACCUUAUUGCCUUGCUGGCUGCAAUGGUCACCAGCCCUCUCCGGCUACUCCCCGUGCUCUUGUCGCUCUGUAUAAUCUCCAUCAUCCACCUGUGUCCUGGCGUCGUCUCCACUUCGCCCCUCUCCUUCGACGUGCAGUUCAUACCGUGGGGCUACGACCCACAGGAAGUCGGCUUCCAUCAGAUCAUCGCCCCAAGAAACCUCAGUAGCAGAAUCCAUGCGAGCCGUCCGUACACGGCCCACCAGAAGAGUCAAGUGCUCCCUCGCAAGAAGCGGAAGAAGUUCGUGCCUGACAGGUGCGACUGCUCAAAGCAGAUCGACGGGGUGAUGUACAUGCGCCCGGCGCCGCUCCGGGACGAGGCCACCGGCGACGUCGCAAGCUUCAAGAUGACCUUGUGUUACAGAAUCAACCCUCGUCAAGCAGAUGAUGGUACCGAAUUCAACCACGGUGGCCGCAACAUUGGUCUGUUCCUGUUCCUCGUACCUUACCCCUGGAAUUCCAAUGAUGAGAGGAUAGAGGUUGGGCUCCACAGCAAGUGCAUAGAGGCGAAGAUGAAGCAGUACAGCAGCAUCGGCGGUGACGCAGUAGUGUGUGCCCAUGUCCACUACGACAGCGCCAAGGAGCUGCUGAUCACCAACGUCCUCGUGGACGACCAUUCCUGCACCUGCGGAAGGAAACUCAACCGGAGCAGCAUGCCCAGGGAGGCGGCCGUCGGUUUUGCCUCGAUCAACGCCGGCGACCCGAUUGAGCUGCGAAACAUUAUUACCUGGGCGUUCCAUUCCAAGCUGGAGUCCAAGGAUCCCCCGCUGAUGACGACGCAGCCUGCUCAAGUGGAAACCCCAACCGGCGGUGAGGAGAGCUCCUGGCCGAUAGACAGGGGGCAGCAGCGAUUCCGUGUGGAUCCUUGGACUAGGAACGCUGAAUUGAAUCUACAGUACCAGCGGAACUGGCAACGGAAUUGGCAGCUCACAUGUAGUCUCAGCAUCUCUGUAGGCUAUGGAAACACAAAUGGUGACAUGGAUUAGAAUUCAAGCUACCAAUUCUACCUGCAGGCUAGGGGGUAUAUGAAACCUAAUGAAAAAUUGAAGUAAUAUGAAAAAGAAAACUUAGAUGCAGGUGGUUUUUUUACAAUUUUCUCGGUAAUAUCGUGAUAUGAAAUGGCUAUUAUUAUAUUACUUGUGCUAUUGUAUGUUUAUAUUUGGAAUUCAGGCUCCGGCCUCCCCAUCCUUUCACUGGUCUCUACUACUACUUAAGACGUUAGUGUAUAGAUGGCCAAUAAGCAGGAGGCCCGCGAGUCUGGCACGAAGCCCGCUGUUUGGGCCCGGUCCGAGUCUGGCACAGCCCGGUUCGAGCCCGGCACGGCCCAGUUCUAUGUGGGCCCGGGCCGGCCCGGCACGAAUAAGCGGGCCGGGCUCGGACAACAAACUAGGCACGGUGGGCUAGCCCGGCACGACCCGUUUACCUCUAAGCACGACCCGCUUUUUGCACUAAAACAUGCUUUUCGACCCGCUUUCGACCCGCUUUUUUCGUGCUAAACUGCGGGCCGGGCUCGGACAAAGAAUCGAGCCCGCGGGCUUAGAAGGCUGAUAGUCGCCUAGAGGGGGGGUGAAUAGGGCGAAACUGAAAUUUACAAAUAUAAACACAACUACAAGCCGGGUUAGCGUUAGAAAUAUAAACGAGUCCGCAAGAGAGGGCGCAAAACAAAUCGCGAGCAAAUGAUGAAGUGUGACACACGGAUUUGUUUUACCGAGGUUCGGUUCUCUCAAACCUACUCCCCGUUGAGGAGGCCACAAAGGCCGGGUCUCUUUCAACCCUUCCCUCUCUCAAACGGUCCCUCGGACCGAGUGAGCUUCUCUUCUCAAAUCAAAGCUGGGAACAAAACUUCCCCGCAAGGGCCACCACACAAUUGGUGCCUCUUGCCUUGAUUACAAUGGAGUUGUGAUCUCAAGAACAAGUGAGAAAGAAAAGAAGCAAUCCAAGCGCAAGAGCUCAAAUGAACACGGCAAAUCACUCUCACUAGUCACUAGGGCUUUGUGUGGAAUUGGAGAGGAUUUGAUCUCUUUAGUGUGUCAAGAAUUGAAUGCUAGAGCUCUUGUAGUAGUUGAGAAGUGGAAAAACUUGGAUGCAAUGAAUGGUGGGGUGGUUGGGGUAUUUAUAGCCCCAACCACCAAACUUGACCGUUGGCUGGAGGUGUCUGCUCGAUGGCGUACCGGACAGUCCGGUGCACACCGGACAGUCCGGUGCCCCUGCCACGUCAUCACUGCCGUUGGAUUCUGACCGUUGGAGCUUCUGACUUGUGGGCCCGCCUGGGUGUCCGGUGCACACCGGACAUGUACUGUUUGAUGUCCGGUGCACCGGUAUGGGCGUGCCUGCCGUCUGCGCGCGCUGCGCGCGCAUUAAAUGCAGCGCAGGGAGCCGUUGGCGCCGCAGGGAGCCGUUGCUCCGCUGGCACACCGGACAGUCCGGUGCACACCGGACAGUCCGGUGAAUUAUAGCGGAGCGGCUGCCACGCGAACCCGAGGCUGGCGAGUUCCGGAGACCGCGCUUCCUUGGAGCACCGGACAUGUCCGGUGCACACCGGACAGUCCGGUGAAUUAUAGCGCGCCGUCUUCCGAGAAUUCCCGAGAGUGAAGAGUUGGAGUCUGAGUCCCCUGGUGCACCGGACAGGUACUGUUCACUGUCCGGUGGCACACCGGACAGUCCGGUGCGCCAGACCAGGGGUGCCCUCGGUUGCCCCUUUGCUCCUUGAUUGAAUCCAACACUUGGUCUUUUUAUUGGCUGAGUGUGAACCUUUUACACCUGUAUAAUCUAUACACUUGGGCAAACUAGUUAGUCCAAAGAUUUGUGUUGGGCAAUUCAAUCACCAAAAUUAUUUAGGAACUAGGUGUAAGCCUAUUUCCCUUUCAAUCUCCCCCUUUUUGGUGAUUGAUGCCAACACAAACCAAAGCAAACAGAGAUGUGCAUAAUUGAACUAGUUUGCAUAAUGUAAGUGUAAAGAUUGCUUGAAAUUGAGCCAAUAUAACUACUUACAAGAUAUGCAUGGAAUGUUUCUUUCUUAUUUAGUAUUUUGGACCACUCUUGCACCACAUGUUUUGUUUUUGCAAAAUUUUUGGAAAUUCAUUUCAAAGAUCUUUUGCAAAUAGUCAAAGGUGAAUGAAUAAGAGUUUGCAAAGCAUUUUCAGGAUUUGAAAUUUUCUCCCCCUGUUUCAAAUGCUUUUCCUUUGACUAAACAAAACUCCCCCUAAAAGAGAUCCACCUCUUAGUGUUCAAGAGGGUUUUGAUAUAUCAUUUUUGAAAUACUACUUUCUCCCCCUUUUGAACACAAUAGGAUACCAAAUGAUAAAUACUUUUGGAAAGCAAUAAGUUUUUUUUUUUGAAUUUGGUGGUGGUGGUGCGGUCCUUUUGCUUUGGGCUCAUUUCUCCCCCUUUUUGGCAUGAAUCACCAAAAACGGAAUCAUUAGAGCCCUCGAAGUAAUUUCUUCCCCUUUGGUCAUAAGUAAAUGAGUUAAGAUUAUACCAAAGACGAAGUCCGGUCCUUUUGCUUUUGAGCUUUUACUCUCUCCCCCAGGGAUGAAGUCCUUUUCUUUGAUGCUCAUUUUUCCCCCCAAAGAAUAGAGAGUUGCUCGGAGUGACGGCGAAGUAUGAGUUACGGAGUGGAAGCCCUUUUUUUCUUUGCCGAAGACUCCAAUUCCCUUUCAAUAUACCUAUGACUUGGUUUGAAAUAGACUUGAAAACACAUUAGUCAUAGCAUAUAAAAGAGAUAUGAUUAAAGGUAUUCAAAUGAGCUAUGUGCGCAAGCUAGCAAAAGAAAUUUCUAGAAUCAAGAAUAUUGAGCUCAUGCCUAAGUCUGGUAAAAGAUUGUUCAUCAAGUGGCUUGGUAAAGAUAUCGGCUAAUUGAUCUUUAGUGUUAAUGUAAGAAAUCUCGAUAUCUCCCUUUUGUUGGUGAUCCCUAAGAAAAUGAUACCGAAUGGCUAUGUGCUUAGUGCGGCUAUGCUCGACGGGAUUGUCGGCCAUUUUAAUUGCACUCUCAUUAUCACAUAGCAAAGGGACUUUGGUUAAUUUGUAACCGUAGUCCCGCAGGGUUUGCCUCAUCCAAAGCAAUUGCGCGCAACAAUGUCCUGCGGCAAUGUACUCGGCUUCGGCGGUGGAAAGAGCGACCGAAUUUUGCUUCUUUGAAGCCCAAGACACCAAGGAUCUUCCCAAGAAUUGGCAAGUCCCCGAUGUGCUCUUCCUAUUGAUUUUGCACCCCGCCCAAUCGGCAUCCGAAUAACCAAUCAAAUCAAAUGUGGAUCCCCGAGGGUACCAAAGCCCAAACUUAGGUGUGUAAGCCAAAUAUCUCAAGAUUCGUUUUACGGCCGUAAGGUGGGAUUCCUUAGGGUCGGAUUGGAACCUUGCACACAUGCAAACGGAGAGCAUAAUGUCCGGUCGAGAUGCACAUAAAUAAAGCAAUGAACCAAUCAUCGACCGGUAUACCUUUUGAUCCACGGACUUACCUCCCGUGUCGAGGUCGAGAUGCCCAUUGGUUCCCAUGGGAGUCUUGAUGGGCUUGGCAUCCUUCAUUCCAAACUUGGUUAGGAUGUCUUGAGUGUACUUCGUUUGGCAAAUGAAGGUGCCCUCUUGGAGUUGCUUGACUUGGAAUCCUAGAAAAUACUUCAACUCCCCCAUCAUCGACAUCUCGAAUUUCUGUGUCAUGAUCCUACUAAACUCUUCACAUGUAGACUCGUUAGUAGACCCAAAUAUAAUAUCAUCAACAUAGAUUUGGCAUACAAACAAGUCAUUUUCAAGAGUUUUAGUAAAGAGUGUAGGAUCGGCCUUGCCGACUUUGAAGCCAUUAGUAAUAAGGAAAUCUCUUAGGCAUUCAUACCAUGCUCUUGGGGCUUGCUUGAGCCCAUAAAGCGCCUUAGAGAGCCUAUAUACAUGGUUAGGGUACUCACUGUCUUCAAAGCCGGGAGGUUGCUCAACAUAGACCUCUUCUUUGAUUGGUCCGUUGAGGAAGGCACUUUUCACGUCCAUUUGAUAGAGCUUAAAGCCAUGGUAAGUAGCAUAGGCCAAUAAUAUGCGAAUUGACUCAAGCCUAGCUACGGGUGCAUAGGUUUCACCGAAAUCCAAACCUUCGACUUGGGAGUAUCCCUUGGCCACAAGUCGUGCUUUGUUCCUUGUCACCACACCAUGCUCAUCUUGCUUGUUGCGGAAGACCCAUUUGGUUCCUACAACAUUUUGGUUAGGACGUGGAACCAAAUGCCAUACCUCAUUCCUUGUGAAGUUGUUGAGCUCUUCUUGCAUCGCCACCACCCAAUCCGAAUCUUGAAGUGCUUCCUCUAUCCUGUGUGGCUCAAUAGAGGAAACAAAAGAGUAAUGUUCACAAAAAUGUGCAACACGAGAUCGAGUGGUUACCCCCUUAUGAAUGUCGCCGAGGAUGGUGUCGACGGGGUGAUCUCGUUGGAUUGCUUGGUGGACUCUUGGGUGUGGCGGCCUUGGUUCCUCCUCAUUCUCCUUUUCUUGAUCAAUUACAUCUCCCCCUUGAUCAUUGCCAUUAUCUUGAGGUGGCUCAUCUUCUUGAUUUUGCCCUUCAUCAACUUGAGCUUCAUCCUCAUUUUGAGUUGGUGGAGAUGCUUGCAUGGAGGAGGACGGUUGAUCUUGUGCAUUUGGAGGCUCUUCGAAUUCCUUAGGACACACAUCCCCAAUGGACAUGUUCCUUAGCGCUAUGCAUGGAGCCUGUUCUUCACCUAUCUCAUCAAGAUCAACUUGCUCUACUUGAGAGCCGUUAGUUUCAUCAAACACAACGUCACAUGAGACUUCAACUAGUCCAGUGGACUUGUUAAAGACUCUAUAUGCCCUUGCGUUUGAGUCAUACCCAAGUAAAAAGCCUUCUACAGUUUUAGGAGCAAAUUUAGAUUUUCUACCUCUUUUAACAAGAAUAAAGCAUUUGCUACCAAAAACUCUAAAGUAUGAAAUGUUGGGCUUUUUACCGGUUAGGAGUUCAUAUGAUGUCUUCUUGAGGAUUCGGUGAAGAUAUAACCGGUUGAUGGCGUAGCAGGCGGUGUUGACCGCUUCGGCCCAAAACCGGUCCGGUGUCUUGUACUCAUCAAGCAUGGUUCUUGCCAUGUCCAAAAGAGUUCGAUUCUUCCUCUCCACUACACCAUUUUGUUGAGGCGUGUAGGGAGAAGAGAACUCAUGCUUGAUGCCCUCCUCCUCAAGGAAGCUUUCAAUUUGAGAGUUCUUGAACUCCGUCCCGUUGUCGCUUCUUAUUUUCUUGAUCCUUAAGCCGAACUCAUUUUGAGCCCGUCUCAAGAACCCCUUUAAGGUCUCUUGGGUUUGGGAUUUUUCCUGUAAAAAGAAUACCCAAGUGAAGCGAGAAUAAUCAUCCACUAUUACAAGACAAUACUUACUCCCGCCGAUGCUUAUGUAAGCAAUCGGGCCGAAUAGAUCCAUGUGGAGUAGCUCAAGCGGCCUGUCGGUCGUCAUGAUGUUCUUGUGUGGAUGAUGGACUCCAACUUGCUUCCCUGCCUGGCAUGCGCUACAAAUCCUGUCUUUCUCAAAAUGAACAUUUGUUAAUCCUAAAAUGUGCUCUCCCUUUAGAAGCUUAUGAAGAUUCUUCAUCCCAACAUGGGCUAGUCGGCGGUGCCAGAGCCAACCCAUGUUAGUCUUAGCAAUUAAGCAUGUGUCAAGUUCAGCUCUAUCAAAAUCCACUAAGUAUAGCUGACCCUCUAACACACCCUUAAAUGCUAUUGAAUCAUCACUUCUUCUAAAGACAGUGACACCUGUAUCAGUAAAAAGACAGUUGUAGCCCAUUUGACAUAAUUGGGAAACAGAAAGCAAGUUGUAGUCUAAGGAGUCAACAAGAAAAACAUUGGAAAUAGAAUGGUCAGGAGAUAUAGCAAUUUUACCAAGUCCUUUGACCAAACCUUGAUUUCCAUCCCCGAAUGUGAUAGCUCGUUGGGGAUCUUGGUUUUUCUCAUAUGAGGAGAACAUCCUUUUCUCCCCGGUCAUGUGGUUUGUGCACCCGCUGUCGAGUAUCCAGCUUGAGCCCCCGGAUGCAUAAACCUACAAAACAAUUUUAGUUCUUGACUUUAGGUACCCAAAUGGUUUUGGGUCCUUUGGCAUUAGACACAAGAACUUUGGGUACCCAAACACAAGUCCUUGACCCCUUGUGCUUGCCCCCAACAUAUUUGGCAACUACUUUGCCGGAUUUGUUAGUCAACACAUAAGAAGCAUCAAAAGUUUUAAAUGAAAUAGCAUGAUCAUUUGAUGCAUUAGGAGUUUUCUUUCUAGGCAACUUGGCACGGGUUGGUUGCCUAGAGCUAGAUGUCUCACCCUUAUACAUAAAAGCAUGAUUAGGGCCAGAGUGAGACUUCCUAGAAUGAAUUCUCCUAAUUUUGUCCUCGGGAUAACCGGCAGGGUAUAAAAUGUAACCCUCGUUAUCCUGAGGCAUGGGAGCCUUGCCCUUAACAAAAUUUGACAAUCUUUUAGCAGGGGCACUAAUUUUGACAUUGUCUCCCCUUUGGAAGCCAAUGCCAUCCUUAAUGCCAGGGCGUCUCCCAUUAUAAAGCAUGCUACGAGCAAAUUUAAAUUUCUCAUUUUCUAAGUUGUGCUCGGUAAUUUUAGCAUCUAAUUUAGCUAUAUGAUCAUUUUGUUGCUUAAUUAAAAUCAUGUGAUCAUGAAUAGCAUCAAUAUCAACAUUUCUACAUCUAGUACAAAUAGUGACAUGUUCAAUGGUAGAUGUAGAUGGUUUGCAAGAAUUAAGUUCAACAAUCUUAGCACGAAGUAUAUCAUUCUUAUCUCUAAGAUCGGCAAUUGUAACUUUGCAAACAUCAAAAUCUUUGGCCUUAGCAAUCAAAUUUUCAUUCUCUAAUCUAAGGCUAGCAAGAGAAAUGUUUAAUUCUUCAAUCCUAGCAAGCAAAUCAACAUUAUCAUCUCUAGGAUUUGAAGUUGAAACAUUGCAAACAUGUGAAUCAACCUUAGCAUUUAAGAUAGCAUUUUCAUUUCUAAGGUUGUCAAUCAUCUCACGACAAGUGCUUAGCUCACUAGAUAAUUUUUCACAUUUCUCAAUUUCCAGAGCAUAAGCCUUUUUAACCUUAACAUGUUUUUUGUUUUCUUUAAUUAGACAAUCCUCUUGGGAAUCCAAAAGGUCAUCCUUUUCAUGAAUAGCACUAACCAAUUCAUUCAAUUUUUCCUUUUGAGCUAUGUUAAGGUUGGCAAAAAGGGAACGCAAAUUAUUUUCCUCAUCACUAGCAUUGUCAUCACUAGAGGAUUCAUAUUUAGUGGAGGAUUUAGAUUUAACCUUCUUUUUGCCGUCCUUUGCCAUGAGGCACUUGUGGCCGACGUUGGGGAAGAGGAGUCCCUUGGUGACGGCGAUGUUGGCGGCGUCCUCGUCGUCGGAGGAGUCGCUUGAGCUCUCAUCGGAAUCCCAUUCCCGACAAACAUGGGCAUCGCCGCCCUUCUUCUUGUAGUACCUCUUCUUCUCCUUUCUUCUCCCCUUCUUGUCGUCGCCUCGGUCACUGUCACUAGAUAUAGGACAUUUAGCAAUAAAAUGACCGGGCUUACCACAUUUGUAGCAAACCUUCUUGGAGCGGGACUUGUAGUCUUUCCCCCUCCUUUGUUUGAGGAUUUGGCGGAAGCUCUUGAUGACGAGCGCCAUUUCCUCAUUGUCGAGCUUGGAGGCGUCGAUUGGUUGUCUACUUGGUGUAGACUCCUCCUUCUUGUCCUCCGUUGCCUUGAAGGCUACCGGUUGCGCCUCGGAUGUGGAUGGUUCGUCAAGCUCGUUGAUUUUCUUGGAGCCUUUGAUCAUGCAUUCAAAGCUCACAAAAUUCCCGAUAACUUCCUCGGGGGUCAUUUUAGUGUAUCUAGGAUUACCACGAAUCAAUUGAACUUGAGUGGGGUUAAGGAAAAUGAGAGAUCUUAGAAUAACCUUAACCACCUCGUGGUCGUCCCACUUUAUGCUCCCGAGGUUGCGCACUUGGUUCACCAAGGUUUUGAGCCGGUUGUACAUGUCUUGUGGCUCUUCCCCUUGGCGAAGACGAAAACGACCGAGCUCCCCCUCGAUCGUUUCCCGCUUGGUGAUCUUGGUGAGUUCAUCACCCUCGUGUGCCGUCUUGAGUAGGUCCCAAAUCUCCUUUGCAUUUUUCAACCCUUGCACUUUGUUGUAUUCCUCCUUGCUUAGAGAGGCAAGGAGUAUGGUUGUGGCUUGGGAGUUGAAGUGCUCGAUUUGGGCCACCUCAUCCUCAUCAUAGUUUUCAUCCCCUACGGAUGGUACCUGCGCGCCAAACUCAACAACAUCCCAUAUGCUUUUGUGGAGCGAGGUUAGAUGAAAUCGCAUUAAAUCGCUCCACCUAGCGUAAUCUUCACCAUCAAAAGUUGGUGGUUUGCCUAAUGGGACGGAAAGUAAAGGUGUAUGUUUGGAAAUGCGAGGGUAGCGUAGGGGGAUCUUACUAUACUUCUUGCGCUCUUGGCGCUUAGAAGUGACGGAGGGCGCAUCGGAGUCGGAGGUAGAAGUUGAUGAAGUGUCGGUCUCGUAGUAGACCACCUUCCUCAUCCUCUUAUGCUUGUCGCCUUUCCGAUGCGGCUUGUGGGAAGAAGAUUUUUCCUUCUUCUCUUGGUGGUGAGAAGAGGAAGCCUUUUUCUCCUUCCGUUUGGAGGAAUCCUUUUUCUUCUCCUUUCUCUUGGUGCGGGACUCUUCCGAUGAAGUGCUCCCGUGGCUUGUAGUGGGCUUUUCGCCGGUCUCCAUCUCCUUCUUGGCGUGAUCUCCCGACAUCACUUCGAGCGGUUAGGCUCUAAUGAAGCACCGGGCUCCGAUACCAAUUGAUAGUCGCCUAGAGGGGGGGUGAAUAGGGCGAAACUGAAAUUUACAAAUAUAAACACAACUACAAGCCGGGUUAGCGUUAGAAAUAUAAACGAGUCCGCAAGAGAGGGCGCAAAACAAAUCGCGAGCAAAUGAUGAAGUGUGACACACGGAUUUGUUUUACCGAGGUUCGGUUCUCUCAAACCUACUCCCCGUUGAGGAGGCCACAAAGGCCGGGUCUCUUUCAACCCUUCCCUCUCUCAAACGGUCCCUCGGACCGAGUGAGCUUCUCUUCUCAAAUCAAAGCCGGCAACAAAACUUCCCCGCAAGGGCCACCACACAAUUGGUGCCUCUUGCCUUGAUUACAAUGGAGUUGUGAUCUCAAGAACAAGUGAGAAAGAAAAGAAGCAAUCCAAGCGCAAGAGCUCAAAUGAACACGGCAAAUCACUCUCACUAGUCACUAGGGCUUUGUGUGGAAUUGGAGAGGAUUUGAUCUCUUUAGUGUGUCAAGAAUUGAAUGCUAGAGCUCUUGUAGUAGUUGAGAAGUGGAAAAACUUGGAUGCAAUGAAUGGUGGGGUGGUUGGGGUAUUUAUAGCCCCAACCACCAAACUUGACCGUUGGCUGGAGGUGUCUGCUCGAUGGCGCACCGGACAGUCCGGUGCACACCGGACAGUCCGGUGCCCCUGCCACGUCAUCACUGCCGUUGGAUUCUGACCGUUGGAGCUUCUGACUUGUGGGCCCGCCUGGGUGUCCGGUGCACACCGGACAUGUACUGUUUGAUGUCCGGUGCACCGGUAUGGGCGUGCCUGCCGUCUGCGCGCGCUGCGCGCGCAUUAAAUGCAGCGCAGGGAGCCGUUGGCGCCGCAGGGAGCCGUUGCUCCGCUGGCACACCGGACAGUCCGGUGCACACCGGACAGUCCGGUGAAUUAUAGCGGAGCGGCUGCCACGCGAACCCGAGGCUGGCGAGUUCCGGAGACCGCGCUUCCUUGGAGCACCGGACAUGUCCGGUGCACACCGGACAGUCCGGUGAAUUAUAGCGCGCCGUCUUCCGAGAAUUCCCGAGAGUGAAGAGUUGGAGUCUGAGUCCCCUGGUGCACCGGACAGGUACUGUUCACUGUCCGGUGGCACACCGGACAGUCCGGUGCGCCAGACCAGGGGUGCCCUCGGUUGCCCCUUUGCUCCUUGAUUGAAUCCAACACUUGGUCUUUUUAUUGGCUGAGUGUGAACCUUUUACACCUGUAUAAUCUAUACACUUGGGCAAACUAGUUAGUCCAAAGAUUUGUGUUGGGCAAUUCAAUCACCAAAAUUAUUUAGGAACUAGGUGUAAGCCUAUUUCCCUUUCAAAGGCCCGGCCCGGUUUCCUAACCGUGCCUGGCGGGCCGUGCCCAAAACGGGGCGUGCUUCACUGGGCCCGGGCCGGGCCGGGCGGCCCGUUUGGCCAUCUCUCCGUUAGUGUAGGCGUCCACAUUUUUUUGGUGCACGGUUCUGCCAUCUGCCGUCGCCCACUCUCCUCUCUCGUGCCCCCGCUCUCUGCUGUUCGCCGCCAGACCCGCAAUCUGCGCGCUGUCUCGCCAACAGACCCGCCCCGCCCCCGCUGUCCUCUCUCGCGCCCCCGCUCUCUCGCCCCGGCUACACCACGCCCCCGCUCCAUCCCUGCAGCGCGUCUGUGGCCCUCCGCCCUCGCCCCCCCUCCCCACAAAUCUCGCCUCCUCACCCAACGCCAUCAGCGCUGCCCUCCGCUCCAUCCCUGCAGCGCAGACCUCCACCACCGUCACCACCCUUCCUCACCGCGCAAUCACCACCCUUCCCCACGUGCCUCGGCCGCCAUCUGCGGCAUCACCUUCCUUCCCCAUGCGCCGAGGUCGCCAUCUGCGCCAUCACCUUCCUUCCCCACGCGCGCGCCCCCUCCUCCGUGCGUGCCCCGCCCCCGUCCUUCGCUCACCCGAUGCCCCACCACCUCCGCCGCGAUAGCCUCCCCCAGAAGUGCCCCCGUGAUGUUUGCCCCGCUGCGAACCCCUCCCCCUAGAUGGAAUAAGCAGAGGUCCAAUGCGGAUCCGUGGCCCCCGACCCUCCACCUUGGUGUGCCGGUCGCGGCUCCGUGGAGGCAACUUGCUCCCUCGCUCCCACCUCCCACGCCGCCACCACUGCCGCCUUCAGCACGCCGCUCAGCCCAAGCCCGCCCGCCUCCAAAUGUGGAUCUGCCGCCCCGGCCCUCCACCUUGGUGUGCCGGUCGCGCCUCCGUGUAGGUGGAUUGCUCGAUGAGGCGCUAGACUCCAACGACAUCGGGUGGGACGAGGCAAACCCAAGCGAGUAUUAUCCCAGGUGCUUUAAAAACUACUUUUGUCUUUUCAUAGCCUUAUCUGAUUCUGCUUCCAUUUCCUGCUAUGUUUCGAUGGAGGCAGAAGUAAAGACGAUAGUACCCGAUGACGUCCUGGGCAAGGCCGAGGCAAGGUGUUCCAUUACUCCGUCGUGUUUUAUUUCAUUUGUACUACUGCCGUCUCCUAUGGUUUAAUUUCAACAGUACAAACGGAGCUCAUCCUGUCUCUUUGGUUGAAGCUUUCCCAAAUAUGAGAUUUUUAAAGGUCGUUAUGAUAUCAAAUUAUUAAUAAUGGAUCUCCCAGGCUUGGUAAAUUAGUAGUUCUAAGGUAUUACCACUACUAUUUUUGGUACAUCUCGAUCCUGUCUCUUGUGCAUUAUCCAUCCAGAUAGGUGAGUUUGUCUAUGUCAAUAGAAUCAUUUGCUGAAAUGAGGACACACUAUUUAUCUAUCAAGACACUUUGUAAUAAAGGUGUCGGAGAGGGAAUUCUCCGGCUGGGUGGUGGAGUGCACCCGCCCUAAAUCCUAAGAUGAGGAAGGGGCUUAAGUGUUUUGCCUGUCCUGCUAAGCAAUCGUUGAGCACAUGAACACGCGAGGAUUUAGAGUGGUUCAGGCCGCCGGAGCGUAAUAUCCUACUCCACUGUGUUUUGGAUUGCUGUCAAAGCUUGAGAGCUGAGAGUUUGAGUUUUGUCUAAGAGAGUCUGCCCUGUGAGAGCUUGUGUUGUAACGUUGCAUACCUCUCCUUUUAUAGCUAAGGGGGGUAUGAACAAGGGUACUGAGCCCCGACAUGUGGGCUCAGGAACAUAACGAAUGUAGUACUUGGAGCUACUAAUGUUUGCUGCUGGGGCAGUCUUCUCGCGCCCUGACAUCCGAGAUCUGCGUAGCAUAGGCGGGCAGGGAAACUUCCUGUAUAAGGGAUGAUGAGCACAGUGCACCGCGCAGCACGGGCGCACUGUUUGACAAUGGAUAGGACAGGAGUGCGCCGUCUACAGGAUGGCCCUGGCGCUGCCUGCCAGCGGAGUGGACAGGACGCAUUAAAUGCCGAGGGGGCACAUCGCUUGUCAGCAGGGCGGACAGGCGGCGCGUCCUUUUCGCAAUAAAUGCAGAGACCGCGCGGCCUAGAGGCCUUACGUCAGGCUCCGCCUGCUGGCUUAUGUCACGGGCAACAACCACGUGGCAGCAUCGGGACUCCGCCUGAGCGGGGAGCGCAAGCGCACAGGGUAAGGCCUGGACACGUGUCAGUACCGGACCCUUGCUUACGCCAGGGUCCCCCUGUCCCGGGACCUCGUUGUGGCCCGGACCUAGACCCCAUCCAAGAGACCCGGUAUGCUUACUUGGGAGUCUCGGGCCGUAACCGGGGGUCCGGGUUGUGCGUACAGGGGUUCGGUGCUUCUUCGCGGAGGUUUGGCCCAAUUGAUACGUCCUGGGAUGUAUCAUCUUUUCCCGCCAUGUGGUGCCCCUUGAGCCGUCCACGUGGUGGAGUCGGGUGCUAUUCACCAUGCAGCUAGAGAACGCCGUAUGGGCACCGCACCUUCAUACUGUAGUAAGGGGUACCCCUGAUUCAGGGUACCGACAGUGGCCCCCGGGCCCGCCUCAGGGGGGGAUACGAGCCUGUAGGUGGGGCCAAAAUUUGAUUGGCGAUUGGCUCGCUGUUUUUGUGCGCCCGUUGGCGUAAUUGCUUCUGUUCCGCCCUUGGUCACGCCGACUGCCAUGCCUGCCCCUGCGGCCAACUGACCCAUGACCUCCGCACUUAAUGGCUUUGUUGGGCCAUGCGCGGGGUGCCUCGAGUCACUGCAUUGGUUUUGAAAAUUUAUCUUCUCAGUCUUCUGUGACGGCCCUGAGGAGACGCGACAUUGGCGCGAGCGGCGGUGCAACUUCUCUGCACCCAAAAACCGGCAUGCCAAGUGUAUGACAUGUGGGCCUGGGCCCUCAUGCCAGAGGUUGGGCCGCUGGUUGCGGCAAAGCCGAGGGGGCGCACAACCGCGGGGCGAUUGCACGCUCCUUGUGCGGCGGUUCGUCCUCUUGACCGUUGGUUGCGGCGAACAUGAAGGGGCGCACAACCGCGGGGCGGUUGUACGUUCCUUGUGCGGCGGUUCGCCUUCUUGACCGUUGGUUGCGGCGAAGAUGAAGGGGCGCACAACCGCGGGGCGGUUGCAUGCUCCUUGUGCGGCGGUUCGCCUUCUUCGCGCUUUGGGCCAGCUUGUAUGACAUGUGAGGCCUGGCCCCCGUGUCAUAGGAUGGGAACCUUGGUGCGCAUUGGGGGAGGCCCUGCCCGUGACGCUUCGGGGUGCGGGCGGGGAAAUCUGCCUUUAAAAGGGGUUCAUCCCUCGAGUAGCAGCCAUGUCUUGCUUCUCUCCCACUCGCGGUGCCCUUUCGCCUUCGAGCUCUCUGCGCCCCUUUGCCUUCAAGGUUUCUGCUUUGUGUCGCCAUAGUUUACCAUGGCCUUGUAAGUCUACCUCAAGCAUGCCCAGACUGAGUGGGUGCUCGAAAUGGUAUAUCGCCUGCUUGGAUGGAAUGCGUCGGCGUUCGGCGAAAGGAUUUGCGCCGGCGUCAUCCACCCCGAUGAGCUUGCCGCUAGAGAGUUUGUGCCUUUUGUCCUCCCUAGUGGGCUGGUGCUGCCGGUCUUGUUUUUCUUCUGCUGGAGGUGCGCGGCCUUGUGGGAGCGGCGCUCUUCCACCGGUGCUUGGCUUCGAGGAUGUUCAUCAGCCUCGCGGUGGUGGGGAGCGAGCUGAGCCGCGGCAUCGCCUCCCACGUGGGCUGGUGCCCGCCUCUUCCUCCAGCAUUCGGAGGAAAAGGAUGAUCACCAGCCUUGUGAAGGAGGCGAACUUCGGCUACGCGGUCCCAGCCAGACCGCAAGCACCGCCUUCCGCCUUGCUCCCAGCUCCAUGGCUUGGAUGGUCUUGUCCUCACCCUUGUAGGGGGAUGGAGGCGAGGACCUCUUCGCCAUGGCGCGCACGCUGAGGUGGUCGCCACCGCUGGGGAGGCUGCCCGGCGCAGAGGUGGUCGCCGCCGCUGGUGAGGCUGCCCGCUGCAGAGGUGGUCGCCUCUGCUGGUGAGCCGCUUGGAGCUGAGGUAGUCGUCGCCGCUGGCGAAUCGUCGGUGCAGAGGUGGUCGCUGCCGUCGGUGCGGAGGUGGUCGCCUCCGCUGGCGAGCCGCUCGGAGCUAGCUACCCAUGCUGCCCUACUGGUGUGGAGGUAGUUCAUACCUGCAAAGUAGAGAUGGAGCUAGGACUCCGCUUGAAAGCGGAUGUAAUACUUUUGCUUUUUGUAACGUACUUUUGAGUACUAUUUAUCAAGCAGUAUUAGCAGUUAUCUGUGUACCACUUGUCCCUGUUGUGUGUGGUGUAACCGAUUCCUCCUUGGUACCUGGCCCCCCUGGGAUGUAGGCUCGAUUUGUCGAGGCUGCAGACCAGCAUACCUAAGAAAGAGUUGGCGAUGGCCUCCAGGAGGUAGCCUCGACUGGGACCUGGGCCUGCACAUAGCUUCGGCUAGGGAGCAUUAGUAGUACACCCACAGGACCCAUCAUCUGAUACUAGCCAUCCUUUGAUACAUGCUCGGGACUUGCAGGGUCUAGUCUGGGAGGUCAAGUUGUGCGUCCGGACCCCUGGAUGGUGGUUCUAGGUACUAGGACACCCGCCGCAGAGUGGUGGAGCGUGCAGGCCCACGGUACGGAACCAGGCUGAGCGGCUACACAGGCUCCGGACCACCCCAGGAGACAAGUGUCCAUUCUCUAGUUCUGGACCCCAGGUUGCCGGACCCACAGGACUUAUAGCUCCAAAUACUAGGGUUCCCGUCACGGAGUGGUGGAGUGUGCAGGCUUUCGGGUACGGGACCAGGCUAAGCGGCCACACAGGCUCCGGACCACCCAUGGAACGGGCUCCCAUUCUUUAGAACCGGCCCCCAGGCUGUCAGGCCCUCCUGCUUUCGCAGAGAGGUCCUAAACUGCAAGCUUGGCUGUUCAAUUCAGAUGUCAUUAUGUCUGAUGGAACGGGAACUGUUUGGGUGGGUUAGAUAAAAUAACAUCCAGAAAACUGCAAGGUAAGACCGUGGAGCAGUAGGAUAAAACUAUCAUAGAGGCACAUCUGAGGGGGUAAAUCUUUUCUUUAUAACUUGUCAUGCAUGGGUGCAGACCAACAGGCCGGGUUUAUGAGGGCGGACCUUACCGGGUUGGCGUACACGUAUGCGGUACCUAGUUACAAAAGAGAGAAAAAUUCGACCCCUCAGAUUUGCUCCUAUGGAUAGAACUUACAGAGAUGCUCCAGUGGUCAGGAAGAGGUACUCCUUCAACCAUAGCAAGGUAGUCACCCCUGGGCUGGCGUAUUUCCCGUCACCUUGAAGGGUCCUUCCCAGCCGGGGAAGAGUUGCGGAGCCCUUCUUGGUUUGGUACUUGCCGUAGGACUAGGUCCUGACCCUGGGUUCCCAUCUGCGUUUGAUGAGGGAGCCCUCGUCCUCGUGCUGUAGCCAUUUCUGCCUGGAUUUGUCAGAAGCCUGGACCCGUGGGGAGUCCAGAAGGGUUUCCGGGGGAAGGCAGGCUUCGGCCCCGUAGACCGGGGAGUUCGGGGUCCCUCCGGGGGUCCAUCUAGUUGUCGCCACCGAAGUAGGAGCCUCUGGCGAAGACAUCCUUCAGGUCCCCCCUCGGGAGACUGAUACCCGAGGACCCGUUCAGCCGCGGCCACCUCGCCGUCGUUGACCUUUUCUUUGCCAGGCCGGCGACGAGGUGGGGAGCCGUCCUUGGAAGACUGCUAACGCCGCUCGCUGACGCGUUUCGCGAGGUCAAUGAUCUUGCGACACUCUGUGGCGCUGUGGCGACCGUUGGGUGCAUAGGGCAUGAGCCGCUGGUACCCCUCUGCGGCCGUGGGCGUUUGUUGCGGUUGCCCUGGCCCCCGGUCGCGGUUGCAACGACUAGAGCGGUGGACCACGGCUUCUGGUAGUCGUGGUCCUUGUUCUUUUUCUUCUUGCCGUCACAGGGGACGGCACCCGAGCCACCCGACUGGGCAGCCCCGGUUUGUGGGGCCGAGUGCCAUGCACGACCCUCGGCGGCUCUGGCGCAUUUGUCGGCCAGAGCGAAUAGUGUGGGGACAGUCUCCACGUCAUGCGUGGCCAACUUCUCCAACAUUUUCUCAUCACGUACUCCCUGGCGGAAGGCCAUGAUGAUGGAAGCAUCAGAAAUGCGAGGUAUAGUACCUCGCACCUUGGUGAAGCGGGAGAUGAACGUCCGGAGAGUCUCCCCGGGCUCCUGCCUUACCGCGUGGAGGUGGGCCUCCACACCGUGCUGCUGGUAAGUGCUGGCGAAGUUCGCAACGAACCGUGCGCCGAGCUCUUCCCUGGAGUAGAUUGACCCUGGGGCGAGGUUCAUGAGCCAAGUCCGGGCAGGUCCAGACAAGGCGACAUGAAAAUAUGUCGCCAUCACAGCGGUGUUUCCACCUGCUGCUGUAAUAGCGGUGACGUACACCUGCAGGAACUCCGACGGGUUUGACGUACCGUCGUACUUUUCCGGCAGGUGUGGCCGAAACUUGGAUGGCCAUGACGCCGCGCGGAGAUAAUCCGCGAGAGCGGCGCAGCCCACUCCGGCCAAAGGGACACCCGCUUGGGACCGGGUGCCCAUUGGGGCCUGCGAUGCUACCGCAGCGAAGUCUUGAUCGAGGUUGCGACCCUCGAUGUUUUGGCGUCGCUCACGUGCCCUUUCCAAAGAGACCCGGGCAUCCUCUCCCGCACGCCUGCGGUUAAGUUCUGCCCGGAGGUUGUUGGUCUGUGCACCCCUCACUGAGGGUGAGCGCACAGACGCCGACGCCUCGUGCUGGCGCCGGGAUGACCGUGGCCUCGACCUAGUCGAGGUAGAAUGUGCUAUGCCGAGCAGUCGGUCGACGUCGUCCCGCCACUGCUUCAUGGCCCCCGGUGAGGCCGUGGAGCUUGGAUGGUGACGCAGCAACUCCCUGGCCACUGACAAUGCUCCCGGAGCCGCCUUCGACGGAGUCCAAGAUGUCUGCGCAGUUGUAUGCUGCCGUGCAGCGUGCACAGCAGCAGUGCCUGGCACCGGGUGGUUGGGAACCUGUGGCGUGGAAGAAACAGCUUCUUCCUCCACCAGGAAAUCCGUUGAAGUCUCGGCGCGGUGCUCCACGAUUUGCACCAUCAUGGUGAGCGAGAAAACAAGCAAAAACCUGAUGCCUAGCCCCCUACCUAGCGCGCCAAAUGUCGGAGAGGGAAUUCUCCGGCCGGGUGGCGGAGUGCACCCGCCCUAAAUCCUAAGAUGAGGAAGGGGCUUAAGCGUUUUGCCUGUCCUGCAAAGCGAUCGUUGAGCACAUGACCACGCGAGGAUUUAGAGUGGUUCAAGCCGCCAGAGCGUAAUACCCUACUCCACUGUGUUUUGGAUUGUUGUCGAAGCUUGAAAGCUGAGAGUUUGAGUUUUGUCUAAGAGAGUCUGCCCGUGAGAGCUUGUGUUGUAACGUUGCAUACCUCCCCUUUUAUAGCUAAGGGGGGUAUGAACAAGGGUACUGAGCCCCGACAUGUGGGCUCAGGAUCAUAACAGAUGUAGUACUUGGAGCUACUAAUGUUUGCUGCUGGGGCAGUCUUCUCACGCCCUGACAUCUGAGAUCUGCGUAGCAUAGGUGGGCAGGGAAACUUCUUGUAUAAGGGAUGAUGAGCACAGUGCGCCGCGUAGCACGGGCGCACUGUUUGACAAUGGACAGGACAGGUGCGCCGUCUGCCAGCGGAGUGGACAGGACGCAUUAAAUGCCGAGGGGGCACAUCGCCUGUCAGCAGGGCGGACAUGCGGCGCGUCCUUUCCGCAAUAAAUGCAGAGAUCGUGCGGCCUAGAGGCCUUACGUUAGGCUCCGCCCGCUGGCUUAUGUCACGGGCAACAACCACGUGGCAGCAUCGGGACUCCGCCUGAGCGGGGAGCGCAAGCGCACAGGGUAAGGCCUGGACACGUGUCAGUACCGGACCCUUGCUUACGCCAGGGUCCCCCUGUCCCGGGACCUCGUUGUGGCCCGAACCUAGACUCCAUCCAAGAGACCCGGUAUGCUUACUUGGGAGUCUCGGGCCGUAACCGGGGGUCUGGGUUGUGCGUACAGGGGUCCGGUGCUUCUUCGCGGAGGUUCGGCCCAACUGAUAUAUCCUGGGAUGUAUCAUCUUUUCCCGCCACGUGGUGCCCCUUGAGCCGUCCACGUGGUGGAGUCGGGUGAUGUUCACCGUGCAGCUAGAGAACGCCGUACGGGCACUGUGCCUUCAUACUGUAGUAAGGGGUACUGAAAGGGAAUUAGGCUUACACCUAGUUCCUAUAUAAUUUUGGUGGUUGAAUUGCCCAACACAAAUAUUUGAACUAACUAGUUUGCUCUAGUGUAUAAGUUAUACAGGUGCCAAAGGUUCACACUUAGCCAAUAAAAAGACCAAGUAUUGGGUUCAACAAAAGAGCAAAGGAGCAACCGAAGGCUCCUCUGGUCUGGCGCACCGGACUGUCCGGUGGGCCACCGGACAUGUCCGGUGCACCAGAGGAACUUCGAGGAUGAACUCUUCACUCUCGGGAAUUUCCAGAGGCAACUCCGCUAUAAUUCACCGGACUGUCCGGUGUACACCGGACAUGUCCGGUGCUCCAAGGAAGAGCGGCCUCCGGAACUCGCCAGCCUCGGGAAUUUAUUGGAGUUGCUCCGCUAUAAUUCACCGGACUGUCCGGUGUACACCGGACUGUCCGGUGUACACCGCGGGGCAACGGCUACUUCGGCGCCAACGGCUACCUGCAGCGCAUUGAAUGCGCGCGCAGCGCGCGCAGAGGUCAGGCACGCCCAUGCUGGCGCACCGGACACUCUACAGUUCAUGUCCGGUGCGCCACCGGAUAUCAAGGCGGGCCCAGAAGACAGAGCUCCAACGGUCGGAACCCAACGGCUUUGGUGACGUGGCUGUCGCACCGGACAUGUCCGGUGUGCACCGGACUGUCCGGUGCGCCAUCGAACAGACAGCCUCACCAAACGGCUAGUUUGGUGGUUGGGGCUAUAAAUACCCCAACCACCCCACCAUUCAUAGUAUCCAAGUUUUCCAGCUUCCAACCACUAUACAAGAGCUAGCAUUCAUUGCAAAGCACACCAAAAGAGAUCAAAUCCUCUCCCGACUCCAUACAAAUCCUUAGUGACUAGAGAGAGUGAUUUGUAGUGUUCAUUUGAGCUCUUGCGCUUGGAUCGCUUCUUUUCUUUCGCAUUCUUUCUUGUGAUCAAACACUCACUUGUAAUUGAGGCAAGAGACACCAAUUGUGUGGUGGUCCUUGUGGGAAGUUUGAUUCCCAAGUGAUUUGAGAAGAGAAGCUCACUCGGUCCGAGGGACCGUUUGAGAGAGGGAAGGGUUGAAAGAGACCCGGCCUUUGUGGCCUCCUCAACGGGGAGUAGGUUUGAGAGAACCGAACCUCGGUAAAACAAAUCCGCGUGUCUCACUUCAUUAUUCACUUGCGAUUUGUUUUGCGCCCUCUCUCGCGGACUCUAUUAUAUUUCUAACGCUAACCCGGCUUGUAGUUGUGUUUAUAUUUGUAAAUUUCAGUUUCGCCCUAUUCACCCCCCCUCUAGGCGACUAUCAAUUGGUAUCAGAGCCUGGUGCUUCAUUAGAGCCUAACCGCUCGAAGUGAUGACGGGAGAUCACGCCAAGAAGGAGAUGGAGACCGGCGAAAAGCCCACUACAAGCCACGGGAGCACUUCAUCGGAAGAGUCCCGCACCAAGAGGAAGGAGAAGACGAAGAACUCCUCCAAAGGGAAGGAGAAGAGAUCUUCUUCACUCCACAAAGAGAAGAAGGAGAAAUCCUCUUCUCACAAGACGCAUCGGAAAGGCGACAAGCACAAGAGGAUGAGGAAGGUGGUCUACUUCGAGACCGACACUUCAUCACCAUCGACCUCCGACUUUGAUGCGCCCUCCGUAACUUCUAAGCGCCAAGAGCGCAAGAAGUUUAGUAAGAUCCCCUUACACUAUCCUCGUACAUCUAGACAUACUCCAUUACUUUCCGUUCCAUUAGGCAAACCGCCAACCUUUGACAGUGAAGAUUAUGCUAGGUGGAGUGAUUUAAUGAAAUUUCAUCUAACCUCACUCCACAAAAGUAUAUGGAAUGUUGUUGAGUUUGGAGCACAGGUACCAUCCAUCGGGGAUGAGGAUUAUGAUGAGGACGAAGUGGCCCAAAUCGAGCACUUCAACUCCCAAGCUACAACCAUACUCCUUGCUUCUCUAAGUAAGGAGGAAUAUAACAAGGUGCAAGGGUUGAAGAGCGCGAAGGAGAUUUGGGACUUACUCAAGACUGCGCACGAGGGUGAUGAACUCACCAAGAUCACCAAGCGGGAAACGAUCGAGGGGGAGCUCGGUCGCUUCCGUCUUCGCCAAGGGGAGGAGCCACAAGAUAUGUACAACCGGCUCAAAACCUUGGUGAACCAAGUGCGCAACCUCGGGAGCAAGAAGUGGGACGACCACGAGGUGGUUAAGGUUAUUCUAAGAUCUCUCAUUUUCCUUAACCCCACUCAAGUUCAAUUAAUUCGUGGCAACCCAAGAUAUACUCAAAUGACCCCCGAGGAAGUUAUCGGGAAUUUUGUGAGCUUUGAAUGUAUGAUCAAGGGCUCAAAGAAGAUCAACGAGCUUGAUGAUCCCUCCACGUCCGAAGCACAACCGGUGGCGUUUAAGGCGACAGAGGAGAAGAAGGAGGAGUCUACACCAAGUAGACAACCAAUUGACGCCUCCAAGCUCGACAAUGAGGAGAUGGCUUUAAUCAUCAAAAGCUUUCGCCAAAUCCUCAAGCAACGGAAGGGGAAGGACUACAAAUCCCGUUCCAAGAAGGUUUGCUACAAGUGUGGUAAGCCCGGUCACUUCAUUGCUAAAUGUCCAUUAUCAAGUGACAGUGACAGGGAUAACGACAAGAAGGGCAAGAGGAGAGAAAAGAAGAGGUACCACAAGAAGAGGGGCGGCGAUGCCCACGUGUGCCGCGAGUGGGACUCCGACGAGAGCUCCACCGAGUCCUUCUCCGACGAGGACGCCGCCAACAUCGCCGUCACCAAGGGACUCCUCUUCCCCAACGUCGGCCACAAGUGCCUCAUAGCAAAGGACGGCAAAAGGAAGAAGGUUAAAUCUAAAUCCUCCCCUAAAUAUGAAACUUCUAGUGAUGAUAAUGCUAGUGAUGAGGAGGAUAACUUGCGUACCCUUUUUGCCAACCUUAACAUGGAACAAAAAGAAAAAUUAAAUGAAUUGGUUAGUGCUAUUCAUGAGAAGGAUGACCUUUUGGAUACCCAAGAGGACUUCCUAAUUAAGGAAAACAAAAAACAUGUUAAGGUUAAAAAUGCUUAUGCUCUAGAAGUAGAAAAAUGUCAAAAACUAUCUAGUGAGCUAAGCACUUGCCAUGACACUAUUGACAACCUUAGAAAUGAGAAUGCUAAUUUGUUAGCUAAGGUUGAUUCACAUGUUUGUAAUGUUUCAACUUCCGAUUCUAGAAAUGAUAAUGUUGAUUUACUUGCUAGAUUUAAUGAGUUGAAUGUUUCUCUUGCUAGCCUUAGAAAUGAGAAUGAAAAAUUGAUUGUUAAGGCUAAAGAGCUAGAUGUUUGCAAUGUUACAAUUUCCGACCUUAGAACUAAAAAUGAUAUGUUGCAUGCUAAGGUUGUAGAAUUAAAAUCUUGCAAACCCUCUACAUCUAUUGUUGAGCAUGUAUCCAUUUGUACUAGAUGUAGAGAUGUUGAUAUUAAUGCUAUUCAUGAUCACAUGAUUUUAAUUAAACAACAAAAUGAUCAUAUGCAAAACUAGAUGCUAAAAUUGCCGAGCAUAACUUAGAAAAUGAAAAGUUUAAAUUUGCUAGAAGUAUGCUUUAUAAUGGGAGACGCCCGGGCAUCAAGGAUGGCAUUGGCUUCCAAAGGGGAGACAAUGUCAAACUUAGUGCCCCUCCUAAAAGAUUGUCCAACUUUGUUAAGGACAAGGCUCCCAUGCCUCAGGAUAACGAGGGUUACAUUUUAUACCCUGCCGGUUAUCCCGAGGACAAAAUUAGGAGAAUUCACUCUAGGAAGUCUCACUCUGGCCCUAAUCAUGCUUUUAUGUAUAAGGGUGAGACAUCUAGUUCUAGGCAACCAACCCGUGCUAAGUUGCCUAAGAAGAGAACUCCUAAUGCAUCAAAUGAUCAUGAAUUUUCAUUUAGAACUUUUGAUGCAUCUUAUGUUUUGACUAACAAAUCCGGCAAGGUAGUUGCCAAGUUUGUUGGGGGCAAACACAAGGGGUCAAAGACUUGUGUUUGGGUACCCAAAGUUCUUGUUUCUAAUGCCAAAGGACCCAAAACCGUUUGGGUACCUAAAAUCAAGAACUAAAAUUGUUUUGUAGGUUUAUGCAUCCGGGGGCACAAGUUGGAUACUCGAUAGCGGGUGCACAAACCAUAUGACCGGGGAGAAGAAGAUGUUCUCCUCAUAUGAGAAAAACCAAGAUCCCCAAAGAGCGAUCACAUUCGGGGAUGGAAACCAAGGUUUGGUCAAAGGCUUGGGUAAAAUUGCUAUAUCCCCUGACCACUCCAUUUCCAAUGUUUUUCUUGUUGAUUCAUUAGAUUACAAUUUGCUUUCCGUUUCUCAAUUAUGUCAAAUGGGCUACAAGUGUCUAUUCACUGAUGUAGGUGUCACUGUCUUUAGAAGAAGUGAUGAUUCAAUAGCAUUUAAGGGAGUGUUAGAGGGUCAGCUAUACUUGGUAGAUUUUGAUAGAGCUGAACUCGACACUUGCUUAAUUGCUAAGACUAACAUGGGUUGGCUCUGGCACCGCCGACUAGCCCAUGUUGGGAUGAAGAAUCUUCACAAGCUUCUAAAGGGAGAACACAUUUUAGGACUAACAAAUGUUCAUUUUGAGAAAGACAGGGUUUGUAGCGCAUGCCAAGCAGGGAAGCAAGUUGGAACCCAUCAUCCACACAAGAACAUCAUGACGACCGACAGGCCGCUUGAGCUACUCCACAUGGAUCUAUUCGGCCCGAUCGCUUACAUAAGCAUCGGCGGGAGUAAGUACUGUCUAGUUAUUGUGGAUGAUUAUUCUCGCUUCACUUGGGUAUUCUUUUUACAGGAAAAAUCUCAAACCCAAGAGACCUUAAAAGGAUUCUUGAGACGGGCUCAAAAUGAGUUCGGCUUAAGGAUCAAGAAAAUUAGAAGCGACAAUGGGACGGAGUUCAAGAACUCUCAAGUUGAAGGCUUCCUUGAGGAGGAGGGCAUCAAGCAUGAGUUCUCCUCUCCCUACACGCCACAACAAAAUGGUGUAGUGGAGAGGAAGAAUCGAACUCUAUUGGACAUGGCAAGAACCAUGCUUGAUGAGUACAAGACUUCGGAUCGGUUUUGGGCCGAGGCGGUCAACACCGCUUGCUACGCCAUCAACCGGUUGUAUCUACACCGAAUCCUCAAGAAGACAUCAUAUGAACUCCUAACCAGUAAAAAGCCCAAUAUUUCAUAUUUUAGAGUUUUUGGUAGCAAAUUCUUUAUUCUUGUUAAGAGAGGUAGAAAAUCUAAAUUUGCUCCUAAAACUGUAGAAGGCUUUUUACUAGGAUAUGACUCAAACACAAGGGCAUAUAGAGUCUUUAACAAGUCCUCAGGACUAGUUGAAGUUUCUUGUGACGUUGUGUUUGAUGAGACUAAUGGCUCUCAAGUAGAGCAAGUUGAUCUUGAUGAGAUAGGGAAUGAAGAGGCCCCGUGCAUCGCGUUAAGGAACAUGUCCAUUGGGGAUGUGUGUCCUAAGGAAUCCGAAGAGCCUCCAAAUGCACAAGAUCAACCAUCCUCCUCCAUGCAAGCAUCUCCACCAACUCAAAAUGAGGAUGAGGCUCAAGAUGUUGAACAAGAAGAUCAAGAAGAUGAGCCACCUCAACAUGACGACAAUGAUCAAGGGGGAGAUGCAAAUGAUCAAGAAAAGGAGGAUGAGCAAGAACCAAGGCCGCCACACCCAAGAGUCCACCAAGCAAUCCAACGAGAUCACCCCGUCGACACCAUCCUCGGCGACAUUCAUAAGGGGGUAACCACUAGAUCUCGUGUUGCACAUUUUUGUGAACAUUACUCUUUUGUUUCCUCUAUUGAGCCACACAAGGUAGAGGAAGCACUUCAAGAUUCGGAUUGGGUGGUGGCGAUGCAAGAGGAGCUCAACAACUUCACUAGAAAUGAGGUAUGGCAUUUAGUUCCACGUCCUAACCAAAAUGUUGUAGGAACCAAAUGGGUCUUCCGCAACAAGCAAGACGAGCAUGGUGUGGUGACAAGGAACAAAGCCCGACUUGUGGCCAAGGGAUACUCCCAAGUCGAAGGUUUGGAUUUCGGUGAAACCUAUGCACCCGUAGCUAGGCUUGAGUCAAUUCGCAUAUUAUUGGCCUAUGCUACUUACCAUGGCUUUAAGCUUUACCAAAUGGACGUGAAGAGUGCCUUCCUCAAUGGACCAAUCAAGGAAGAGGUCUAUGUUGAGCAACCUCCCGGCUUUGAAGAUAGUGAGUACCCUAAUCAUGUCUAUAGGCUCUCUAAGGCGCUUUAUGGGCUCAAGCAAGCCCCAAGAGCAUGAUAUGAAUGCCUUAGAGAUUUCCUUAUUGCAAAUGGCUUCAAAGUCGGAAAGGCCGAUCCUACUUUAUUCACUAAAACUCUUGACAAUGAUUUGUUUGUAUGCCAAAUUUAUGUUGAUGAUAUCAUAUUUGGGUCUACUAACGAAUCUACAUGUGAAGAAUUUAGUAGGAUCAUGACACAAAAAUUCGAGAUGUCUAUGAUGGGGGAGUUGAAGUAUUUUCUAGGAUUCCAAGUCAAGCAACUCCAAGAAGGCACCUUCAUUAGCCAAACGAAGUAUACUCAAGACAUUCUAACCAAGUUUGGAAUGAAGGACGCCAAACCCAUCAAGACUCCCAUGGGAACUAAUGGGCAUCUCGACCUCGACACGGGAGGUAAAUCCGUCGAUCAAAAGGUAUACCGGUCGAUGAUAGGUUCAUUACUCUAUUUAUGUGCAUCUCGACCGGACAUUAUGCUUUCCGUUUGCAUGUGUGCAAGAUUCCAAUCCGACCCUAAGGAAUCCCACCUUACGGUUGUAAAACGAAUCUUGAGAUAUUUGGCUUAUACUCCUAAGUUUGGGCUUUGGUACCCUCGGGGAUCCACUUUUGAUUUGAUUGGUUAUUCGGAUGCCGAUUGGGCGGCGUGUAAGAUUAAUAGAAAGAGCACAUCGGGGACUUGCCAGUUCUUGGGAAGAUCCUUGGUGUCAUGGGCUUCAAAGAAGCAAAAUUCGGUCGCUCUUUCCACCGCCGAAGCUGAGUACAUUGCCGCAGGCCAUUGUUGCGCGCAAUUGCUUUGGAUGAGGCAAACCCUGCGGGACUACGGUUACAAAUUAACCAAAGUCCCCUUGCUAUGUGAUAAUGAGAGUGCAAUCAAAAUGGCCGACAAUCCCGUCGAGCAUAGCCGCACUAAACACAUAGCCAUUCGGUAUCAUUUUCUUAGGGAUCACCAACAAAAGGGGGAUAUCGAGAUUGCAUACGUUAAUACUAAAGAUCAAUUAGCCGAUAUCUUUACCAAGCCACUUGAUGAACAAACUUUUACCAAACUUAGGCAUGAGCUCAAUAUUCUUGAUUCUAGAAAUUUCUUUUGCUAACUUACACACAUAGCUCACAAAUAUACCUUUGAUCAUGUCUCUUUUAUAUAUGCUAUGACUCAUGUGUUUUCAAGUCUAUUUCAAACCAAGUCAUAGGUGUAUUGAAAGGGAAUUGGAGUCUUCGGCGAAGACAAAGGCUUCCACUCCACUCCACAACUCAUCCUUCGCCGUCACUCCGAGCAUCUCUCCGUCUUUGGUAUAAUCUUCACUCAUUUAUUUAUGACCAAAGGGGGAGAAAAUAUUAAAGGGCUCUAAUGACUCCGUUUUUGGCGAUUCAUGCCAAAGGGGGAGAAAGUAUGAGCCCAAAGCAAAAGGACCGCACCACCACCUUAUUUUAAAAUAAUUUUCAAAUGUCAAUUUGGUAUCUUAUUGUGUUCAAAAGGGGGAGAAAGUAGUAUUUCAAAAUUGAUACAUCAAAACCCUCUUGAACACUAAGAGGAAGAUUUCAUUUAGGGGGAGUUUUGUUUAGUCAAAGGAAAAGCAUUUGAAACAAGGGGAGAGAAUUUCAAAUCUUGAAAAUGCUUCGCAAAAUUCUAUUCAUUUACCUUUGUCUUUUUGCAAAAGAACUUUGAAAAGGAUCUACAAAAGAAUUUGCAAAAACAAAACAUGUGGUGCAACCGUGGUCCAAAAUGUUAAAAAUGAAGAAACAAUCCAUGCAUAUCUUGUAAGUAUUUAUAUUGGCUCAAUUCCAAGUAAUCUUUGCACUUACAUUAUGCAAACUAGUUCAAUUAUGCACUUCUAUAUUUGCUUUGGUUUGUGUUGGCAUCAAUCACCAAAAAGGGGGAGAUUGAAAGGGAAUUAGGCUUACACCUAGUUCCUAUAUAAUUUUGGUGGUUGAAUUGCCCAACACAAAUAUUUGAACUAACUAGUUUGCUCUAGUGUAUAAGUUAUACAGGUGCCAAAGGUUCACACUUAGCCAAUAAAAAGACCAAGUAUUGGGUUCAACAAAAGAGCAAAGGAGCAACCGAAGGCUCCUCUGGUCUGGCGCACCGGACUGUCCGGUGGGCCACCGGACAUGUCCGGUGCACCGGAGGAACUUCGAGGAUGAACUCUUCACUCUCAGGAAUUUCCAAAGGCAACUCCGCUAUAAUUCACCAGACUGUCCAGUGUACACCGGACAUGUCCGGUGCUCCAAGGAAGAGCGGCCUCCGGAACUCGCCAGCCUCGGGAAUUUAUUGGAGUUGCUCCGCUAUAAUUCACCGGACUGUCCGGUGUACACCGGACUGUCCGGUGUAACAACGGGGCAACGGCUACUUCGGCGCCAACGGCUACCUGCAGCGCAUUGAAUGCGCGCGCAGCGCGCGCAGAGGUCAGGCACGCCCAUGCUGGCGCACCGGACACUCUACAGUUCAUGUCCGGUGCGCCACCGGAUAUCAAGGCGGGCCCAGAAGACAGCUCCAACGGUCGGAACCCAACGGCUUUGGUGACGUGGCUGUCGCACCGGACAUGUCCGGUGUGCACCGGACUGUCCGGUGCGCCAUCGAACAGACAGCCUCACCAAACGGCUAGUUUGGUGGUUGGGGCUAUAAAUACCCCAACCACCCCACCAUUCAUAGUAUCCAAGUUUUCCAGCUUCCAACCACUAUACAAGAGCUAGCAUUCAUUGCAAAGCACACCAAAAGAGAUCAAAUCCUCUCCCGACUCCAUACAAAGCCUUAGUGACUAGAGAGAGUGAUUUGUAGUGUUCAUUUGAGCUCUUGCGCUUGGAUCGCUUCUUUUCUUUCGCAUUCUUUCUUGUGAUCAAACACUCACUUGUAAUUGAGGCAAGAGACACCAAUUGUGUGGUGGUCCUUGCGGGAAGUUUGAUUCCCAAGUGGUUUGAGAAGAGAAGCUCACUCGGUCCGAGGGACCGUUUGAGAGAGGGAAGGGUUGAAAGAGACCCGGCCUUUGUGGCCUCCUCAACGGGGAGUAGGUUUGAGAGAACCGAACCUCGGUAAAACAAAUCCGCGUGUCUCACUUCAUUAUUCACUUGCGAUUUGUUUUGCGCCCUCUCUCGCGGACUCUAUUAUAUUUCUAACGCUAACCCGGCUUGUAGUUGUGUUUAUAUUUGUAAAUUUCAGUUUCGCCCUAUUCACCCCCCCUCUAGGCGACUAUCAGGUACCCCUGAUUCAGGGUACCGACAAAAGGAGAUGAUUGACAAUGGUUAUAAAAAGUGCAAGAUAAACCUUAUAUAUGUAAAACCCACUAAAGUUUUUAUUUUAUUUCUCUGAGAUUCUAUUAAUUAGUUGGUUAUUUCUCAUCUAAGCUCAACAAGCACAAACAUGGUUUCAGUACGUGCAUGGUAUAUCGGUACAUUUUUGCAUGUCAAUGUGAUAUAGUCAUGAAAACAAGCUAAUAUAUUAUUUGCUUAAUAAAAGAAAACCGAGUGUGCGUAUUGAGGCCCUGAACAUGCUGAUUUUCUACACAUCUUUACGAUCACUCAUACAAUCGUCGAACUUCCAAGUCCUAGUGUAUUUGUUUCUUCAUUGCAAAGAAACUUUUCUCGUUUCUUGGGACUGAAAGCUUACCACAACAAAGGUGAUUUUUGUAGCACCAUUUUGUUCAACUUUGGUCGCUUAUGUUUACAGCAGUUACUUUUCCUUCAAUAAAGGAGUAUUUCUGAAUGUGAUAAACAAUUUUCAAUUGUUGCUUGGUUUCGGGAAUACUACUAAGUGAUACUAGACUUCCUUGGUGGUUUGCGUUCAUCCAUCCAAUAUGGAGGCUCCAACACAUCUCUUCAUUAUUUGUAUCUGGAUUUAUCUGUGUAAUAGCAGUAUGGUGCUCCUAACUUACAAGCUUCAUUAAACAAGGAAACUGAAAGUGUCAGAACUGCAAUUCAUAUAGACUAGAUUUUUAUGAUACAUUGUAACUAAUGCAUUGGUAAGCAUUAAUUUGAAUGUCUGUGUUUUUCCAGGGGUUGAGUGGUAUGUUGUGGUCAGAUUUGGCAAUCAAUGUAUCUGCCAUCAUGUGCUAUAUCGAUAAAUUAUGAUACAAUGUGGUCAGAUUCUAGGUUUAGUUACUGUUUUUGUGCAACCUGUGUGACAUCUGUUUACUGACAACUGGACAAAUAGGACAUAUCGCAAUCGGAUAAAUAACUUGGCACUCUUGGUCAAAAAUUUGAUUUUCCAAUAUUUAGAAUCGUGUAUUUUUCAUUGAGCUAAAUAGGUCCCCUCAUUGUAUUAUGUUUGAAAACCUGUUGUAUUAUGUUUGAAAACCUGAAAUGAUUAUCUACGUUGUCCUAAAAACAUGGUUCUGCAAUCUUCGCCUAGGAUUGGAUUGGAUGGUUGCCAACAUGUUCUGCAACUGCGCUUUUGGAUGUGCUACUAUACCUUCAAGUGAUCAUUAUGUAUUCAUGUCAAUUUUUAAUGUAUCCUGUUAUAACAUGUUGUCACCGUAACAACGUACGGGCACUCACCUAGUUUAUAUAUUAUGUACUAGGUUGAUAGGGAUGCUCCACCACACCUUAUCUUUUCUUCGUGCAACUAUGAAUGAUGAGAAUGAGACACUCCUUUGCCCCCCCUUUUUUCCUCCUAUAUCACUUUUUUGUGUCACAUCAUCAACAUUUCAUCCCCUAUUUUUUUCAUCUCCCGCAGCGGUUCCCCCUAUUUUCUCCCCACUACAACCAUAAAAUAUCAUUUUCUAUACCUACUUUUCACCCCCUAUCAAUUUUUCAUCUACUAACAAUUAAUCACGGACCCAUAACAUAGUAGAAAGGGGAGGAAACGAGCGCACGCUGCAUCCAGCGGGAGAGAGAAGAGGACGGCGCGCAGCUACACCGUGGGGGACACUUUAGGGGGCAGCGGUGCGGCGCCUAGCGGCUUCCUGUUGCCUCUACGGGAGGGGAGGGGGAGCGGCCGCGGGAAGCGCUGCGGGUAGCCUUAGACACUUCUUUAAGAGUUAUCAGGUCAGGAGAUCGACAUUUAUCUCAGGUAGCAAAGCAUAGAUAUUGGCAGUAAUUUACAUAGAUCCAAUAUUGUUGAACACCAUUUGUGACUCUGGGUAUGACCGGACGGUCCGGCCCUAAGGCCUGGAAGGUCCAAACCGUGGUCGGUCCGCGAAUAGAUCAGAUCAGGUGGUUAAAACUCCUAUCUCCUUGCGUGUUUAGCCCUCUUAUCCCUCAUGAGCUGUUGGAGAACGUCUAAGAACGGAUCUAGACCUCUCCCUUAUAUAUUUGAAGGGGUAUAGCUGAUUGAUCAACCAACAAUCGAUCAAACAAUCAAUAUACCUUCAGUUCUUUACAUUUCACCCUAGGAGUAGACAGUAACAUAGUAUCCUCUCUCUAUUCUUCACCUCUCUCCGGGUCUACGUCGUUUAAAGGCGUCUUGGGUGGACUAUCGAUUCCAAAACAAACCGUAGGAUCUCUCCUCCCCGACGGGGUCCCUCCCGAGAGCGAGAUCUUGGUGUUGUUGGCGAUCUCAUCGCCUCUGCGCAAGCGCGGACCGUCCGGCCACCAGACGCGGACUGUCUGGCUCGUCGCGCUUGCCUCUACGCCAAGUCGCGGACCGUUCGGCCCUCGGCCACGAACCGUCCGCACCUCCGCAGAGAGCACCAUCGCCGGUACUCAUCGUAGUGAUUGGCGCCUAGAUCGGCGCCAAAACACUUUUUGGUGACUCCGCUGGGGAAAUCGCGUGAGGAUCUAUCAGUGGUUGGUUCCAAAGAUAGCUCUGACGUCUCCCUAGCAAUAUCAUUGAACCGACUUGAGAAGCCCUACCGGCUCAAAAACAACUGGAGUUUAAGGAGCACGAGGAACAGCUGGUCAAAGAAGCACAAGCGAAGUUUCAAAGAAGUCCGCCUCUAGGGUGUUAGACUUAAAAGGCAGUCAGACCUUCCAUUUUUCCAUUGCUACAAUAGUUGUAAUUUCACUUUCACUGUUUUUCUAUCACAAGCUUCUGGUCGUUUUUUUUGUCCUUGGUGGCUGUAAACUCAUAGGCUGUAGCUUAUUUAGUAUCAUGUAUGUUGGUAAGUCUUAGAACUAUGUGGCUGGUUUAUCUUAAUAAAACAUUUUUACCACAGUCUUUUUUUCAAAAAAAAACUUUUAGAAUUAAGAGGUUUAGAUUUGAGAAGUGGUACAGUGGUUAAAAACUUCUAGAAUUAAGAAGACUAAAUAAGAGCCAUAGCUGAGCAGCCAAAGGUUGGAGAAGAAGCACUAGCAAAAUGAUGGCUUUUAGACCAUCUGCAGCAGUCUAUUUAAAGUUUAUCCAAAAACAUUGUUCUGCAUUGUAGACUACACUAUUUAUAGAAUAAAGUAUUAAUAUGGGUAUGGAAAUGAAUAAGCUGUUGGAGAUAGCAAAAUGAUGCUAAUGACUCCAUGGUCAUCCAUCCAAGUCAUGGAUAGGAAAGCGUGCACAGACCACGAAGGAACUGGGUAGGCAGGUAGCUAGAAAUCAUGGAAAGACUGACACAGUGCUAUCGUGGAACAAUAGAUGGUGUCAUCCUGAUGGACCCUUCCGUGAGUUGAGUAGGAGAGGCCGGAACAAAUCAAAGGUAUAGGUGCCCAAACGGGCGGCCCGGCAUGGGUCCGUUAGGCCUGACAGAUAAACGGGUCGUGCCCGGUCGGCCUGCGUGCCGCAGACGCGUCUUGGUAGCCGUGCCGGGCUGGCCCGUUUAAUUUACCCAUGUUCAGAAAAAUUGCAAAAAAAACUGUGUGUGAUGGGGUUUUGAACCCACAACCUCCCUCUACAAGGAGGAAAGCGCUAUAUAUAACAAACUAACCAGUGGAACUCUAGUGCAUUUGUUAUAAAUAGCAAAUAUAAAAUCUAAAUAUAUAUAUAUAUACUAUGUUUUAUAAAAUAAAAAAAAAAUAUAAUCGUGCCGGGCCGGGCCGGCACUACGGGCCGGGCCGGCACUACGGGCCGAGGCAACGGCCCAAGCACGGCACGUCUGUCGUGCCGGGCCCGGCCCGACACUAUUAAAUGGGCCGUGCUUCGGGCCGGCCCGUCAAACACGGCCUAUUUGGCCAUCUAUAAUCAAAGGAUAGACGAAAGGGACCAUACCUUACUAAUUUAGAUCUUGAUGUGUUUGCUGCACCUCAAAGCAAAUUAUGUUUCUACAACCAUAGUUUCAUAGAUAGCAGUAUAUUGAAAACUACGUUUUAGAAACUUUUACAUGUUUUAUAAACAUUAUGGUUUAUGAUAUUGUUUCCAAACAGUUGGGUGCCGUUUAAUUCACAUAUUGGUAACGUAAUAGGUAAUCGAUAACGUUAUAUUAUGUUUGUUUAAGUUCAAUCGUAAUCAAUACCACACUAUAAAUGGAUACUGGCUUAUUUAAACUUGUUACCAGCGUACUCGGGUGUGAAUCAUUACCAUUACCAUUUAUGUUACGUUACAUUUCGUGAACCAAACGGCACCUUGGUACCUUCAAUAGAACCAAAUCUCUACUACUACUUAUGUUUCUAAUGUAGGCGUUCACAGCAUGGUUCUGCCGAUCUCUCCCACGCACUGACGCACGCGCAUGGAAAGCCUUCCCCGCCGCCCCCGAUCUCGCCCCUCGCGGAUCUCGCGCCAGCCCCCGCCUGCCCUUCCCCCGCCGCCCCGCCACGGAUCUCGCCCCCGCGGAUCUCGCGCUAGCCACAACCGCGCACCCUCCCACGCGCGAUGGAAGCAGCCCGCCAUGCCCCUCCACAACCACGCAUCACCGUCCCCCGCGCCAUCCUGGGCACGGCGCCCCACGCGGGGCCUCAACGAAGAGGGGCUCGGCGGAGGCCGCGGAGGGGAGCGUCGAGAAGGAGAUGAGCAGCGCGCGGGAGGAGGAGAAGGAGAGCGACGCGGAGAUGAGGAGCGACGAGAGCAUCCCUUCCCCACCGCCCCUCGUCCGCGUCGGCCGCCGCCGAGCCCAUUUCAAACCCGGAGCCGAGGAAGCGUCCGUUCCCAUGGCCGCUGGGCUCGGUGGCUUCAAGAAUCCUCGAAUAGUCGAGGUAAUCGGCCAUGUCGUCGCCGACGGCCUGCGAGUCGAGCAGCGCGGCAGCUCGGCGUCCCUGGCACGGCGCACGGCGGCGUCCUCGGGGAAGUUGAGCUUGGUGCGGCGUCCUCCGGUGUCUGCCUGCCUGGCUCAUGCUCCUCGACGUCGCCCCCGCCCCCAUCCUCUGCCUGCCUGGCACUUCCUCCACCCCCUGGUCCACACGCUCGAGCAUGCGCCGCCCUAGGGGAUCCGCCACUGCCUCCCCCUCUUCCUCGGCCGUGGCGGUGAGCGUGGCGCCGGCCCAAGUGUAGAUCUCGAGGCAGCGACGAAGCUUGAAGCCCACACGCCCCUCGAGGUAUGGCUAAGACAUAUUGUUCCCGCACGCUCUCCUCGUUGUCCAUCCAUGGCGCCAAGCUGAGGUAUAUAUAUUAAGAGGGGCCCAAAGUGAUUUGUAUUAUUUAGCCCUACUUGUAAUCCAAUUCCCUCCAUUAGUUUCUUCUAGCUCCUCCAAUUUGUUGUGGAUGCAAAACCUUCCCAAGUGGUCAUGUUAGGCGCAUUUGUCACUUUCAGAAAUGUUUCGUUGGGGUCUAGAAAUUAGCCAGUGAGAACCAAGCAGCCUUUUAUCAGUUGAGUAAAGAUGGUACCAAAAAAUGUCCUGAUCAAAACAAUGCUCAAGAACCAGGUCGCUCGGUAGGUUAGUCAUGCCCUUAUCCUCCUCUCGCAAAUCGUGAUCCGCAUUUGUAACCAUAAUGGUGGACAUGAUAGAAUUGUUCUAUAGGAUGCCCUGGCCAUAUAAUCUCACUGUUGUGCCUUUUUAUUGCCGAUGGCAGAAGAUAAGAAUCACUCAAACCAUGCCUUUUAUUUUCCUGUACAACAGUUGGAAUUGAGUUCGUAUAAUGUUUUUUUUCUAUAGUAUGUUGUGAAACAAAAACACAUGUAUGUUCUAUUCUCUGUUAUGUUCUGGCUAUUGAGUCUAUGUAGGAUCUUCCUGCUGCUAUGGGAAAGAGAGGGGUGAAGCUUGGCAAGGCAUCCUAUCAAGAGCUGACAGGGGUAAAGAAGCCAAAGUUGGAUUAGCAGGGCAUGCUUCACUAGCCUGUUAUUUUGCUCUACCCAUAUGGCAUGCCGAGUGACUUCAUUGAGGGUUUGGCUUAUGAAGAUACUCUCUCGCCCCACCCCUCCUUAAUUACAUGAUGCUUUUUUGGUCGAGUUAAAAUGUGUAGAUGUUCAAGUACCUAUACGGAAUUUAUUGUAAUGGUAUCCUUAACAAACAUGUUCUCAGAAACUUCUUCACCAUUACACUGGAAUGAGAACCACACUUACACUAGGGAGCUUGUCGAACGAACCUGGACGUCGGGCGAGUGCAAGGUGCAGGGUCAGCUCCGAGGGCAAGGCACCAUGGCUUGAUGCACCGCUAAACGCAGCAGCAAUGUAGGUAGAAGUUAUUAUAUAUGUAUUAUAUGUUUUCUUAUUGAUCGCCGUUUAUGCUUGUCUCUUGAAGUAACAUGUAGCACAUGGAGAGCAUGAAUUAAAUCAAGAGUUUAAUUUGAUGCAAUUGCCAGGGAGGAUUUUGAUGUAUCUAAGAUACCUAUAGAUGUUUUGUGGCUUAGUAGCUUGGCGUUGCUUUGGUUUAAUUUGUGAUUGUGUAUUAAUGCUUUUGUACCUACUCUGAGCGGUUACGAGGACGAGAGGGAGAACAGCGGAUUCAUCACCGCCAGGUGUCAGGUGAGGUGCGUGCGCAUACAUCCAUCCACCGCCCUUCACCCGCUCUUCUUUGCGAGGUUUGUUUUGGUUAGAUCACUCUUUGUAUUGUUCUUCUGUCUAUUGGACAUGUCUUGCCUCUUCGAAUUCCAUUCUGCCUAUCUUACCUCUUCGAAUUCCUGCGUUUAGGGUACAUGUUUCAUCCAGAUCUGACCCCUAUAUAUGGUUGCCUUGUUUUACUUGUGCGCUGCUGAUGCAUGCUUAUGCCAGCCCUGUAAUUGUGCCUAAGCUCCAGAACAUAGAUCAGAUACGUUUAGGACUCGUAAUGGAUCGUGGCUAAAUAUGGGGUUAGUUGCUCCGUGGAGCAAACCGGAUGUGAUCCAUAGAACCAAAUGAGUACUCCAGAAGCACCGGUCUGUCCAUACAUGUAAUCCAGCUUCAACCCAGUGCUCCAAUGGAUCGGCUGGGUCUAUUGUAUGAUGAGCUAGCGGUGUGGCGCUACAUGCUCCGAUCGAAGCCAUCUGCCGGCCUGGGUCCAUUGUUGAUUGGAUGUAGCAAUUUGCCCACAUAAUUGUCUUUAUAGAUUUCUAAGAGCUGUUGCCUUCCUGCAAUACCUUGAGCGAUUGUUUAUACACAUGCUUUAUGGUUUUUAACCACACAAGUAGAACAAUCGAAUUGAGAAUUGAACUGACGAAUACAUAUUUUCUUGGCUAUGCCGCAGUUCCAUGGAUUGUCAAAGCUUAACCAGCAAGAACCUGAUGCUGUGCAAGGCAACAACCUUUGAACACAAGUCCACAAACUACAAAAAACAACAAUGAUUUGCCAUUAGUGUAAGAUCACAAACUGAAAAACAGAACACAACUAAGGUUCACCAACACAUAAUUCUUUUCUCACGAACACUAAUAUACUAACAAACACAGUUAUUGCACUGCAUUCAUCAGUAACGAGACUAUAUUUUGCAUAAUUAUUUUGGAGAUAAAUAUUCGUCAGCCUGGAGAAUGCAAGGGAUCCUUGAUGUUCACAUGCUGUCAACUAGCAUCACAAUCUUUAAAAGAUAUUUGAGAUCCUCUACUUCUCACGGAUGCAACUUACUAGGUUGCUCCUCAUUCAAUGCAAAUUGGAUCACCUUUCUUUUCUCCUCCUGCCAGUAAGCAUACACAUGUUAUCAUCACCGACGAAUGUAGGAUCUGUGUGACUUUGUAAGCAUAAGAAAGCAAAAUGAUUGCUUUUUUUGUUUCAUCAUGAACGACCAACUGCAUCAAUGCUACAUGCUGUAGGUAUUUCUUAGCUAUAUUUCAAAAAUAUGGAAUAUCAAAUAUGUGAUACUCGCUAUUGGCAGCCAACAUCAUGUUGUGUUCUCACAGUUGUAGUAGUGAAUGCAAAUAUUGUAAUCUGAACCCCUUUCACUGUCAUGCAGAGUGUGUUAAGACAAGAUGGUGGCGAAUGGCGACACACCUGCUAGAGGGAGUAUGGCGGCAGCUGCAAGCCUGCGCAGGCGUAGGACCACAAGCGCUGCUGCUGCUGGCGGAGGUGGUGCCAGCUCGAUGCUCCAGUUCUACACCGAUGAGGCUGCGGGCCGCAAAAUGUCACCAAACACCGUUCUGAUCAUGGGCAUUGGGUUCAUAGCUAUUGUCGCUAUGCUCCAUGUUUUUGGGAAGCUGUACCGCACCUCCAACUAGGCUGGUACUUACCAUAACCAAGAAAACAGAGGCCACCAAGAGAGGAGCCUUAUAGAGCCAUUUCAAUGGAUAGCAAGUGACUAUCAGAGAGGAACCUUGUAGAGCGAUUUCAAUGGAUAGCAAGUGACUAUCAGA